AGGCCGCGUUGCGGCGAUACGGCCGCGCCAUCGGCGUCCUCUACGAGCUCGUCGACGACAUGCGGAGCGCGUCGGGAAACGGCAAGAUGAGGAGCAACGCCAGCGUCCUGCGCGCGCUGGGCAUGGACCGUGCGCUGGGCAUUGUCGAGGAGCUCAAGGCGCAGGCCAAGACGGAGGCGGACAGGUUCGGCGAUAAGUAUGGCGACCGGGUGCUGCCAUUGUACAGCUUCGUGGACUACGCCGUGGAGAGGAGCUUUGAGCUCCAGGAUUCAGCCGCGAAGCCUUGAGCGUUGGCACAGGUGACAUGUAUAGUUAUGUGAAGCUGAAAUUCUGUGAUCUGAACUAUAAAUUUGUACUAUAUGUGUUUAGAACAUUAGAUGCGUGGUUGCUGUUUCUGUCCAACAUUUUGCAAGUUCCUGAAAUAACAUGGUACCAAAUGAUAAACUUACCAAUAAUUUUGAGUUCAUACUCCAUGGGAAUGAAGCUAACCCAAGUUCACACCAUGUUGGGAGCUUUCAAAUUGUUCAUACUGUUCAGUUCGUUUGUAAGAAGGUUUACCUUCUGUGCUUGUUUGUCGUUGAAUUUGUGUGAACAUGAUGGUAGUAAACAUUACAGGGAUCAGCUUUGUUACCUGACAAUGAUAAAUAUUUAUAAAUUUUGCCAGACAUUAAAAAUCAGAAAGCACGAGUCAACUAGUAGUGGGAGUAACUUAUACUAGUGUCAUACAUAUGACACUGGUCUAAAUUACUAAUCCCUUCGUCUCGAUUUAUAAGGUUUAUAUAAGGCAUACAUAUCGUUCUAGGUUAACAAAUUAACUAGCUAAAUAUAUACUCCCUCUAUACCUAAACAAUUAUAGUUGGGAAGAACUAAUCUAAUUCUUCUCAAUUAUAAUUAUUUAGGUACAGAAGGAGUAUUAUAUUUGAUGAAAAAUAUAUGUUCAAGAACUACGUCUGUUUAAGAAAUUUAAUAAUAUAUUUUUGAUAACAUAUAAUUGAUAUUUAGUUAGUCAAAUCGAUGACCUAAAACUACGUGCAUGCCCAUAAACCGAGUACCUCUAUUGUACAAUGUAACAUAUUAGAGCAUGGUUAAUAGUAUAGUCAGCUGCUAUAAGACAUUGCCAUGUUACCUAUAACUCAUCUUAUAGCUAUCAUGUACAAUAGUUGGUUAGAAGAGUGUACUACUUUUUUAUUAUAUGACCCACAUUUCAUUCUCACAUAGUUCCUAGAAGCACGUGCUAGAGCUGGUUCUUAACUAAGAACAUGUUUAUCUUCUCUCUCUUCUUCUCUUUCUUCAAACUAAGCAAAAAUACAUUAUUUUAUUUCUUAUAGCCAGUUGACUCAGCUCUAUUAUAGUACUUGCUCUUAGUAGUAGUGUCAUAAAUGACUUCAUUUAUUAUCUUAUAGACUAGAAGUGCUAUGUUAUAAUAUAUUAUCUCUUCUCAUUAACUACAUGACAUAAUAUUUUUUUGAAAUGUGAUGUAUUACUAGUUAAGUUAUUUCCACUUUGACUAGCCUAAGAGUGUAUCAUUUUUUUUAUUAUUGUCUAGGGAGUUAACACUAUCUAUUCCUUUUCUUAAAUUAUAUAACCCACUCAAAUUUUAGAAGUUAAGUUUGGGAAGUAAUGAAUUCUGCCUAUAUUUGAGCAGAAUUUGCUCCCUCCCUAUCCCAUAGAAAGUAGGAAAUUCCUUUCCCAAUCACCACCUUCCGCCAUUGUCGAAGUCAUUGUCGGCAACUUCUCCGGCCAUGUCGCUAUGAGGCCCACAUCCCCACCCUUUACAUGUUGGGGUACCGCCUAUUGCCGACUCUCGAGCUACUCCUGCCACAACCACCUCUUGCUACUAAGGUGAAGCUCGCGGUCGUCAUCGUUGUGCCGAAAGAGCUCUUGGCCGUCACACCCUACCUUCGCUGCCUCCUAAACCUCCUCCAACAACAUCUUCAUCAAGUUAUAUUCAAAAUAAAAGAAAGUUGCUUUUCGUCAGAAAACGUCCCCGUGUAAUCCAAGUGAGCUUCAAAUAUGUGUCCCACAUUCAUUUGGGAGCAUGUGUUGUGAUGACCGUUGUCGCCUCCCGAGUCAAGCCACGACAGGAACGAGGUCACCAGAUUAUAUUCAAAAUAAAAGAAAGGGGCUUUUCACUAAAAAACGUCAUGUUGAUCCAAGCGAGCUUUCAAAUAUUUGGCCCACAUUCAUUUGGGAGCUUGUGUUGUGCCGACCAUUGUCGCCUUCAAAGCCAAGCCAUAGGGGGAACCAGGUCAUGGAACCUCUCCACCUCCCCCGCGUCGCCCCUCUCUGAUGCACUGUUGCACACGAGGUGUUUGAUAAAAUGGUUAAAAGGCUAUUUGUUUCCUUUCAUUUUCUCAUUUCAUGUGCUAAUGUGCAAAUAUACAUGAAACACUUUUAUUCAAAUAUAUAUAUAUUCAUAUACAUAUAUAUAUAUAUGAAUUUGCACGUGAUUUUUGUGUGUGUGGUGGUGGGUGUUUAAAUUUAGUAAAAGGACUUGGUGCACAUAAAUCUAAACCCUCAAAUUCGAAGGAGUUCAGUUUACAGAGAUGAUAUAAGUUACUAAGUUUUAGGAAAAUACCAAGAGAUGCUCUGAUCUUCUGAAAUUAAUACUCGGAAGAAAACUUCAGAAAUUCAAAUACAACGAAAACCCACAUCCACAUUUCUCACCUCCUCGAACACCACCACACCAGUUACUCGUAUAACACCGGUUAAAACCCAGAGCAUGAACUCCCUCAUCUGGCAUCGGCAGCUUCCAUGGGGCAGAAUGGCAUGAUUACGAGAAAGAGAAUGAGGAUUGUGAGUGCGCGGGCGGAUAAAUAGAGACUUAAAGUGAACACGUCCGGUCUAAACAUUUGAGGGGUCGUCUUAGAGGUACGUGUUAGAUGUUCUUACAUGGAUCAACUUUGUUACCUGACAAUGAUAAAUACCAAAAAAAAUUCUAAGACAUUAAAAAUGAGAAAGCACGCGUGACCUAGUAGUAUAAGAGCCCUAAAAAUCAUUAUUUUAUUAUUUUCUAGGGAGUUAACACUACCUAUUCCUUCUCCUAAAUUGUAGAACACACUCAAAUUUUAGGAGUUAAGUUUGGGGAGUAGUGUAUUCUGCCUAUAUUUGAGCAAAAUUUGCUCCCUCCCUAUCCCGUAAAAAGUAAGGAGGAAGUUUCAUUUCCCAAUCACCAGCUUCUGUCAUCGUCGAAGUCAUUGCCGACAAUUUCUCUAGCCAUGUCGCUACGACGCCCACAUCCCCACCCUUUCCAUGUUGCGGUAGCGCCUAUUGCCACCUCUCGAGCUACUCCUGCCACAACUUCCUCUUGCUAUUAAGCUGAAGCUUGCGGCCAUCAUCGUUGUGUCGAAAGAGCUCUUGGCCGCCACACCCUACCUUUGCUGCCUCCUAAGUCUCCUCCAACAACAUCUCCAUCAAGUUAUGUUCAAAAUAAAAGUAAGUGGCUUUUUGUCAGAAAUAGUCUCCGGCUAAUCCAAGUCAGCUUUCAAAUAUUUGUCCCACAUUCAUUUGGGAGCAUGUGUUGUGAUGACCGUUGUCGCCUCCCGAGUCAAGCCACGACAGGAACGAGGUCACCAGAUUAUAUUCAAAAUAAAAGAAAGGGUCAUUUCAUAAGAAAACAUCCCCCAUCAGCCCAAGCGAGCUUUCAAAUAUUUGUCCACAUUCAUUCAGGAGCUUGUGUUGUGCCGACCAUUGUCGCCUCCCGAGCCAAGCCACGGCGGAACCAGGUCGUGGCACCACUCCACCUCCCCCGCGUCCAGCCUCUAAUGCACGGUUGCACACGAUGUGUUCGAUGAAAUGGUUAAGAGCAACUCCAACACGCCGACCCAAACGAACACGCUAUUUGUCCGCUUUUUAUCUGUUUGGGUCGCCAGGCCCACUCCUUUUUUCAUUAGGGUAGGUUGUGCACCUAACAUGCAGACGCAUUAUGCGGCCGGCCCGUCCACAUAAGUCAUAGUUUAUACAAGAUAAAUAGAAGUUACAUUGUCUUAAAAAAUUACUCCCUCCUUAAACUAAUAUAAGAGCGUUUAGAUCACUACUCUAGUGAUCCAAAUGCUCUUAUAUUAGUUUACAGAGUGAGGAUAUCAUAGUUCCACAACGAAUAAAUAUAUUUCAUAGUUUACAAGCCAAAUACAAAUUAAAUUGUCUCAAAUAAAAUAGACAAAUAAAUCUAUUGGUUGCCAACAUGAGCCACAUAUGCUCAAUCAAGUCAUCUUGUAGCUGAAUGUGAGUUUCCCAAUCACGCAUUUGAUGAUGAAAUUCGGUGAACUGCGCAAAUGUUGCAUUCCUCUCAAAGUGUGUCAUAUCGACUAGAGGGAGGGGGUGAAUAGGCGAUUUUUACAAAUUCAUCACUUAGAAUUUCGCGUUGAGGAAAUUGCAAAGCGAUAAAAUACUAGCAGCGGAAUAAGUACAAAGUGCAUGCAGAAGAUAGCAACAACAUAUUCAUCAUGAUGAAAUGAAACAUAUGUUGGAAAUAUUCCCUAGAGGCAAUGAUAAAUAGUUAUUAUUAUAUUUCCUGUUUAAAGAUAAUCAUUUAUUAUCCAUGCUAUAAUUGUAUUGAAUGAAAACAUAGAUACAUGUGUGGAUAAAUAGACAUAACAAUGUCCCUAGCAAGCCUCUAGUUGGCUGGCUAGUUGAUCAAGGAUAGUCAAGGUUUUUUGACUAUGUGCAAAGUGUUGUUGCUUGAUAACUGGAUCACAUCAUGAGGAGAAUCAUGUGAUGGACUAGACCCAAACUAUGAACGUAGCAUAUUCACUACAACAAAAAAUGACAUGUAGAGGCGCUAAAUAUAGAUGCUAAAGGCACAAUAUAUCAUCUCUAGUAGAUUUUAGAGUCGCUCGUUAAAGCGUCCUAGGAACGUCUUCUCAUGCACCGUCUCAAAGAUCAUUGAGACGCUGAGGAAGCGUGUCUACAUAAUAAUGAGGCAUUUUACAAGCGUUCUUACAAAGCGUGUCUACAUGAUAAUGAGGCGUUUUACAAGCGUUUUUAUAAAGUGUGUCUAUAUAGUUUUGAGACGUUGAAAGAGCAUCUUUAUGCCCGUAGAGACGCAUUGAUAAAUUCAUGCUAGAUGCAACUGCAUAUAUCCUCUUUUUAUCGUAUAUUUCUUCAAAUCAAUUGGGUUUAAUAGAAGUACCGGCUCAUAUCGAAUAAUUGGACUCUCAUUUACAUAUCAGAAAAUAUUCGAAAAUUGUACUGCAUCGCACGAAAUUGUAUUAAUGAGAGUAGCAGUAGUUUACAAACUCAAUUGUACACAUCACCUAUAAAAAAAUUAAAUAUGUCACUAACUAGUUGAAACAUGUCUAUAUGAUUUUAGUUUCAACAUGUUGAUAAUGGAACAAUGGCUCCUUGUUUUCUCCGCUUCUCUAGUUUAUCCUUGUGCUGUCUGCUCCUUGUUUUCUCUGUUUCUCUAGUUUAGCCUUGUGGUGUCUGCCUUCAAAAUCUGCACAUAGAGGUUCUUCUGCAAAGAAAGCCAAUGAGAUACAAAUAAAUUCAUUGGAACUUCUACCAGUAAGUUUUCCUUUGCUGAACAUAUAUUCAUCAGAAUAAAACUAUUACGUACAACGGUACCACAUCAAGCAAUUGUGCACUGCAGAAGUUCAUGUGACCAUAUGAAGCAUAAAUACAUAUUGUAAAAAGAAGAUAGAUCAUCAUGUCAUGGAUGGAUUGACUAAGGUGAGAAUGAUUUAUGUGUAUUUGUAAGAAAAAUAGCAACAAUUAACUAAGUAAGUAUAUACCAUAGAACCCGUAAAAAAGUAUAUACCAUACAAAGUAUAUAUAUAUAUAUAUGUGUGUGUGUGUGUGUGUGUGUGUGUGUGUACAGAGAUAACCACAGUUUAACAUACAGGGACAAAAUUCUAAUGAUUGUUGACACUAAUAAUCACUAAGCCUUAAUACUAGCUCUACAUAAGAGGACUGGUUACAAUAAAAAGACUUUAAGUCUCAUAGUAGUUCAUAUAAUAAUCUUCAGUCUAACACAAUAUCUAUGUAAGCGAGCAUGACGCCAUUUAGCUGCUCCAGACUGAAUGCAACACAUGUGACCCAGAUGUUUCACAUUAUCGCAUAUGCUUAAAUCUUACCAAACAUGAUAAUAUAUCGAUCCACAGUGCUCUUUAUCAGACAACAUGAGAAAAGUAUCUGCAGAUGAAAAACUCCAUGUAUCCGUUGAUCUCUCCCUUUAUAGUAGAAGCCAUGUUACUAGGAAAUAUUAGAACGUGGGCACAAAGCUCCUAAUUUCAAUCAUGGGAGAGGGAGGGGUGAAGGUGAGUUGAUAGUGGAUACAUGAGCAUUAUUAACUGUAUGAAAAGAAAAACACGGAACACUGACCACCUUAUUCUAUCAGGAUAUUCUGAGAGACUUUUUAUCAAGCAACUGCAUACUUGAGUGCCAAUAAUUUGGGAGCACACAACAAAGAAAGGUAUGUGUAAAAUCAACUUUAAAUUGAACUAGUAGUUAAAUUAGUAAAAAGACAAGAAUUCAGAAAAGAAAAACAGACAAAGUAGUGCUGUCCUAUCUUAAUAACAGAAAUUAAGAUAAUGUAGGAGCAAGUGCAAUGUCAAGAUUCUCCUCCACAAUCAAGUACGCAUCUGUGACAGCCCGAUGCCGACGUUCCAGAAGAUUCCCCUCUCUUUCCGUUUUCGUCGUGUGUCUAUUUUUAUUUGUCGCAUCAUCAUCGCAUCAUGCGCAUCAUCUGCAUUGCAUCGGCAUCUCCGUUGCCGCCAGUUUUCAAACUUGCAUCCGUUGUUAGUUGCCGGUUCGCGUCGUCGUCCGUUCUUAGCCCGACCGCACUCGCACGCGCCCGCGGCACUGUCGAAACCCUGUUUUUAAAGUGCGUUUAAAACUUUCUCUGAUCGAGGUGAAACUUGGCACGCGGUCGCGAUUAGUUAUAGCUAGGCCGCCUGUCGAAUUUCGUCGCGAUCGGAGACCGUCUGGUACCCGAACGGUCGACCGUAGCGGCACCGUAUUCGGUCUACCGUCGGACGUCUGUCGGUGUUUUAAAAUUCGUGCCGCGUCGCCCGUUCUCCCUCUCGUCUCCGGAUAACCACCCAACACGGCCGCGUACCCAUACCCGCAUUCGGAAUCGUCCGAAUCCGACCCCGCGGUUGGAUCCGGGUCGAAAUUUCGCUAAACCUAGCCCCCCUUUCCUAUUUAAACACACCUCCCCUUCCAUUUUAGGCCUCCCCUAGUCCUGCCUCGUUUCCCGUGCAAUCCCGAAACCCUAGCGCAGCCAAACCGCUCCUCUCUCCUCCCUGGUGCCGCCGGCCCGCGGAGCCCAUCUGGGGCCCGCCCGAGCCCGCAUCACGCCGCCGCGCAAGCCCAGCAGCUCCGCCGCCCCCGCGAGUUCCCCCAGCUCCAGCGCCAUGGCCCCAUGCCCGAGUUCCCGAGCUCGCCGGCCCGCAGCUGGCCUCGCCCCACGGCUCCCGAGCGUGCCGCCCCCUGUGCCCAGCGCCACCGCCGUGCCACCGCCUCGCCUCCCCGGGCUGCUGCCCGAGGAGCCACCGCCGCCAGCUCUUCCUCCUGCCGCCAUGGAUCCCGCUCCGCCGACGCCAGCCGCCGCCGCAUCGCCUUCGGCCGGUUCUGCGCCCCCCCCCCCCCCCNNNNNNNNNNNNNNNNNNNNNNNNNNNNNNNNNNNNNNNNNNNNNNNNNNNNNNNNNNNNNNNNNNNNNNNNNNNNNNNNNNNNNNNNNNNNNNNNNNNNNNNNNNNNNNNNNNNNNNNNNNNNNNNNNNNNNCCGGAUCCCACCGCGCCGCCCCGCUUUGGCCUCGAUCCGGCCGGGGCCGAGCUCCCCUUGCCGCCGGAGACCGCCGCCGCCAUGUCCUGUCCUCGUGCCCUCGGGCACGGGAGGAGACGAGCACGUCGCUCGCCCCGUGGGCCUCCUCCGUCCCGGCCCAGCUGGCCAGCGUCCCUGGCCCGAGUCGGCCCGUCUCCUGCGCCUGGCCUCGGGGCCCGACCGGCCUAGCCGGGCUACUCCUCCGAGCAGGCCGAAAGGCCCAACGGUGAGACGCCAAGCCCCUUCUGAUUUUUCGCCCCGUGCGCUGUUUUGCUAUGUUGCACCACAACUCGGCCCAUUAGGUAAUUUAGGAUGUUUUUAGGAAUUGAGUAAUCCUAGUAAAUAGUCGGAUAUUAAAACGCGCGUAUCUUUUAAUCCGUAAGUCGGACGAAGCGUAUUAUAUAUGGCUUUGGGGUAGUUUUGCGAGUAGAACGCGAUUUCACAACUUGCAUAUUUGUUUGAUUUAGUUUAACGUGCCUAAUGCCUAGUUUUACGUGCUGUCUUGAUAGGUUUAUUGCCCGUAGUUAUUUUUCGCGCGUGUCCGGGUUGUUCGUAUGCCGUAGAAUAAAUGUCUAUGUUUUAGGGACCAUAUUUCUACGUAUUUUAGAGCGGUCACUCAUAUUUUUGCGUGUAGGAAUUGCAGGUAAUUUAUUUUCCCGUAUCUAGGCGAUUCUCCCGCAUUAUUGUGUGGCUUUAUUUUGUGUUGCAAACCCCACAUAUUUUAUAUGUUUCCGGGGUAGAAAAAUCCCAUGGAUUUUUCUGUGCAAUUAGUUUUAGCUUUUGAGUAAGUUAGUUCGCGAGAUAUUUUGCCGUGAUGCCCUUUUGUUUAAUUCGUAGGAUUUAUUCCGUGCCUCGUUUGAAUUAGUUGUCAACUAGGGAGUUGAUCUCGGAUGUUUUGUUUAGCCCCUGGUAUUUUUGGUUGCAAUAGAAUGCAUGUUUAGGUGUGUUUUGAUUGCUCUCAAGUUGCUAGAAAUAGUGCUGUUUUAGAGGAGCUGAAAUAUUUCUAAGUCUAGAAUCUGUUAUUAUUUUGUUGCUGUCUUGUCUUGCUUGUAUCUUGUGAUCUGUAGCUCUUUUGAGGUUGGUCCAAUGGAGUUAGUUGUACCCCUUGUGUUUCUCUAGCAUUCUGUAAAGUUUCAUGCCAUUUGGAGUCCUGUAGCUAUAGGUUUUGCUUCUGUCAAUAUGCCUUCAGGCUGAAAACUGCACUUUCAUGAGGUGUUAUUUUCACUAUGUCUGAAAUAGUGUGUGCGAAGCCUUUUUGUGACUUCUUUACCUAGUGUUCCUUGCUGCCAUGAUAGUUGUUGUUAGUUGUUUGUAGUAGUGCUUCUUGUCCUCUUUCGUGCCAUGCCUUGCUUGAGCGUAUCGGAGUUGUGUAGCUUGUAGUUGUGGGGCGUAGAAAAUGUUAUGUUGCUGAUUUUGGCAGAUUGAAGUCAUUUCUUGUUUUGCUCGUAGUUUUUGAACCGUAGCUCCGAUUUGAUCGUGUCCUACAUGAAACUUGCUUAAAAUCUCGUGUAGUUUCAUUUUCUCUUGCUGGUUGCAUGUGUUGAAGUGCUCGUAGCCGCCGUUGCACACAUAUUGCAUUCAUGCCAUCAUAUCUUGCGGUGCUUGUAACUUUUGAUCCGUAGCUCCAUUGGAGAUGUCCUUUAUGUGUAGAUUGCUUGCCUUGACGCGUAAAUCACGUGAACCAAUUUGUUUUGCUGUUUAACAACUAAUUGAAUGCAUUAGUUCAGAUCUGGACAGAAUUGGAAAUUAACAUGUGAGGUCGUUUCGGAGAUGCUAUAUGUCAUUUCCGACCUCAUUUAAAAUGCCUAGAUAGGUAGUUUCAUUUCCGCUUCACCUCUUGCAUGUUUAACCACAUUUAAUAUUGCCGUGUAUCUAAUCGGGAGUGAACUAAAUAAUUAACGUGGAGUUUCGUCAAUAUGCAACUCGUGCAUAUUGGGCUUCACUUAAUGUGUAGUGUUUGAUUGUGUGAUUUGUCAUGCCGUGACUUGCAUGUAUUCAGUAGCUCAUGCAUCAUAUGUGUUGUACAUCGUGUGGUGAAUUCCGUGUGUUGAUUUGUGUUUUCGGUUUGCUUCGUCUCGAUAGAGUUCCGCAGCGUGCCGGAUUGUGAGGACCCGUUCGACUACGUCGGUUCGUCUGCUUCACGGAGGCAAUCUUCUUCCAAGCGGGAUCUCAGGCAAGAUGAUCAUUUCCCCAGAUACCAUUACUAUCAUUGCGAUGCUAGUUUAUCGCUUCUAUCGUUUAUGUCUCGUUACCUACCACCUGUUAAAUAUCAGCCUCUCAACAAUGCCAUGAUUACCAUCAACCUAUUCGACCUAGCAAACCACUGAUUGGCUAUGUUACUGCUUGCUUAACCCUGUUGAUAGCGUUGCUAGUUGCAGGUGUAGUUGCUUCCAUGUGAAAGCAUGGGAUCCUUGUUAUAUCACCAUAUUAAAUGCUAUUUAAUUUAAUGCACCUAUAUACAUGGUAAAAGGUGGAAGGCUCGGCCUUUCUAGCCUGGUGUUUUGUUCCACCUUUGCCCCCUUAGUUUCGGCUACCGGUGUUAUGUUCCAUAAUCGAGCGCUCCUAACACGAUCGGGGUUGUUAUGGGGACCCCCUUGAUAAUUCGUUUUAGAUUAAAGCUGGUCUGGCAAGGCCCAACAUCGGUUCUACAUUUGCCCAACAUAAUAAUUCUGUUAAAUUGAAAUGCAUAGGGAGUUAGCGCUACCCGAGGAGCAAUUUUACAUAAACAGGGGGGGCCAGUGCUGUUGGUGUUGGUCCCAAACGGUCUGCCUGCGGGGCCACCGCGAGGAAACUCGAGGUUUGGCACUCGUAGCUAGUUCCAUCCGUCGUGUCCUGAGAACGAGAUACGCGGCUCCUAUCGGGUACGUCGACACGUCGGGCGGCCUUGCUGGAUUAGUUUUACCUUUGACGAGAUAUCUUGUGCAUCGGGAUUCCGGUGAUGCUUUGGGUAAUCUCAGAGUUGAGGUUUUCCACUAAGGAAUUCGACGAGAUUGCGAGCUUCGUGAUCGAGGAUUUCUAUGCGGCUUGUGGUAAUUUGUGAUGGACUAGUUGGAGCACCCCUGCAGGGUUAAAUCUUUCGGAAAGCCAUGCCCGCGGUUAUGUGGCAACGUGGAUGCUUUGUUUAACACUGGUUCUAGAUAACUUGAAGUUAACUUAAUUAAAACAUGCCAACUGUGUGCGUAACCAUGACUGUCUCUUUCGUGAGUUCCUUCUCCGAUCGAGGACACGGUGGGGUUAUGUCUGACAUAGGUAGGUGUUCAGGAUCAUUCAUUUGAUCAUCUGUAGUUCACGUCCGCUAUGCGUAGAUUUUCCCCCCUCUUACUUCUUGUACUCGUAAGUUAGCCACCAAAUAUAUGCUUAGCCGCUGCUGCAACCUCACCACUUAACCAUACCUCACCCAUUAAGCUUUGCUAGGCUUGUUACCUUUGGAAAUGAGAUUGCUGAGUCCCCUGUGGCUCACAGAUUACUACAACACCAGUUGAAGGUACAUGUAAAGGUUACGUGACGCGAGCGCGUUGUUUGUUCAUUUGGAGUUGCUUCUUCUUCUUCUUCUUCGUCGAUCUAGGAUGGGUUCCAGGUCGGCAGCCUGGGAUAGCAAGGAUGGACGUCGUUCUUCUUUUGUCGUUUGUUUUCGUCCGUAGUCGGACCCUGCUCUUACUCUUGGUGAUUAUGUAAUGUACUGAUGUGACUCUGAUGUAGCUUGUGGCGAGUGUAAGCCAACUCUGUAUAUAUAUCUCCUCUUUUCAGUACAUGUAUUGUAACGAUAUCCAUUCUUGCGACAUGACGAGAUGCGCUUCUAUCCCUGACGAGGCCUUCGUGCCAAAUUGAGGAUAGGGUCGCAUCUUGGGUGUGACAGCAUCAAGGUAGCUGGUCCUUUUUUUUACUUGGAAUGAAUUGAUAGAACAACUGGAAAAAAGUAGAUCGACUCACAUAUAGGUGAACUUGCUACCUUGUGCACUCGCGCAAGAUCUCUUAUGGCCUCCAAAUCACACGACAGCUCACUGCUGGUUGACAGUGGCAAGCACGAGGUCAUCCUACCUAAUGGAAACAAGCUUCACAUGGCGGAGGAUGCUUGGAAGAUUUUUUGGUCGCAAGAGGUAGGGUUCUUAGAGAAACAGAGGACAGUUGCAGGACGUCGGAACAGAGAGGACGGCGGCCGAGCAAGUGGAGGGCCCGGUGGGAGUGGUCAGACGGGCGGACAUAUUUUCACCCAAGGAUCACACAAAACUAAUUAAGAUGUCUCUGAUAACAAUUAUGUAGUGGGCAAGAAAAUAAAGCAGCAACUUACGCAGACGUGGAUCUCAACCAAAGCCUGAAUGACAAGGACAGCAAACACAAUAACAAACGAGUGCCCAAAACAUCAGUACCUUUCGUUCUCCUCGUCGAUCUUGUUCCUCUUCUACCAUAUUUCUAGCCGGGUCAUAUGUCGCUACGAUCUCAGUAGGAGGAGCUGGCGAUGUCCAGUUUCGUGCCCACUUCGCCCUUGUCAUCUUCCCUUCCAGAUGGAGUGCACCUUGUGCCGGAGCUACACGUCGAGGCGGCCGGGAUGGGGCUGGGCCGCCGCCUCGAGGUUGGUGUCCCCGGGCCUGCUGCUGGCGAUUGUCGGUUGAGGGGGAUGGACCUGUGACAGAGAGUUCUGGGUGGGGAGGAGCGGGAUCUCGGCGCCGGCGUGGCAUAGCGGCACUAGGUUUAGAGGCCAGAGAUUCUUUUACGGUAGUUAUUUUCUUUAGCCCACCUCGCACGAUCGAUGGGGAUUAGGGUCGAUGGUGGUUGAACAAAAUAUUCUGAACCACCUCAUUUUGUUGUAUGGGAAUCAAGGGACGAUGUCCUUUCCGUCUCAGAAAACGUCCGUAUGCACAAAUUGAUUUUGAAUAAUGGGACGUAAAUAAAAGCGUCAAAAGAAAAACGACCCUACAUGCCUAUUUUGUUGUAGUGAUUGAUCGUGUCAUUUUAUUGCUAUUGUUUUCUGCGUGUCAAGUAUUUGUUCCUAUGACCAUGAGAUCAUAUAACCCACAGGCACCGGAGGGAUACCUUGUGUGUAUCAAACGUCACAGCGUAACUGGAUGACUAUAAAGGUGCUCUACAGGUAUUUCCGAAGGUGUCCGUUGGGUUAGUAUGGAUCAAGACUGGGAUUUGUCACUCCGUGUGACAGAGAGGUAUCUCGGGGCCCACUCGGUAAUACAACAUCACACACAAGCCUUGCAAGCAAUGUGACUUAGUGUAAGUCACGGGAUCUUGUAUUACGGAACGAGAAAAGAGACUUGCCGGUAACGAGAUUGAAAUAGGUAUGCGGAUACCGACGAUCGAAUCUCGGGCAAGUAACAUACCGAAGGACAAAGGAAAUGACAUACGGGAUUGCGUGAAUCCUUGACACUGAAGUUCAACCGAUAAGUUAUUCGGAGGAUAUGUAGGAUCCAAUAUGGGCAUCCAGGUCCCGCUAUUGGAUAUUGACCGAGUAGUACCUUAGGGCAUGUCUACAUAGUUCUCGAACCCGCAGGGUCUGCACACUUAAGGUUCAGCGAUGUUUUAGUAUAGAUGAGUUAUAUGUGUGGUUACCAAAUGUUGUUUGGAGUCCCGGAUGAGAUCACAGAUGUCACGAGGGUUUCCGAAAUGGUCCGGAUACGAAGAUUGAUAUAGAGGAUGACCUCAUUUGAUUGCCGGAAGGUUUUCGGGCAUUACCGGGAAUGUACCAGGAGUGAAGAAUGGGUUCCGGAUGUUCACCGGGAGGGGGCCAACCCAGCCGGGGAAGCCCGUAGGCCCUAGGGGUGGCGCACCAGCCCUUGGUGGGGUGGUGGGACAGCCCAAUAAGGCCUAUGCGCAAGGGAUAAGAAAAUCAAAGAGAAAAGAAAAAAAAAGAGGUGGGAAGGAAGGGAAGGACUCCACCUUCCAAUCCUAGUUGGACUAGGAUUGGAGGUGGACUCCUCCACCUCCUUGGCCGGCGCACCCUUGGGGUCUUGGACCCCAAGGCAAGCCUCCCCUCCCCUCCUCCUAUAUAUAGUGGAGUUUUAAGGCUGAUUCGAGACAACUUUUGCCACGGCAGCCCGACCACAAACACCACGGUUUUUCCUCUAGAUCGUAUUUCUGCGGAGCUCAGGUGGAGCCCUGCAGGAGUAGACUCUUCACCACCACCGGAGCGCCGUCACGCUUCCGGAGAACCCAUGUACUUCUCCAUCUUGCUUGCUGGAUAAAGAAGGCCGAAAUCAUCGUCGAGCUGUACGUGUGCUGAAAGCGGAGGUGUCGUCCGUUCGGCACUAGAUCGGAGUGGAUCGUGGGACGGAUCGCGGGACGGUUCGUGGGACGGUUCGUGGGGCGGAUCAAGGGACGUGAGGACGUUCCACUACAUCAACCGCGUUUCUUAACGCUUCCUGCUGUGCGAUCUACAAGGGUAUGUAGAUCCAAAUCUCCUCUCGUAGAUGGACAUCACCAUGAUAGGUCUUCGUGCGCGUAGGAAAUUUUUUGUUUCCCUUGCGACAUUACCCAACAGUGGUAUCAUUAUCUAGGUUCAUGCGUAGAUGUAAUCUCGAGUAGAACACAAAAGGUUUUGUGGACGGUGAUGUUCGAUUUGCUGCCCUCCUUAGUCUUUUCUCAAUUCGGCGGUAUUGUUAGAUUGAAGCGGCCCGGACCGACAUUAUUCGUACGCUUACGAAAGACUGGUUUCAUCGCUUGACAUGCAACCUCGUUGCAUAAAGAUGACUGGCGGGUGUCGGUUUCUUCAACUUUAGUUGAAUUGGUUUUGACCGAGGCGGUCCUUGGAGAGGUUAAAUAGCAAUUUGCACAUCUCCGUUGUGGUAUUUGCGUAAGUAAGAUGCGAUCUACUAGAUACCCACUGCAACCACGUAAAACAUGCAACAACAAUUAGAGGACGUCUAACUUAUUUUUGCAGGGUAUGCUUGUGAUAUGAUAUGGCCAAUGACCUGAUGUGAUAUAUUGGAUGUAUGAGAUGAUCAUAUUGUAAUAGUUAAUAUCGACUUGCACGUCGAUGGUACGGCAACCGGUAGGAGCCAUAGGGUUGUCUUUAAACUAACGUUUGUGCUUGCAGAUGCGUUUACUAUAUUGCUAGGACGUAGCUUUAGUAGUAAUAGCAUGAGUAGCACGACAACCCCGAUGGCGACACAUUGAUGGAGAUCAUGAUGAUGGAGAUCAUGAUGAUGGAGAUCAUGGUGUGGCGCCGGUGACAAGAAGAUCGUGUCGGUGCUUUGGUGAUGGAGAUCAAGAAGCACAUGAUGAUGGCCAUAUCAUGUCACUUAUGAAUUGCAUGUGAUGUUAAUCCUUUUAUGCACCUUAUUUUGCUUAGAACGACGGUAGCAUUAUGAGGUGAUCUCUCACUAAAAUUUCAAAAUGAAAUUGUGUUCUCCUCGACUGUGCACCGUUGCUACAGUUCGUCGUUUUGAGACACCACGUGAUGAUCGGGUGUGAUAGACUCAACGUUCACAUACAACGGGUGCAAAACAGUUGCACACGCGGAACACUCGGGUUAAGCUUGAUGAGCCUAGCAUGUGCAGACAUGGCCACGGAACACAUGAGACCGAAAGGUCGAGCAUGAAUCAUAUAGUUGAUAUGAUUAGCAUAGGGAUGCUUACCAAUGAAACUAUCCUUAACUCACGUGAUGAUCGGACUUGAGCUAGUGAAAUUGGAUCAUGUACCACUCAAAUGACUAGAGAGAUGUACUUUUUGAGUGGGAGUUUAGCAAGUAAUUUGAUUAGUUAAACUCUAAUUAUCUUGAACAUAGUCUAAGUCCACUUUGAUUAUAUUUGUGUUGUAGAUCAAUGGCUCACGCGACAGUCACCCUGAAUUUUAAUACGUUCCUAGAGAAAGCUAAGUUGAAAGAUGAUGGAAGCAACUUUGUAGACUGGGCUCGUAAUCUUAAGUUGCUCCUGCAAGCUGGGAAGAAGGAUUAUGUCCUUAAUGCUGCGCUAGGAGAUGAACCACCCGGCGGGCUGACCAAGAUGCUAAGCACGCUUGGUUAGCACACAAGGAGGACUACUCAGUAGUUCAAUGUGCAGUCUUGUAUGGCUUAGAACCGGGACUUCAAUGUCGCUUUGAGCAUCAUGGAGCAUAUGAGAUGUUCCAGGAGUUGAAGUUUAUCUUUCAGAAGAAUGCCCGGAUCGAGAGGUAUGAGACCUCUGAUAAAUUCUAUGCUUGCAAAAUGGAGGAGAAUUCGUUUGUCACUGAACAUGUGCUCAAAAUGUCUGGGUACUCAAACCGUCUAGUUGAGCUGGGGAUUGAACUCCUGCAAGAGGCUAUCACUGACAGAAUUCUUCAAUCACCGCCACCAAGCUAUAAGAGCUUUGUGUUGAACUAUAACAUGCAAGGGAUGAGCAAGUCACCCGGCGAGUUAUUCGCGAUGCUGAAAGUCGCAGAGUCAGAACUCCGUAAAGAGCAUCAAGUGUUGAUGGUGAAUAAGACCACUAGUUUCAAGAGAAACGACAAAGGAAAGAAGGGUAAUUCAAAGAAGAGCGGCAAGCCUGUUGCCAAUCCGACGAAGAAGCCCAAAGUUGGACCUAAGCCUGAAACGGAGUGCUAUUAUUGCAAGGGUAUGGGUCACAGGAAGCGCAACUGCCCCAAGUAUCUGGCUGAUAAGAAGGCGGCCAAGGAAAAAUCAGGUAUAUUCGAUAUACAUGUUAUUGAUGUGUACUUAACCAGCUCUCGAAGUAGUGCCUGGGUAUUCGAUACCGGUUCUGUUGCUCAUAUUUGCAACUCAAAACAGGAACUGUGGAAUAAGCGAAGGCUGGCGAAGGAUGAAGUGACGAUGCGCGUGGGAAAUGGUUCCAAGGUUGAUGCAAUCGCCGUCGGCACAGUUUCACUUUAGUUAUCAUGACGAUUAGUUAUGAACUUAAAUAAAUGUUAUUUAGUGCCUGCGUUAAGCAUGAACAUUAUAUCUGGAUUUUGUUUAUUGCGAGACAGUUAUUCGUUUAAGUCAGAGAAUAAUGGCUCUUCUAUUUCUAUGAGUAAUAUCUUUUAUGGUCAUGCACCCAAUGUGAGAGGAUUGUUCAUAUUGAAUCUUGAUAGUGAUAAUACACAUAUACAUAACAUUGAGACCAAAAGAGUUAGAGUUAACAAUGAUAGCGCCAUGUUUUUAUGGCACUGCCGCUUAGGUCAUAUUGGUGUAAAGCACAUGAAGAAACUCCAUACUGAUGGACUUUUGGAGUCACUUGACUUUGAUUCUCUUGACACGUGCGAACCGUGCCUCAUGGGCAAGAUGACUAAGACUCCGUUCUCUUGAACAAUGGAGCGUGCAAGUGACUUGUUGGAAAUCAUACAUACCGAUGUGUGUGGUCCGAUGAGUGUGGAGGCACGCGGCGGAUAUCAUUAUUUUCUCACCUUCACUGACGAUUUCAGUAGAUAUGGUUAUGUCUACUUGAUCAAGCACAAGUCUGAGACGUUUGAAAAGUUCAAACAAUUUCAGAGUGAUGUCGAAAAUCAUCGUAACAAAAAGAUCAAGUUCCUACGGUCUGAUCGUGGGGGUGAAUAUCUCAGUUUCGAGUUUGGUGCUCACUUAAGACAAUGUGGAAUUGUUUCACAGUUGACACCGCCUGGAACACCACAGCGUAAUCGUGUGUCCGAACGUCAUAAUCGUACUUUAUUAGAGAUGGUGCGAUCUAUGAUGUCUCUUACCGAUUUGCCGUUAUCAUUUUGAGGUUAUGCAUUAGAAACAGCUGCAUUCACUUUAAAUAGGGCACCAUCAAAAUCCGUUGAGACGACACCAUGCGAACUGUGGUAUGGCAAAAGACCAAAGUUGUCGUUUCUUAAAGUUUGGGGAUGUGAUGCUUAUGUCAAAAAGCUUCGGCCUGAAAAGCUGGAACCCAAAGCGGAAAAGUGCGUCUUCAUAGGUUACCCAAAGGAGGCAGUUGGGUGUACCUUCUAUCUCAAAUCCGAGGGCAAAGUGUUUCUUGCUAAAAAUGAAGCUUUUCUUGAGAAGGAGUUUCUCUCGAAAGAAUUGAGUGGGAGGAAGAUAGAACUUGAUGAGGUUGUCGAACCUCUAAAUCCUCUUGAUGGUGGCGCAGGGCAAGGGGAAACCCCUAUUGCUGCGGCACCGAUUGAGGAACAAGUUGAUGAUGAUGAUCAUGAAACUUCGGAUCAAGUUACUGUCGGACCUCGCAGGUCGACAAGAUCACAUACUGCUCCCGAGUGGUACGGUAAUCCUGUCUUGACGAUUAUGUUGUUGGACAACAAUGAACCUGCAAAUUAUGAAGAAGCAAUGGUGGGCCCGGAUUCCAACAAAUGGCUGGAGGCCAUGAAGUACGAGAUAGGAUCCAUGUACGAGAACAAAUUUUGUACUUUAGAAGUACUACCUGAAGGCCGCAAGGCUAUUCAAAACAAAUGGAUCUAUAAGAAGAAGACAAACGCAGACGGUAAUGUGACCGUUUAUGAAGCUCGACUUGUGCCAAAGGGUUUUUCACAAGUUCAAGGAAUUGACUACGAUGAGACUUUCUCUCCGGUAGUGAUGCUUAAGUCUGUCCGAAUCAUUAUAGCAAUAACUGCCUUUUACCAUUAUGAAAUCUGGCAGAUGGAUGUCAAAACAGCGUUCCUUAACAGUUGUAUAUGGUGCAACCUGAAGGUUUUGUCGAUCCUAAGAAUGCUGACAAAGUGUGCAAGCUCCAACGAUCCAUUUAUGGACUGGUGCAAGCAUCUCGGAGUUGGAAUAAGCUUUUUGAUCAGGUGAUCAAAGCAUUUGGGUUUAUACAAGUGGUUGGAGAAUCUUGUAUUUACAAGAAAGUGAGUGGGAGCUCUGUGGCGUUUCUCAUAUUAUAUGUGGACGACAUAUUGCUGAUUGGAAACAACGUGGAGCUUUUGGAGAGCAUAAAAGGUUACUUGAAUAAAAGUUUCUGUAUGAGGGACCUAGGAGAAGCUUCUUACAUUCUAGGCAUUAAGAUCUAUAGGGAUAGAUCGAAACGCCUGAUAGGAAUUUCACCAAGCACAUACCUUGAUAAAGUUUUGAAGAAGUUCAAAAUGGAUCAGUCCAAGAAAGGGUUCUUGCAAGUGUUACAAGGUAUAAAAUUGAGUAAGACUCAGUGCCCAGCAACUGCGGAAGAUAGAAAUACAAUGAGUUCCGUCCCCUACGCUUCAGCCGUAGGUUCUAUCAUGUAUGCAAUGUUGUGCACUAGACCAGACGUCAGCUUGGCCAUAAGUAUGGCAGGCAGGUUUCAGAGUAAUCUAGGAGUGGAUCACUGGACGACGGUCAAGAAUAUUCUGAAGUACCUGAAAAGGACUAAGGAAAUGUUUCUCGUGUAUGGAGGUGACAAGGAGCUCGUCGUAAAAGGUUACGUCGACGCAAGUUUUGACACCGAUCCGGAUAACUCUAAGUCUCAAACCGGAUACGUAUUUAUUCUUAAUGGGGGUGCGGUAAGCUGGUGCAGUUCCAAGCAAAGCGUCGUAGCAGAUUCUACAUGUGAAGCGGAGUACAUGGCUGCCUCUGAGGCGACAAAGGAGGGUGUCUGGAUGAAGCAGUUCAUGACAGAUCUUGGAGUUGUGCCGAGCGCACUAGAUCCAUUAACUCUGUUAUGUGACAACACUAGUGCCAUUGCCUUAGCAAAGGAACCAAGGUUUCACAAAAAGACCAGACACAUCAAACGACGCUUCAACCUCAUCCGCAACUACGUCGAGUUAGAGGACGUGAAUAUUUGCAAAGUGCACACGGAUCUGAAUGUAGCAGACCCGCUGACUAAACCUCUUCCACGGGCAAAACAUGAUCAACACCAGAACUGUAUGGGUGUUCAGUUUGUUACAAUGUAAAUCGCAUGGCGAUGUGAGGACUAGAUUAUUUACUCUAGUGCAAGUGGGAGACUGUUGGAAAUAUUCCCUAGAGGCAGUGAUAAAUAGUUAUUAUUAUAUUUCCUGUUUAAAAAUAAUCGUUUAUUAUCCAUGCUAUAAUUGUAUUGAAUGAAAACAUAGAUACAUGUGUGGAUAAAUAGACAUAACAAUGUCCCUAGCAAGCCUCUAGUUGGCUGGCCAGUUGAUAAAGGAUAUUCAAGGUUUUCUGACUAUGUGAAAAGUGUUGUUGCUUGAUAACUGGAUCACAUCAUUAGGAGAAUCAUGUGAUGGACUAGACCCAAACUAUGAACAUAGCAUAUUGAUCGUGUCAUUUUAUUGCUAUUGUUUUCUGCGUGUCAAGUAUUUGUUCCUAUGACCAUGAGAUCAUAUAACCCACUGGCACCGGAGGGAUACCUUGUGUGUAUCAAACGUCACAACGUAACUGGGUGACUAUAAAGGUGCUCUACAGGUAUUUUCGAAGGUGUCCGUUGGGUUAGUAUGGAUCAAGANAUACCGAAGGACAAAGGGAAUGACAUACGGGAUUGCCUGAAUCCUUGACACUAAGAUUCAACCGAUAAGUUAUUCGGAGAAUAUGUAGGAUCCAAUAUGGGCAUCCAGGUCCCGCUAUUGGAUAUUGACCGAGGAGUACCUUGGGGCAUGUGGGCAUAGUUCUCGAACCCGCAGGGUCUGCACACUUAAGGUUCGGCGAUGUUUUAGUAUAGUUGAGUUAUAUGUGUGGUUACCGAAUGUUGUUCGGAGUCCCGGAUGAGAUCACGGACGUCACGACGGUUUCCGGAAUGGUCCGGAGACAAAUAUUGAUAUAUAGGAUGACCUCAUUUGAUUGCUGGAAGGUUUUCCGGCAUUACCGGGAAUGUACCGGGAGUGACGAAUGGGUUCCGGAUGUUCACCGGGAGGGGGCGAACCCACCCGGGGAAGCCCAUAGGCCCUAGGGGUGGCGCACCAGCCCUUGGUGGGCUGGUGGGACAACCCAAUAAGGCCUAUGCGCAAGGGAUAAGAAAACCAAAGAAAAAAAAAAAAAAAGAGGUGGGAAGGAAGGGAAGGACUCCACCUUCCAAUCCUAGUUGGACUAGGAUUGGAGGUGGACUCCUCCACCUCCUUGGCCGGCGCACCCUUCCCCUCCUCCUAUAUAUAGUGGAGUUUUAGGGCUGAUUUGAGACAAGUUUUGCCACGACAGCCCGACCACAAACACCACGGUUUUUCCUCUAGAUCGUAUUUCUACGGAGCUCGGGCGGAGCCGUGCAGGAGUAGAUUCUUCACCACCACCGGAGCGCCGUCACGUUGCCAGAGAACUCAUCUACUUCUCUGUCUUUCUUGCUGGAUCAAGAAGGCCAAGAUCAUCAUCGAGCUGUACGUGUGCUGAACGCGGAGGUGCCGUCCGUUCGGCACUAGAUCGGAGCGGGUCGUGGGAUGGAUCGCGGGACGGUUCGCGGGGCGGAUCGAGUGACGUGAGGACGUUCCACUACAUCAACUGCGUUUCUUAACGCUUCCGGCUAUGCGAUCUACAAGGGUAUGUAGAUCUAAAUCUCCUCUCGUAGAUGGACAUCACCAUGAUAGGUCUUCGUGCGCGUAGGAAAUUUUUUCUUUGCCUGGCGACGUUACCCAACAACAUACAAAGAGCACACGUAGCGUGUAAACAUCAUAAGCGGGUGAAGAACAAGGUGACUGAAGAAUUUGAGAUGCGGAAAUUGAGAAAGACUUGAGUCAAAGUCUUCAGACAGUAACGAUCAUUUUCAUCGACGAGUACUUGAGGAAAUAGAUGAGUUGAGAAAAUAGAACCAGGAGCUCGAUGAAGACAAUGAUUUGAUGACCCAGUUCCAACUAUUGUGAUAGUCAUAUGUGUGGUUUGGAGCGGCUUGAUAUUUAAACCAAAGGACAUACAGUCCCAUGACACACAUCCCUUAACGUAUUCUCCUUGAGCUAUGAUUACAUCGACCUCGCCCAACAUGCGUGCUAAGUCUUCAGGAAAGACUUCCAAACCCUCACAAACUCGGUCCUCGGGCAAUCGAUAACUUGUUGUUGGAUGCUCUAGACCAUGGAUGCCUAACCAUCUCGAAGAUGCACAGUCUUCAAAGGUAACAAGUGUAGGUUCCACACAUCAACAAUCUCUUUAGUCAGGGCCGUAGAGGGGCCUGUGCGAGCUGUGCGCUCGCACAGGGCCCCCAAAAUUCUGGGGGGCCCAACUAGGGUCCAUAUGUAUAUGUAUAUAGUCUGAUAAAAAUCAGUUAUAGGCCAAAUAAAUAUACAAGUUCGCAAGAGUUCGCGGCCUGGAGGCAGCAGGAUCCGCUCGAGGCCUUCUUGGGCCUGCUCCGCUCAAAGCCUUUGGAAUUGCUGGGUACUAGCAUGAAAAAUUGCACGAAUGAGGUGGAGGUGUAUCGAUGUACUAGCAAACGUAUACGAAACGAAAGUCCCAACGCACUACGUCCGUAACCUCCGGCACCAUUCCUGUUCCUUCAUACUGAAAUAGCGGUGGCGAUCGAGAUCGCUUUGUAGGUUGACGGGUGCAGCGAGGCACCGAGUAGAAGCGGACAUCGGACGCCGCUAGUAGGCCGCCGCAGAAGCGCCCAAUGGGAACAAAAGUUGUGUGGUGCCCUCCCUACGCUCUUCCCCUUUUCUCUAAUUUUGAUACAAAUUAAAAAGUUGUAUUCAUAUUUUACUAAUAUGUUUUCGGAAUGAUUUUUUGUCUAGUCACCGAAGUUCAGUAGUUGUCGCAGAUUCAAGAAUUUUUGUAGUUACAUGUACUAUCGUCCAAUUCCAAAUCAAGGUUUUAUCUGAUUAUGAGUUUCUUGAACUAUCUAUACAAGUCAGAAGCUUAUAUUUCAUGACACAAUAAAGGCUCAAUAGCUUGGCGACAAUAGCACUUAAAAAUGAUGUCUUGGAGAAGAUUAACUAUAAAGAUAUAAUUGAAGAUUUCAUUUCAAGGAACACAAGACGGAUGACACUUUUCAAUAAAGCAUGAGGUCAGUUUAUUGGUUUAAGUACUUUGCAUUGAUACUUGAGAAUUUUCUAAGUAUUGUAUGAAAUAAUAAAAUUUUAAUUAUAUAAUUAGGUGAUCAUGCUAGCGUUAUUGUAUGUUUUUUCUAAAUGUUAGGGCUCCAUUUUGGUUUUCGCACCGGGGCCCCGAAUUUCUGGAGACGGCCCUGUCUUUAGUGAUGUUGAAUCACUUUGGGUUUUGGUUUGGGUUUGGGUGUUUGGGUUUUUCCUCGUUGAUGAUUUUCUCUCAAAGUCCUCGGAGGAUGGGAUUCUUUCAAAUGACAAGUGUCAAAUUAUCUCUCGGAGCAGCCAACCAGCUAGUGGUUGUAGGGGGUGGCUAUUAAUAGCCAAGGAGCAAUCACGACAUGAUAUGACAUAAAUGCCCCCUAAUGAUAUGGCUGCUUUGUGGAUAAGGUUUUGGGGACAGCUUGCGCAAAGCACAACAACGAUUGGAUUUUUCAUACUAUGAAAAAUCCUCAGAUCUAUCAUGUUCCUCACUUGUAGGCAAUUCGUACUAGCGAAUCCUAAUUCCUCAGUCAGAACAAUUUCCCGAGAGACCAGAAGAACUCCAUCUCUGUUACUGGAGAAUUAGGAGAAUUUGACAGAACCGGAAGAGAUUUCCAAAGGCUUAACUCGAAGGAUUGGUUAUGUGUAGGCUUUGAGAUGAGCAUCACCUAAAAAAAUCCUUGGUAUUACCUCGACCCCCUUUAUCAGUACGAUGUUCCUAUGACUCAAGAGAAAGGAAAUGAAACUACAAAAACAAAUGUCUUCACGCUUCAAAGUCCUUGCAUCAAUAUCUUUGAGGACACACCAAUUUCCUCACUUCCAAAAUCUUUAGGAAAGUAUCAAAGUCUUCGGUUGAAGACAUUUAUUUUUAGGGGUCGACUUUAUUCGAAUAUAUCAAGAUCCUCAGCAACUUAUAGAGCCUGUGUACACCCAAAAAGAUAUUAGUCCCUUAACCCAUAAGUCUUCAAUACACCAAAAUCACUAAGGGGCACUAGAUGCACUUACAAUCUCCUCCGUUUUGGUGAUUUAUGAGGUCAAGUUUUCAACGGGGAUAAAUAUAUGAAGUGUAAGUACUCAGUUUAAGGAAUUUGAUUGCAAGAUAUAGAGAAACUCCCCUUGAAGAUGUGCAUAUUUGAGAAAUUGCUUUGGACUGCAAAUGGACAUUGUAGGUUAAUACCAUGGAGAUCUCCCCCUAUAUCUUGUAAUCCAUACACACAUUUAAUAUAUUUCACGAGGAAAUUGAAAUGCAUGAUGGAAAGUUGUGUAUGAUGAAAUUCAGCAUGUGUGCAUUAAUCAUCAUGAGGAAUAAGCAUGCGAGGAAAGUAGUUCAAAAGUGCGAGACCACCACCGAACUUAAGUUUAUAACUCAUACAGCCAAACACUUCAGAUGAACGAGAGUUGCAACUUAACAAAAAAACACAUCCCAUAUAUGUAGAACCGCUUGUAGACUAACUCAAAUUUCUCCCCCUUUGUAAUGAAAUGACGAAAUUAAGGACUAGCGCCCUUGAAGAAAAUCAUCUUGAUGGUGGUGUAGGAGCGCUAGUGUUGUUGGAGUCAUUUGUCAAUGAAGGGCCUGCAGCAAUGUCAUCAAGAUCCUCAGCUUCAUCCGUCGAGUGCGAUGAGGAAAAUGAGGUGGUCACUAAUAGAGGAACUUGAACUUUCUUGAAUUUGUUCUUGGGCGGAAAAGACCAAUCAAAGUCCUGCUGAAAUUCCAUCUCUUUAAGUUCUUCACGAGUCUUGAGGUGAGACAGAAUGGCCCAUGUGUGAUCGAAGAUUUCAUGCAGAUAAUAGUGACUCUUCCUCACACAAUUAUGCAUGACAGUCAGGUCGCGAAUAAUUGCAUCAAACUAACCUUUCACCCACUUGUGAUUGCGAUCGACCUUCUGAUGAAGACUUAGAAGAAGCUCUUGAUCAGUCAUCACUCGUGGGGUAGAUUCUCGAGGAACUUGAGCUGAGGCUUUUGUAGCAGAAUCUUGCGAUGUCGUGUCAUCAUUGGUGCAAUAUGAUGCAGCUUGGUGAAAUUGUCUAUCAAGGGGGCGAGAUCCUUCAUCAAUGAAAUUUUGCCCUUACCUUCCAUUAGGGCGAAGGUUGUCUUGAUGAGUUUGAGCGGGGGCAUGAAACUGAAGUGAUUUUGAAAAUCCGCUUUCUAAGGGAUUGAUGAUCUUGCCAUGAUCAAUUUCAUGAUUCAUGGAGCAUAUGAAUUCAAUUCAAACGGUGAACGAGCAAUGUUGGGCAAAGUCCUCAUGAAGAAAUCGUGAAGGUUGAUGAAUCCCAUGAAUGAUGUUGAACACUAAAUUCUUCACGAUUCCCACCACAUCUUAUUCUUCACAAUUAUGGCCCUUGAUAGGACUGGGGGUUUUGGUCAAGAUGCGGUAGACCGUUCUUGGAACAUAGAGCUAGUCCUUCAUGAGGAAUGUGGUCCUCGGAGGUUUGCUUGGUGCCAAAGGCUUCAUCAGCACCUGCAUCACAUGAUUUGGCAGUUCAAGUUCACCAUAGAUGCAUCUUGCCCAUUUUGAGGGAAUACCAACUCGGACAACGGAAAUCAAUUGAGUUGCUAGAGCAGUGUUGUGUGUGUCUUCGGUCAUCUAGUCGAGUAUCCAUGUGUUGAUAUCCUGUGCUUCACCGGAGAUGUGCAGAGUUGCUUAGAAUUUAAGAAUUAGCUCUCCAUUCCAGUCACAGAUAUCAACGCAGAACGGCAAGAGUCUAGCUUCAUGAAGAACAUUGAGGACUGGUAUGAAGCAUGGAAUGAACUCCAUAUCUGCAUGAUGAAUUUGAUGGUGCUCGAAGAGUUUGUUCUUCUCAAAGAGCACAACACCGUAAAAGUUGAUUUGUGUUGAAGUCUAGAACCUCUUACAGUGAUGGGGAUUUGCACCCGUGAAGAAAUGAUGUUCAUCAUAAAAAUUCUCCUUGAGGAGUUUGGGUCACUUUGUACCCUUGUAUGGCUAAAGUGGCUUGGGCUGAAGAUUUGGCUUGUAUCUCCCAACAAGUCCUCUUGGCACGCUCUCUGUUUGAGGAUCUUCUGCCACAACAACCGCUGACUGAGGAUUUUGAACAAUGGGCUCAUCAGUAGUAGUCUUAGUGUUUCUGAUGUCAACCUCAGGUUCCUCAACUAUGGGUAGAGGAAUUUGAGGUGCAGUUUCUUCAGCCACUAGUUCUUCAGUUUAAGGAAUAUGCAGAGCAGAUUCAUCAGCUACAUUAUCCUUUGCAGUGGACUGAGGAGCAUGAGCAGCAAUAUUUGCAGCCACGUAUUCUGUUGGUUGAGCAGUUUCUUCAAAAGAUUCUUCAACUCAUGCAGCUCGUAUUUCCUAUGGAAUAGAUUGCAUCGGAGUAGGACAUCUAUUAGACCCUCUAUGAAUUUCUUCAGUUACAGCAGGGGACUGAGGAAUUUUAUGGAGUGGAGUGACCAGUGGCGAAUUUGGGUGAGAUGUUUCCCGAUAUUCAUCACUUAUCACCGGGGUGGUGCAGCUAAUGUCCACAUCUUCUUCAAUUUCUUCAACUCCCUCCUCUUCAGCAGAUAACUGAGGCGGGGGUGAUAAUGCUUGAGGGGUUGAAGUGUUCUGGUCCACUUAAAUUACUUCAUCAAUCGGCUCUGUGGAAGGAGCACGUCAAUUUUCUUCAUCCAUUUUAGGAAUGACAUAUUCUUCACCAAACGGUACCAUUUCAUAAGAGGGUACCAUAGUGAUGGGAGUCGCAUCAAUUGGUUCACUUGACGAACUAGGCAAAAUCCUCAAGUGUUUGACCUUUGAGGAUUCUGUGAUCAUUGAUGCUUUCCACUUCUGAGCGGCUUCUUUUUCGGCAGCUUUUGUUUUCUUUGCUUCUGAUGCAGAAAGAAGUGUCAACUUCUUCACCCUUGAAGAUUUUCCAGUUGGUGCAUUGGGUGAUAUUGAUGCGGAUUCUUCAGGCACGACUGAUGCAAUCUUCGUGACAAGAGCAUUUUCCUCGGGCGCAGCAAUUUCUUCAGCUGGCCUGACAGUUUCUUCACGAGCUGCAACCCUCGUGUUGUGUUGAGUGAUGGCCUUGGUCGCUAGGUUGGCGAAAUAGACCUUGGCACAUUUCCAAUCUGCAUGGUAUUGACUGUAUUCAUCACUCAGGUUUUUGAUUUCAGUCUGUGCACUAAUGAGUUAUUCAGCAAUCAAGGAGAGCACGUUAUUCUUUAGAAAUCACUCUUUCUUGGUAUGGUCUUGUCUGGCCCUUUUGGCCUUCUCAAACUUCCAUUUUUCUUCGGCGAUGAAUGCCAUCAGCACAUGGCUUGGCCUAGGUGGAAAUUUCAGAUCAUCAAUUGGUGUUUGAGGAUUUUGAUACCAAAAUAUCAAUGAAGUCUUGUUGGGGAACAUAGCACGGGAAACAAAAUUUUCCUAUGCACAAGCAAUACCUAUCCAUGGUGAUGAUCAUCUACGAGAGGGGAGAGUGAAUCUACAUACCCUUGUAGAUCGCUAAGCAGAAUCAUAUAUAACGCGGUUGUUGUAGUGGAACAUCUUCACGAUCCAAAUCGCAGCCCGUCCCACGAUCUCAUCACGAUCCGUCCCGCGGUCCCAUCACGAUCCAUCCCGAUCUAGUGCCGAACGGACGGCACCUCCGCGUUCACCACACGUACAACUCGAUGAAGAUCCCCGCCUUCUUGAUCCAGCAAGAGAGGCAGAGAGGUAGCUGAGUUCUCCAGAACGGCGGCAUGGCGGUGGUGGUGGUGUAUCUAUUCCAGCAGGGCUUCGCCUAAGCACCACUGAAACUAGACUAGAGGAGAAACAGAUCUAGAGAGAGGGCAGCACAUGGCUGUUUUUCUGUGUCUCAAAAACCCUCAAUACCUCUAGUAUAUAUAGGAGGGAGGGAGGGGAGGAGGCAGCAUCAAACCCUCAAGGUUUGGCCUAAAUUGGAGGUGAAGGAGUCCUAAUCCAAUCCUACUAGGAGUAGGAUCCUCCUCUCCACUUGGAAACCCUUUCCACCUUUUCCACCUUUGGGUUUUUUUGCCUCUCAAAUCUCAUGGGCCUUAAUGGGAGCUUAUAUCAGCCCACUAGGGGCUGGUUUGUAUCAUCCGAUAGCCCAUAAAGCCCCUCGGGGCACGACACCCCUCCCGAUGGUCCCCGGUACCCUCCCGGCACUUCUCGUACACUGCCGAUGAGCCCGAAACUUUUCCAGUGACUAAAACAGGACUUCCUAUAUAUCAAUCUUUACCUCCAGACCAUUUCGGAGCUCCUCGUGACAUCCGAGAUCUCAUCUGGGACUCCGAACAAAUUUCGAUUACCAACACAUAUAACUCAAUUAUACCGAAACGUCACCGAACCUUAAGUGUGCAGACCGUGCGGGUUCAACAACUAUGCAGACAUGUCUGAGACACCUCUACGGUCAAUAAUCAAUAGCGGGACCUAUGCCCAUAUUGUCUCCUACAUGUUCUAUGAAGAUCUUUAUCGGUUGAACCUCUAUGUCAAGGAUCCAGUUAAUCCCGUAUGAUGUUCCCUUUGUCCUUUGGUAUGUUACUUGCCCGAUAUUCGAUCGUCGGUAUCUCUGUACCUAGUUCAAUCUCAUUAUCGGCAAGUCUCUUUAUUUGUUCCGUAAUACGAAAUCUCGUGGCUAACUCCUUAGUCACAUUGCUUGCAAGGUUUAUUGUGAUGUUGUAUUACUUAGUGGGCUCCGAGAUACCUCUCCGUCAUACGGAGUGACAAAUCCCAAUCUCGAUUCACGCCAACCCAACAGACACCUUCGGAGAUACCUGUAGAGCACCUUUAUAGUCACCCAGUUACGUUGCGACGUUUGAUACACACAAGGUAUUCCUUCGGUGUUCGGGAGUUGCAUGAUCUCAUGUUCAUCGGAACAUAUAGAUUGACAUGCAGAUAACAGUAGCAUUAAACUGACACGAUCAUAUGCUACAUUUAUAGCUUGGUGCUUGUCCUUCACAUCAUUCUCCUAAUGAUGUGAUCCUAUUAUCAAGUGACAUCACUUGUCUAUGUCUAGGAAACCUUAACCAUCUUUAAUCAACGAGCUUGUCAACUAGAGGCUUACUAGGGACAGUGUUUUGCCUAUGUAUCCACAGAUGUAUUUGAGUUUCCAAUCAAUACAAUUAUAGCAUAGAUAAUAAACUAUUAUCAUGAACAAGGAAAUAUAAUAAUAACCAAUUUAUUAUUGCAUCUAGGGCAUAUUUCCAACACUCUCCCACUUGCACUAGAGUCUAUAAUCUAGUUCACAUCACUAUGUGAUUUUGAUGAAUCUAACACCCAUACAGUUCUGGGUUUGAUCAUGUCUUUCUUGUGAGAGAGGUUUUAGUCAGCGGGUCUGAACCUUUUAGAUCCGCGUGUGUUUUACAAAUCUCUAUGUCAUCCUAUAGAUGUUGCUACCAUGCGCCAUUUGGAACUAUUCCAAAUGACCGCUCCACUAUACGAAUCCGGUUUACUACUCAGAGUCAUCCAUAUUAGUGUCAAAGCUUGCGUCGACGUAACCCUUGACGACAAACUCUUUCAUCACCUCCAUAAUCGAGAAAAAUUCCUUAGUCCACUAGUUACUAAGGAUAAUUUUGACCGUUGUUCGGUGAUUCAAUCCUGGACCACUCUUUGUAUCCCUUUAUAGACUCAUGGCAAGGCACACAUCAGGUGCGGUACACAACAUGACAUACUUUAGAGCCUACGGUUAAGGCAUAGGGGACGGCCUUCGUCCUUUCUCUUUCUUCUGUCGUGGUCGAUCUUUGAGUCUUACUCAAAUUCACACCUUACAACAUAGCCAAAAACUCCUUCUUUGCUGAUCUAUUUUGAACUCCUUCAAAAACUUCUGAGGGCAUGCAUUUCGUUAAAAUUUCUAUUAAGCGCUUUGAUCCAUCCUCAUAGAUCUUGAUGCUCAAUGUUCAAGUAGCUUAAUCUAGGUUUUCCUUUGAAAACACCUUUCAAACAAACCCUUUAUGCUUUCCAGAAAUUCUACAUUAUUUCCUAUCAACAAUAUGUCUACCACAUAUACUCAUCAGAAAUUCUAUAGUGCUCCCACUCACUUCUUUGGAAAUACAAGUUUCUCACAAACCUUGUAUAAACCCAAAAACUUUGAUCAUCUCAUCAAAGCGUUUAUUCCAACUCCGAAAUGCUUGCUCCAGACCAUGGAAGGAUCGCUGGAGCUUGCAUACUUGUUAGCAUCCUUAGGAUCGACAAAACCUUCUAGUUGUAUCACAUACAACCUUUCCUCAAGGAAACUGUCAAGGAACCAAUGUUUUGACAUCAUGUCUGCAAUAUUUCAUAAAUAAUGCAGUAGCUGCUAACAUAGUUCCAACAGACCUUUAGCAUCGCUACGAGUGAGAAACUCUCAUCAUAGUCAACUCUUUGAACUUGUCGGAAACAUCUUUGCGACAAGUCGAGCUUUCUUAAUGGUGACUUUUCACCAUCAUCGUCUGUCUUCCUUUUAAAGAUUCAUCUAUACAUAACAACCUCACGACCAUCAAGUAGUUCUUCCGAAGUCUACAGUUUGUUUUCAUACAUGGAUCCUACCUCGAAUUUCAUGGCGUCCAGCUAUUCGUUGGAAUCCAGUCCCACCAUCGCUUCUCCAUAGCUCGUAGGUUCAUUGUUGUCCAACAACAAGACCUCCAAGACAGGGUUAUCAUACCAUUCUGGAGCAGUACGUGACCUUGUUGACCUACGAGUUUUGUAGUAACUUGAUCCAAAGCUUCAUGAUCACUAACAUUAGCUUCCACUUCAAUUGGCAUAGGCGCCACAGGAACAACUUCAUGCUCCCUGCUACACUCUGGUUGAAGUGACGGUUCAAUAACCUCAUCAAGUUUCCACCAUCCUCCCACUCAAUUCUUUUGAGAGAAACAUUUUAUCGAGAAAGGACCCAUUUCUAGGAACAAACACUUUGCUUCGGGAUCUGAGAUAGGAGGUAUACCCAACUGUUUUUGGUGUCCUAUGAAGAUGCAUUUGUCCCCUUUGGGUUCGAGCUUAUUACGCUGAAAUUUUUUCACAUAAGCAUCGCAGCCCCAAACCAUUAAGAAAUGACAGCUUAUGUUUCUCCAAACCAUAGUUCAUACGGUGUCAUCUCAAUGGAAUUACGUGGUGCCAUGCUUAAAGUGAAUGCGGUUGUCUCUAAUGCCUAACCCAAAAUGAUAGUGGUAUUUCGAUAAGAGACAUCAUAGUAUGCGCUAUAUCCAAUAGGACGCGGCUAUGACGUUCGGACACACCAUCACACUAUGGUGCUCCAGGUGACAUGAGUUGCAAAACAAUUUCCACAUUGUCUUAGUUGUAUACCAAACUCGCAACUCAGAUAUUCAUCUCUAUGAUCAUAUCGUAGACAUUUUUAUCCUCUUGUCACGGCGAUCUUCACUCUGAAAUAGCUUGAACUUUUCAAUAUCUCAGACUUCUGAUUCAUCAAGCAAAUACUCUUGUAUCUACUCAAAUCGUCAGGGAAGUAAGAACAUAACGAUAUCCACUGCGUGCCUCAGCACUCAUUAGAUUGCACACAUCAAAAUGUAUUACUUCCAACAAGUUACUUUCUUGUUCCAUCUCACUGGAAAAAACGAGGCCUUCAGUCAUCUUGCCCACGUGGUAUGAUUUGCAUGCCUCAAUUGAUUCAAAAUCAAGUGAGUCCAAACGAUCCAUUUGCAUGGAGUUCCUUCAUGCGUUUAUACCAAUAGGCAUGGUUUGCAUGUCUCAAACAUUUCAAAAAUGAGUGAGUACAAAGAUCCAUCAGCAUGGAGCUCCUUCAUGCAUUUUAUACCAAUAUAACUCAAGUGGCAGUGCCACAAGUAAAUGGUACUAUCAUUACUACUUUUUAUCUUUUGGCAUUAAUAUUAUGAACAUGUGUACCACUACGAUCGAGAUUCAAUAAACCAUUGAAGGUACUUAUUCAAGCAAAUAGAAUAACCAUUAUUCUCUUUAAAUGAAUAAUCGUAUUGCAAUAAACACGACCUAAUCAUAUUCAUGCUCAACGCAAACACCAAAUAACAAUUACUUAGGUCUAACACUAAUCCAGAUGGUAGAGGGAGUGUGCGAUGUUUUGAUCACAUCAACCUUGGAAACACUUCCAACACAUAUCGUCACCUCGCCUUUAGCUAGCCUCCAUUUAUUCCGUAGCUUUUAUUUCGAGUUACUAAACUUAGCAACCGAACCGGUAUCUAAUACCCUCGUGCUACUAGGAGUACUAGUAAAGUACACAUUAAUAUCAUGUAUAUCCAAUAUACUUCUGUCGUCUUUGCCAGCGUUCUCAUCUACCAAGUAUCUAGGAUAGUUCCUCUUCAGUGACUGUUCCCCUCAUUACAGAAGCACUUAGUCUCGGGUUUGGGUUCAACCUUGGGUCUCUUCACUAGAGAAGCAACUGGUUUGCCGUUUCAUGAAGUAUCCCUUCUUGCCCUUGCCCUUCUUCAAACUAGUGGUUUUACUAACCAUCAACAAUUGAUGAUCCUUUUUGAUUUCUACUUUCGCGGUGUCCAACAUUGACAAUAGCUCAAGGAUCAUCAUAUCUAUCCCUCAUAUGUUCUAGUUCAUCACGAAGCUCUAGUAGCUUGGUGGCAGUGACUUUGGAGAACCAUCACUAUCUUAUCUGGAAUAUUAACUCUCACUCGAUUCAAGCGAUUGUAGCACUCAGAUAAUCUGAGCACAUGCUCAAAGAUUGAGCUUUUCGCCCUUACUUUGUAGACAAAGAAUCUUGUCGGAGGUCUCAUACCUCUCAACAAGGGCACGAGCAUCAAAUCCCAAUUUCACCUCUUGGAACAUCUCAUAUGUUCCGUGACGUUCAAAACAUCUUUGGCGCCUAAAUUCUAAGCCGUUAAGCAUUACACACUGAAUUAUCACGUAGUCAUCAAAAAAUGUGUAUGUCAGAUGUUGGCAACAUCCACAGAUGACGCUUGAGGUUCAGCACACCGAGCGGUGCAUUAAGGACAUAAGCCUUCUGCACAGCAAUGAGGACAAUCCUCAGUUUAUGGACCCAGUCCGCAUAAUUGCUACUAUCAUCUUUCAACUAAAUUUUCUCUAGGAGCAUAUCAAAAAUAGUAGAGCUACAACGCAAGCUACAACAUAAUUUGCAAAUACCUUUUGACUAUGGUCAUGAUAAUUGAGUUUAGCUAAUCACAUUACUAACAACUCCCACUCAAAUAGACAUCCCUCUAGUCAUUCGAGUGGCGCAUGAUCCAAGUCCACUAACUCAAGUCCGAUUAUCACGCGAGUUGAGUAUAGUUUCAGUGGUGAACAUCUCGAUGUUGAUCAUGUCAACUAUAUGAUUCAUGCUCGACCUUUCGGUCCCUUGUGUUCCGAGGCCAUGUAUGUACAUGCUAGGCUCGUCAAGUUUAACCCGAGUGUUCCGCAUGUGCAACUGUUUUGCACUCGUUGUAUAUGAAUGUUGAGUCUAUCACACCUGAUCAUCACGUGGUGUCUCGAAACGACGAACUGUCGCAACCGUUCACAGUCGGGGAGAACGCAAUUUUAUCUUGAAAUUUUAGUGAGGGGUCACCUUAUAAUGCUACCAUCGUUCUAAGCAAAAUAAGGUGCAUAAAAGGAUUAACAUCACAUGCAAUUCAUAAGUGACAUGAUAUGGCCAUGAACUUGUGCUUCUUGAUCUCCAUCACCAAAGCACCGACAUGAUCUCCAUCGACACCGGCGCCACACCAUGAUCUCCGUCAUUGUGCCGCCAUCGAGGUUGUCGUGCUAUCUAUGCUAUUACUACUAAAGCUACUACCUAGAAAUAUAGUAAAUGCAUCUGCAAGCACAAACAUUAGUUUAAAGAAAACCCUAUGGCUCCUGCCGGCUGCCGUAGCAUCGACGUGCAAGUCGAUAUUUAACUAUUACAACAUGAUCAUCUCAUACAUCCAAUAUAUCACAUCAUGUAUUUGGCCAUAUCACAUCACAUGCAUACCCUGCAAAAACAAGUUAGACGUCCUCUAAUUUGUUGUUGCAUGUUUUACGUGGCUGUUAUGGGUAUCUAGUAUGAUCUCAUCUUACGUACGCAAAGCCACAAUGGUGAUAUGCAAAUUGCUAUUUAACCUUCUCCAAGGACCGCCUCGGUCAAAUCCGAUUCAACUAAAGUUGAAGAAAUAGACACCUGCCAGUCAUCAUUGUGCAACAAGUUGCAUGUCACUUGAUGAAACCGGUUUCUCGUAAGCGUACGAGUAAGGUUGGUCCGGGCCACUUCAAACCAACAAUACCACCAAAUCGAGAAAAGACUAAGGAGGGAAGCAAAUCGAACAUCAACGCCCAAAAACUCUUUUGUGUUCUGCUUGAGAUUUCAUCUACGGGUGAACCUAGCUCAUGAUGCUACUGUUGGGGAACGUAGCAUGGGAAACAAAAUUUUCCUACGCACACGCAAUACCUAUCCAUGGUGAUGAUCAUCUACGAGAGGGGAGAGUGAAUGUACAUACCCUUGUAGAUCGCUAAGCGGAAGCAUAUAUAAUGCAGUUGAUGUAGUGGAACAUCUUCACGAUCCAAAUCGCAGCCCGUCCCGCGAUCUCAUCACGAUCCGUCCCGCGAUCCCAUCACGAUCCAGCCCGAUCUAGUGCCGAACGGACGGCACCUCCGCGUUCAGCACACGUACAGCUUGAUGAAGAUCCCCGCCUUCUUGAUCUAGAAAGAGAGGCGGAGAGGUAGAUGAUUUUGCCAGCACGGCGGCAUGGUGGUGGUGGUGGUGGAUCUAUUACAGCAGGGCUUCGCCUAAGCACCACUAAAACUAGACUAGAGGAGAAAUAGAUCUAGAGAGAGAGGGCAGCACAUGGCUGUUUUUCUGUGUCUCAAAAACCCUCAAUACCUCUAUUAUAUAUAGGAGGGAGGGAGGGGAGGAGGAAGCCCCAAACCCUCAAGGUUUGGCCGAAAUUGGAGGUGGAGGAGUCCUAAUCCAAUCCUACUAGGAGUAGGAUUCCUCCUCUCCACUUGGAAACCCUUUCCACCUUUUCCACCUUUGGGUUUUUUGCCUCUCAAAUCUCAUGGGCCUCAGUCGGAGCUUAUGUCAGCCCACUAAGGGCUGGUUUGUAUCCUCCCACAGCCCAUAAGGACCCUAGGGGCGUGACACCCCUCCCGAUGGUCCCCGGUACCCUCCCGGCACUCUCGUUACACUACCGAUGAGCCCGAAACUUUUCCGGUGACCAAAACAUGACUUCCUAUAUAUCAAUCUUUACCUCCAAACCAUUCCGGACCUCCUCGUGUCGUCCAGGAUCUCAUCUGUGACUCCGAACAACUUUCGGUUACCAACACCUAUCGCUCAACUAUACCAAAACGUCAUCGAACCUUAAGUGUGCAGACCCUACGGGUUCGAGAACUAUGCAGACAUGACCGAGACACCUCUACGGUCAAUAACCAAUAGGGGGACCUGGAUGCCCAUAUUGUCUCCUACAUAUUCUACGAAGAUCUUUUUCGGUUGAACCACUAUGUCAAGGAUCCAGUUAAUCCCGUAUGAUGUUCCCUUUGUCCUACGGUAUGUUACUUGCCCGAGAUUCGAUCGUCGGUAUCUCUAUACCUAGUUCAAUCUCAUUAUUGGCAAGUCUCUUUACUCGUUCCGUAAUACAAGAUCUUGUGGCUAACUCCUUAGUCACAUUGCUUGCAAGGCUGUGUGUGAUGUUGUAUUACCGAGUGGGCCCCGAGAUACCUCUCCGUCAUGCAGAGUGACAAAUCCCAGUCUCGAUUCAUGCCAACCAAACAAACACCUUCGGAGAUACCUAUAGAGCACCUUUAUAGUCACCCAGUUACGUUGCGACGUUUGAUACACACAAGGUAUUCCUCCGGUGUCCGGGAGUUGCAUGAUCUCAUGGUCAUAGGAACAGAUACAUUGACAUGCAUAAAACAGUAGCAAUAAACUAACACGAGCAUAUGCUACGUUUAUAGUUAUGGUCUUGUCCAUGACAUCAUUCUCCUAAUGAUGUGAUCCCGUUAUCAAGUGACAACACUUGUCUAUGGCUAGGAAACCUUAACCAUCUUUGAUCAACGAGCUAGUCAACUAGAGGCUUAGUAGGGACAGUGUUUUGUCUAUGUAUCCACACAAGUAUUGUGUUUCCAAUCAAUACAAUUAUAGCAUGGAUAAUAAACAAUUAUCAUGAACAAAGAAAUAUAAUAAUAAGUAAUUUAUUAUUGCCUCUAGGGCAUAUUUCCAACAAUUCAUUGGGUUGCCUCCCAACAAGCGCUAUUGUUUAACGCCCUUAGCUAGGCAUUGAUAAUUCAAUGAUGCUCACACAAAAGACAAGAAUUGAAGCACAACGAGAGCAUCAUAAAGCAUGUGAAAAUCACAUCUAAAUCUAACAUACUUCCUAUGCAUAGGCAUUUUAUAGGAAAACAAAUUAUCAAGACAAGCAAUAACUACCAUAUGCAAGGAAGAAGAAAGAGACAAUAUCAAUCUCAACAAAACGAGAGGUAAUUUAGUAACAUGAAAGUUUCGACCACAAUAUUUUCCUCUCUCAUAACAAUUUCAUGUGGGAUCAUAAUCAAAUUCAACAAUAUAGCUAUCACAUAGGAUAUUCUUUUCAUGAUCCACAUGCAUGUAAAGUUGACCCUCUUCAAAAAUAGUGGGAUUAUCAUCAACUAAAGUCAUGACUUCUCCAAACCCAAUUUCAAUAUUAUUGCAAAUAUCAUAUUCAUCAUGAGGCUUAAACAAAUUUUCAAGAUCAUAAGAAAAAUCAUCGCCCCAAUUAUGAUCAUUGCAACAAGUAGUGGACAUAGCAAAACUAGCAUCCCCAAGCUUAGAGUUUUGCUAUUUUUAGCAUGAUUAUCAUUAAUAGAAUUUAUAAUGAAAUCAUUGCAAUCAUGAUUUUCAUUCAAGGAGCCCUCGUGAAUCACUUCAUAAAUUUCUUCAUCACGAUUUUCAGAUUCACGCAUCUCAAGCAAAACUCCAUAGAGAAAGUGAAGUGCACUCAACUCAAAAGCAAAUGGUUCAAAAUAAUUGGAUCUCUUAAAGAGAUUAGCAAGUGGAUGAGUGAUGACCCACAAGUAUAGGGUAUCUAUCGUAGUCCUUUUGAGAAGUAAGAGUGUCGAACCCAACGAGGAGCAGAAGGAUCUGACAAGUGGUUUUCAGCAAGGUAAAAUCUGCAGGCACUGAAAUUAUCGGUAACAAGAGAUUGUAUGGUGAAGUGAUUCGUAGCAAGCAACAAGUAACAAAAGUAGCAACGGUGCAGCAAGGUGUCCCAAUCCCUUUUGUAGCAAGGGACAAGCUUGGACAAAGUCUUAUAGGAGGAAAAACGCUCCCGAGGACACGCGGGAAUUUCUGUCAUGCUAGUUUUCAUCAUGUUCAUAUGAUUCGCGUUCGUUACUUUGAUAGUUUGAUAUGUGGGUGGACCGACGCUUGGGUACUGUCCUUACUUGUACAAGAAUCCCACUUAUGAUUAACCCCUCUCGCAAGCAUCCGCAACUACGAAAAAAGAAUUAAGACAUAGCCUAACCAUAGCAUUAAACUAGUGGAUCCAAAUCAGCCCCUUAUGAAGCAACGCAUAAACUAGGUUUAAGCUUCUGUCACUCUAGCAACCGAUCAUCUACUUACUACUUCCCAAUGCCUUCCUCUAGGCCCAAAUAAUGGUGAAGUGUUAUGUAGUCGACGUUCACAUAACACCACUAGAGGAAAAACAACAUACAACACAUCAAAAUGUCGAACGAAUACCAAAUUCACAUGACUACUAUUAGCAUGACUUAUCCCAUGUCCUCAGGAACAAAAGUAACUACUCACAAAGCAUAAUCAUAUUCAUGACCAGAGAGGUAAUGAGUAGCAUCAAGGAUCUGAACAUGAACUCUUCCACCAAGUAAUCCAACAAGCAUCAACUACAAAGAGUAAUUAACACUACUAGCAACCUUACAAGUACCAAUCGGAGUCGCGAGACGGAGAUUGGUUACAAGAGAUGAACUAGGGUUUGGAGAUGAGAUAGUGCUGAUGAAUAUGUUGAUGGUGAUGAGUCCCCUCCGACGAGAGGAGCGUUGGUGAUGGCAAUGUCGAUGAUUUCCCCCUCCAGGAGGGAAGUUUCCUCGGCAGGAUCGUCCUGCCGGAGCUCUAGAUUGGUUUUGCUCAAGUUCCGCCUCGUGGCGGCGGCGAAACCUCCGAAAAGCUCCCUUCUGAUUUUUUUUUCCGGACGAAACCCUUCAUAUAGCAAAAGAUGAGCGCUGGAGGGGCAACAGGGGGCCCACAAGCCCCCCAGGCCCGGCCAGGGGGGUAGGCCGGGCCUGGUAGGCUUGUGGCCUUCAGGUGGCGCCCCUCUGGUACUUCUUCCGCCCAGUAUUUUUUAUAUAUUCCCAAAAAAUUCCACGUUGAUUUUCACGGCUUUUGGAGUUGCGCAGAAUAGGCAUCUCAAACUUGCUCCUUUUUCAGGCCAGAAUUCCAGCUGCCGUCAUUCUCCCUCUUCAUGUAAACCUUGCAAAAUAAGAGAGAAAAGGCAUAAGUAUUGUACCGUGAAGUGAAAUAACAGCCCAAAAAGCGAUAAAUAUCAACAUGAAAGCAUGAUGCAAAAUGGACGUAUCAAUGAGGAUCCAUAUCAAUAGAUUUUCAGCAAGCGAAGAUGCAAGCAUAUUGAAGGCACAUAGCACACAAGCAAAGGGAAGGGAAAUGAAAAAGGCAAAUAUUUUUGUAAAUUUUUGUUUUUCAAAAGUGGGGGAGAGGAAAACGAGAGGCAAAAGGCAAAAAAAGCAAAUGCAAGAGAUGAGUUUGCGACAGUUACUUGGAUAGGCUUCACUUAGAAUAGUCCCCGGUGCCAGAAAUUGACACGUUGAAGGGAGACUAUUCUUGACUUGAUACUCCCCGGCAGCGGCGCUAGAAAUUCUUCUUGCUACCUCUUGAGCUUGCGUUGGUUUUUCCCCUGAAGAGGAAAGGGUGAUGCAGCACCGUAGCAGUAAGUAUUUCCCUCAGUUUGAGAACCAAGGUAUCAAUCCAGUAGGAGUAUCAAGCCAAGUCUCCACUAUACCUUUUGUGUUCUACUCGAGAUAACAUCUACACAUGAACCUAGCUCAUGGUGCCACUGUUGGGGAACGCUGCAUGGGAAACAAAAAAAUUCUACGCACACGAAGACCUAUCAUGGUGAUGUCCAUCUAUGAGAGGAGAUUUGGAUCUGCGUACCCUUGUAGAUCACACAACAGGAAGCGUUAAGAAACGCGGUUGAUGUAGUGGAAUGUCUUCACGUCCCUCGAACCGUCCCACGAACCGUUCCGCGAUCCUUCCCACGAUCUGUUCCGAUCUAGUGCCGAACGGAUGGUGCUACCUCUUGAGCUUGCAUUGGUUUUUCCCUUGAAGAGGAAAGGUUGAUGGAGCACAGUAGCAGUAAGUAUUUCCCUCAGUUUGAGUACCAAGGUAUCAAUCUAGUAGGAGUAUCAAGCCAAGUCUCCACCGUACCUACGCAAAAACAGCAAACUUGCACCCAACGCUACAAAGGGGUUGUCAAUCCCUUCACGAUUGAUUGCAAGGUGAGAUCUGAAGGCGGAAAGUGCAACAAAGUAAAAGUGUAGGGCUGAAAAUAUGAUGUGAAGUAGACCCGCGGGCCAUAGUGUUCACUAGACUCUUCUCUCAUGAUAGCAAAUAUUACGGUGGGUGAACGAAUUACUGUCGAGCAAUNNNNNNNNNNNNNNNNNNNNNNNNNNNNNNNNNNNNNNNNNNNNNNNNNNNNNNNNNNNNNNNNNNNNNNNNNNNNNNNNNNNNNNNNNNNNNNNNNNNNNNNNNNNNNNNNNNNNNNNNNNNNNNNNNNNNNNNNNNNNNNNNNNNNNNNNNNNNNNNNNNNNNNNNNNNNNNNNNNNNNNNNNNNNNNNNNNNNNNNNNNNNNNNNNNNNNNNNNNNNNNNUCUGCAUCUACUACUAUCACUCCACACAUCGACCGCUAUCCAGCAUGCAUCUAGUGUAUUGAGUUCAUGACAAACAGAGUAAUGCCUUAAGCAAGAUGACAUGAUGUAGAGGGAUAAAUUCAUGCAAUAGAUAUAAAUCCCAUCUUUUUACCCUUGAUGGCAACAACAUGAUGCGUGCCUCGCUACCCCUUCUGUCACUGGGUGAGGUCACCGAACGGUAUGAACCCAAACCCAAGCACUUCUCCCAUUACAAGAACGAUAGAUGAAGUUGGCCAAACAAAACCCACAACUCGAAGAGAAUUACAAGGAUAUGAAAUCAUGCAUAAGAGAGAUGAGAAGAAACUCAAAUAAGAUUCAUAGAUAAUCUGAUCAUAAAUCAACAAUUCAUCGGUUCUCGACAAACACACCGCAAAAGAAGAUUACAUCGGAUAGAUCUCCAUGAAGAUCAUAGAGAACUUUGUAUUGAAGAUCCAAGAGAGAGAAGAAGCCAUCUAGCUACUAGCUAUGGACCCGAAGGUCUAUGGUGAACUACUCACGUAUCAUCGAAGAGGCAAUGGUGUUGAUGAAGAAGCCCUCCGUGUCCGAAUCCCCCUCCGGCAGGGCACCGGAACGUGCCCCGGAUGGGAUCUUGCGGAGACAGAAGCUUGCGGCAGCAGAAAAGUAUUUUCGUGGCUCUCUCCCGUGUUUUUGGAUUUUUAGGUGAUUUAUAGGCGAAAGAAGUAGGGCAGAGGAGCCACACGGGGCCCACAAGCCUGCUAGGCGCCCCCCCAGGCAACGUCCAGCGGGCUUGUGGCCUCCCCUGUGUUGGAAUUAUGCCCUAGAGGAAAUAAUAAAUAUAGUUAUUAUUAUAAUUCCUGUAUCAAGAUAAUCGUUUAUUAUCCAUGCUAUAAUUGUAUUGAAUGAAGACUCAUUUACAUGUGUGGAUACAUAGACAAAACACCGUCCCUAGCAAGCCUCUAGUUGGCUAGCCAGUUGAUCAAAGAUAGUCAGUGUCUUCUGAUUAUGAACAAAGUGUUGUUGCUUGAUAACUGGAUCACGUCAUUAGGAGAAUCACGUGAUGGACUAGACCCAAACUAAUAGACGUAGCAUGUUGAUCGUGUCAUUUUGUUGCUACUGUUUUCUGCGUGUCAAGUAUUUAUUCCUAUGACCAUGAGAUCAUAUAACUCACUGACACCGGAGGAAUGCUUUAUGUGUAUCAAACGUCGCAACGUAACUGGGUGACUAUAAAGAUGCUCUACAGAUAUCUCCGAAGGUGUUAGUUGAGUUAGUAUGGAUCAAGACUGGGAUUUGUCACUCCGUGUGACGGAGAGGUAUCUCGGGGCCCACUCGGUAAUACAACAUCACACACAAGCCUUGCAAGCAAUGUAACUUAGUGUAAGUUGCGGGAUCUUGUAUUACGGAACGAGUAAAGAGACUUGCCGGUAAACGAGAUUGAAAUAGGUAUGCGAAUAGUGACGAUCGAAUCUCGGGCAAGUAACAUACCGAAGGACAAAGGGAAUAACAUACGGGAUUAUAUGAAUCCUUGGCACUGAGGUUCAAACGAUAAGAUCUUCGUAGAAUAUGUAGGAUCCAAUAUGGGCAUCCAGGUCCCGCUAUUGGAUAUUGACCGAGGAGUCUCUCGGAUCAUGUCUACAUAGUUCUCGAACCCGCAGGUUCUGCACACUUAAGGUUCGACGUUGUUUUAUGCGUAUUUGAGUUAUAUGGUUGGUUACCGAAUGUUGUUUGGAGUCCCGGAUGAGAUCACGGACGUCAGAGGGUUUUUGGAAUGGUCCGGAAUGAAGAUUGAUAUAUAGGAUGACCUCAUUUGAUUACCGAAAGGUUUUCGGAGUUACCGGCAAUGUACCGGGAAUGACGAAUGGGUUCCGGGAGUUCACCGGGGGGGGGGGGGGGGCCCCCCCCNNNNNNNNNNNNNNNNNNNNNNNNNNNNNNNNNNNNNNNNNNNNNNNNNNNNNNNNNNNNNNNNNNNNNNNNNNNNNNNNNNNNNNNNNNNNNNNNNNNNNNNNNNNNNNNNNNNNNNNNNNNNNNNNNNNNNNNNNNNNNNNNNNNNNGGGGAAGCCCAUAGGCCUUGAGGGUGGGACAGCCCAAGAGGGCCCUAUGCGCCUAGGAAAGAAAAUCAAAGAGAAAAAAAAAGAGGAGGUGGGAAGGGAAGGAAGGACUCCCACCCACCAAACCAAGUCCAACUCGGUUUGGGGGGGGGGAACCUUCCCCCUUGGACUCGGCCGACCCCCUUGGGGCUCCUUGAGCCCCAAGGCAAGGUCCCCUCCCUCCCACCUAUAUAUAUGGAGGUUUUAGGGCUGAUUUGAGACGAUUUUUCCACGGCAGCCCGACCACAUACCUCCACGGUUUUUCCUCUAGAUCGCGUUUCUGCAGAGCUCGGGCGGAGCCCUGCUGAGACAAGGUCAUCACCAACCUCCGGAGCGCCGUCAUGCUGCCGGAGAACUCUUCUACCUCUCCGUCUCUCUUGCUGGAUCAAGAAGGCCGAGAUCAUCGUCGAGUUGUACAUGUGCUGAACGCGGAGGUGCCGUCCGUUCGGUACUAGAUCGUGGGACUGAUCGCGGGAUUGUUCGCGGGGCGGAUCGAGGGACGUGAGGACGUUCCACUACAUCAACCGCGUUCACUAACGCUUCUGCUGUACGAUCUACAAGGGUACGUAGAUCACUCAUCCCCUCUCGUAGAUGGACAUCACCAUGAUAGGUCUUCGUGCGCGUAGGAAAAUUUUUGUUUCCCCUGCGACGUUCCCCAACAGUGGCAUCAUGAGCUAGGUUCAUGCGUAGAUGUCUUCUCGAGUAGAACAAAAAAGUUUUUGUGGGCGGUGAUGUGCGUUUUGCUGCCCUCCUUAGUCUUUUCUUGAUUCCGCGGCAUUGUUGGAUUGAAGCGGCUUGGACCGACAUUACUCGUACGCUUACGAGAGACUGGUUUCAUCGCUACGAGUAACCCCGUUGCUCAAAGAUGACUGGCAAGUGUCGGUUUCUCCAACUUUAGUUGAAUCGGAUUUGACCGAGGAGGUCCUUGAAUGAGGUUAAAUAGCAACUCAUAUAUCUCCGUUGUGGUGUUUGCGUAAGUAAGAUGCGAUCCUACUAGAUACCCUUGGUCACCACGUAAAACAUGCAACAACAAAAUUAGAGGACGUCUAACUUGUUUUUGCAGGGUAUGCUUGUGAUGUGAUAUGGCCAACGAUGUGAUGUGAUAUAUUGGAUGUAUGAGAUGAUCAUGUUGUAAUAGAAAAUAUCGACUUGCACGUCGAUGGUACGGCAACCGGCAGGAGCCAUAGGGUUGUCUUUAUACUAACGUUUGUGCUUGCAGAUGCGUUUACUAUUUUGCUAGGAUGUAGCUUUAGUAGUAAUAGCAUGAGUAGCACGACAACCCCGAUGGCAACACGUUGAUGGAGAUCAUGGUGUGGCGCCGGUGACAAGAAGAUCGUGCCGGUGCUUUGGUGAUGGAGAUCAAGAAGCACGUGAUGAUGGCCAUAUCAUGUCACUUAUGAAUUGCAUGUGAUGUUAAUCCUUUUAUGCACCUUAUUUUUCUUAGAACGACGGUAGCAUUAUGAGGUGAUCUCUCACUAAAAUUUCAAGACGAAAUUGUGUUCUCCCCGACUGUGCACCGUUGCUACAGUUCGUCGUUUCGAGACACCACGUGAUGAUCGGGUGUGAUAGACUCAACGUUCACAUACAACGGGUGCAAAACAGUUGCGCACGCGGAACACUCGGGUUAAGCUUGACGAGCCUAGCAUGUGCAGACAUGGCCUCGGAACACAUGAGACCGAAAGGUCGAUCAUGAAUCAUAUAGAUGAUAUGAUUAGCAUAGGGAUGCUUACCACUGAAACUAUACUCAAAUCACGUGAUGAUCGGACUUGAGCUAGUGUAAGUGGAUCAUGAACCACUCAAAUGACUAGAGAGAUGUACUUUUUGAGUGGGAGUUUAGCGAAUAAUUUGAUUAAGUUAAACUCUAAUUAUCUUGAUCAUAGUCUAAGUCCACUUUGAAUAUAUUUGUGUUGUAGAUCAUGGCUCACGCUACAGUCAUCCUGAAUUUUAAUACGUUCCUAGAGAAAGCUAAGUUGAAAGAUGAUGGAAGCAACUUUGUAGACUGGGCUCAUAAUCUUAAGCUAAUCUUACAAGCUGGGAAGAAGGAUUAUGUCCUUAAUGCUGCGCUAGGAGAUGAACAACCCGCUACGGCUGAUCAGGAUGUUAAGAACGCUUGGUUAGCACGUAAGGAGGACUACUCAAUAGUUCAAUGUGCAGUCUUGUAUGGCUUAGAACCGGGACUUCAACGUCGCUUUGAGCGUAAUGGAGCAUUUGAGAUGUUACAGGAGUUGAAUUUAUCUUUCAGAAGAACGCCCAGAUCGAGAGGUAUGAGACCUCCGAUAAAUUCUAGGCUUGCAAGAUGGAGGAGAACUCGUCUGUCAGUGAACAUGUGCUCAAAAUGUCUGGGUACUCAAACCGUCUGGCUGAGCUGGGUAUUGAACUCCCGCAAGAGGCUAUCACUGACAGAAUCCUUCAAUCACUGCCGCCAAGCUAUAAAGGCUUUGUGUUGAACUACAACAUGCAAGGGAUGAACAAGUCUCCCGGUGAGUUGUUUGCGAUGCUGAAAGUCGCAGAGUCUGAAUUCCGUAAAGAGCAUCAAGUGUUGAUGGUGAAUAAGACCACUAGUUUCAAGAGAAACGGCAAAGGCAAGAAGGGUAAUUCAAAGAAGAGCGGCAAGCCUGUUGCCAAUCCGACGAAGAAACCCAAAGCUGGACCUAAGCCUGAAACAGAGUGUUACUAUUGCAAGGGUAUGGGUCACUGGAAGCGCAAUUGCCCCAAGUAUGUGGCAGAUAAGAAGGCGGCCAAAGAAAAAUCAGGUAUAUUUGAUAUACAUGUUAUUUAUAUGUACUUAACCGGCUCUCGUAGUAGUGCCUGGGUAUUCGAUACCGGUUCUGUUGCUCAUAUUUGCAACUCGAAACAGGAACUGCGGAAUAGACGAAGGCUGGCGAAGGAUGAAGUGACGAUGCGCGUAGGAAAUGGUUCCAAAGUUGAUGCAAUCGCCGUCGGCACAGUUUCACUUCAGUUACCAUCAGGAUUAGUGAUGAACUUAAAUCAUUGUUAUUUAGUGCCUGCGUUAAGCAUGAACAUUAUAUCUGGAUCUUGUUUAUUGCGAGACGGUUACUCUUUUAAGUCAGAGAAUAAUGGUUGUUCUAUUUCUAUGAGUAACAUCUUUUAUGGUCAUGCACCUAAUGUGAGAGGAUUGUUCAUAUUGAAUCUUGAUAGCGAUACGCAUAUACAUAACAUUGAGACCAAAAGAGUUAGAGUUAACAAUGAUAGCGGCAUAUUUUUGUGGCACUGCCGCUUAGGUCAUAUUGGUGUAAAGCGCAUGAAGAAACUCCAUGCUGAUGGAAUUUUGGAGUCACUUGACUUUGAUUCACUUGACACAUGCGAACCAUGCCUCAUGGGCAAGAUGACUAAGACUCCGUUCUCCGGAACAAUGGAGCGUGCAAGUGACUUGUUGGAAAUCAUAAAUACCGAUGUGUGUGGUCCGAUGGGCGUGGAGGCAUGUGGCGGAUAUCGUUAUUUUCUCACCUUCACUGACGAUUUGAGUAGAUAUGGUUAUGUCUACUUGAUGAAGCACAAGUCUGAAACAUUUGAGAAGUUCAAACAAUUUCAGAGUGAAGUGGAAAAUCAUCAUAACAAGAAGAUCAAGUUCCUACGGUCUGAUCGUGGGGUUGAAUAUCUGAGUUUCGAGUUUGGUACUCACUUAAGACAAUGUGGAAUUGUUUCACAGUUAACACCGCCUGGAACACCACAGCGUAAUGGUGUGUCCGAACGUCGUAAUCGUACUCUAUUAGAGAUGGUGCGAUCUAUGAUGUCUCUUACUGAUUUGUCGUUAUUGUUUUGGGGUUAUGCAUUAGAAACAGCUGCAUUCACUUUAAAUAGGGCACCAUCAAAAUCCGUUGAGACGACACCAUACGAACUGUGGUAUGGCAAAAGGCCAAAGUUGUCGUUUCUUAAAGUUUGGGGAUGUGAUGCUUAUGUCAAAAAGCUUCAGCCUGAAAAGCUAGAACCCAAAGAGGAAAAGUGCGUCUUCAUAGGUUACCCAAAAGAGACAGUUGGGUACACCUUCUAUCUCAAAUCCGAGGGCAAAGUGUUUGUUGCUAAAAACGGAGCUUUUCUCGAGAAGGAGUUUCUCUCGAGAGAAUUGAGUGGGAGGAAGAUAGAACUUGACGAGGUUGUCGAACCUCUCAUCCCUCUGGAUGGUGGCGCAGGGCAAGGGGAAACCUCUGUCGUUGCGACGCCGGUUGAGGAGGAAGUUAAUGAUGAUGAUCAUGAAACUCCGGUUCAAGUUUCUGUCGAACCACGUAGGUCGACGAGACCACGUGCUGCUCCAGAGUGGUACGGUAAUCCCGUCUUAUCAAUCAUGUUGUUAGACAACAAUGAACCUGCAAAUUAUGAAGAAGCAAUGGUGGGCCCAGAUUCCAACAAAUGGCUAGAAGCCAUGAAGUCCGAGAUAGGAUCCAUGUAUGAGAACAAAGUGUGGACUUUGGAGGUACUACCUGAGGGCCGCAAGGCUAUUCAGAACAAAUGGAUCUUUAAGAGGAAGACGGACGCUGACGGCAAUGUGACCGUUUAUAAAGCUCGACUUGUGGCAAAGGGUUUUUCACAAGUUCAAGGAGUUGACUACGAUGAGACAUUCUCACCCGUAGCGAUGCUUAAGUCCGUCAGAAUCAUGUUAGCAAUAGCUGCAUUUUUUGAUUAUGAAAUCUGGCAGAUGGAUGUCAAAACGACGUUCCUUAACGGUUUCCUUAAGGAAGAGUUGUAUAUGAUACAACCCGAAGGUUUUGUCGAUCUUAAGAAUGCUAACAAGGUAUGCAAGCUCCAGCGAUCCAUUUAUGGACUGGUGCAAGCAUCUCGGAGUUGGAACAAACGCUUUGAUGAGGUGAUCAAAGCAUUUGGGUUUAUACAAGUGGUUGGAGAAUCUUGUAUUUACAAGAAAGUGAGUGGGAGCUUUGUGGCGUUUCUAAUAUUAUAUGUGGAUGACAUAUUGCUGAUUGGAAACAACGUGGAGUUUUUGGAGAGCAUAAAGGAUUACUUGAAUAAAAGUUUCUCUAUGAAGGACCUAGGGGAAGCUGCUUACAUUCUAGGCAUUAAGAUCUAUAGGGAUAGAUCAAAACGCCUGAUAGGACUUUCACAAAGCACAUACCUUGAUAAAGUUUUGAAGAGGUUCAAAAUGGAACAGUCUAAGAAAGGGUUCUUGCCAGUUUUACAAGGUACGAGAUUGAGUAAGACUCGGUGCCCAGCAACUGAUGAAGAUAGGGAGCAUAUGCGCUCCGUCCCCUAUACUUCAGCCAUAUGUUCUAUCAUGUAUGCAAUGCUGUGCACUAGACCGGAUGUUAGCCUGGCCAUAAGUAUGGCAGGUAGGUUCCAGAGUAAUCCAGGAGUGGAUCACUGGACAACGGUCAAGAAUAUCCUGAAGUACGUGAAAAGGACUAAGGAGAUGUUUCUCGUGUAUGGAGGUGACGAAGAGCUCGCCGUAAAAGGUUAUGUCGAUGCAAGCUUUGACACAGAUCCGGACGACUCUAAGUCGCAAACCGGAUACGUAUUUAUUCUUAAUGGGGGUGCGGUAAGCUGGUGCAGUUCCAAGCAAAGCGUCAUAGCAGAUUCUACAUGUGAAGCAGAGUACAUGGCUGCCUCGGAGGCGGCUAAGGAAGGUGUCUGGAUGAAGCAGUUCAUGACGGAUCUUGGAGUGGUGCCAAGCGCACUGAAUCCAAUAACCUUGUUCUGUGACAACACGGGUGCCAUUGCCUUAGCAAAGGAACCACGGUUUCACAAGAAGACCAGACACAUCAAACGACGCUUCAACCUCAUUCGCGACUACGUCGAGGGAGAGGACGUAAAUAUAUGCAAAGUGCACACGGAUCUGAAUGUAGCAGACCCGCUGAGUAAACCUCUUCCACGGCCAAAGCAUGAUCAACACCAGAACUGUAUGGGUGUUAGAUUUAUUACAAUGUAAUUCGCAUGAUGAUGUGAGGGCUAGAUUAUUGACUCUAGUGCAAGUGGGAGACUGUUGGAAUUAUGCCCUAGAGGCAAUAAUAAAUAUAGUUAUUAUUAUAAUUCCUGUAUCAAGAUAAUCGUUUAUUAUCCAUGCUAUAAUUGUACUGAAUGAAGACUCAUUUACAUGUGUGGAUACAUAGACAAAACACCGUCCCUAGCAAGCCUCUAGUUGGCUAGCCAGUUGAUCAAAGAUAGUCAGUGUCUUCUGAUUAUGAACAAAGUGUUGUUGCUUGAUAACUGGAUCACGUCAUUAGGAGAAUCACGUGAUGGACUAGACCCAAACUAAUAGACGUAGCAUGUUGAUCGUGUCAUUUUGUUGCUACUGUUUUCUGCGUGUCAAGUAUUUAUUCCUAUGACCAUGAGAUCAUAUAAAUCACUGACACCGGAGGAAUGCUUUGUGUGUAUCAAACGUCGCAACGUAACUGGGUGACUAUAAAGAUGCUCUACAGGUAUCUCCGAAGGUGUUAGUUGAGUUAGUAUGGAUCAAGACUGGGAUUUGUCACUCCGUGUGACGAAGAGGUAUCUCGGGGCCCACUCGGUAAUACAACAUCACACACAAGCCUUGCAAGCAAUGUAACUUAGUGUAAGUUGCGGGAUCUUGUAUUACGGAACGAGUAAAGAGACUUGCCGGUAAACGAGAUUGAAAUAGGUAUGCGAAUAGUGACGAUCGAAUCUCGGGCAAGUAACAUACCGAAGGACAAAGGGAAUAACAUACGGGAUUAUAUGAAUCCUUGGCACUGAGGUUCAAACGAUAAGAUCUUCGUAGAAUAUGUAGGAUCCAAUAUGGGCAUCCAGGUCCCGCUAUUGGAUAUUGACCGAGGAGUCUCUCGGGUCAUGUCUACAUAGUUCUCGAACCCGCAGGGUCUGCACACUUAAGGUUCGACGUUGUUUUAUGCGUAUUUGAGUUAUAUGGUUGGUUACCGAAUGUUGUUCGGAGUCCCGGAUGAGAUCAAGGACGUCGCGAGGGUUUCCGGAAUGGUCCGGAGACGAAGAUUGAUAUAUAGGAUGACCUCAUUUGAUUACCGGAAGGUUUUCGGAGUUACCGGGAAUGUACCGGGAAUGACGAAUGGGUUCUGGGAGUUCACCGGGGGGAACCCACCCCGGGGAAGCCCAUAGGCAUUGAGGGUGGCACACCAGCCCUUAGUGGGCUGGUGGGACAGCCCAAGAGGGCCCUAUGCGCCUAGGAAAGAAAAUCAAAGAGAAAAGAAAAGAAAAAGAGGAGGUGGGAAGGGAAGGAAGAACUCCCACCCACCAAACCAAGUCCAACUCGGUUUGGGGGGGGAACCUUCCCCCUUGGACUCGGCCGAGCCCCUUGGGGCUCCUUGAGCCCCAAGGCAAGGUCCCCUCCCUCCCACCUAUAUAUACGGAGGUUUUGGGGCUGAUUUGAGACGACUUUUCCACGGUAGCCCGACCACAUACCUCCACGGUUUUUCCUCUAGAUCGCGUUUCUGCGGAGAUCGGGCGGAGCCCUGCUGAGACAAGGUCAUCACCAACCUCCGGAGCGCCGUGACGCUGCCGGAGAACUCUUCUACCUCUCUGUCUCUCUUGCUGGAUCAAGAAGGCCGAGAUCAUCGUCGAGCUGUACGUGUGCUGAACGCGGAGGUGUCGUCCGCUCGGUACUAGAUCGUGGGACUGAUCGCGGGAUUGUUCGCGGGGCGGAUCGAGGGACAUGAGGACGUUCCACUACAUCAACCGCGUUCACUAACGGUUCUGCUGUAUGAUCUACAAGGGUACGUAGAUCACUCAUCCCCUCUCGUAGAUGGACAUCACCAUGAUAGGUCUUCGUGCGCGUAGGAAAAUUUUUGUUUCCCCUGCAACGUUCCCCAACACCCUGGUGCCCUGUGCCUUGGUUCUCAAGCUUCGUGCGUAUCUUCUGCUCCGAAAAAAUCUUUUCGCCGGUUUUAUUCCGUUUGGACUCCGUUUAAUAUUCUCCUCUGAAAAGGGUCAAAAACACGGAAAAAACAGGAACUGGCACUUGGCACUGAAUUAAUAAGUUAGUCCCAGAAAAUAAAUAAAAGGCAUACAAAACAUCCAAAGUUUGACAAUAUAAUAGCAUGGAACCAUCAAAAAUUAUAGAUACGUUGGAGACGUAUCACACGACACCUCCGUGUUCAGCACACGUACAGCUCGACGAUGAUCUCGGCCUUCUUGAUCCAGCAAGCACGACGGAGAAGUAGAUGAGUUCUCCGGCAGUGUGACGGCGCUCCGGUGGUGGUGAUGAUCUACUCCUGCAGGGCUCCGCCUGAGCUCCACAGAAAUCCGAUCUAGAGGUGGAACUAUGUGGUUUAGGGUUGAGUUGCACGUGGUAAAAGUUGUCUCAAAUCAGCCCUAAAACACCACUAUAUAUAGGAGGGAGGGGGAGGAGGCUUGCCUGGAGGUCCAAGCCCUCAAGGAUGCGCCGUCCAGGAGGAGAGGAGGAAUCCUACUCCAAUUAGGAUUGGAAAGUGAAGUCCUUCUCUUCCUUCCCACCUCCCCCUUUUUUCCUUUCUCUUUGGUUUUUCUUCUCUUGGCGCCAAGGCCUUCUUGGGAUGUCCCACCAGCCCACUAAGGGCUGGUGCGCCACCCUAAAGCCAUUGGGCUCCCUCCGGGUGGGUUGCGCCCCUCCCGGUGAACUUCCGGAACCCAUUCGUCACUCCUGGUACAAUGCCGGUAAUGCGCGAAAACUUUCUGGUAACCAAAUGAAACCAUCCUAUAUAUCAAUCUUCGUUUCCAGACCAUUCCGGAAACCCACGUGAUAUCCGUGGUGUCAUCCGGGACUCCGAACAACCUUCGGUCACCAACACAUAUAACUCAACUGUACUAAAACAUCAUCGAACCUUAAGUGUGCAGACCCUGCGGGUUCGAGAACUAUGUAGACAUGCCCCGAGGCACACCUCGGUCAAUAUCCAAUAGCGGGACCUGGAUGCCCAUAUUGGAUCCUACAUAUUCUCCGAAGAUCUUAUCGGUUGAACCUCAGUGCCAAGGAUUCACAUAAUCCUGUAUGUCAUUCCCAUUGUCCUUCGGUAUGUUACUUGCCCAAGAUUCGAUCGUCGGUAUCGGCAUAUCUAUUUCAAUCUCGUUAGCGGCAAGUCUCUUUACUCGUUUCGUAAUACAAGAUCCCGUGACUUACACUUAGUCACAUUGCUUGCAAGGCUUGUGUGUGAUGUUGUAUUACCGAGUGGGCCCCGAGAUACCUCUCCGUCACACGGAGUGACAAAUCCCAGUCUUGAUCCAUACUAACUCAAUGGACACCUUCAAAGAUACCCAUAGAGCACCUUUAUAGUCACCCAGUUACGUUGUGACGUUUGAUACACACAUGGUAUUCCUCCGGUGCCAGUGAGUUAUAUGAUCUCAUGGUCAUAGGAACAAAUACCUGACACGCAGAAAACAAUAGAAAUAAAACGACACGAUCAAUAUGCUACGGUCAUAGUUUGGGUCUUGUCCAUCACAUGAUUCUCCUAAUGAUGUGAUCCCAUUAUCAAGUGACAACACUUGUCUAUGGUUAGGAAACCUUGACCAUCUUUGAUCAACGAGCUAGUCAACUAGAGGCUUACUAGGGAGAGUGUUUUGUCUAUGUAUCCACACAUGUAUUUGAGUUUCCAAUCAAUACAAUUAUAGCAUGGAUAAUAAAAGAUUAUCAUGAACAAAGAAAUAUAAUAAUAACUAAUUUAUUAUUGCCUCUAGGGCAUAUUUCCAACAAUAACCAAUUUAUUAUUGCCUCUAGGGCAUAUUUCCAACAAGUCUAACACAACUUUGGGUUCAACAUAAGAGGAAUGAUGGUGCCCUUAGCCUGAUCUACUCUCUCAUGUUUGCUUCUGAUGAUCUCUGCAAGUUUGUCAUCAUCAGCUUCAUCAUCCUCAGAUCCUCAGGGAACAUUGAAGACCACCUUGUGAGGAUUUAGUCUUUUGCCUCAUCUAGUAGUCAUCUUUUUCUUCAUGGUAGCACUCGAAGAGGUGAGUGCAGAACUAGACGCAGAUGUCCCUAAGGGAAUUGUGGAGCCCACUAUUAGCUGACACGUUUCAAGUUGCACUCUCAUUGAGGACUUCAGCAGUUGCUGAGGAAGUUGUAGCCAUAGUUAGAGGUGUUUGUGGAAUUUGUUCUGAGGUAUUUGAACUUGAAGACUUUGUCUUCAUAGCAGUUUUCUUCACCAGAGCUUUCUUUGGAGCUAUUGAAGUGGUAGAUGCUUCAGUAGUGGAUGAGGUGGCAGUAGCAGUUGCAAGGUUGAAUUGCCUCACUACUUCUACAGAAUAUUUUGUAGCUUGGCUUGAUGCUUAGCCCACUCCUUGGGAAAUUCUUCACCACUUAUGAUGUUGGUGGGAUCAGUAACUUGGCCUUCAGCAAGUGGAGGUCUUGGUCCUCGAGGGUUUACAUUGAAUUUCUUUCUUGUAUUUUGGAGUAACAUAUCUAUACUUGCUCCAUUCCUUCAUCCAUCUUCUCUCAAUCUUCUGGAUGUGCGUUUUGCGCUUCUCCUUGGUCUCCUUGCCAUAGAUUUCCUCAUCCGGAGUGCAGUAUUCAUCAUAGUAUCCUCUGGGAUAACAAAAGAAGUGUUGUUCUCUACCUUCUUUCCUCCUUUCUGAGGUCUUUUCCCUUCAGCUAUUUUCUUCACUGGUGGAAUUUGUGCUUUUGAUGAUUCUGAGGAAGUGUGCAAAUUUUAUUCAAGGAACGCCGCAAAUGAGUUAUGUUGAUGAGAACCUAGAGAUUCAUCAGCAGACAUUUUGUACCCGUGAAUAGAGUAUAGGUGCAAAAAAUUUGAAAAGAUCAUAUGGGUUCUCAGAAAUUUUUCAAAGGAAUAUCAAGUUGAGGAAUUUGACCAUAGAUGUCUUGAACAAUUUCGCUAAGUGUUCUUGUUGUAGGUCCGAGAGUUGUGUGAAUUCGAAAAUUUACACAAUUGAGGAAUCUUUGAAGAAAUUCAUGACUUAGUGAAAUAGUUCAAGGGAAAUGAAGUUUCUAUAGAUUUUUACUGGAUUGAUUGUGGAGUAAUAAACACCUUUGGAAGAAAUUUUGAAAUCAUAAAGAUCAAAUAGGGUAGUAAAAUUAGCUUUUAUUUACCCUUGUCGAAGAACACGGCGAACACGGAGUGAGAAAGGGAGAAGCCCGUCAGUUCAGAUCUACUGUGCCCUAACUCGGCGGCAGAAGACAGCUACAGCAGCGGCGGAGUGAAGGUUUCCACGGCCGACGUGAGUAUGACGAUGAAGAGGUUGAGGUAGCUAAGCUUGAUCUCUCUAGGGACGAUGGAGGGCAAUGGCGACGCUAGGUGUGAGGUCAAGUGGGAGGAGAGACGGAGUAACUGAGAGAGUGAAGGGGUUAUUUAUAGCGGAGGUAAAAAUCGUACGGCCCGAAGAUUUUUGGACCAAAUUACUCCUGACCCUUCCUAUCCAUGCGACAUGUGUCACCCACGCACAAAGAGGUGGAGAUCAUGGGGGUCAUGGAUUAUCCAGUCAUCGGAAGUAGGAUCUGUUUGAGCGGAAAUGGUCGAACAGUUUGAUAAGAUAAUUUAAGGUUUCGUUCACAAAUUCUUCAGUUGACAAGGACCCAGUGAAGACUUUGAACGGGUUUCAAGUAGAAUGCAUAUGAAUUAUUUGUGAUUAGACUCGGUUGAGCUUUGCAUAGAGAGGGAAAGGUUCUGAUCACAUUCACUUAGAAGAAAGCCAAUUUGAAGAAUUAGCAAUAAGUGAAUGUUGCUGAGGACUUUGAAAGCUCAAAUAUAUAUAUGAAGAACACAAGUUGAAAAAGUUUGAAGAAUUUGAAUAUAUUGAGGAAUUUGCAAACUCAAUUUGAAGAAUUUGCACAAAUCUCAAUUUUGAAGAAUUUCAACUUUGGUUGGUGCGUGACCCACUGUAUAAGAAUGAAGAUUUCAGAUACCGCGUACAAUUGUCGUAUGGUUAUGAGUAUCAAGUUCUUCAUUAAUUUCUUCACACUUAGAUUGUUAGUAUUCAUUUGUUGAAGAAAAACUUUACUUUGUGUGUUGCAUAUCUAAGUCAUCAAUUUUGCAUAAGUGUUAGGAUGUGUGUCCUCUCAUGGAACAUUUGAAGAUUCUAGGAUAUUUAGCUCACAUCGCAACUUGAAAAUCUCUUUUCAUCUAAGGGCUUGGUGAAGAUAUCAGCCAGUUGUUCUUCAGUCUUCACGUGGCCGAUGAAGAUGUCGCCCUUUAGUACAUUAUCACGAAGAACAUGAUGACGAAUCUGGAUGAGCUUGGUCUUUGAGUGUUGAACUGGGCUGUGAACAAUCUUGUUUGCACUCCCAUUGUCGUAGUAGAGUGGCACAUUCUUCACUUUGAUGUCUUAGUCCUUGAGGGUUUGCUUCAUCCACAACAGUUGAGCACAACAUGAAUCAUCAGCAAUAUACUUAGCUUCAGCAGUGGAAACUGACACGCAGUUCUGUUUCUUCGAGGACUAGCAAACUAAGGAUCGUCCGAGGAAAUGGCAUGUGCGUGAUGUUGAAUUGUGGUCCACGCGAUCACCAGCAUAGUCAGAGUCGGAAUGUCCAAUGAUAUGAAGAUUUGAGCCCUUGGGGGUACCUAAUCCAAGCGUUGGUGUGUGAGCUAGAUACCGAAGAAUAUGCUUCACAGCCUUAUGGUGUGAUUCCUUCGGUGUUUCUGGAAAUGGGCACACAUGCAAACACUAAGCAUAAUAUCUGGCCUAGAUGCACAUGGUACAAUAAGGAGCCAAUUAUGGAGCGACAUACCUUCUGAUGGAAAUCUUUACCAUUUUCGUCAAUGCAGAGGUGGCCGUUUGUGGACAUUGGAAUUAUUACGCCUUUCCAAUCUUGCAUGCUGAAUUUCUUUUGGAUAUCCUUGAGGUAUUUCUCUUGGGAGAUGAAGAUGUCAUUUCAUUGUUGACAAAUUUGAAGACCUAGGAAAAAUUUCAACCCCCCCAUCAUGGACAUUUGAUAUUCCUCACUCAUUAUAAAACCAAAAUUUUCACUACAAUGUUUGUUUGUACAACCAAAGAUGAUAUCAUCUACAUAUAUUUGACACACAAAUUGUUCAUUGUCAUAGGAUUUUGUGAAAAGAGUUGGGUUGAGUGAACUAGUUUGAAGCCUUUCUUCAUGAGGAAUUCCUUCAGAGUAUCAUACCACGCCCGAGGGGCCUGCUUGAGGACAUAGAGAGCCUUCUUGAGUCUAAAGACUUUGUGAGGAUGCUCUGGGUCUUCAAAGCCUGGGGGUUGAGCAACAUAUACUUCUUCCUCAAGCUUAUCAUUCAGGACUGCACUCUUCACAUCCAUUUGAUAUAAGAUGAUAUUUUGAUGGUUAGCAUAAGCAAGCAAUAUAAAAAUAGUUUCAAGUCUAGCAACAGGUGCAAAAGUUUCAUCAAAGUCAAUUCCCUCAACCAGUGUGUACACCUGUGCUACAAGACGAGCCUUAUUCCUCACCACGUGACCAUUUUCGUCUUGCUUGUUGCGGUAGAUCCACUUGGUACCGAUGAUAUUGUGCUUGCGAGGAUCAGGCCACUUGACAAGUUCCCACAUGUUGUUUAGCUUGAAUUAAUUUAAUUCCUCUUGCAUUGCUUGAGUCCACUCAGGCUCCAUAAAGGCUUCAUCAACCUUUGAGAGUUCUGUGAUAGGCACAAAAGAAAAGUGCCCAGAAAAGUUAGUUAAAUGUGAAGCUUUUAAGCGCGUGAGCGGACUUGGUGCAUUGAUGUCGUCGAGGAUUUUGUCAAUCUACACUUCAUUUGCCACCCUAGGAUGAGCAAGUUCACGACUUUGUUGGGUUUCAGGAUUUUCAUCAGCAUCAAUUUCCUCGGGUGCACCAGUAUGGAUUUCUUCAUUGUUCGAGAUGACUUCCACAACACGCAGAGGUUCUUCAGUGGGCAUGAUAUCUUCAGUAGUCUUGAACCUAAUGGAUUCCUCAGGAGGCAUUUCAUCUAACACGGGAGGUAGGUGCUCUCAUUGUGAACCGUUAGUUUCAUCAAACCACACAUCUAAAAUUUCAACAACCUUGUUGUGGUAGUUGUUGAAGACUCUGUAGGUGUGCGAGUCCUUUCCGUAACCAAGCGUAAAACCCUCAUGUGCUUUCGGUGCAAAUUUAGAAUUGUGGUGAAGAUCUCUAAUCCAGCAAAUUGCACCGAAGACUUUGAAAUAACUUACAAUGGGUUUCUUGUCGGUGAGGAGUUCAUAUGGAGUUUUCUUGAGGAAUUUGUGAAGAUAUACCAUGUUGAUGAUAUGCGAGGCCGUAUUGGUUGUCUCAAGCCAGAAACGACGAGGGGUCUCAUAUUCUCCAAGCAUAAUGCAAACCAUCUCAACAAGAGUCAUAUUCUUGCGCUCCACAACGCCAUUCUGCUGAGGAGUAUAUGGGGUAGAUAGCUCAUGAGUAGUACCAAGUUCAUCAACAUAAUCAUCAAGACAAGUGUUUUUGAACUCUGUCCCAUUAUCAGUCGUGAUGUGCUUGAUCUUGACACCAAAAUUCAUCGAUUCCCUAGAGGAAAAUCAUCUAAAGACUUCCUGCACUUCAGUUUUGUAAAAGAUAAUAUGCACCCAAGUGUAACGUGAAUAAUCAUCAACAAUGACAAAGCCAUAUAGAGAUGCAACAUUGGUUAGUGUGGCAUAAUGAGUAGGGCCAAAGAGGUCCAUGUGAAGCAAUUCAAAGGGACGAGUGGUAGGCAUGAUAGUCUUCGAGGGAUGCUUGGAUCUGGUCAUAUUUCCAGACUCACAAGCCCCACACAAAUGGUCCUUGAGAAAUUUGACGCCUUUGAUGCCAAUGACAUGCUUCUUCUUCACAAGAGUGCACAAGUUACUCAUGCCAGCAUGACUAAUCGUCGAUGCCAUAGCGAACCCUCGGAAGCUUUUGCAAGUAGACACGUGGCCGGCUGUUGACCUGUAGAGAAAUCAACAAUAUAUAGAUCUCCUCUCCUAAAGCCUUCGAAGACUUUGGAUUUGUCGGAUUCCAUGAUGACUAUGCAAAAAUAUUUGCCAAAGAUGAAAAUAAUUUCAAGAUCAGAAAGCAUUGAUACUGACAUGAGGUUGAGUCAAAGGGAUUUAACAAGCAUGAAACUUUCCGUGUGUCUAUCCUUAGAGCUUGGAGCUCAUUGGAGAUAUCACCGAAGCGAUAGAAAUUUUGCUGAACAUUUUUGUUGUUGAGUCUUCUGAAGCGAUUGAAGAGAUUGCGAAGGACAUCAACCAGAGAGUCAUGUUGAGUUGUGAUUCCUUCAUUGACCUUGGACAACCUAUCCCAGAUGAGCUUUGCAGGUCACAAAGCACUCACUCUGCCAUACUGACCUUUGCUCAGAUGGCCACGUAUGAUAUUCUUCGCUUGAGAGUCGAGUUGAUUGAAUCUCUUUACAUCAGCAGCGCUGAUAGUUGGGUUGACGGAGGGAACACCAUUUUCCACAACAUACCGGAGAUCGUUGUCAAUUGCUUCAAGAUGCAUGCACAUCUUGUUCUUCAAGUAAGGGUAGUCUGUCCCUUCAAAGGUAGGACAGCCCGCACAUACCUUGAUCAUACAUGCAUUCGACAUAACUAAAACUCUAGGUGGUUAAACCAAAAGCACACAUAACAAGGGAGUACCUUGCGAUGAUACCAAUUAGAAGUGUCACUCGGGAAUUUCACGUUGAGGAAAUUGCAAAGCGACGAAACACUAGCAACGGAAUAAGUACUCAAGUGCAUGCGAAACAUAGAAGCGGCAUAUUCAUUAUGAUGAAAUGAAACAUACAAAGAGCAUAGGUAGCUGAAAAGACCACAAUGACGCCCAGAGGGGGGGUGAAUAGGCUAUUUAAAAACUUCUUUGGAUUUAGCUUAAACCUAAUGCGGAAAUAAACUAAGAGGAUACUUUUCAAGCACAAAUCCUAAAUGCAAUAGGCACCGCAACGUGUAUCAACAACACGAUCUACCAAGAUGGACACAAUACGGUUACUAGCAAGCACAAGUAAGUUACACAAACUUACUUGAACUAUAUCACACGACAAGUAGAUGAACGACCCAAGAUACUAGAUCACACAAUAUAUCAAAAGCUGCAAGUGUGAACGUGUGGAUAUAGAGGGUAUGCUUGAACAAUUAAUCUUGUACAAAGAAAUAGCCAACACAAUAUAAUGAGCACAAACAAUAUGCAAUGUAUGUAUGCUCAAGUAACACAAGUAAACCACAAGUAAGGAGUUAGGGUUAAGGAUAACCAAGGUCACUGAGACAAAGAUGUAUCCCGAUGUUCACUUCCUUGGAGGGAAGCUAGUCACCGUUAGAGUGGUGGAUGUUACCACGAAGGCACACCAACGCCACGAAGGCUCACCCUAUUCUCCCUUUGAGAUAACACCAUGAAGGCGUUUCUCAACCACUAGUGGUAAACCUUUGAGGUGGCUUCCAAACCCUCACAAAAUUUUCCGGGGGGUAAUCACACGGAUUGAUUCCUCUCCGAAGAACUCCUACCUCCUAGGAGUCUCCAACCUCCAAGAGUAACAAGAUCACGGGGAAUGAUCAAAACUUGCUCAAAUCUCAAAUAGCUUGGGUUGAGAGAAGGAGAGGGAGACGAUCUAUCUUUUGAUUGGAACAACUCUCAAAGGGGCUCACAAAUGCUCUUGAGAUCUAAGAUUUGGUGUGAGAAAAUGUGUGUGAGGUAGAAAUGUGUUCUUAUGAGGAUAUGGUUGUGUUGGGCACCCUCUCACGAAGUGGGAGGGCGGUAUUUAUAGUGGAGAGGAGAAAGUGACCGUUGGGGUCACUUAAGUCUGACAGUGGUUGGACGUCCGGCAGUUCUCGGAUGGAAAAAGGCCUACACGAUUGGAAACCCAAUGGGGAACGGUCACAGUCAAAACACAUGAACGAACACAUGAACUAGUGAGAAAGGGGAACCAAUCACGAGGGAGACCGAGAGGAUACCUGCAGAUCGAGAGAGGAGAGGAAUGGAAGAAGGAUCCCACGGAGGAGAAUUGCCAGAUCGCGGGGCAGGGCCCCCCGGUGGCGGCGCGGUCGAGCUCCUCAGGCAGCUGGCGGCGGCUGGAGACGGCUGUGAGAAAGGGGGCGCGUUGGGGCUAGGGCAAGGCCCAACCCGCGCCCCUCUAUUUAUAGAGGCUCCUGAUGUGUCAGACGUCGGACAGACGUCGGACGUCCGGAGAGCAUCAGCCGUCGGACGACCGACAUGUGCCGGACGUCCGGAGUGAGUUUAGCCGUCGGACGUCCGAGACUCGUCGGACAACCGAGAGAGAAGUAGGCAGAGGAAAUUUUUGGGAUCUGGAUGGUGAGGUGAUAAGGAGUAUUCUCGCAUGUGUAGCAACCAAGGGUCUCUCAACAAACAUAUUUUGGACAUGGUAUGAUGUAAAUCUUCUAAUUCAAUUACUAUGAUAAGUGUGGGUUCAAAAUACGAUCAAACGCAUGAGUGCAUAGAAUCAUGCACAAGUUAUCCUAUUAUAAGAGCAAGGUACAUGACACAAGGGCCAUGGCACAAAUUUAUCUCAUUCAUAUGACCAUGAAGUUCUAAGAGAACACCAACACUAAGCAUUUCAUCAGUGUGAUUGACAAGGACAUGCAGGAAAUUACAAAGUGGAAAAAGUAUUAUGUUCAUGCAAUGAUGCAACCUACACAGGGUUGACUCUAAUGUUAUACAUGCAUGAAGUAAAUACUUGUUACCGGAAAAGCAUUGGUAUGGCGUAGAAGUAGCCGAGUCCUGUCUUGACUCUAAUUUCUUCGUGACCAGCACCAUCUUCUUCUGAGAAUAAGUCAAGAUGGCAAUGCUUCUCCAAAGUACCUAAACCACCAAUUAAGCACAAUAUGGUCCCCAAACUUAUUGGGUCCGAAGUAGUUAGUCCAACUACAAUAUAUAUAGGGUAAUAUCACUCAAUUAUGUGCAUAUAGAUAUAAGUUUUACUUUCAAGCACACCUUAACCUUUUUAUUGGAUAUGUUAGAUUUACCAUAUACAUAUAUUGGAUCAAAGAUACGAUAGACACGGCAUGUGCAUCUACACAUAGUAGAUAUGCCUACACAAGCCUAUUAAAAUCCAAGGAUAUGCAAUUUGGACAAAUGAACACAUAAUUGUCAAUUACAGAACAUUCAUGUCGUCCAAAAUGGAUCAGGGUGACAAAUCAACAUAUGGUCCCACCCCAAGUUCAACACAUGAACCGGUCAAGGCAUCAAACCAUGUAAGGUAUGCAUUUUGCACAACCUUACAUGCAUGUCUCACCCUAGUAGAUGUAUAAGUGUAGGUAAUAUGAUUAUAACUCCCACAACAUUAUGAAAUAAAUAGUACGAGCUCAAAGACAUGCAUGGGAGAUUACCGGGAGACACAUGAAUUUCUCGGCAAGUUAUGUAGGUCAAAUGAAGACAAAGCCGAAAUAAAAUGACCAUGAAAAACACUACCAAGCCAGAGAUACCAUGUGUGAGAGAACAUAAUGGUAUUUAGAAUUAUCAGUGGUGGUAGAUGCCAAACGAGCACAAAGAUCGUUUUAUACUCACACAAGUGUGAUAUGGGAGUUCAACCAUAAGCAUAAUGUUUAGAUGUCAUACGUUAACAUCCCAAUUAGUUAGAUCAUAGUGUAGAGAAAUAAUUCAAAAGGCAUGCAUCAACUAUGCCCUUCUUUUAGGUACGAUAUAGAGGCUAAGCCAUUAGUAUUUGUGUAGUAGGACGUCAUACUCACGCACAUCUAACGGAUUUAGAGACCAACAGGGUUAUUAUGCGAAUUAAGACAUGUGGAGCAUGACACGCCACACAGUUAUAGAAUAACCCCAUGUGGUAGAUUUUGAGUGGCAUACAUCGGAUGUUUUAUCUUACCAGGGGAUGUGACGUGCCCAAAGCAUAUCACACUCCCUUAAUGUGAUAAUCCAUGUAUUUAUCAUACAAGGCAAUCAAUCAUCCAACUAAGCUGAUAAGUGGAUGCCAAUUUGAACUUCGGAUGGCUUUGACAUCAAACGAAUUGAUUGGAUAAUCUUGCACCGUGAAUACUAGAUGGAGUCCAAUACAUAUAUACACAUUUUGGGUUAGUGAUGUGCGUAGAGCAGAACACUCCCCCUUAAUGUGAUGAGCUAUUAACGUCUCAAAAGACCCACACAAUGGUGCAACUAGGAUGCAAGUAAUGAUCAGGACUACACACAACUAUAUGACAUACAUAACGACCUACACAUGAUAGAUAACACAUAACAAUCAUACUAGUAGGCGCAACAUGUCAAAGUACAUGCUAGGUACCAAACCUAGACAUGAUAAGGAGUGGGGCAGGCAACUUUCAAUGUAAACAAUUUAAGUACAAGUUACCGCAAAGAGGCACAUUGGAUAUGGGAUAUGGGCUCGAUAAUCCAAAUGACUUGGCUUGAGAUAAUACAAAUGAUGAAGAGUCCUCAAAUCUUCAUUGUGUAUCCAAGUCUCCAAUGUCCUCCAAAGUCACCUAUUGAUCAAUUCUGAGCUUGUUGGUCCCCAACUACGUUGGGUCCUAAGAGGUUAGUCACAAUAGGCUUGGCAACCCAAAUGGUUCUUUUCUUGACACCAUUUUGAGUACCAACAAACUUGGCAAACACAUUGCCAACCUUAUCCUUCCCAAGGGAAUAGCUAUCAUCAAUAGUGAUUGGGUUGGAUAAGUUACCUCUCGUGCAAGAUGAAGCGACGUGACCCUUCUCACGACAUACGUAGCAACAUCUACCCUUUGCUUUCUUCCGAGUUGAUUUAUCACCUCGGGGAGUGUUGGCUUGGGUCUUAUUGGGAAGAGGCCUUCCUUCAACUCGUAGUUGAGUGUAUGAUUGAGUUUGUGGCCGCUUCCCUUGUUGCUUGUGACUUUGAGACUUCGUCUUCAGAGGGCAAGAUCUAACAUGGUUCCCUUUAACUUUGCACUUGAAGCAAAUGAUUUUGGCAGAAUUCUUGACUUGUUCUAGGCCACUCUUGUUCUUGUUUGAGUUUACUCCAACAUCAUUUUUGUCAUUCGGAGAUGUUUGCUUACACAGGACGUUCUUGGGUGUGGACAUCCCUUCAUGACACUGUUCCAAGUCUUUCUUCAAAGAAGUGACUUGGGCCUUGAGCUCUUCGAUUUCCUCUGCACGGUUAGUAUCAACGCAAGUACUAGAGGAAGUGUAAGCUUCAAUGUUAGAGCAAUAAGGCAAGGAAAGUAAUUCAUCACACGAGGUAGCAACAUUAUGAGUAGCCGAAUUACGAGGACUAGCACAUGGAAAUAUAGUACUUUGACUAGAAGUAGUGCCAUUGUCCACAUGAGGCUCACUUGAUGUUACCUUGGUGAUGAUAGCCUCAUGAGCUAACUUUUGCACAUUAUGGGAUGUUAGAAGAUCGGCAUGAGAGCUUGUGAGCAUUACAUGGUUUUCUUCCAACUUCCCAUAAUUGCUAGUUAGUAAAUCAAGUUGAGCACGUAGCUCAACAUUCUCCUUCAAUGUUGAUACUUCAAAUGAGGUAGAGUUAGAUGUACAAGUAUCAUCAACAAUAUGAGAGGAGUAAGUAGCAAUUAGAGACUUCUCAUGAGUAGAUUGAAGCUCCUCAUAGAUCUUAGAGGUUUUGAUGAGCUCUCCCUUGACACUAUUGCAUUCAAGGAGAAGGACCUCAAAAUCCUUUUUAAGUUUAUCAUGAGCAACUCCAAUCUCUUCUUUUGAAGAUCUUAAGUCUCUACAUGCUUGAUGACUCUUCUCAAGUUCAUGUUCAAGUUGUUCACUUUUAGCUUGUUCAUGAUUAGUGAAUCAUUACAAUUUUCAAAGUAAGCAAGAACAUCUUGGAAUCUUUGAAGAGCGUUAUUUUUAGCUUUACGAAGAAUUUAUUGAUCACAUAGAUAUUUUCAGUCAAGUCAUCAUCAUCAUCCUUAUCGGAAAUAUCAUCGUUAUUGCACAGGGUCGAGGAUACCUCAUUAUUACCUCUUGCAAUGAGGCACAUGUGAACUGGAGGAGUUGAUGAUGAUUCUUUUGGUGAAUCAGAUUCUUCAUUAGUCAAAAGUACUUCAUAUUUAUUGAUUUUCCCUAAAUGAUUAGUCAUAGAGCAACUAGGGAGAAACAAGAUAUUUUGAUCAAGAGGACACGGGAAAGCAGGCAUAUCACCACAGACAUUUGUCGAGGGAUCUUUAGGUGAAAUGCAUGACCUAUCAGCACAAUAAUUUACACUAUGUGUGGUGCUAGAUAUGCUCGUGUCCAUAGAGGCUAUGGCAUUUUCAUCAACAUAUAUUUCUUCACUCACCAUGUCAUUACCUUGUGAGAUUGAAUAUGUUGAGGUGUGCAAGCAAUCGGAUAUGGAAGUAGUGGUGGACUCUCUAUGAUCGAAAAGAGUGAAGAGCUCAUGCACCAACUCCUUCAUCAUAAUAUCGUCUUCAUCAAGAUUGGACCCACCAUAUAAAUCUUAAAGUUUAGUCCAAACUUCAUGAGCUUACUUGCAAGUCGAGAUAGACUUAAACACCUCAGGACUUAUGGUUCGAUGAAUGGCAAGAAAAGCCUCACAAUCAAGAUACAUUUCAUUAGUAGAUGAAGAUGCAUCAUCCUUUUUGUCGGCAAUCCCUACAAGAACAAUUCGUAAAGUAUUUGGGCCCAUGGCCCGAAAGUGAUGGAGCAUACGAAUUCUCCAUAGGGUAUAAUUUAUGCCAUCAAAGUCAAAGGUGUCAUUGUGCACUAAUCCAAUAGUCGACAUAGAUACUCUCUAGGUCGUGAAACCUAAUUAAAGAGAGACCUUGCUCUGAUACCAAUUGAAAAGACCACGAUGACGCCUAGAGGGGGUGAAUAGGCUAUUUAAAAACUUCUUCGCAUUUGGCUUAAACCUAAUGCGGAAAUAAACUAAGAGGAUACUUUUCAAGCAAAAAUCCUAAAUGCAAUAGGCACCGCCACGUGUUUCAACAACACGAUCUACCAAGAUGGACACAAUACGGUUACUAACAAGCACAAGUAAGUUACAUAAACUUACUUGAGCUAUAUCACACGACAAGUAGGUGAACGACACAAGAUACUAGAUCACACUAUAGCACACGAUAUAUCAAAAGCUGCAAGUGUGGACGUGUGGAUAUAGAGGGUAUGCUUGAACGAUUAAUCUUGUACAUAGAAAUAGCCACACAAUAUAAUGAGCACAAACAAUAUGCAAUGUAUGUAUGCUCAAGUAACACAAGUAAACCACAAGUAAGGAGUUAGGGUUAAGGAUAACCAAGGUCACUGAGACAAAGAUGUAUCCCGAUGUUCACUUCCUUGGAGGGAAGCUAGUCACCGUUAGAGAGGUGGAUGUUACCACGAAGGCACACCAACGCCAGGAAGGCUCACCCUAUUCUCCCUUUGAGAUAACACCAUGAAGGCAUUUCUCAACCACUAGUGGUAAGCCUUUGAGGUGGCUUCCAAACCCUCACAAACUUUUCCGGGGGGUAAUCACAUGGAUUGAUUCCUCUCCGAAGAACUCCUACCUCCUAGGAGUCUCCAACCUCCAAGAGUAACAAGAUCACGGGGAAUGCUCAAAACUUGCUCAAAUCUCAAAUAGCUUGGGUUGAGAGAAGGAGAGGGAGACGAUCUAUCUUUUGAUUGGAACAACUCUCAAAGGGGCUCACAAGUGCUCUUGGGAUCCAAGAUUUGGUGUGAGCAAAUGUGUGUGAGGUAGAAAUGUGUUCUUAUGAGGAUAUGGCUGUGUUGGGAACCCUCUCACGAAGUGGGAGGGGGGGUAUUUAUAGUGGAGAGGGGAAAGUGACCGUUGGGGUCACUUAAGUCUGACAGUGGUCGGACGUCCGGCAGUUCUCGGAUGUCCGGACGCCCACAAGGGGUCGGACGUCCGACAGGAGUCGGUCGUCCGAGGGAUGUAUAUAUAUCAGGAACCACUGUAUAAACGAAUAGGGACCGGACGACCGAAGAGAAGGUCGGAUGUCCGAGAGUUCAGCUCUGUUCAAGGGCACCAGAUUCCGAAAGUGGUCGGACGUCCGGCCCUCGGACGACAGGGGGAGGCCGGAAGUCCGAGUUAUAUGACUCUGGAUUUCUCUAGUGCAAGGUUCCGGUUUUCCGACGUGGUCGGGCGUCCGGCCCUCGGAUGUCUGGAGGAAGCCGGAUGUCCAAGUUAUUUGACUCUGGAUUUCUCUGGUAUAAGGUUCCGGAUUUCCGAAGUGGUCAGGCGUCCGGCCCUCGGACGUCCGGAGGGAGCCGGAUGUCCGAGGCAUUGGUUCUGUUUUGAGAUAAAAGCAGAGCAGUGGAGAUGUGGUAUGAGCACAAAAGUACAGAUGUAGUUUGAGCAAGUUCAUCGCAAAAACUUUGAUCCCCUCUUAAUAGUGCGGGAUCCCUAAAUACUAAAGAAUCGUAAAAAGGGUACUGAUGAUCCAUACUUGAGUGUAUACUUUUAUUCGCUGAUCAUCACUCCGCACCACUAACGUCAAAGGAACUGACACCUUUGAGUUAGCCCUUUCACUUGAGCUUGAUGUUGUUGUUCCUUCUUGGCUCAAGUUGAAAGCAGGACAUGAUGAAGUCGUCAAGUAGCUCUCCCAUACAUAAUGUGGAAAGCCUAGCUUAUGUAUUCAUCUUCAUUUUUCCACCAUGUGAACAUCCACAAGAAUCAAGCAUGUAGUGCUCAGGAAUGCUUAUCUUGAUCUUGUCCUUGUUAGCACAUGAGCUUGUCCUUAUCAACAUAUGAUCAUUAACAACAACUUAAAGGGGAUUAGUGAUUAGUUAUCUAUAUGUGUGUUGUCAGCAACACCAAAACACAACUAAGGGCAUGGUUGCACUUUCAGUAGCGUGUAAACAGGAUAAGCACGUGAAGAACAAGGUGACUACAGAAUUUGAGAUGAGGAAACUGAGAAAGUCUUCAGUCAAAGUCUUCAAACAACAACGAUCAUUUUCAUCGACAAGUACUUGAGGAAAUGGAUGAUUUGAGGAAAUAGAACCAGGAGCUCGGUGAAGACAUUGAUUUGAUGACCCAGUUCCAACUGUUGAGACACUCGUGCGUCUGGUUUGGAGUGGCUUGGUAUUUAAACCAAAGGACACACAGUCCCAGGACACACAAUCCUUACCGUAUUCUCCUUGAGCUAAGGUCACACAGACCUCGCUAACACUCAUGGUAAGUCUUCACGACAGAUUUCGCUAACACUCGUGGUAAGUCUUCACGAUUUACUAUUGGAUGCUCUAGACCAUUGACGCCUAACCGUGUGGAAGAUGCAUAGUCUUCAAAGGUAUCAAGCGUCGGUUCCACACAGCAACAAUCUCUUCAGUGAUGCUCAAUCACUUUGGAUUUUGGUUUUGGUUUGGGUGUUUGGGCUUUUCCUCGCUGAUGAUUUUCUCUCAAAGUCCUCGGAGGAUGUGAUGCUCUCAAAUGACAAGUGUUAAGUUCUCCCUCACAGCAUCCGACCAGCUAGUGGUUUUAGGGGGGCAACUAUUUAUAGCCACGAAGCAAUCCCGACAUGAUAUGACAUAAAUGCCCCCUAAUGAUAUGGCUGUUAUGUGGGUAUGGUUUUGGGGACAGCUGGCGCAAAGCACAACAACGGUUGGAAUUUUCAUACUAUGAAAAUCCUCAGAUACAUCAUGUUCCUCACUUGUAGGUAAUUCGCACUAGCGAAAUCCUAAUUCCUGAGCCAGAACAAUUUCCUCAAAGACCGGAACAAUUUCGUCUCUAUUACUGAAGAAUUUGGCUGAACUGCAAGAGAUUUCCAAAGGCUUCACUCGAAGGAUUGGUUAUGUGUAGGUUUUGAGAUGAGCAUCACUUGAAUUUUUUUCCCUUGGUAUUACCUUGACCCCCUUUAAAAGUACGGUGUUCCAAUGACUCAAGAGAAAGGAAAUGAAACUACGAAAACAAAAGUCUUCACGCUUAAAAGUCCUCGCAUCAAUAUCUUCAUGGACACACCAAUUUCCUCACUUUCAAAAUCUUCAGGAAAGUAUCAAGUCUUAAGUUGAAGACAUUGAUUUUUAGGGGUCGACUUUCUUCGAAUAUAUCAAACCCAUCAGCGAUUUAUAGAGCGUGUGUACACUCAAAAACAUAUUAGUCCCUUAACCUAUAAGUCUUUAAUACACCAAAACCACUAAGGGGCACUUGAUGCACUUACAUCCUCCAUGCCCACGCACAAAAUUCUCACCCUGAAACUGAAACCCUUGAUUAUAGAUAUGUUCCGGGCGCUCAUCCUCAACGAUCAUGUUAUGCAUGAUAACACAAGCUGUCAUUACCUCCCACAAUUUCUUGGUGCUCCAAGUUCUAGCAGGAUACCUAACAAUGCCCCAUCGAGAUUGAAGAACACCAAAGGCAGGCUCCACAUCCUUCCUAACACUCUCUUGUUCCUGCACAAAUAUCUUCCUUUUCUCUCCUACAGGACACGGGAUUGUCUUCGCAAGAGUAGUCCACUAAGGAUAGAUACCAUCAGCUAGGUAGUAUCCAUAUUCAUACAUGUGGUCGUUGAUCUCAACAUUGACCUUCGGACUGCUGCCUUCCGCAAGUCUUCCACACACCAGAGAUCAUUGAAGCACGUUGAUAUCAUUGUGAGAUCCGGCCAUGCCGAAGAAAGAGUGCCAGAUCGAGAGAUAUUUUGAUGCCACGGCCUCGAGUAUGGCAGUGCAAGCUUUGACAUCGCCCUUGUACUGCCCUGCCAAGCAGAAGGGCAGUUCUUCCACUGCCAGUGUAUAUAAUCUAUGCUACCAAGCAUCGCCGAGAAGCCUCCACUGGCAUUCAUAGCCAAGAGUCGGGCAGUAUCCACAACAUUUGGCUAUCUCAAGUACUCAGGGCCAAACACUGCAAUCACUGUCCUGCAGAACCUAUACAUGGAUUCUAGGCACGUGGACUGGCUCAUACGGACAUACCCAUCAAUGAGAUCACAAGGAACUCUGUACACAAGAAUCCGGAUAGCGUCAAUGGAUUUCUGAUAAGAGGAUGCAUUUCUGAUAAGAGGAGAAGCCAAUCUUUUCAAGGGCAUCCUCAUUGCAUUCGAAAUAAUCAUCGUAUCCGACCACCCCCUCCCGAAUACGGUUAAAAACAUGCCUAGCCAUAUGUAAAUGAUGCCGGAAUUGGUGAUGUUUGAAGAGCGGGUUGGGUGUCUCAAAGAAGUCCUUCCAAAGAAGAAAGUGGUCACUUUCUCAGUUGCGAUUCAACGCAAUAGUGUGCCCCGGGAUCGAUCCUCGGGACAACGGCCACUGCCUACUAAGGUGGUCAUGAACUACCAACAUGGCAGCCACCAUCUCCUCAUCGACGGAUCAGGAAUCAUUGGGGUCACAUAGGAAAUUGUGGAAAAAAACUUGUCGGCGGAGUCCAUUUGUACCUUUGGAGCAAACCGUCGAACAACUUGCGGGCGUCGUCGAAGAAACUGGCUGGCGAAGAGACGCUCGCCUCCUCUGGACGAGGUAAUUGUCCUCCCGGCGUUCGACGAGCCUCGCGGCGUUGUCGAAGGAGCUGGCCGAGGGCGCGGGGUCGAGGUGGUGCUCGCGCCGACGUCGGGGAAGAAGCUCUGGUGGACCGGUGAGGAGAUGGUGGUGGUGGCGAUAUGGGAAGGUGGCGUGCUACGAGGAAGGUAUGUGGGCGCGGACUAGCAGGCCAGGGGAAAAGUAGGCAGGCGUCGCACGCGUCCGCCUCGUAUCUGUGCCGAUGCAAAUGAGGCUCAAAUUUAAACCAGAAAUGAUCGGUACACAGAUGAAAAGCGGAUAUGCGUCCGUUUGGGUCGACGCGUUAGACCGACUUUUGUGUCCGUUUUAACCCAAACGGACACAAGCGGACGAAAUGGGUCUGUGAGUUGGAGUUGCUCUAAAAGGUUAUUGUUUUUCCUUCCAUUUUUUCAUUUCCUGAGCUAAUUUGGAAAUAUACCUGAAACACUUUUAGGCAAAAAAAAAAUGCACAGGUUUUUUUUUUGUGGUGGUGGGUGUCUAAGGCCCUGUUUGGAACCAUAAUAGAUUAUGAUAAUCUGGAUUAUAAAGAUAAAUUAUAUAAUCUGGUUUAUAAAAAUAAUCUAGAUGAACAUGUUUGGAGGCCAGAUUAUAUAAACUGUAAUCCAGGUUUUACAUUGCAUAAUGACCUAUCUACCAUCUGUUUUUUUUAAAGAGGAGGGUAGCGAUGGUAGAAAUGUUAUUAUCUCCAACUUUACAAGGGUAAUGGGUCAUUAGCAAUCCAUAAUCUGAUUUUAGCUGGUAUAGAGUAGAUUAUGAGUUUUUAAUAAUCUAUCCAUCUAGUUUUUAUAAUCUACACUAUAAGUUGUCCUGUUUGGAAACAUAAUAGAUUAUAAAAACUGGAUUAUAUAAUCUAGAUGGUUCCAAACAGGGCCUAAAUUUAGUGGAAGGACUUGGUGCACAUAAAUCUAAAACCUCAAAUUCUAAGGAGUUCAGUUUACAGAAAUUAUAUAAGUUAUUAUGUUUUAGGAAAGUACAAAAAUAUGCUCUGAUCUUCUGAAGUCGACACUGUGGAAGGGAACUUGAGAAAUCCAGAUACAGCGGAAACCCACAUCCGUAUUUCUCCCCUCCUCGAACACCACCAGACCAGUUACUCCUACAACACCGGCUAAAACCCAGAUCGUGAACUCCCUCAGCUGGCAUCGGCAGCUUCCAUGGGACCGGAUGGCACACGAUCACGACUCGAACCAAGAAUUAGCCGGCGGUGCUUCGUGGGUACCACCAGACUGCGGCGUGCCUUUGCGUAAGAUGCUUCAGAAGACGAUCCACCGCAACGCCCACGAAUGCGACUUCACAGUAGCGCGAAUGCGCCCUUCCUUCUCGCACCGUCGCGCUCGCACCGUUCGCCAUGAGCAGUCGCCGUCAGAAUUGCCGGGUCAAGGCUCGGGGCAAGAGGCGAAACGGCGUCGGGUUUCCGUCCCGAGGCUGGCCUACGGUGCGUCGAGGAGACGGCUGAAGCUCUGUGGUCUCGUUCCAUUACCAGAAGAUAUUCAGAGCUGGGCCAAGCAGCGUGCUUUCAACAAACAAGCAAGUUUCAGCUACAACCGCAGGCUGCUUUCAACAUUUCCAGCGGCCACAAUCUGUAUUGCCUAUCAUCAAGUGUACCGAAGCUUUAUAUAUACUACAGAACACACUCAUCACAGCAGGCACGCUAAACAGCUAAUGGCUAUCCGCUAUAGUUGCCGCUACCAGGCUGUUGUAGCAGGGUGGCCCUGGAGCUGGCCCUGGCGAUUGCCGCUUCAGGCAUAGUUCCAUGUCGUCGGCAUCCUUGUGGACUGAAGAGGGGGCACAUUUCGCACGUUCACGUCAAGCGGCAACAUCCGGUACUCGAUGUCGAGGUCCUUCAGUACUCUGAUCAUCUCUUGGAGCACGAGUUCCCUCCUCACAAACCUCAUGCCCAUGUCCUGGAAGUUGAGUGUGUGCCGGAGCCAUAUGGAUACCUUGAGCUUGUUGGUCUCAUCUACAUCUCGGAGGACCACCAUCGCACCCGGGUACCAAUGCUCCUUCUUACCGUCAACGUAACUGGGCCACAAGCAAAAAACAAACCAUAUCAGUUUGAUGUGGUAUAUCAGCAGCAAAUGGCACUACAAACUACAUAUGCGUAUGUUCCCACAUUGACCAUACAUGCCUGCCGACGACUGAAUUCCACAAGUAAUAACAGAGGAAAGUUGCCCACGGUAUGUUUACACCUAUAUUGUCAACAUGGAACUGAGAUAGCAGAAGCACCGAUACGCACCGUAGUAUUCUUUCCUUCAUGAGAGCCAGUUUUUCCACCGGCGUGGCAACAUGAAUAGAGAAGUCAAUUCCUUCUCCCAUAUCAGGACUCCUGUAGAAAUUAAAAAUCGGCUUGGUGGCCAGCACACUGUUCGGAUAAUAGAUCUUCAGGUUAUCAUAACGUAGGAAGACUGUUGUCAUGAUAUUCAUUUCCUCCACAACAACCUGAAAUUUAAGUGCUUAAAACGUCAGUCACGGAAUGCAAGGGAGUAUUAAACAAAUAAGGAGCACCGAGAAGAUAUAUUCAUUACCUGAACUUCUUCAAUCUCACAGCGGUCGCCAACAUCAAAAGGAUGCAUCACGAAUAAGAAAAUAAUUGCCUCAAAAAUUGUCUUCAUAGUAUUCCCGAACACAAAAACUGCCACAAGAAGCUGUGAACUGAUGAAGACAAAGAAAUGUGUCGUCGCUAUGCCCAGAAUAAGAAGCCAGAGAGCAGACACUAUGAGGCCAACAACAAUAUUGCACAUCUGGUUGAGCUUGUUAACUGCAGUUUUUGUAUCAUUAAGUGUUAGGGCAAGAGCUUUGCGCUCUCUAAAUGCAUUCACCUACAGAAGAAAGCAUGUUAGAAAAGGCAUCUUGACGGCAAAAAUCAAUGGUAACUCUAUGCAACUUAGAUAGUAGGGUAAUAAGAUCAUUACCACCCAGUUCUUCAGAGACCUCCUGCUGACCCUACAGUGCUCCUGUGCCCCUUCAAAAAGAUGCAUAGCUUUGAUGGCUUCCUCCUGCCUCAUGAAGCGCAUCAUGUCUGCCAAGUAUAUGUACCUGCAUUAUUCAUACAUUUAUGGUCAACAAUCUGAAUCAGUAAAUUGCCACUAUUCUAAGAACUACAAGAUUUGAAAUAUUGCAGUGAAGGCUGAGGGCAAGUAUUCUUGUAAAGUUGUGUAAUAUGUCCAUUUUUAUGAUUAACAGCGAAUACAGCAGUGUACUAUAAGUCUAACAAUUAGCCUGCUAUUUAUGAAAUUAACAGAACUGUUAUAUUACAGGUGUACCUCAUGAGCCCAAAAUUCCUACAUGAAAGAAGUUGUCUGUCUAAAAUAAUGCAACUUGCAAACUAAAAGAUAAGGAUGCGUAUCUAAGACAACAAAGAAAUGCUUACUUGGAUCCAGGCUUAGCCACAUUAUGAAAGAUCUUCUUGGCGGCCACCUGCGCCUCAUAUUCGCUGCGAAUCUGUGUCGCUGACUCGUCCCCCUCUCCCGUUGCCUGCUGAAUCUGCUCGUCCAUUGUGGUGAGCGUCCCAAAACGAACAAUCUUCAUCAGCCUCUUCAUGUUCCAUGCCGAGACGUUUUUCUGAUUGAGCCUGUGGAGCUUGUCAAUGGUGAUCCCUUCAUCAAUCUCACGCUGUUUCUUCUCCUUUGACAGCUGCCUGCUCGAUUGGUCUCCCUUGGAAAUUAAGCCCGAGAUCCGGAUGCUCUUUUGCCCCGAAAGAUUCUUGGCCGGCAAGGCACCACGUAGCUCUUUCGGGAUGGUUGCGCCUGCCCGUUGCAGCUCACGCACCUCGGCAAGCACGUAGUCUUCGUCAACAAGCGGCGGCCCAGAGAGCGUCUCGAUGACAUACUGGUUGAACAAUGCCUCUUGAAUCCGAUCAAAGUACGUCGAGACAUGGAAGGACGAGGCCAGCACCUUGAGCAGCAGCGUCUUGACGAGGCGGAUGAGCGUGGCGACGAGGAAGCAGAAGAGCACCUUGGUCACGUAGGGCAGCACCGCCGUGUUGGUCUCCCGUUGGACGUUCUCGUCAAACAAGAAGUGCCAAGAGGCCAGAACCAGGCCGAGCCAGAGCGCGUUCUGCACGGCGCCGCGCACGCCGUACACGAAGUAGAGCACGCGCUUCCGCAGCACGAAGUUGCGCUCGACGCAGAACACCACGAUCCGGAUGACCCAGCCGGAGACGAGACGGCCGCAGAUGAGCACGAACACGAGGAGCUCCCACUUCCAGAGGUGCAGCUCCCAGACCUUCUUCCGGGACAAGGGCUUUAUCGUGAGGCUGCACACCAAUGCCCCGAUGAUGAGCACCAGGCCGACCCACUGCAGUAUGGUGAGAGCGUCCAGCUUCCCACGCUUGAAGUCGUCAGGGAUGUCGUCGUCUAUGAAGGGAUCGUCCUCCUCUUCCUCCAUGGGGCCCGACUUGCCGAUGACCCCCGACUUGCGCCCUGAGGGAGACUGGCCGGAUUUGCCGGUCAUACGCCCUGAAGGAAACUGGCCGGACUUGGGAGGCCGGGCAGAAGACUUGCGCUCCUCGUCGACGGCAGGGGGCGCCAUCGGUGACUGCGGCGGCGGGUCCAUGAGCCGGGAGCGCGUCUUGGCUCGCAGUAAUGGGCCCUUCCCCGCUGGAGUGGAAGUGGAGGUGUUGCGUGUUCCGUCAUCGCCGGCGCGCCUACGGCCGCCGGCGGUAUCGGAGUCGGAUGAAGACGAGGAGGACGACUGGCGGUCCUUGAAGGAGACACGCGGCGUCUCCCGUUCUCUGGAGUUGGAUAAGGACGGAUGUGACGACCUCCCGAUGUCGUCCAUCUCCAGGUCGAGGUCGAGCGACAGCUCGGCCCCGGCCGCCUUCUGCUUCCGGAGGAAGUUCCCGAUGAGGCGCGUGGGCGGGUCCUCGGCGGCGGCGUCCACCACCGGCUGCUUCGGCGAGAGCGAAGGGGACGACGCCUGCGACGACGGCGGCGGCUGCGCCGGCCGGUUCUUGAAGCUGAAGUCCUCGACGCGGGGCGCGGGGGCUCCCCCUUUCCCGCCGCCCUCGUUCUUCCAGAAGUCGUAGCUCCCGUCGUCCCACCCCUUGGUCGGCGAGCUGGCGGCGGUCGACAGCGUCCUGCCCGCCGUCGGCUUGGCGCCGGCAUUCCCAGCCGCCCCGCCGACGUCGGCGCCGGGGACGGAGAAGGGCGCGGGGCCGUUGCCGUUGCCGUUGCCGUCGAUCUUGAGCACCACCUCCCGCCGCUCGCCGAGGCCGGGCGCCAUGGCCUGCUCGUCCGACAUGGACAGCGACCUCAGGCUGCUCUUCCGCUGCACCUGGUCCAUCGCCGCCGACCAACACGCACCACAGACACACGCACACGCACACGCACACGAGACGCUCGCUCCUUCCUCCCUUUCACCGCUUCCGCGAUAACUCGGCGAAAAUCAACCGCUCGAGCGUUGCAAAACUAGGGCCCCGGGAUGGUGGUGGUAUUCACGAGGGAGGGCGACGGAGAGGGUUCGGGAACAACGUGGAGCGGCACAAAGCUGACAACACUUGGCGAACCUUUUCGCCGCUCCCUUCCCUCCCUCUGCGUUGUUGGGCCUCGCGCCGGUCCGCGAUACUUGUAGGCAGCGGCGCCAGCGCACGCCGGGAUCCACGUACGUGGCGCGCUGCGGGAUGGGAACUGACUAAACAAACGGAUUUGCUGCCGCUAAUCAGAGAUUUGGGUGCGCAGGGCCUCGACUAUCACAUCCGGGAUUUGCGGCGCGGAAGUGGGAGCGCGUCACCAUUUUUUUGGUAGUGAAUUAACCUGUCGAGCGUCGACCAAGGUGAAAGAGACAAGAUCGAAUACUGUACACAGUGCCACACUACGGUGGUAGUAGAGUACUUUGGUCUAGGUGUGUAUGUAAGUAUUGCGUGACGCGACACGGUACCUGUACGGUACGCCGUACAUAUACACGACUAAUGUGAACCGGAGAGGGUGUUGCCGUCGCUGCGAUCGGUCUCACUCGUGCUAAUCUCGGGUCAUGCCGGCCAUGUUUAAAGGAUCGAUCCCGUGGAAAAAGAUUGGCACCAUCGAUACAAAGCAUUUGUACGUGCAUGCUUAGCAUGUGACCUCUGCUUUCGGCCCCGUCACCGGUCGUAUCUCCCAACCGCGGCACGCCACCGGUAAUCCACCACGUCCGUUUCUCGGUUACCGUCCUAAUCUCGUGAUUUGGAUGGAUGACGAUCAUGGAGAUGGAAUAAGGCACAAUGGGAGCAGCAGGUCGGCUUGGCGUCCGUCGGCCUCGGCGGACCCAGCCAGCCGGCUAACUUCUCUGGUCAGAGGAGGCUUGGAGAGCGCAGCGGAACCAAAACGUAAAUUCUUCACAUGGGUGCCGUUGGCUGCAGCAUAACGAGAUCUUGACGCCAUGGUUUGGCCAUUAGCGGCUGGGCUCCAAGAGGCCAUGGCCCGUGCAGUACUACCAAUUAUGACCCUCCAAUAAUCGGAAGCGCCCCCACUUAUAUUAGGCACCCCUCAAAGAAAACUUAUACGUACUCAAGAGUAUUAGGCAAAAAGUUUGGGGGAUGGAGAGAGAACGUGUAUAAUGUGCAAGCGUUCAGGCUGUUUUCGAAAGAAAGAGAAAAUUGUUUUGCUGUUCGUAGAACGCCCGAGAUUACUGUUUCUAACGCACGCCCGAGAUUUAUGGCCAGCGACGAGCUUUGCUUUGCAGAACCAUGGGAGGAGCUCGAAGUAAUGGCGGUCCCGGUGGGUGUGGAUAAGCUAGAUUUGGAAGGCCGACGGAUAGAUAGGGCUCAUCUGACAGGGUGGUGGGCCCACAUGUAAGGCCGGAGGGCAUUCCCCUCCUCAAGAAAAGGAGAGUCGGAGGGCAAUGAUCUAAGCCGGCGUCACGAGGAGACUAGGUGAUGGCCCUACAUACCAGUCCGAUGGCCUACCAAGUUCGUAUACUGUAAUACUGUAUGGAGGAGCAUUAUUUGUAGAAUUUCAUUGAUUGUCACUGCAUAUUUGGCCAUGCACUGUUUCCUUCAUCACUUAGCCUACUUGGAGGAACCGCUUAUAGUCUUUACACGGCACGAAAUCUAUCAAUUACUGUAGAUGCCAAUCAUUAAACGCGUGGUUGAUGGGCAACAGUACUACUAGUAAUGUACAGCCAAACUUUGUUUUAUCCGGCAGGGAAGGAACAAAAAACGGAAGUCGGAGAAAAUCAGGGGUACGGUGAUUCAUUAGCUAGGUAGCAUCUGAGCCAGGCUAGAGGAAGUACCACAUGUAUACCAGACCAUAGAGCGGACCUCCGGGGGCUGUUUGUUUGAGUCUAGGCGUAGGCUGGGGCUUUUUAGAGCAAGCAACCCAUGAGUUGAUACCCUACUUUUUAGAGUGCCCCGUCCGGCGCGCCGUGGAGCUGACACGAGAACGAACUGUGUUCCAAACCCUUUGUAUAUCCUAGGUUAGCUGUUGUUUGUAUCAUCAUCUAUUCAUCAUCGUGAACAAAAGAUUGGAGGAUUCGUGGACUCGUGGUGCAUGGAGGACAGAUCAUUCACCUUUUCCCCUUAGUCUAACAUCAUGUCAUUCAUGUGUGUCCUCCCUUUAUACCGAGCCGUUUGACUAGUGACACCAAAAGAGAGCGCAUCCCUUACAUGACCACGCCGCGCAUCUACUCCAAGAUAAGGUCAGAGAUCACCCGCUCUACUCCUCCUCCUCUAGCUGGUGGCCAGGACCAAAGCGGAUCGCCCGUUGAUGCGCCGGUAAAAAAGGAAAAGAAUGCUCCACUUUCACCCGCUCCUACCGGGAAAAGAGAGCAACGUGUACGAACGGAACCUCACGAGAGAACUCGGGUGCGCCGGCCAGGCGCUGAGCUGCGUGCACCUGUGCCGCGCCGCGUCAAGCCCGGAUCCCUGUAGCAUCCGCACGCGGCGGGGCCGCGCUGGCGGAACCACCGUAGCUUUCUUUCUCGGGGAAUGGUACGGCACGCCAGGUAGCCAGGCAGGCACGCAGUACGUUACGUUUUUGGGCUGCGCAUGUCGAGACACAGGUGUGCGUGCGUGUGGGCAUCUGUACGCGCGACGGAGCACCGGACGACGGGGACAUGGUCUACGAGAUGGCUACGGCUGUGCUGGCCUGUACCGGCGGCGUUGUCGCGCUCGCGUCCCGUUUCAUACCGGCCGAGCUGGGCAGGCACGAGCAGCCUGGAUCGGGUGGCUGGAGAGUACCCCGACCACGCCUCCGGCACCGGCUCUGGCGAUAUGAUGGUUUUUGCCGGAGGGGCGGACAGGUGUGUGGGCCGGAUUGGGCAGGCGAUUCGUCGCGUGCUUGAGCGGGGAUAGUCGGGGAAGGGUUUUGUAGUUUUGCGUUUCCGGGUGAUGGAGAUGUGCCCAUGCACGACGAGACUGCUGUUUUCAGGGAGAGGCUUUCCUUCGUCUCGUCUCUCGUGGGGUCUCGGCGUCGUCCUCUCCAUGUCGACCACUGGGGACAGACAGACAGACAGACAAUCGGAUGGCACGCGGGCCAAUUCUUUUUCUGUUUAACGUACUACUGCUACUCCAUAAUGAUCGGGUAGCUCGCGGGAAUUCCUUGUUUUUUCUUCAGGGAAAAAUCGCUGUUUAUUUGUGAUGUUCAACGGGAGGAGGACGCGAAUUUGGAGGUGGUUGUGGCCUCUGACCAGAUCGAGGGAAGAGGACGAUCGUCCACAGGUUUUCUACUGCCGGGGCGGAGCAUCUAUGGACAGUGCUCGGUAGAGAACUCGGUGUUAGCUUCUCAGGCUGCAGUCGUGAUAAAUAUCAGGCUUUCAAGUACUGUGUGUACAGGUGUGUGGGCGUACUGCACUGGUGCCGGACUGUGGCGGCGUGGACGUGGCUAGGGAUGAAAACGGAGUGAAAACGGACGGAACUGGAUGCUAUCAGAUCUGUUUUCAUAUUUUUUUCAGAAGCAAAAACGAAUACGAAAACCCCGGAAAUGAAUAUGCAAACAGAUACUACCGGAAACAGACACAGAGCGAAUACGGAACGGACACGGAAACAUGAGUGGGCAUUUUUUGAAAAUUUAAAACCCCUUGAAUCAUGUAGAAAUAAACAUAAAACCAAAAAUAUAAUGAAAUAUUACCAUGGCUAAAAAUAAUAUGAUUGUGUUGGCACCUUAGCAUAGUAUAAUAGUAGUAGCAGUCAACAAUUGUGUAUAGGGUCUAGUUGAGUAUGUAUGUGGUAAUUGGGCAUCAAAUGAUCCAUUAUGACUAUUUUGUCAUUGUGUGUUGUUUGAUAGUUGGGCUACAAAGCAACCAUAGGCCUAUACAAAAAAUGAAAAUAUCAUAUUCACGAAAACGGAAAGUUUCAUUUCAACAUCUGUUCCACCGAAAGAACUGUUCCGUUUUUGUUUCCGCUUCCGUAUAAAAUAUUCCAUUUCCAUUUUUAUUUUACAAAUUUUCAUUUCCGUUUCAUAUUUCCUUUUCAUUUUUAUUUUUUCUACGAAAAAGCAGAAAGUUUUCACUCCGUUUUCAUCCUUAGGCGUGGCUCCUCCUACCUUCACCAAUAUGGAUUUCUGAGAGCAAAAACAGGAAAUUUUGGAAAGCAAAAAGACUUGCGAAUAUUGCGUCACGGUAAUUCACGCCUGCUGCAUCACUACGUUGUGGUAUCACUUCCUCUUCAUUACGGUGUGUUUACCUCCCUCCAAAAGGCUUUGCUGGAGGGAUUCUUGUGGAAAUAGAUAAUUGUGACUUUGGUAUUAUCUUUUCUUUGUCAAAACGGAAGAAGCUAGCCCUACGGCGAAUCCAGUAGCUCGAAAAGUGAAGGGCACAUAGUUUUGGACUGCACUAACGUCCAAACGUUAUGCUUAUAAGCGAUAGAUCCGAACGAGUAUUCUCUUCCGAUCCAACUCCUCCCGCUUCGUUCCCCUCCUGCUUAUUUUUUCUUCGAUCCAACUCCUCCCGCUUCGUACCCUUGCCGCUUUUUUUUCCUAGGGUGAUGGAAAAGUUGUAAGAAGUGGGAUUCGAAGAAACCAACCAGCAUUGCAUGCCUAUGCCUCAUGCAUGCAUGCAAGUAAGACAAAAAUUGCUGACAUCAUAAAAAAUUUCAUGGUGUUUCAACUAUCUUUUUUUGCCUGGGUCGGAAAUUGACCAUGAUGUUUAUAAGUAAAUUAUCAUGUCUACAGUAUCGCCUACCAUCGGUGAUGUGCCUUGGCCGUAGGGUGAGGUCCACAUGCCGACAUGGCAUGACUCACUUUAUAAACAGAACUUUGCGGGUCGUGGUAGUCCACGGUUGUUUAGGUGUGUGUUGGGUUGUGCCGUACCCGGGUCGGCCUGUUGGCCACCUAUAAUCAGGUCUGUUGAUGGGGAUAUGUACCUAGGAUAGGGGUCAUAGGCCUGACCUAAAUGUUCUAUCCAAGGGCACCUCAUUAUUAGGUCAAGGGUCAGUCAGAAGACACCGACUGGAUGAAGAUGGUACUUAAAAGUCACCCUGUACGAAGGCACUCGGAUUAAAUUUACAUCCACUCGACAACCCAAAUGCACUCGGAAGGAUUCCAGUCGGUAUUGAAGAUCAGAAGUCACCCACGACGGCCACCGGACACACGUUCAACCAAUGAUCUUUAGUAGCAUUUAUUACCCACUAACGUUAUCAGUGACAUAUAUCUUUAACUCAUCUUGAUCGAGCCCUUAGAUGCUGAGGUAUUGAUAAGAGGUGGCGCACUCUAUAUAAGCCACCCCUCUCCUCUGGCACAAGGGUUCGCACCCCGUGUAUUACACAAAACUAGCCCGCAAAAGCUCCCGAGCACCUGAGACGUAGGGUUGUUACCUCUAAGAGAGGGGCCCGAACUCAUACAUCUUGCGUACAAUCUUGCCAUAGCUAAGACUCUGCCCUCUCCAUUCGUACCCUAGACCUCUACUGUCAGGUUUAAUCCCACGACAGUUGGCGCCCACCGUGGAGCAGACGUCUAAGCGACUUCCGGCAAGUUUGCAUUUUUUUUCACUCUUCAUCAUGUCUUCCGGCAGCAGUUCGUUCAUGGGCAAUGAGAUCCAUUUCGGCGCCCUCAUCUUUGUCGCCGACGACUCAGCGUGGCUCCCAGAAGUGCCACUGGACGUCAAGACGCUCCCAGUUCGUGGUGGGACGCACUUCUGUGCAAAAUCCUUCGGCGUUCUCCUUCUGCAGUCGUCGAGUGCGUUGUCAGCUCUUCACUCCGCUGUUCGUCACCGCAAGCGAUCCGAUCGCUCUCGACUCCAGCGGUGGGUGAAGCACGUGGUGGCUCGUCAUGCGUUGUUUCCGUCGACCCCUCAGGUUGCAGCCAUCGAACCUGUUGUACCUCUUCAGGACCCGAUCCACUCGGCGUUAGUCCAGUCUGACGUUCCUUCCGAGUGCGAGAGCUGCAACCCAGCAGCAGAGGUCUUCAUAGAGGGGUCCACAGAGAGCCCACCCGGGUUCGGUCGUGGCGAGCACGAGGCCGGUGAACCGUCGUCUGGACGCGGUCGUCGUCGUCAUCAAACUUCCAGUCGGCAUCAACAGAACUCUUCUCAGGCGACCAUCGCACCAAUACUGAGGUAUAUCAUACUCCGGUACUUAAUGUCGCAGCCGCAGCCAAAAUAGCAGAUUCAAUUCAGCCUUCAGAUUCAGAGGCAGGCAGAAGUUUAGAGCAGAUUCGAGCUUUGCUUCAAGCAGCACAUCAACAGAAUUCAGCUGUAUCACAGUCGAUCAAUAGAUUGCACAGAAAUUCGCCAAGGGCGGAGACAGUCCGGUCAGUAUACAGUCCAGGUUCACCUAGCGUCACAGAGGCGGAGGUUACCGAGAGUAUCAGCACAGAGACCUGGGUUGGAACCAACUUCCCCCUCGUCAUCACCGUGAUGACCACCGUCGAGUGCAUUCUCCUCCGAGGAGCGGCUCGUAUGUGCCCCGGCACUAUGAUGACCGGCGCCCGUUCGGUGAUGAGCGGAACCCCGGAUUUGAUGCAAGAUAUGUACUUGCACAGAGAAGGAUUGAUAGAGGAAGAGCCUACCGGGAAGGUCUCUACAGAGAUCAACCGAGUGGAAGUGGAACCACAGUUUCUGAUCCCGAGUGUUUCAGUAGAGCAAUCCGCUCUGCUGAUAUCCCUCCUAAUUUUAGGUUGGCGACUGGAGUGAGUAAGUUCACAUGCGAGUCUAAGCCCGAGACUUGGUUAGAUGAUUACCGAGUUGCAAUACAGAUUGGCGGCUGCUAUCCCACAGACAACAGCGCCAGAAAUUAACACGUUGACGGAGGCUGGGCUUGCGUUGGUUUUUCCCUUGAAGAGGAAAGGGUGAUGCAGCACAGGAGCAGUAAGUAUUUCUCUCACUUUGAGAACCAAGGUAUCGAUCCAGAAGGAGGAUCUCAUCAAGUCCAGAGUACCUGCGCAAACACAAACAAGCUUGCACCCAACACUUCAAAGGGGUUGUCAAUCCCUUCAAGAUUGUUUGCAAAGUGAGAUCUGAAGGCGGAAAGUGGAACGAAGUAAAAAGUGUAAGGCUGAAAAUAUGGUGUGGAGUAGACCCUGGGGGCCAUAAUGUUCACUAGAGGCUUCUCUCAAAAUAGCAAGUAUUACGGUGGGUGAACAAAUUACCGUCGAGCAAUUGAUAGAACCGCGCAAAGUCAUGGCGAUAUCUAAGGCAAUGNNNNNNNNNNNNNNNNNNNNNNNNNNNNNNNNNNNNNNNNNNNNNNNNNNNNNNNNNNNNNNNNNNNNNNNNNNNNNNNNNNNNNNNNNNNNNNNNNNNNNNNNNNNNNNNNNNNNNNNNNNNNNNNNNNNNNNNNNNNNNNNNNNNNNNNNNNNNNNNNNNNNNNNNNNNNNNNNNNNNNNNNNNNNNNNNNNNNNNNNNNNNNNNNNNNNNNNNNNNNNNNNNNNNNNNNNNNNNNNNNNNNNNNNNNNNNNNNNNNNNNNAACGCUUUAAGCAAGAUGACAUGAUGUAGAGGGAUAAUCUCAAACCAAUGAUAAACCCCAUCUUUUUACCCUUGAUGGCAACAACACGAUGCGUGCUUCGCUACCCCUUCUGCCACUGGGUGAGGUCACCGCACGGUAUGAACCCAAAACCAAACACUUAUCCCAUUGCAAGAAUCAUAGAUCUAGUUGGCCAGACAAAACCCACAACUCGAAGAGAAUUACAAGGAUAUGAAAUCAUGCAUAAGAGAGAUGAGAAGAAACUCAAAUAAGAUUCAUAGAUAAUCUGAUCAUAAAUCCACAAUUCAUCGGAUCUCGACAAACACACCGCAAAAGAAGAUUACAUCGGAUAGAUAUCCGUGAAGAUCAUGGAGAACUUUGUAUUGAAGAUCCAAGAGAGAGAAGAAGCCAUCUAGUUACUAGCUAUGGACCCGUAGGUCUAUGGUGAACUACUCACGCAUCAUCGGAGAGGUCAUGGUGUUGAUGAAGAAGCCCUCCGUAUCUGAAUCUCCCCUCCGACAUGGCACCAGAACGUACCCCAGAUGGGAUCUUGCGGAGACAGAAGCUUGCGGCGGCGGAAAAGUACUUUCGAUGAUCUCCUUGUUUUUUCUGGAAUUUCUGGAAUUAUAUAGGAGAAAGACCUAGGGCAAAGGGCGUCUAGGGGGGCCCACAAGCCUGGAUGGCGCGGCCUCCCCCCUGGCCGCGGGAUGGGGGCUUGUGGGGCCCCUCAGGCUCCCCUACCUUGGCUCCCAAGCUUCCCGAUCUUCUUCCAUUCCAAAAAAAAUCUUUUCGAGGAUUUUCUUCCGUUUGGACUCCAUUUCAAAAUCUCCUCUGAAAUGGGUCAAAAACGUGGAAAAAACAGGAACUGGCACUUGGCACUGAGUUAAUAAGUUAGUCCCAAAAAAUAUAUAAAAGGCAUACAAAACAUCCAAAGUUUGACAAGAUAGUGGCAUGAAACCAUCAAAAAUUAUAGAUACGUUGGAGACGUAUCAAGCAUCCCCAAGCUUAACUCCUGCUUGUCCUCGAGUAGGGAAUGAAUUUUUGAUGUGGAAUUCUACCUAGCAUAGUUGUCCUUUGCAACUUCUUUCACGUGGCAUGAAUGUUCAGAUCCGUAAGAUUCGAAACAAUAGUUUGCUAUUGACAUGAAAACAAUAAUACUUCAAGCAAACUAGCAUGGUAUUCAUGAACUUUCAAAAUAACAAGGCCAAUGAAAGUUAUCCCUACAAAAUCAUAUAGUCUGGCUAUGCUCCAUCAUCCUCACACAACUAAUGUAAAUCAUGCACAACCCCGGUAUUGGCCAAGUAAUUGUUUUCGCACUCUUACUUUCUCAAACUUUUUAUGACUAUCACACAAUACAUGAGCACGAGCCAUGGAUAUAUCACUAUAGGUGGAAUAGAGUGUGGUGGUGGUUGUGAGACAAAAAAGGGAGGAGAUGGUCACAUUGACUAGGCGUAUCAAAAAGGCUAUGGAGAUGCCCAUUAAUAGAUAUCAAUGUGAAUGAGUAGGGAUUGCCAUACAAGAGAUGCACUAGAGCUAUAAGUAUGUGAAAGCUCAAGAGUAGAACUAGUGGGUGUGCAUCCAACUUGCUUUGUCACGAAGACCUAGGGCAAUUUUGAGGAAUCCCAUCAUUGGAAUAUACAAGCCAAGUUAUAUAACGAAGAUUCCCACUAGCAUAUGGUAGUGACAAAGCAAGAAGCUCUCAAUCAUGAAGAACAUGGUGCUAUCAUGAAGCACAAGUGUGGAAAAAGAUAGUAGCAUUGUCCCUUCUCUCUUUUUCUCUCUUUAUUUAUUUGGGCUCUUAGGCCUCUUUUUUUUCUUUUGUUUUCUCCCCUUUUUUUUUUUUUGUUUUUGGGCUCUUUGGCCUCUUUUUUAUUUCCUCACAUGGGACAAUGCUCUAAUAAUGAUGAUCAUCACACUUUCAUUUACUCACAGCUCAAAAUGAUGAUGACUCUAUUGGAAAUGCCUCCGGUAGUGUACCUGGAUGUGCAACGAUCUAGCAUGGCGUAUGACGUUGAAACAUCUCGCUAGCUAUCUUACAAUCAUGCAAUGGCAAUAUGAGAGUGACGGCACAAGUCAUGAGACGGAACGGUGGGAGUUGCAUGGCAAUAUAUCUCGGAAUGGCUAUGAAAAUGUCAUAGUAGGUAGGUAUGGUGGCUGUUUUCAGGAAGGAAUUUGGUGGAUUUGUGCACCGGCGAGAAUUGCGCGGCACUAGAGAGGCUAGCAAUGGUGAAAGGUGAAAGUGCAUCUAUACCAUGGACUCACAUUAGUCAUGAAGAACUCACAUACUUGUUGCGGAAGUUUUUAUUAGUAAUCGAAACAAAGUGCUAAACGCAUACUCCGAGGGGAAGGGUUGGUAGGUGUUAACCAUCGCGCGAUCCCUACCUCAACACAAAGGAUGACAAUCAAUAAAUCAAUUAUGCUCCGACUUCCUAACAUAGCGGUUCACCAUACGUGCAUGCUACGGGAAUCACUAACUUCAACACAAGUAUUUCUAGAUUCACAACACCCUACUAACAUAACUCUUAAUAUUACCGAAUCCACGUCUCAAAACUAAUUGAGAGGAACCAAAACUUCUCUUUGUAUUCAAUGCACAUGAAGAUGGAGGUUUUUGUAUCCUCUUUGGGUACCUAUCACAUUUGGGACUACUUUCAUAGCAUAAGACAACUACCAAAUCACGCAUCUCCGUGCUCUAAAGAUAUAAGUGAAGCACAAGAGCAAAAGUAUCUAACUCAAAAGAUAUAAGUGAAGCACUAUGAGCAUUCUAGCAAAAUCACGAUGAUUGCAUGUCUCUCUCUCUAAAAAAGGUGUGAAUCAAGGAUGAUUGUGACACAACAAAAAUAAAAGACUCCUACGAUACAAGACGCUCCAAGCAAAACACAUAUCAUGUGGUGAUAAAAAUAUAGCUCCAAGUAAUGUUACCGAUGGAUUGAAGACGAAAGAGGGGAUGCUUUCCCGGGGCAUCCCCAAGCUUAGGCUUUUUGGUGUCCUUGAAUUUGGAUUGGGAUGACUUGGGCAUCCCCAAACUUGAGCUCUUUCCACUCCUUAUCUCAUCGUCCACGAGAACAUCACCCAAAACUUGAAAACUUCACAACACAAAACUUAAACAGAAACUCGUGAUAACAUUAGCACAAGAAAACAAACUACCACUUCUUUUGGUACUGUAGAAAACUUUAAUUCUACCUAUAUUGAUGUUGGGCUACUGUAUUCUCACUUUUCCAUGGCUAGUACCCCCGAUACUAACCAUAGUUUCAUCAAAACAAGCAAACAACUCAACAAAAACAGAAUCUGUCAAAAACAGACCAGUUUGUAGAAAUCUGUAUACUUCGUAUACUUUUGAUACCUAAAAAAAUCUGAAAAAUUACGACGGCCUGGGGAAAAAGCAUAUAAAUCAGCAGCAAAAAGAAUCUACUCAAAAUCUCUUUCUUAAUAAAAAUGAAAAAUCAUCUCGUGAGCGAAAAGUUUCUGUCUUUUUCCAGCAAGAUCAAACAACCAUUACCAAGACUAGUCAUAAAGGCUUUGCUUGGCUCAAACACAAAAAGAAACACAAAAAACACAAUCACAACAGAAUUAUGAAAGUGUGGACGCAACAAAACAUAAAUGAAAAUAUAAAUUCAUUGGGUUGGCUCCCAACAAGCGCUAUUGUUUAACGCCCUUAGCUAGGCAUUGAUAAUUCAAUGAUGCUCACACAAAAGACAAGAAUUGAAGCACAACAAGAGCAUCAUAAAGCAUGUGAAAAUCACAUCUAAGUCUAACAUACUUCCUAUGCAUAGGCAUUUUAUAGGAAAACAUAUUGUCAAGACAACCAAUAGUUGCCAUAUGCAAGGAAGAAGAAAGAGACAAUAGCAAUCUCCACAUAACGAGAGGUAAUUUGGUAACAUGAAUGUUUCUACCACAAUAUUUUCCUCUCUCAUAGCAAUUGCAUGUGGGAUCAUAAUCAAAUUCAACAAUAUAGCUAUCCCAUAGGAUAUUCUUUUCACGAUCCACAUGCAUGAAAAGUUGACGCUCUUAAAAAAUAGUGGGAUUAUCGUCAACUAAAGUCAUGACGUCUCCAAACCCACUUUCAAUAUUAUUGCAAAUAUCAUUGCAACAAGUAGUGGACAUAGAAAAACUAGCACCCCCAAGCUUAGGGUUUUGCAUAUUUUUAGCAUGAUUGUCAUUAAUAGAAUUUAUAAUGAAAUCAUUGCAAUCAUGCUUUUCAUUCAAGGAGCCGUCGUGAAUCAUUUCAGAAAUUUCCUCAUCACGAUUUUCAGAUUCACGCAUCUCAAGCAAAACUCCAUAGAGAAAGUCAAGUGCACUCAACUCACUAGCAAUUGGUUCCACAUAAGUGGAUCUCUUAAAGAGAUUAGUAAGUGGGUGAGGAUCCAUAUCACUAGAUUUUCAGCAAGCGAAGAUGCAAGCAUAUUGAAGGCACAUAGCACACAAGUGAACAAAGAGCAAGCGAGAGAAAAGGGCGAACGAAAAGUCAAACGAAAAAGGCAAAUUGGUGAAGUGGGGGAGAGGAAAACGAGAGGCAACUGGAAAACAAAGUAAAUGCAAGAGAUGAGUUUGAGACACCUACUUGGAUGAGUUCUUGACUUGAUCUUCCUCCCUGGCAACGACGCCAUAAAUUCUUCUGCUAUCCCACAGACAAUAGCGCCAAAAAUUGACACGUUGACAGAGGGUAGGCUUGCGUUGGUUUUCCCUUGAAAAUGAAAGGGUGAUGCAGCACAGGAGCAGUAAGUAUUUCCCUUAGUUUGAGAACCAAGGUAUCGAUCCAGAAGGAGGGUCUCAACAAGUCCAGAGUACCUGCGCAAACACAAACAAGCUUGCAGCCAAUGCUUCAAAGGGGUUGUCAAUCCCUUCAAGAUUGUUUUCAAAGUGUGAUCUAAAGGCGGAAAGUGCAACGAAGUAAAAAGUGUAAGGCUGAAAAUAUGGUGUGGAGUAGACCCUGGGGGCCAUAGUGUUCACUAGAGGCUUCUCUCAAAAUAGCAAGUAUUACGGUGGGUGAACAAAUUACUGUCGAGCAAUNNNNNNNNNNNNNNNNNNNNNNNNNNNNNNNNNNNNNNNNNNNNNNNNNNNNNNNNNNNNNNNNNNNNNNNNNNNNNNNNNNNNNNNNNNNNNNNNNNNNNNNNNNNNNNNNNNNNNNNNNNNNNNNNNNNNNNNNNNNNNNNNNNNNNNNNNNNNNNNNNNNNNNNNNNNNNNNNNNNNNACAUAUAGGCAUCACGUACGAGACAAGUAGACCGAUACUUUCUGCAUCUACUACUAUUACUCCACACAUCGACCGCUAUCCAGCAUGAAUCUAGUGUAUUGAGUUCAUGGCGAACAGAGUAACGCUUUAAGCAAGAUUACGUGAUGUAGAGGGAUAAUCUCAAACAAAUGAUAAAACCCCAUCUUUUUACCCUUGAUGGCAACAACACGAUGCGUGCCUCGCUACCCCUUCUGUCACUGGGUGAGGUCACCGCACGGUAUGAACCCAAAACCAAGCACUUCUCCCAUUGCAAGAAUCAUAGAUCUUGUUGGCCAGACAAAACCCACAACUCGAAGAGAAUUAGAAGGAUAUGAAAUCAUGCAUAAGAGAGAUGAGAAGAAACUCAAAUAAGAUUCAUAGAUAAUCUGAUCAUAAAUCCACAAUUCAUCGGAUCUCGACAAACACACCGCAAAAGAAGAUUACAUCGGAUAGAUAUCCGUGAAGAUCAUGGAGAACUUUGUAUUGAAGAUCCAAGAGAGAGAAGAAGCCAUCUAGUUACUAGCUAUAGACCCGUAGGUCUAUGGUGAACUACUCACGCAUCAUCGGAGAGGUCAUUGUGUUGAUAAAGAAGCCCUCCGUAUUCGAAUCUCCGCUCCCUCAGGGCUCCAGAACGUGCCCCAGAUGGUAUCUUGCGGAGACAGAAGCUUGCGGCGGCGGAAAAGUACUUCCGAUGAUCUCCUGAUUUUUUUUGGAAUUUAUGGGAAUAUAUAGGCGAAAGACCUAGGGAAAAGGGCGUCCAGGGGGCCCACAAGCCUGGAUGGCGCGACCUCCCCCUGGCCACGGGGUGGGGGAUUGUGGGGCCCCUGAGGCUCCCCUGCCUUGGCUCCCAAGCUUCCCGAUCUUCGUCUGUUCCAAAAAAAAUCUUUUCGGGGAUUUUCUUCCGUUUGGACUCCGAUUCAAAAUCUCCUUUGAAAGGGGUCAAAAAUAUGGAAAAAACAGGAACUCGCACUUGGCACUGAGUUAAUAAGUUAGUCCCAAAAAAUAUAUAAAAGGCAUACAAAACAUCCAAAGUUUGACAAUAUAAUAGCAUGAAACCAUCAAGAAUUAUAGAUACGUUGGAGACGUAUCAGCGGCGGCAACAACAAUGUUGCAAUGAAGCACUUGCCCCUGAUGCUGGACGGCUCAACCCGUGCAUGGUUGAAUCAAUUGGCUCCUUCAAGUAUAUACUGUUGGGCAGAUCUGGCCCGAGUGUUCAUCAAGACCUUUGAGGGCACGCACAAGCGUCCUGCUGGCCUUUCCGAGCUACAACACCGCGUACAGAAGCCGAGUGAGUCCUUGCGCGAUUACAUUCAGCGUUGGACCACCCUUCACCACACGGUGGAGAAUGUUACCGAGCACCAAGCAGUCUGCGCCUGCAAGGCAGGUGUCAGGUAUCGAGAGCUGUAUCUGAAGUUUGGUCGCUCAGGCGACAUGUCAAUGAGUAAAAUGAUGGAGAUAGCCACCCGUUAUGCAAACGGGGAAGAAGAAGACCGCCUCCAUAGCGGCAAGGGUAAAGCAGUCGACAACAUUGAUGCUAAUUCCAAUUGGAAAGAGAAGAAGAAGUUUUAAAAUGCAACGCGAGCAGAAGCGGCCGCUCUGGCGGCAGGAAAGUUUAAGGGAAAGGCCAAGGCACCAUUCCCUCCGAAGAAAUCCAAGAUGCAGUCAGAUGUGUUGGACCAGCCGUAUGUUUUUCACACGAAGAAAGAUGAUGAAGGCAACCUAAUAUUGCCAAAGCAUACCACUCGAUAGUGUCGGUUGUUGGUCCAAGAUUUCAAGGGUCAGUCGAGUGCAAAAGAGCCUGAAGAAGAAGAUAAUGAAGACAGGGAGGGCUUCCCCAAGGUCAAUGCAACUCUGAUGAUUUUUGCUGAUGUAGAGAGAAAAAGUCGAUUGAAAGUCAUUAACAGGGAGGUCAACAUGGCAGGACCAACCACCCCAACGUACCUGAAGUGGUCGCAAACUCCCAUCACGUUUGAUCAGUCAGAGCAUCCAGUUGUUGUUCCGACUCCAGGUCGCCAGGAUCUGGUAGUCGACCCAGUUGUCGAAGGUGUUUGGCUCCACAAAUUGUUGAUGGAUGGAGGGAGUGGGCAGAAUAUCCUAUAUGCAAAAACUCUCAAGGGGAUGGGCAUUCCGAUGUCCCGACUCAGCGAGAGUACCAUGUCUUUUCAUGGAGUAAUCCCAGGAAAGAAGGCCAAGUCACUCGAUCAGAUCGGACUGGAUGUUGUUUUCGGCUCUGACCGUAAUUUUCGCAAAGAGAAGCUAACAUUUUAGGUGGUGGACUUCCAGAGUGCAUAUCAUGCUAUUCUGUGUCGUCCUGCUUAUGCACGUAUCAUGGCCGGACCAUGUUACGUGUACCUAAAGAUGAAGAUGCCAGGCCCUAAAGGGAUCAUCACUGUUUCCGGCAAUUGGCAGAGUGCCAAAGAUUGUUUGCAGCAAGGUUCUAAGAUUGCAGAUCAACAAAUGGAUGUGGUAGAAUUGGAAGAGUACUGGAGGACCGCCGACCCAUCUGACCUAGUGCGCUCUAAGAAGCCAGCUUCUGAGUCCGCUUUUCAGUCGGUGGGACAUGUCAAACCAGUGAACGUUCAUCCAACUGAUCCCAAUGCAGCUCCAACCAACAUAUCAACGACACUCAACAGCAAAUAGGAAGCCGAGCUCAUCGAGUUCCUUAGUGGGAACUGGGACAUCUUCGCAUGGAAGCCUGCUAACAUGCCGGGUGUACCCAGGGAGCUGGCUGAACACCAUUUGCGAGUGGAUCCGAAGGCGAAGCCAGUCAGAGAGUGCCCGCGAUGAUUUGCGUUAGAAAAGAGGAAAGCAAUUGGCAAGGAGGUAGCGAAGCUCUUGGAAGCCAAAUUCAUUUGGGAGAUUUACAACUCUGAGUGGCUCUCGAAUGUUUUCAUGGUUCCCAAGAAGUAUAAUUCACUUCGCAUGUGUAUCGACUUCAAAAACGUUAAUAAGGUAUGUCCGAAAGACCACUUCCUGCUCCCCCGCAAUGAUCAGAUUGUCGAUUCCACUGCGGGAUGCGAGCGUUUGUCUUUUUUGGAUGCUUCUCUGGUUACUAUUAUAUCCGUUUGUUUGGCCCAGAUGAAAUAAAAACAGCCUUCAUCACCCGUUUCAGGUGUUACUGUUACAUCACUAUGCCGUUCGGUCUGAAGAAUGCUGGUGCAACCUUCAUGCGCAUGAUCCAGAAGUGUCUACUCAACCAUAUCGGUCAAAAUAUUGAAGUGUACAUGGAUGAUAUUGUUGUCAAGUCGCGCAAAGGUUCCGACCUGCUGACUGACUUGGCAGAAACAUUUGCUACUUUGAGAAAAUAUGAAAUCAAGCUCAAUCCAGCUAAGUACACUUUUGGCGUUCCUGGGGGUAAGUUACUCAGUUUUCUCGUUUCCGAACAAGGGAUCGACGUUAACCCUGAGAAGAUUGGCGCCAUCGUCAGAAUGCAGAGCCCUGUGCGAGUGCAUGACAUGCAGAAACUUACAGGAUGUCUGACAUCAUUGAGUCGGUUUAUAUCUCGUCUCAGUGAGAAGGCAGUGCCUUUGUACCGAUUGAUGAAGAAGUCGGAUGUAUUCGAGUGGAAUGAUGAAGCAGAAGCAGCGUUUGUAGAGCUCAAAGCUCUUCUUUCCACCCAGCGGGUGCUUGCUGCUCCGCACAGCAAAGAACCACUGCUCCUAUACAUCGCAGCCACCAAUCAAGUCGUCAGUACAGUCCUGAUUGUCGAGAGAGAAGAAUAAGGUAAAGCCUACAAGGUUCAACGUCGAGUCUAUUAUAUGUCAGAAGUGUUGACUCCUUCGAAGCAAAGGUAUCCCCAUUACCAGAAGCUUCUUUAUGGAAUAUAUUUGACAGCAAAGAAACUGGCACAUUACUUUCAAGAUCACUCCAUAGCAGUCGUCAGUAAUGCUCCCCUAUCAGAGAUCCUUCACAAUCGGCAUGCAAUGGGCCGAGUGGCCAAAUGGGCUAUGGAGCUGUUGUAUUUGUAUAUCAAGUUUGAAGCAAAGAAAGCCAUCAAAUCUCAGGCCUUGGCUGAUUUUAUGGCCGAGUGGGUGGAACAGCAACAACCUGCAUAGAUUCACUCUGCGCAUGGGACUAUGUUCUUUGAUGGAUCCAAAAUGUUAAAUAGGUCCAGUGCUGGUGUGGUACUGGUGUCUCCAAAAGGCGACAAGCUUAACUAUGUCCUUUAGAUCAACUUUGAUUCAUCCAACAAUGAAGCCGAGUAUGAAGCUCUCCUUUACAGGUUGCGUAUGGCCAUCUCACUCGGUGUCCGACGCCUGAUGGUCUACGACGACUCAGACUUUGUGGUCAAUCAGGUGAUGAAGGAGUGGAACGUCCGGAACCCUGCCAUGAGAGGUUAUUGUAAUGUAGUGAGGAAGCUGGAGAAGAAGUUUGAAGGCUUAGAACUCCAUCAUGUACCCCGACUGAAGAACCAGGCAGCUGAUGAAUUGGCUAAGAUCGGAUCUACUCGGAAGCCUAUACCCAGCAAUGUAUGUUUGGAACACUUGCACACUCCGUCUGUGCAACAGGAUCCAUUCACUUAAGAGCCCCCACAACCAACAAGUACUUCUGAUAUGACUGAAGUUGAUGUUCAAGCAGUCAUUGACCUUAUCAUGGAAGUUUUGGUGAUUACUCCUGACUGGACACUGCCAUGUAUUGCAUACAUUUUAAGGCGAGAGUUGCCAAGAGAUGAAGGCGAAGCCCGACAGAUUGUCCGCAGGUCAAAGGCCUUCAGAGUAAUGGGUGAUCAGCUUUACAGAGAAAGCGUUACCGGUGUAGCUCAACGAUGUAUCUCUCCUGAGGAGGGCCAACUGAUUCUGGAAGAAAUCCACUCGGGGACUUGUGGUCAUCAUGUAUCCUCUCGGACCAUUGUUGCCAAAGAAUACCGAUCUGGAUUCUUCUGGCCUCGCACUAAUGAAAUGGCCAAAGACCUCGUCGACCGUUGUGAAGGUUGUCAGUUCUACUCCAACUUGUCUCACAAACGUGCAUCAUCCCUGAAGAGGAUUCCUCUCAUUUGGCUGUUUGCUGUAUGGGGCUUGGACAUGGUCGGACCUUUCCGGACAGGUCAGAGUGGUUUCACACACUUGCUCGUUGCAGUCGACAAGUUCACCAAAUGUAUUGAAGCCAAGCCAAUCAAGAAGCUGGAUGCCCGCACAACCAUCAAGUUUGUGAAGGAAAUUACAUUCCAGUAUGGAGUCCCGCAUAGCAUCAUCACGGACAAUGGGUCAAACUUCGACUUGGACGAGUUCAGACGUUUCUACACUAACCAAGGGACCCUAGUGGAUAAUGCAUCCGUUGCUCAUCCGCAAACCAACGGUCAAGCAGAGCGAGCAAAUGGUCUGAUCCUACAAGGAUUAAAGCCUCGACUCAUGUGAGACCUUGAGUAUGCCGUAGGCACUUGGGUGACUGAACUACCCUCUGUUAUCUGGGGUUUGAGGACAACACCGGACCGGUCGAUGGGGCGAACUCCUUUCUUCCUGGUCUAUGGAGCCGAAGCUGUUCUACCGAGUGACUUGAUUCACAGUUUCCCUCGAGUGGAUUUCUAUUCAGAAGCUGAUGCCGAGCAAGCACGUCAAGAUGGAGUAGAUCUUCUGGAGGAAGAACGCGAGAUGGCGCUGAUUCGAUCUACGGUUUAUCAACAGGACUUGUGGUGUUUUCAUUCAAGGCAAGUAAGGAGUCGAGCAUUCCAUGAAGGUGAUCUGGUGCUCCAAGUGGAUCAGCAACAGCCUCAUAAGUUAGCUCCUGUUUGGGAAGGACCUUUCAUCAUCACAAAGGUGUUAAACAAUGGAGCUUACCGACUCUACAAUCUUGAGAAGAGGACAGAUGAACCGCGUGCAUGGAAUGCGGAUCUACUAAAGCGUUUGUAUGCUUGAUUACCGAUCUAUACGAUGCAACAUACAAAUUUGUUGAAUAAAGUUGCUUGUCAGAGUCGUAACUUCCUCAGUUUUAGUCGAUUCCGGUCGAGUGGCUACACGCCCAAAAAAUGUACUCCGAGUGAAGAGCGAUUCUCACACUCGGGGACUUAGCUGCGAACAAGAUUCGCCUAAGUUAACAAACUCUUUCGAGUGGAUAAAAACUAUCCACUCGAACGCUUAGCUGCAAACCAGUCGCCUAAGUAUGAAAUGUACUCCGAGUGAAGAGCGAUCCUCACACUCGGGGGCUUAGCUGCGAAGAUGAUUCGCCUAAGUUAACAAACUCUUCUGAGUGGAUAAAAACUAUCCACUCGGACGCUUAGCUGUGAACCAGUCUUCGCCUAUGCACGAAACAUACUUCGAGUGAAGAGCAAUCCUCACACUCGGGGGCUUAGCUGCGAACAAGAUUCGCCUAAGUUAACAAACUCUUUCGAGUGGAUAAAACUAUCCAUUCAAACGCUUAGCUGCUGAAAGGGUCGAUAUGGUUGACUAGAGGGGGGGGGGGGAAUAGGCAACGACCACUUUUUAAUUGUUCUUAACAAGUUAGGGCUAGCAACAUAGAGGUUCUCUAAAAAGACAACUAGGUGAUGAACCUAUAUGAUGCUACCAACUAUAAUCUCUAAGGCACGUAGGAAAUAGUCUACAACAAUAACAUACACAAUGUAAAGAUUAGAGGUAACCGCAAGUGGAACCAAUGAAGACGAGGAUGUGUUACCGAAGUUCCUUCCCUUUGACAGGAAGUACGUCUCCGUUGGAGCGGUGUGGAGGCACAAUGCUCCCCAAUAAGCCACUAGGGCCACCGUAUUAUCCUCACGCCCUCACACAAUGCAAGGUGCCGUGAUUCCACUAUAGGUGCUCUUGAAGGCGGCGACCGAACCUUUACAAACAAGGUUGGGGAAAACUCCACACAGAGCUUGGAGGCUCCCAACAAGACCACGGAGCUUCACCACAAUGGAAUGUGGCUCCGAGGUGACCUCAACCGUCUAGGGUGCUCAAACACCCAUGAGUAACAAGAUCCGCAAGGGAUUAGUGGGGGGAAUCAAUUUUCUCUUGGUGGAAGUGUAGAUCUAGGCCUUCUCAACCAAUCCUUAGGAAAUCACCAAGUUUGAUUGGCUAGGGAGAGAAAUCGGGCACUUUUGAGCUUAGGGAGCAACAAUGGAGCUUGGGAGGGUAAAAGGUAGGGUUCUUGAGCAAGAAGAACCCUUUAUAUAGUGGGGUAAAAAUCCAACCGUUUUCCCACUCACAGCACGAGCCCAGCGGUACUAUCGCUGGCCCUCCGGCGGUACUACCGAUGGCUGCAUUGGUACUACCGCUGACCCUCCGGCGGUACUACCGCUGGCUGCAGCGGUACUACCGUUGAGCCCAUGGUAGCGCAAAGAUACUACCGGGCCGACCACCGCCAAGAAAGUCUUCACAAAAAGUCCGACGAAGUACAACCGCAAUGAUGACGGUACUAAAGUCCUGGAGCGGUACUACCGUUGACCAGGGACGGUACUACCGCUCGGCCAGCGGUACUAAUGCCAGCUCUAGCGGUACUACCACGAGGGCUAGCGGUACUACCGCCAGCUCUAGCGGUACUACCGCUAGGUCCAACGGUACUACCGCUAGGGGACAUUUUUGCAAGAAGAAAAGAAAGAACAAAGAGGGGAAAACUCCAUAGUUGCAGGGGAAAGGAGAUGGAGAAAAAGUGUGUUUGUGCAAGAUUGAUUCCACCCAAACCUUCCCAAUACGGAUCCCCUCUUCAUAGUACGGUGUUCCUACGACUCAAAACCACCAAAGCGAAUCGUAGAAGACAUUGUGCCUCUAUUCCAUGGAGGGUGCCGAAUCGUCUUGUGCCUUUGUCAUGUAUUAUCUGAAAUGCUCAAUGCACACGAUUAGUCCACUAAGGUACUAUCAUCAAUCACCAAAAUUACUUAGGCAUAAAUAUGCCCUAACAAUCUCCCUUUUUUGGUGGAUUGAUGACAAUACCAGAUUUGCACAGUAGAAAGUAUGUGAUCAUAAAGAUAAUUUAAUAUAGAUAAUUGAAGAGCAUAUGACUCACAACAUAUGAUUAAAAUAGGUCUCACAAUAAAAACAAGGUCUCACAUCACACCUAGUAAAGAUAGCAAAUACGAUCAAACCAAGUUCAAAGCAAACACGAUAAAGAUAAAGCAAGCAAAUCCAACUCCUAGACUCUCUCCCCCUUUGGCACCAAGACACCAAUAAGGGGCACACCUAAGACACAGGUGGUCACUCCUCAUCCUCAGACUCAUCUGUGGCAUUCGGAUCCUGCUCGUCCUGCUUUUCCUCAAUGUCAUCGUCAGAAACCUCCUCCUCAGCAUCAGAUCCAUCCCACUGGUAACAUUGAGCCCUCAUCCAGUCAGUCUCUGGAGUGAUGUCGUCCCCCGAGCCACUCGAUAUUGCCACAUCAAGUGUCCUUAAGACACGCUUGUGACUCCGACGGUUCUCCUUCUGGGCCACAUGAGACUGAUACUGUCCCUUGGCCUGCAUACAAAAGAGAAUCUUCAUCUUAUCCUUCAGCUUCACAGCCCAAGAUGGCAUAGCAGAAGAGCGGGUAUGCGAAGCAAAUCCUCCUCCAGCAGCAGUCUCUGUGUCAGUGUCCAUGGGCUGAGAAGAAGUUGAGGUGCUGGCCCAUUUGUCCUUGAGACGCAGCUUGCUAGGAUCAUGCACAAAAUAGUCAGGUUCAACAGGGAGGGGCUCUUCCGGAUAGGUAUCUUUCCACUUCUUCUGAAUAAAGGCAAACAUGUAAGGCCCGUAGAUGGGAACCUUAUGGUUCAUGAUGCAAUUCCAGAGCUUACGGAACAUCACAUCAGAUAUGUCGAGAGGCGCAGUGUCCUUAUUCCUUGCCUCCUCGCACAGAAAAAGCAUCUCAGCCAGAUGUCCAUGCACCUCGUCCUUGUUGCCAAUAUGAGGGAACAGGGUGUUGCGGAAGAUCCGAUCCAUGAUAUCCAGAUGCGUGGGGAGCACACCCUUUUUUAUGUAAAGAUGUUGCAUCCUGUCCUUGGGGGUGGAAGUAGAGGUAGGUGGAGCAUGAGGACGCAGCCCAAGAACAGUUUCUUGCCCCUGGAAGUCAACGUUGAGGAGCUGCAUGAACUCCGUCCAGGUACCAGUCAACUUCUGACUCCCUGUCAUCCAGGUCAUGGUGCGCUCAUCAUCAGGUUGAAAGUGAACGGUGACAUAAAACUGGGCCACAAUAUCUGGAUUGAUGUCCUUUCUGAAGGUGAUGACAUCCGUAAUGCCAAGCUUGUCAACCAAGGAGAGAGCCUCGCCAAAGUAGUCAGGAUGCCGCCGAAGGUGAGCGAGGUUGAUCCACUGCACUGGGACAUAGAUCUUCUUGAAGGGCAUGAUGAUGUCAUGAAAGAACAUUGCCUGUUCCCGUGACCAAACAUGAUCGACACCCUUGAGUUGAACCUUUUCAUUACCAUAGGGAUCACGGGUACGGAGUGCCACAAAGUCCUUAGGAGGCCUAGUGCGGACGUUGAGCUCUUUGGACUUAGUGGCAACCUUCUUGAAAGACUUCUUUUUAGGGUUCAGACUCGAAGGUGUGGAACCUUCUGGAGCGUCUGGAUUGCGGUACUGCUUUGAUUGGGUGUUACGUGCAGGAUUCGAGUGACGAGAACCACCCGUGACACACAAGACACACACACAAAAAGAGCGACAAAAGGAGUCAUGGCAAUGUUCAAAAAUCAUAAGAAGAAACACACAUUGCCAAGGGAAAUAAAAAAAAAUGCCCUGCUGGCGGUAGUACCGCUUGCCCUGGCGGUAGUACCGCUGGGAGCAUAGCGGUAGUACCGCGAGGCUAGCGGUAGUACCACCGGGCUGGCGGUAGUACCGCUGCCUCCUUAGCGGUAGUACCGCCCGAGUGGAGCGGUAGUACCGCUAGGGGUUGAUUUUCAGAUCUGGACAGAUUUGAACCACCUAAAUUACUAGAUUCGUUUCAAGAGAUCCACGGCUAACAAAUAAACUUAUCACAAGAAUCACCAUAGCCCGAAAACAUGUGGAACUCUAGAUCAUCUAGAUGGAGACAAGCCUAGUCAAUGGGAUCCAAGUUUUAGAUCAAAUCCAUGAGAUGUUUGAUAAUAGCUACUAGAUCUAAAACAUGGAGAACUAGGGCAUGUCGAAAUAUUUGCAAUGAAGAACAUUAGACCUAAAAUCCCCUAAGAUUUCUCCCUCGUUCCAUCCAAAAAACUAAGCACAAAGCAUAUCCAUGGAUCCAAAUCAACAAGAUCCUAACCCUAGAAACAAACACACCAACCAAGAGAGGAAGGGGAGAAGCUUUACCGGGGUCCAUGGCACUUGACGGAGGAAGAAGGAGGGGAGCAAAUCCUCUAACUGAAAAGAGAGGAGAGGCUCCGCAGAGAGAGAUCUAAACUGGGGGGAUUCGGUGUGGAGGGAGAGAGAUCCACGAGGAAGAAGACGCAGGGCAAGAAAAACGGCUCCCCCUCCCUUUAUAUAGUCCAAGGGGUACGGGCUACCCUGGCAGUAGUACCGCUCCCCCUGGCGGUAGUACCGCCGGGGUCAUAGCGGUAGUACCGCCAUCUUGGCAGUAGUACCGCUCCCCCUUGAGACAGCCCUAAAAAGCCCUAGUCAAGCCACGAUAUACUGGGGUCCUCGCGGUAGUACCGCUCCCCCUGGCGGUAGUACCGCUGGGGUCCUGGCAGUAGGACCGCUACCCCUGGCGGUAGUACCGCUCCAAAAAGGCACACAGAGACUUAGGACUUCGUGGAAAUGAUGUGGGCAAUGACUAGUCAGUGUAGAAAAAAAGGUAACACCAGAAAGAUAUACUGACUAGUUAUUUUGUAUCCUUUCUACAACACGAGAGAAAGGUGGGUGGUGGCCGGAGCCACCUAUGUUUGAGACAAAGGUAUGACACCGCGAAGAAUUAUCCUUGGGUUCAUGACCAACGCUCGUCUUUGAAGCACAAGUGCCAUUUAAUAAUGGCCAAAGUGAAAGACUUGAUCGAUUUAUGCAUAAUGGGGGGAGGGAAAGUUCAUUGAGAGAACAACACUCCCCCUAUGUCCAUGCCUACACCUAGAACAAGAUAUAAUGCAUAGUGAGGUGCAAAGUGCCUAGUUUCAAUCCACAUUACUUGAAUCAAUGAUAUUUAGCUCAUGCCUUAACUCCCGGAACCUUGCUUCAUCUAGGGGCUUAGUGAAAAUAUCUGCAAGUUGCUCUUCAGUGUUGAUGAAGUGAACCUCAAUAUCACCUCGCUUGAUAUGUUCGCGAAUGAAGUGAUGGCGAAUAUCAAUGUGCUUGGUCUUGCUAUCACUACUGGAAUUCAGAAAUUUGUCGUCCGCCUUUCCUUUGCCGUCUGCUGACACAUGGCAAAGAGCUUCUUUGCCAUCAGCUGGCACAAAGCAGACGACAAAGACAACACCUAAGGCAAAAGUUUUCUUUGCCGUCGGCCUUCCCUAUGUCGUCGGCCAGCGGACGGCAAAGGAACCACAGGCGGACGGCAAAGGGGUGGCAGACGGCAAAGGGGGNNNNNNNNNNNNNNNNNNNNNNNNNNNNNNNNNNNNNNNNNNNNNNNNNNNNNNNNNNNNNNNNNNNNNNNNNNNNNNNNNNNNNNNNNNNNNNNNNNNNNNNNNNNNNNNNNNNNNNNNNNNNNNNNNNNNNNNNNNNNNNNNNNNNNNNNNNNNNNNNNNNNNNNNNNNNNNNNNNNNNNNNNNNNNNNNNNNNNNNNNNNNNNNNNNNNNNNNNNNNNNNNNNNNNNNNNNNNNNNNNNNNNNNNNNNNNNNNNNNNNNNCUCUCACUGGCCAGUCCCCUCCGCUCCGACAGUUUCUCUGAGCCGCUCGUCCCCUGCCUGCCAGCCGCCUCCCCUCCCGCCGACCGUCUCCUCCCCCGCCCCUCCUCCCCUCCCGUGGCACCCCUCCUNUAGAUUUAGUUAGUUGAUUUAGUUAUUUGAUUUAGUGGUAGUUGAUUUAGUUAGUUGUUUUAAUUAGAUUUAGUUAGUUGAUUUGAAUAGUAGGUUUAGUUAAAUAGUAGGUUUAGUUAGUUAUUUGAUUUGUUAAUUUAGAGGUAGAUUCUAUUUUGUUAAUUAGUGGUAGAUUCUUUUUUAGUUAAUGAUUGGUAGAUUUUGUUUUUGUUAUUUUUUUGCUGUUUAGUGCUAUAUAGGUUUAGCGAUAGGUUUAGUGAUAGGUUUAGAUUCUACAUAGUCAUAAUUGAAAUAAGUAGAAAAAAGAUGAAGAAUAAAAGAAGAAUAAGUAGAUAAGGGAAGAAUAAGAAGAAGAGGAGGAGGAGGAGGAGGAUGAGGAGGAUAAAAAGAAGAGGAAGAAAAAGAGGAGAGAGGAGAAGAAUAAAGAAGAAGAAAAAGGAAAAGAAGGAAGAAGAAGAAGAAGAGGGAAAUGGAAAAGAAGGAAGAAGAAGAAGAAGAAAAGGAAGGAAGGAAGAAGAAGAAGAAGAAAAGGAAGAUGAGGAAAAAAAAGAAGAUGAUGAAGAAGAAAAUGACACCAUGACACCUCGACACCCCGACACGAUGCCCGAAACCCCGACACGACAUCCUGAUGACACCCUGGCAGAAUACACCGCCCCGACGCCACUGACCCCCAACCCCUGACCCCUGACACCUCUUGGGCCUCUUGUUGACCGAAAAGUCCCCCGACCACCGACCCCUGACGCCACUGACCCUGGACCCCCGACGACACUGACCCCGACCACCGACGCCACUAGCCCCCGAACCCCGACGCCACCAACACCCGACACCACCGACCCUCGACGACACUGAGUCCCGACGCCACUAACCCCCGACCCCCGACAACUCUUCUGCCUCCGGUUGAACGAGAAGGUGCUUUUUGGCCUUCCACAAACCGACGGGGUCAUAGUUUUGUAAAUUAUGAGUUAGGUCACAUAUUUUCCGAUUAUGUUAAUUAUAAAAACAUUGUAUUUGUGUUGAUCGUGUGAUUUUCAAUGUGCAGUUGUUCGACGACCUCCACGUGCGUUGGACGAGCUCCGCCCUUGCGUUUGUUGGUGAGCAAAAAUGACUUCUCCUCCUACCCCCUUAAUUUGCUCUGUCCCGGUCUUUGUGCUGAUGAAACUUGCUAGCUAUAGGUUUCUUCAAUCAUGAGUAUGCGUGACCAGUAUGCAUCUCCCGUUCGAAAUGGCGACAUCUAUAAAUAUGCAUUUCUUUGCAUAUUUAUAACCGCCAUCCUUUCGAAUUGUCCAACAUUAUCCAUGGACAACCCGAGUAUGUGUAGAUUGGGUUUGUUUUCCCGUAUGCUGUGCUCCUGAUCCGAUGCGGAAUUUCGUCAGUGCCUCCCCUGUUGUUCUCCGGGUACACAUCCUCUCUGCUUAUUGCCGAGACGUGUAUCAGGAGAACAACGGGGAGGUGCUGCCGAAAUUCUGCGUCGCUUCUGGAGCAGAGCAUGGGAAAACAAACCCAGUCUACACAUACUCGGGUGGGAUUAGGACCUAUCUUUACCUAUUAGCGUGUAGGUUGCAUGGACUUAAUAAAACUGACAAACUUGAUUAGCGUAUGAAUAUAGAUGAUGAAUUAUAUAUUUAUUUCUUGUGCCCCCAUAGGUAGCUAGGCAACAUCAGUGAUCGUGCUUGGAUGUACACUGGUCACCCUAGUCAGAAAGACAUGACCCAUGAAUGGUUAACUAAAACCAGGGGGUUUGUGAGAGCCGCAUUUGCAAAUGGCCAGCAAAAAACAUGGUGCCCCUGUCCCAACUGCGACAACUGGAAAAAGCAGACAGAGUUUGAAAUGGGUAAUCGCCUAAUUAUACGGUGUGGACUUUUCAUGGUGAGUCUGACCAACGUGCCAGAGCUGAGGUGAUUCGUCGCCGCACCGACGAGCAUGGUACCGGGAUUGAAGACAUGGUGCAAGAUUUUGAUGAUGCUCGGGAUUCAGACGAUGAGAUGGAGGAAUCUGCAAAGGCCUUCUAUGAAAUGUUGGAGUCUUCAAAACGUCCUCUCCAUGAGCAGACUGAGCUUUGUCAGUUGGAUGCCAUCGCUCAAGUAAUGGCUCUGAAGGAUCAAUUCAACCUAGGCAGAGAAUGCUACGACGCGAUGAUGACGAUAUUUGGACGCUUUCUACCCAAAGGCCAUGUACUGCCUACAAACCUGUACCAGUCAGAGAAAAUCCUUCGUGUACUUAAGAUGCCCUAUGAGAAGAUACAUGCCUGUGAGAAUGGAUGUGCCUUAUUUAGGCUUGAGUAUGCGGCCUUGAACUAUUGCCCCAUUUGCAAUUCUUCCAGGUAUAUUGUGGUAGACAACGACAUGGGUGAGAAGAAUCAGACCAAAAUCGCCAUUAGUGUUCUUUGGUAUCUGCCAAUCGUACCAAGACUUCAACGUCUUUUUAUGGUCGAAGAGACGGCCAGACAGAUGACAUGGCACAAAUUGGGCAAAAGAACCGAACUAGAUGCGGAUGGGAACAAGAUGCUGGUAAACACUUCAGACGGUUUUGCGUGGAGGCACUUCGAUGCAUUACAUAAGGAUAAAUCGGAAGAUCCAAGGCAACCUAGAGUUACCAUCAACACGGAUGGGUUCAAUGUGUAUGGUAUGACGGCAACACAAUAUAGUUGUUGGCCUGUAUUUGUCAUUCCACUAAAUUUGCCACCCGGAGAGAUUAUGAAAAGAAAGAACAUUUUCCUGACGUUGAUAAUUCUAGGGCCCAACUAUCCCGGGAAGAAUAUGAAUGUUUACAUGUAGCCGCUUAAGGAUGAGUUGCAAGAAGCCUGGGAUAAUGGGAUCAAGACCUACGACGCGGCUACCAAUUUUUUUUUCAAAAUGCAUGUGUGGUACAUGUACUCGACGCAUGAUUAUCCGGCGUUUGCGCUAUUCGCUGGCUGGUGUGUGCAUGGAAGGUUCCCGUGCACCACAUGCAAGGCAGCUCUUCAGUUCCGUUGGCUGUAGGUUGGUCGCAAGUAUUCUUGCUUCGACAUGCAUAGACAAUUCCUGGAUCCUGACCAUAAGUUCAGAAAAGACAAGAAGAAUUUCAUCAAAGGUAGAGUUGUCAAAAACACUGCACCAGCUGCGUUGACAGGCCAACAGACCCUUGAUCAGUUAAACGCUCUCGGGUAUAAUACGGAACAUGCCUGGACUCACAAGUCAUGCUUAUGGGAUCUGCCUUACUUCAAAGACCUCCUUUGCCCACACAACAUUGACGUGAUGCACACUGAAAAGAAUAUUGCGGAGGGCAUUUUUGGCACAUUGUUCGGCAUAGAGGGGAAGUCAAAAGAUAAUCCUAAGGCUAGAAUCGACCUGGAGGCUCUAUGUGAUAGACCGUUGCAAAACUUGCGACAACGGAAAGGAAAGCAAAGCAUAGCGAAGCCAAAGGCAUGGUUCAAUCUUGAAAGGCCAGCUAUGAGGGAAAUGCUAUUGUGGGUGAAAAUGCGGUUGAUGUUCCCCGAUGGGUAUGCUGCGAAUCUAAAGAGGGGAGCGAGUCUUGAGAAAUUGAAAAUAUUUGGGCUCGAGAGUCAUGAUUGGCACAUAUGGAUUAAGCGGGUAAUGCCGAUGAUGUUGCGUGGCUUUAUCCCUGAGGAUGAAUGGCUAGUACUGGCAGAGCUGAGCUAUUUCUUCCGUUCUCUUUGUGCGAAAGAACUAUCGCCUGUCGUGCUAGAUGAAAUGGAAGAGUUGGCGCCGGAGUUGAUCUGCAAAUUAGAAAAGAUCUUUCCACUGGGCUUCUUUAAUCCAAUGCAACAUUUGAUUUUGCAUCUCCCGACCGAGGCAAGAAUGGGGGGGCCUGUUCAAAAUCGAUGGUGCUACUCAACUGAGAGGAUGCAGAAGACGCUUUGAGCUAAGUGUAAAAAUAAACGUAGAAUUGAAGCAUGGAUGGUCGAGGCAUUCAUUACUGAGGAGGCGGCAAACUUUGUGACAGCACACUACGAAGCCAAAAAUCAUCAUUUGCAUAACCCGAAGCCUCGGUACAAUGAUGGCGAUCGAAAAAAGUUCGAUCCAACCUCAGCCUAUUCAAAGGUAAGCUCGCACCAUCCGGUGCUUCGAAAGGGAAAUUGUUGGAUGUCGAAGAAUGGCGGACCAUUUCAUUGUAUAUCUUCACCAACCUAACAGAAGUGCGGCCGUACAUCGAGUAAGUUCUCGGUAAUUUAUUGUUCCGCAACUUCUAAUUGCUUUGAACUACUCUUAUUCCCAGAUAUUUGAUAUAGUCGAUACGUCGCUGAAUUCUCAGAUGGAGCGGUCAUCGAAAAGGAUUCCGUCGAAGAGUAUGAGCUUCUCGCAAAGCAUGGAGGCAACUAUCCCGGUUUCAUCUCUUUGUUCAAACAAAGGGUAAUUAAUUACCAUUAAGGGCCCAUUUGAUUUCUUGGUCUAAUUUGCGGCUAAUGCAUCCAUUCUUUCGUAUUAAAUUUGUAGGAUGAUGCAGAGUCUAUGGACGCCGAGUUGAGACAAGUUGCUAAUGGUUUUGACUAUAAGGUCCGUUCAUUUGACAAAUACAACAUCAACGGGUAUCACUUUCGUACCUUUGGCAAAGAGCUAUCUAUGCCCGACCUAAAGACUACAAAUUGUUUUGUCUCUGCUAUCGGCGAAGGAGACACCGAGUAUUAUGGAAGAGUUGAAGGAAUUUAUGAACUUCUAUUCUAUGGUGAAAACCCACCGUCCGUUGUAGUCUUCAAAUGUUAUUGGUUUGAGCCGAGGGAGACUAGAAGGACUCAUGAACAUAUAGGACUAGUCGAAAUCAACCAAAACACCCACUUAGAUGUUCCCAAUGUCUAUAUUACGGCUCAACAGGCGACACAAGUUUUCUAUCUACCGUGGGCCUGCCAAACUGAUCCAAAUCUCAAAGAUUGGGAUGUCGUUUAUGAAGUGCCACCACAUUUUAGACCACCUACCCUCAAUGAAGAGGAUUGCGAACCUCACAUUAACCCACACACAUAUGAAGGAUAAUUCUUCCAAGAAACACGUAUGUCCAAGAAACGUUUCAAGAACCGCUCUACUUCACCCCAGAACAUUGAAGUAGACAGCGACAGUGAAUCCGUCUUAACCCGUGAGCCCGAACAGGAAGAGCUGGAAGAAGAAGAGGUUACUGUUGCGGAUGACCUAUCACUUCUUGACCAAUUACAUAAUGGUGGCCUUCCACAUGUUCUUUCUGAUAGUGAUGAUGAUGAUGCAUUUAUUGAUGAUAGUGAUGAUCAUGAUGCAUUUAUUGACCCCGAAGCAUAUAUAGACGAGCACGAUUGUUAUUAGUUCAUGUCAGGUAUUCAACUAUUAUACUAUAUAUAGAUUUUGAGUUCAUGUUAGGUAUUCAAUUUUUAUUAGUCAUGUUGGUAUUUAUGACGAUGAUACACUUAAAUUAUAUACAUUUUAUUACUCCUGUUGGUAUUUAUGUUGUACUAAUUUCAUUUACUCUUUGUCAUGACAGGUGUUGAAAGAUGGUGGGAAAGGGUCGAAAGCACUCCGCGGCUCCUUCUUCGUCGGCGGGUGAUGGGAUGGGUACUUCCAUUCCUGCCUCGCCUCUUCGAAGAGCGUUGCUCUCUACUAUGCAAGGAGCGCCCCCCGUGAGAGGAGGUCGACCCCCCGCGAAGCCGAGAGGCACUAAAGGUACAUGUUGUAUUCAUGUUGGUAUUUAUGUUGUACUCAUGUUGUAUGCAUAUUGGUAUUUAUAUACAUUUUAUUACUCAUGUUGGUAUUUAUGUUGUACUAAAGGUACACGUGGCCGCGGGAGAGGUAGGGCGGUGGCUGCCACGCCUUCUGAGGUGGCGGCUACACAGUCUCCGCCACCACCCCAAGCUGAUUCACCUGAGCACAGGACUUCUAGGGUGGAUUCGUCUGAGGUAGAGGCUACACGGUCUCCGGUUCACGAGCCUCGGGUCGACAAGCCUCAGGUCGACGAGCCUUCGACCCACGAGACUCGUGUCCCAGAGGCUUCAUUCCAGGAGACUCCGGAGCAAAGCAGGGAUGAGGGUACGUCCCAAGAGACCCAGUGGGAUGCUGGUAGCGACGAGGAGCUGGGUGAGGGGGCUACCGUCUACCAGCGUGGUAGUUCGGGGAUCCCGCUCGUGCCAACGACCCCCCGAGCAGAGGUGGUCGAUUAGGCCAAAUGGGGACAAGUAAGUUAAUUUACUCUUAUUUAACCUUUUGCCUUCACGUUUUCUCAAAUAUCUAAUGUUUUGGCUUUAAUUUGUCAUACUGCAGGGGUUGGAUUGUUGCCAAGGGUGUCCGCAAGCCCAACAUCGUCCUUGGUGUGCUUUUGCCGUACAAACUUCCCAGGGUUUGUUACGUUGCCCGGUCGGGAGCGAGAGGUAGGAAUGACCUGGGAGCACUACUUGGGUGCCCCGGCCCCGCCGGAGGUGGAGAUCGACGGUGUUUUGUGCGAUACGAGGGCGGACAUGGUGAUCCGAAAGUUCUGCGUAAUUUCUCCUUCACACAAUUAUAAAUCAACCAUAGCUAUAUAUUGUACUAAUCGGUGUUGUCUCGUUUGCAGACCUACUACAGGUGUGAGGAGGGAUACGAGGAGGACGCGGCAAAGGUUAUCGAAACCGAAUGUCGCCGCCUACUUCAAAACUUUCGGGACGAGGCUCGGGUGCAGGCUGUUCGAGACUACUAUGCCACACGACGUAUUAGGAUUGACGAGGCGAAGUGCCGUGAUGCUAAGAUGGAGAAGGAGCAUUACAUGAAGGUAAUUACAUAUUAUUAAGGCUUUGUAGUUAGUUUCCUUGAUUUGGUUCUUACGCGCUCAAAUUUCUCUUUAUUAACUUAGGUGCCCCCGAGAUGGUGUGUGGAUAAGAUGGAUUGUUGGGAGGCCUUGGUGGAUCAGUGGUGCUCCGAAACGUGGGAGGCCAGCCACAACAACGCCAAGGAGAGGCGUGGCAAAAUGGUUGGUGUGCCACACCAUCAAGGGAGCGUCAACUUAAUCCAAUUUGGCGAGAACUGGGUAUGUGGUUUGCUUCAUGCCUCAUGCAAUUCAUUCUUAAUGCUAUCUUGAGCCCUUUACUAAUACAAUUUUCCUCUCUCUCUCUUUUAGGCGUGUCACAAUAAGAUGGAGGCGCCACACAUGUACGACCUGUAUGCAAUGGCCCAUACUGCCUCGUACAAGAAGGUCAAGGCAUUCUCUGAGUCUAACCUCGAGCAUCCAAAAAACUUCACCAACAUCUCCUCCCACCACAAGCUCGUGAAGUACAGAGAUCACGGGAAGGCGAGGAAAGGGGAGGACUUUAACCCGAGCGAUGGGCCUAUUGAUCCAGAGCUGGUGAUGAUAGCUGGCAACGGGAGGCCCCAUGGCUCGAUCGCCAUUGGAGACGGCCUUAUACAUUGUCCUAGCACUCUCUGGCAGAUAAAGGCACGCCAAACGAGCUCUUGUCCGGAGAUAACACGUCGUCCACGGCCAGUCGAGCUCGCCAUCGAGGUUAGUUUAAUGGACUCAACUAUCUUUCCGCAUUAUGUUGUGCAUUGGAACCAAUAUGAUUACAUUGCUAACAAUGAGUUGUGUUGUAGGCUGCUAUUCAGAAAGAGAGAGAGGCAAUGCAGGCGGCUAUGGCGGAGAAGGAUAAGGAAAUUAGGGAGCUGGAGGAGAGGACGACUGCAUUGGUGGAGGCGGAGAGGGCACGGAAUGAUGCGUCUAACAGGGCCAUAUACGAGCUCUUCGUGGUAAGUUUCUUCUUCAUGUUAUUUCAAAUCUUGCAUUUGAAUGACCAUUUCAUUAAUAAAUAAAAAGUUUGACUUAUCGAAACCAAAUGUACAGUCUAUGUGCGAGAAGAGCGGCCAAGUCCCUCCGCCGAUGCGAGUCAUUAACGUGGCGGGGACGGUGAGUUUCAUUUCAGUGUAGUGAUCUUAAGAGUGUCCUCAUGCUAACUACACAUUACAAACAAUGUUUGGUGCAGAAUAUCUCCCGAAACGCAUCGCACGACCCUUCUACAGUCGAGCCUUCUCCACGGCAGCCUUCUCCAGGUGAAACAAGCCAGAGCCACUGUGCUUCACCGCUGUGAUGACGAUAAUGGUAUGUUAUUUCUAGUGUUUUAAUAAAAAAUGGCUAGACUUCCAUCUAAAUGACAUAAUUAGCUUAGUUAGCUUCAAGAAAGGCUAAAUUGNNNNNNNNNNNNNNNNNNNNNNNNNNNNNNNNNNNNNNNNNNNNNNNNNNNNNNNNNNNNNNNNNNNNNNNNNNNNNNNNNNNNNNNNNNNNNNNNNNNNUGUCUUGUGAGUAGUUACUUUUGUUCCUGAGGACAUGGGAUAAGUCAUGUUAAUAAUAGUCAUGUGAAUUUGGUAUUCGUUCGGUAUUUUGAUAUGAUGUAUGUUGUUUUUCCUCUAGUGGUGUUAUGUGAACGUCGACUACAUAACAAUUCACCAUAUUUGGGCCUAGAGGAAGGCAUUGGGAAGUAGUAAGUAGAUGAUGGGUUGCUGGAGUGACUGAAGCUUAAACCCCAGUCUAUGUGUUGCUUCGUGAGGGGCUGAUUUGGAUCCACUAGUUUAAUGAUAUGGUUAGACUUUGUCUUAAUUACUCUUUUGUAGUUGUGGAUGCUUGCGAGAGAGGUUAAUCAUAAGUGGGAUGCUUUUCCAAGUAAGGGCAGUACCCAAGCGCCGGUCCACCCACAUAUCAAACUAUCAAAGUAACGAACGUGAAUCAUAUGAACAUGAUGAAACUUGCAUGACAGAAAUUCCCGUGUGUCCUCGGGAGCAUUUUUCCUCCUAUAAGACUUUGUUCAGGCUUGUCCCUUGCUACAAAAGGGAUUGGGCCACUUGCUGCACCAUUUCUACUACUUGUUACUUGUUACUUUUUGCUCGCUACGUUUCACCUCNNNNNNNNNNNNNNNNNNNNNNNNNNNNNNNNNNNNNNNNNNNNNNNNNNNNNNNNNNNNNNNNNNNNNNNNNNNNNNNNNNNNNNNNNNNNNNNNNNNNGGGAAUAGGUCAUCUUGUAGCUACGUAAGCCUUAUUACGUCAUUUAGGAGAGAAAUUAGCUAACUAUAGGUCAUUUUUUAUUUAAUAGGUCAUUUUGGAGCUAACUAAGCCAAUUCUGUCAUUUCGUAGGAUANNNNNNNNNNNNNNNNNNNNNNNNNNNNNNNNNNNNNNNNNNNNNNNNNNNNNNNAGAAGGAGGAGGAGGAGUAGGAGGAGGAGAAGGAAGAGGAGAAGAAGAAUAAAAGAAGAAGGAGAAGGAGAAGGAGGAAGAAGGAGGAAGAAGAAGGAGAAGGGGGAGCUCCUUCUCCUUCUUCUCCUCCUUCUUCUCCUUCUUCUUNGAGAAGAAGAAGUAAAAGAAGGAGGAGGAGAAGGAGGAGGAGAAGGAGAAGGAAGAGGAGAAGAAAAAGAAAAGAAGAAGGAGAAGGAGAAGGAGGAAGAAGGAGGAAGAAGAAGGAGAAGGAGGAGCUCCUUCUCCUUCUUCUCCUCCUUCUUCUCCUUCUUCUUAUCCUCCCCCUUCUCCUUCUUCUUCUUCUCUUCUUCUUCUUCUUCCUUCUUUUCAUUUUUCCUCUUUCUUCUCCUCUUGUCCCCUUCUUCGGGCUAAAUUGGCUUAGAAUGCCUUNNNNNNNNNNNNNNNNNNNNNNNNNNNNNNNNNNNNNNNNNNNNNNNNNNNNNNNNNNNNNNNNNNNNNNNNNNNNNNNNNNNNNNNNNNNNNNNNNNNNUCCUGAAGCGCUUCUACACGUGAACGUCGACUGAAGCGAUGUAAAGAACAAGUAUUGGCGAAACAAUAUAAAGCAGAUUGAGGUUUUUACAGGUUCAAAGUUCUUCUGCGGUCGCAGACUCCGGUCUCAAAAAAAAACUUAGCUGCGACCCCGAAUCGCCUAAGUAUUAACUUUCUCCGAGUGUGCACUNNNNNNNNNNNNNNNNNNNNNNNNNNNNNNNNNNNNNNNNNNNNNNNNNNNNNNNNNNNNNNNNNNNNNNNNNNNNNNNNNNNNNNNNNNNNNNNNNNNNNNNNNNNNNNNNNNNNNNNNNNNNNNNNNNNNNNNNNNNNNNNNNNNNNNNNNNNNNNNNNUCACACUCGGGGGCUUAGCUGCGAUCCAGCAUCGCCUAAGUAUUAACUUUCUCUGAGUGUGCACUUAACAUCACACUCGGGGGCUUAGCUGCGAUCCAGCAUCGCCUAAGUAUUAACUUUCUCCGAGUAUGCACUUAGCGUCACACUCGGGGGCUUAGCUGCGAUUCAGCAUCGCCUAAGUAUUAACUUUCUCCAAGUGUGCACUUAGCGUCNNNNNNNNNNNNNNNNNNNNNNNNNNNNNNNNNNNNNNNNNNNNNNNNNNNNNNNNNNNNNNNNNNNNNNNNNNNNNNNNNNNNNNNNNNNNNNNNNNNNNNNNNNNNNNNNNNNNNNNNNNNNNNNNNNNNNNNNNNNNNNNNNNNNNNNNNNNNNNNNNNNNNNNNNNNNNNNNNNNNNNNNNNNNNNNNNNNNNNNNNNNNCUUAGCGUCACACUCGGAGGCUUAGCUGCGAUUCAGCAUCGCCUAAGUACUAACCUUCUCCGAGUGUGCACUUCACGUCACACUCGGGGGCUUAGCUGCGAUCCAGCAUCGCCUAAGUAUUAAAUUUCUUCGAGUGUGCACUUAACGUCACUAUCGGGGGCUUAGCUGCGAUCCAGCAUCGCCUAAGUAUUAACUCUCUCCGAGUGUGCACUUNNNNNNNNNNNNNNNNNNNNNNNNNNNNNNNNNNNNNNNNNNNNNNNNNNNNNNNNNNNNNNNNNNNNNNNNNNNNNNNNNNNNNNNNNNNNNNNNNNNNNNNNNNNNNNNNNNNNNNNNNNNNNNNNNNNNNCGUCACACUCGGGGGCUAAGCUGCGAUCCAGCAUCGCCUAAGUAUUAACCUUCUCCGAGUGCGCACUACACGUCACACUCGGGGGCUUAGCUGCGAUCCAGCAUCGCCUAAGUAUUAACCUUCUCCGAGUGUGCACUACACGUCACACUCGGGGGCUUAGCUGCGAUCCAGCAUCGCCUAAGUAUUAACCUUCUCCGAGUGUGCACUUCACGUCACACUCGGGGGCUUAACAGCGAUCCAGCAUCGACUGUUUGCCUUUGGCUUCACCAAGAAACGCCAAACAAAAACUCGAAUCAACAUUGCAACAGAAGAGCAAAAAUCGGAUUCCAAAAUUCUCGCAAACAUAGCUAACUCGGUGCGGAUCAAGCUUACCCGCACCGAUUUAAAAGUGUGAUAGCCAACAGAAGUGGCCAAAGUACCUUACAGAUAAAACACUCGGCAUACCGAGGAUAAAGUUUUCUUACGCGUCAGCAGGGUCAGCGCCAUGACUGGAGGGCUCAACAAAGGUGUCCAAGUCAAUUCCAUCGGCGAUGCGGGUCGCACUCUCAAGGAACGUCUCCAUGAAGUCUUCGAAUCAAAGCUUCUUCGUGUUGGCGACCUUCAGUGUCUUCAGCUUUUCCUCACGCACCUCCUUGCAAUGGACUCGGACCAAGGACAGAGAAACAUUUGCACCGUAACGAGCUGCAGAUUUCUUCCACAACUGCACUCUGUUGGGAAUCUCCUCCAGUCGGGUCAUCAGGUUCUCCAUCUCCUGCCGCGACUCAUCUUCUGGGCAAAGCUCCUUGUCGAUUCGGCCGACGACUUCUCUCAGUCGACCGAUGAAAGGACCAACUUUGCCCACCCGGAUGUGCGCACGGAGCAGAUCCUGAUUGGCGUCGUCGCCGAGUGGAACGUUCUCAAGAAUCGAACGCUCCACGUCAGCUGCUUCAGCUUCGGCGUCAAAGCAAAAAUCUGCGACAAUAGGACAAACAGACAAUAAGCGUCGAGUAUCACGUGCAUAGCACAACCACUCGGAAAAAGCAGGACUUACCAGCCAGACGCGUCAUCAUCUGCCGAGCCGAGUCAAUGACAUAUUUCUCUUGAGCCCUGCAUCGUUUGUUCAGCACGUCCAUCUGACUCAUCAGCACAGUCUUGUGUUUCCCCAUCUUUUCCACUUCCCCAGUCAACACCUUGUUCACUUCACGCGCCUGCUCCAAUGACUUCUCCCGUUCCGCCAGAGCAUCCUUCAUGCCGGCCAUUGCGAGCAUUGCCGCAUCAAGCUCACCAGCGAACUGGUUCCUCUCCGCUCUCAGAGCCUCAUAGGACGUCUCCAUUUCACAAGUUUUCUGCCAACAAGAAACAAGGGACAAUCAGAAAGUUCAACAGUUAACAGUCUAAGUUCUUCAGACCCCUGUCGACGCAAGCAGUCGACAGCGGUCUCGGGGACUACACCCAGUGGGUUCACUAAGAGUGACCCCACUGGCAUGCACCUCAAGCAGGCCUGCCCUAUUGAGAUGCAUGUUAUCAACUACGCCUCCGAGGCCAAUACUACCCGACCUGAGUACAACUUACUCUCGGGGACUCUUAUCGUAAGUGCACUCCGACUGCAACAACUACUCGCACUCGGUAAUCCUAUCUACAGACACAACCAAACUCAAGGCAAAAUGUAUAAAGACAACUGUCGGUGCAAGCACUCGACAGAAGUCUCGGGGACUACACCCACUGGGUUCACUCAGAGUGAACCCAUUGCAAACAACAGCUGCUAUUCAAGAACACCCAGUGGAUUACAGAGGAAAAGUAAAUACUUACUAGACCACUUACUCAGAUAUCAUCGCGCAGCUCCAAGCUCCGCUGGUACAAGGCCGCAAUGGAGUCAUAGGCCCUCUUGGCUUCUCCAGCCAUCAGCUCCGCCUACACCAUAGCCCCCUUGGCCGCUCCCACCUACUCCUCCGAAAGACGCUGGAUGCUGAAUUCAGCAUUCGACGAACCUGGAAUCGUCGGAGGUUCCUGAGGCAUCCCAAGGUCCGCCCCAGUCGGCUCCUCCUCAACUAGCACUGGUUCAGUCGGUGGCGGCGCCUCUGUCGGCAGCACGUCGGCGGCGAGAGCGGCAGCGGGAGGAGCAGCCUCAAGAACAGGUUCCACAGCUAGGUCGGCUCUCCCCUGGUCGCCCUCAUUCAGGCAGAUCGCCCCUGGCAAGCCGAAUGACACGAGGUCUCAGAAAAAGAAAGAAGCACCUGACUGGGACGCGAUGGUAUAAAACACUCGACGUUCCUACAACGCACCUGGAUGGGACGAGACGACGUUGUCCGUGUCCAUGGGGUUGUCUUCCUGGCGCGCCGGAGAGGUGGCAGAAGUAGCGACCCUGUCGACUGAGAUCCAUUCGGCCAGUAAACAGAAGUUCACUCGGAUAUCAGAAAAAACUAAAAGCUGAGUACACUUACGUGGAGGUGACGGGGACAGCGACCCUCAUUCGUGGCAGAGCCUUCCGAGGUUUAGUCCCACUCGGCUUGGGCGCCUUAGAAGAUUGGCCCGCAGGCUCAGCGGCGGCAUCCCUGGUCCUCUUAGCGCUUCGGACACUCGGGACCACUGGAGCAGUAGGCGGAGCACUCGAAGACGCGGGAGGAGCUGAGGGGACAGCGGGCUCGUGUCGGCGCUUAGUCCGAUGCUCCAGUUGUGGAGGUGGCGAGUCCUGCUCCUCGUCUUCUUCCUCUUCCUUGCUGGACUCUUCCUCCGACUCCCCAGUGUCGGAGACAUAUUCAGCGCUCUCCAUGCUGCCCUCCUGGCUGCCCUCCUCCUCCUCGGCCGAGUUCCCGUUCAAGACGGGAGAAAACCAGUUGGUCCACUCUUGCAUAAAAUUCAGUCGGCGACAGCAAACAUCACACAGAGAUUCAAGCAAACGACAAGAUUAAGACAGUUAGGAGCACUCGACAAGAGUCUCUCACCUGAUUCGGCGGAGGAUUAUCCGCGCAGAAGGGCUUCACUCGUCGUGAUCCUUUGGGGUUCUCGCAGGGGCCCGUGAUCUGGAGCACCCACGAGGUCACCCUCUCCUCAGUCACGCCCACAACAUUGGUCCGAGUGGAAUCCUCGGGCCCCAUAUAAUGCCACAUGGCAUGGUCGCGAGCUUGCAGAGGCUGGAUCCGCCGACCAAGGAAGACUUCCAGCAGGUCUAUACCGGUGACCCCCCCUCCUGACGACGUCCACGAGUGCCUCAACCAAGGGCUGGACGUCGUUCUUCUCCGCCUUCGAGAGCGCGAGCUGCUUAGGCGGGGCGGGCCGGUCUAGACUAAAAGGAGGCAGACCAGUCGACGCAUUCGGACAGGCGAUAUCCUGGCAGUAGAACCACAUCGACUGCCAGUUCCUAACCGACUCACUUAACUGGAGAGCAGGAUAGCUACUCCGACUCUUCUUCUGGAAUCCUAAACCCCCGCAGAGCUGGAGGAGGUGCGUCUUAUCAUCCGACUGGCUAAGUCGUUUCAUGGUUUGGGAUCGGGCGGAGAAGAUGUGUUUGAACAAACCCCAAUGGGGAGGGCAGCCGAUGAAACACUCACAUAAGACUAUGAAGGCAGAAAGGUGCGCGAUGGCAUUCGGAGGGAAAUGGUGAAGUUGGGCACCAAAGUGAUUCAUGAUGCCCUUGAAGAAAGGAUGUGGGGGCAAAGAAAAACCUCGAUUGACGUGGCUGAGGAUCAAGACGCGCUCCCCCUCCCGAGGCGCUGGCUCGACCUCGUCCUCUGCUGGCAGCCUCCAGGACUUGUGCACGAUCACCCCGUGCUCCACCAGCUGCAGUAGAUCCCCCUCCAUCACCGUGGAGGGGAGGAAGUCGCCCUGGAUCCAUCCCGCCGGCAGUGGCCGCUGCCGCCGCUGAGCAGGCGCCGCCGUCUUCCCCUUCUUCUUCCUCGCCUCCAUCUUGCUGGUUUGGCCCUUGGUCAUGGCGGUGGCUGCGAGCCCUCGGGAAGAAGGAGAAGGGAGGAGGAUAGGAGCAUUGGAGGUGGCGAGAAGGACAGGGCAAGCGAGAGCGAAAGAUUCGGCGAGCGUAACGAAGAAGUCUCGCCGCCUAGAUUUAAAUAGCGUUCAGACUGGGUCACUGGCGGGUGGCCCCAAAACCUUAUCCGCCCGACCGGCCGCGGCGAUAUCAGUGGAGGAGUUGAAGGCGCGAGAAUUGAGGCGUCAGGCGCUACUCGAGUGCGCUGGCGUCAUCCCCAUUGAGCGCGCGAAACCCGAAAUUUGAGAUCCCGGAAAAUCCGCCGCUGUCAGUUGACCGGUCGCAUCAAAAGAUGCCGCAGAAACACUCGGCUCCCGACAGUCUGUUUCGCAAGCACAUCCACUCGGAUCGUUGGUCAGAAAAGAUAAAAUGGACAGAGGCAAGCAACGCCCAAGCCGAAUCUAAUCUAGUCGGAUCCGAACUUCAAGCACCGCUUCGUUGUUUCAACCUCAAUCCAUUCGGGGACUAAUGUUGGGGUCAUAGUCCUAGGGUAGGGUCAUAGGCCUGCCAUACAGGUCCUACCCAAGGACUACCCCACACAAAGGACGGAGCCCUAAGUCUGCCCCGACUGAAUUAUGGAGUCCCCAUCAUCCAGUCGGUAACAGAUCCUCAAUCAUCCAGUCGGAGACUAGCAUUCGGAGGAUACCAAGCUAACCGACUGGCUACACUCGGUACAUCGUAACCUCUCUGGAGGGAAACGGUCGUACGUUUCCGGGUGCAUUUAUUAGCAUUUAGAGCAUACGUUAUCUGUAACGUACGCAUUCAAUCCCCACUACUCCACCCCCAUACCGGAAUCGUUGUGGAGGGCAGCGCACUCUAUAUAAGCCGCCCUCCCCCACUGGUAGAGGGGUUAGCAAAUCAUUGUGUUCCAUAUUACACUCGACAACAAGCUCCGAGAGCACUGAGACGUAGGGCUAUUACCUCCACCACAGAGGGGCCUGAACUCAUACAACCUCGCCGUAGCUAGGACUCUACCCAUCUCAUUCGUACCCUACACAUCUACUGUCAGGCUUAUACCCAUGACAGCAACUAUAUUGGGUAGCCCUCAUACCAAAAGGAUUGAACCCAUCGAGGCUGAUGGAGAUUCGACAAUUCCUUGGUUCUUUAGGUUUUUCCUUAUGUAUACUAUCGAAUGCCUUCCAUGCGUCACGAUCUGAAGGGUGUACCAACAUCGGAACUCCGUGUUCAUCUAAUUCUUUCCUAAUUCCAUGUCUGUGCCAUGUCAUCUGUUUUGAUGUUUCUUCGAGCAUGUAAAGUCGUUGAACUCUUGGUAGGAUCUGCAGAUACCGUAGGACACUCACGGGGAUUUUGCUCUGCUUCUUCUCACCUUCACCGUUUUCUACCUCAACAUAUCUGGAGGACUUGCAAAAUGGACAAUAUGUUUCGUCUGCAUACUCUUUCCUAAAUAAGGCACAUCCCUUCUCACAAGCAUGUAUCUGCUCAUACGGCAUCUUGAGUGCACUAAGGAUUUUGUCUGACUCAUAUAGGUUUGAAGGCAUAAUAUGACCUUCUGGUAGAAAGCGCCCAAAUAGGGUCAUCACUGAGUCAAACAGGUCUCUUCCAAUGUUGAAUUGGGCUUUCAGAGCCAUUACUUGUGCGAUGGCAUCUAGCUGAGAAAUCUUAGUGUGCUCGUGAAGAGGACGUUUUGAAGACUCCAACAUGGCAUAGAAGGCUUUCGCGGAUUCCUCCAUCUCUUCGUCCUUGUUCCGAGCAUCAUCAAAGUCAUUCACCAUGUCUUCAAUCCCUGUACCAUAAUCAUCGGUGCGCCGACGCAACACCUCGUCUCUGUUACGUUGGGCCGACUCACCAUGAAAUGUCCACAAGGUAUAGCCGGGAGUAAAACAACGCAUCUGCAGGUGUUUACCCAUUACAUCCUUUGUCUGUCGCGAAUAAUUCUUGCACUUAGUGCAAGGGCACCAUGUUUUUGGCUGGCCUUUAGAAAAUGUCGUUUCCACGAAUUCAUAGGUUUUGCUCAACCAUUCAUCGGUCAUAUCUCUCUGACUAUGGUGACCGGUGUACAUCCAUUCACGAUCAGUCAUUCUGGCAAGCUAGCUACAAAGUAUCCACAUAUAAAACAAUAUAAAUUAUCAGUUCAUCAAGUAUGUUAAAUUAAUUAUGGCCAUUUUUUAAUCAUGGUUAAUACAUUGGGAUGCACGGCAUGCACACCUACCAGCUACUAGGUAAAGAUGGGUCCUAAUCCCACCCGAGUAUGUGUAGAUUGGGCCAUUUCCCCAUGCUCUGCUCCCGACCCAACGCAAACUUUCGGCAGCACCUCCCCGUUGUUCUCCUGAUACACGUCUCGGCAACUAACCGAGAGGAUGUGUACCCGGAGAACAACAAGGAGGAGCUGUCGAAACUCUGCAUGGGAUCCGAAGCAAAGCGUGGGAAACGACCCAAUCUACACAUACCCGGGUUGUCCAUGGAUAACGUUGGACAAUUUGAAAGAAUCGCCGUUAUAAAUAUGCAAAUGCAUGCAUAUUUAUGACAGGAACCCUUUCGAACGGGAGACGCAUAUUGGUUGUGCAAGAACUUUGCAUUUUAAUACUAAAAAUACCUAGCUAGAUAGUGUCAUUAGCACGAAGGCCGGAACAGAGCAAAAUAAAGGGGGUGGAGGAGGAGUUAACAAAUGUGCUCACUUUCAAAUGCAGGGGAGGUCGUCUAAAACCAAACCCUCGCGGAGAAGCUACUGCACAUUUAAAUGCACUCAAUCAACACAAAUAUGCACUCGCGGUAAUUAAAUAAUUGCUAACUAAAUUUAACUUCUCUCCCCCUUCUAUUUUCUCUUUUUCCUUUUCUUCUUCUUCUUUCUCUUUUUCUACUCUGAGUAAUUAAAUAAUUGCUAACUAAAUAAUUCUCCCCCUUCUUCUUUCUCUUUUUCCUUUUCUUCUUCUUCUCUUAAUCUCCUUCUAAUUGCUAACUAAAUUUAACUAAAAAUCUCCCACUAAAAAUCUACCAUUAAGUAAUUCUUAACUAAAUUUAACUAAAAAUCUNNNNNNNNNNNNNNNNNNNNNNNNNNNNNNNNNNNNNNNNNNNNNNNNNNNNNNNNNNNNNNNNNNNNNNNNNNNNNNNNNNNNNNNNNNNNNNNNNNNNCUCCAAAAAGGCAUUCUCAGCCAAUUUAGCCCGAAGAAGGGGACAAGAGGAGAAGAAAGAGCAAAAAUGAAAGGAAGGAAGGAAGAAGAAGAAGAGAAGUAGAAGAAGGAGAAGGAGGAGGAUAAGAAGAAGGAGAAGAAGGAGGAGGAGAAGGAGAAGGAUCUCCUCCUUCUCCUUCUCCUUCCUCCUUCUUCCUCCUUAUCCUUCUCCUUCUUGUUUUCUUCUUCUUCUCCUCUUCCUUCUCCUUCUCCUCCUCCUCCUCCUCCUCCUUCUUUUACCUCUUCUUUUCUUUCUCUUCUUCUACGUAGCUUAGACUCAUCCAAGAAAGGCUAAAUUGGCUAACUAUCCUACGAAAUGACANNNNNNNNNNNNNNNNNNNNNNNNNNNNNNNNNNNNNNNNNNNNNNNNNNNNNNNNNNNNNNNNNNNNNNNNNNNNNNNNNNNNNNNNNNNNNNNNNNNNNNNNNNNNNNNNNNNNNNNNNNNNNNNNNNNNNNNNNNNNNNNNNNNNNNNNNNNNNNNNNNNNNNNNNNNNNNNNNNNNNNNNNNNNNNNNNNNNNNNNNNNNNNNNNNNNNNNNNNNNNNNNNNNNNNNNNNNNNNNNNNGUAGCUGCAAGAUGACCCAUUCCCCCUAACUUAGGUAUUAAAUGGCCUAUAAUUAGCCUAGUUAGAUCCAAAAUGGCUUAAUAAGCAUAGUUUGUUCCCGAAUGACCUAUUUUACCCAAGUUAGCUCCGAAACGACGUAUAGUUAGCUAGGGUUCCACCUAGAUGACAUAAUUAGCUUAGUUAGCUCCUAAAUGGUCUAUUUAAUAAGACAUGACCUAUACUUAGNNNNNNNNNNNNNNNNNNNNNNNNNNNNNNNNNNNNNNNNNNNNNNNNNNNNNNNNNNNNNNNNNNNNNNNNNNNNNNNNNNNNNNNNNNNNNNNNNNNNNNNNNNNNNNNNNNNNNNNNNNNNNNNNNNNNNNNNNNNNNNNNNNNNNNNNNNNNNNNNNNNNNNNNNNNNNNNNNNNNNNNNNNNNNNNNNNNCUUAGCCCGAAGAAGGGACAAGAGGAGAAGAAAGAGGAAAAAUGAAAGGAAGGAAGAAGAAGAAGAAGAAGAGAAGAAGAAGAAGGAGAAAGAGGAGGAUAAGAAGAAGGAGAAGAAGGAGGAGAAGAAGGAGAAGGAGAUCCUCCUUCUCCUUCUUCUUCAUCCUUCCUCCUUCUCCUUCUCAUUCUUCUUUUCUUCUUCUUCUCCUCUUCCUUCUCCUCCUCCUCCUCCUUCUUUUACUUCUUCUUCUCUUUCUCUUCUUCUAUGUAGCUUAGACUCAUCCAAGAAAGGCUAAACUGGCUAAUUAUCCUACGAAAUGACAUAAUUAGCUUAGUUAGGUCCAAAAUGACCUAUUUAAUAAAAAAAUGACCUAUAGUNNNNNNNNNNNNNNNNNNNNNNNNNNNNNNNNNNNNNNNNNNNNNNNNNNNNNNNNNNNNNNNNNNNNNNNNNNNNNNNNNNNNNNNNNNNNNNNNNNNNUGAUAGAACCGCGCAAAGUCAUGACGAUAUCUAAGGCAAUGAUCAUACAUAUAGGCAUCACGUCCGAGACAAGUAGACCGAUACUUUCUGCAUCUACUACUAUCACUCCACACAUCGACCGCUAUCCAGCAUGCAUCUAGUGUAUUGAGUUCAUGACAAACAGAGUAAUGCCUUAAGCAAGAUGACAUGAUGUAGAGGGAUAAAUUCAUGCAAUAGAUAUAAAUCCCAUCUUUUUACCCUUGAUGGCAACAACAUGAUGCGUGCCUCGCUACCCCUUCUGUCACUGGGUGAGGUCACCGAACGGUAUGAACCCAAACCCAAGCACUUCUCCCAUUACAAGAACGAUAGAUGAAGUUGGCCAAACAAAACCCACAACUCGAAGAGAAUUACAAGGAUAUGAAAUCAUGCAUAUAAGAGAUCAGAAGAAACUCAAAUAAGAUUCAUAGAUAAUCNNNNNNNNNNNNNNNNNNNNNNNNNNNNNNNNNNNNNNNNNNNNNNNNNNNNNNNNNNNNNNNNNNNNNNNNNNNNNNNNNNNNNNNNNNNNNNNNNNNNNNNNNNNNNNNNNNNNNNNNNNNNNNNNNNNNNNNNNNNNNNNNNNNNNNNNNNNNNNNNNNNNNNNNNNNNNNNNNNNNNNNNNNNNNNNNNNNNNNNNNNNNNNNNNNNNNNNNNNNNNNNNNNNNNNNNNNNNNNNNNNNNNNNNNNNNNNNNNNNNNNNNNNNNNNNNNNNNNNNNNNNNNNNNNNNNNNNNNNNNNNNNNNNNNNNNNNNNNNNNNNNNNNNNNNNNNNNNNNNNNNNNNNNNNNNNNNNNNNNNNNNNNNNNNNNNNNNNNNNNNNNNNNNNNNNNNNNNNNNNNNNNNNNNNNNNNNNNNNNNNNNNNNNNNNNNNNNNNNNNNNNNNNNNNNNNNNNNNNNNNNNNNNNNNNNNNNNNNNNNNNNNNNNNNNNNNNNNNNNNNNNNNNNNNNNNNNNNNNNNNNNNNNNNNNNNNNNNNNNNNNNNNNNNNNNNNNNNNNNNNNNNNNNNNNNNNNNNNNNNNNNNNNNNNNNNNNNNNNNNNNNNNNNNNNNNNNNNNNNNNNNNNNNNNNNNNNNNNNNNNNNNNNNNNNNNNNNNNNNNNNNNNNNNNNNNNNNNNNNNNNNNNNNNNNNNNNNNNNNNNNNNNNNNNNNNNNNNNNNNNNNNNNNNNNNNNNNNNNNNNNNNNNNNNNNNNNNNNNNNNNNNNNNNNNNNNNNNNNNNNNNNNNNNNNNNNNNNNNNNNNNNNNNNNNNNNNNNNNNNNNNNNNNNNNNNNNNNNNNNNNNNNNNNNNNNNNNNNNNNNNNNNNNNNNNNNNNNNNNNNNNNNNNNNNNNNNNNNNNNNNNNNNNNNNNNNNNNNNNNNNNNNNNNNNNNNNNNNNNNNNNNNNNNNNNNNNNNNNNNNNNNNNNNNNNNNNNNNNNNNNNNNNNNNNNNNNNNNNNNNNNNNNNNNNNNNNNNNNNNNNNNNNNNNNNNNNNNNNNNNNNNNNNNNNNNNNNNNNNNNNNNNNNNNNNNNNNNNNNNNNNNNNNNNNNNNNNNNNNNNNNNNNNNNNNNNNNNNNNNNNNNNNNNNNNNNNNNNNNNNNNNNNNNNNNNNNNNNNNNNNNNNNNNNNNNNNNNNNNNNNNNNNNNNNNNNNNNNNNNNNNNNNNNNNNNNNNNNNNNNNNNNNNNNNNNNNNNNNNNNNNNNNNNNNNNNNNNNNNNNNNNNNNNNNNNNNNNNNNNNNNNNNNNNNNNNNNNNNNNNNNNNNNNNNNNNNNNNNNNNNNNNNNNNNNNNNNNNNNNNNNNNNNNNNNNNNNNNNNNNNNNNNNNNNNNNNNNNNNNNNNNNNNNNNNNNNNNNNNNNNNNNNNNNNNNNNNNNNNNNNNNNNNNNNNNNNNNNNNNNNNNNNNNNNNNNNNNNNNNNNNNNNNNNNNNNNNNNNNNNNNNNNNNNNNNNNNNNNNNNNNNNNNNNNNNNNNNNNNNNNNNNNNNNNNNNNNNNNNNNNNNNNNNNNNNNNNNNNNNNNNNNNNNNNNNNNNNNNNNNNNNNNNNNNNNNNNNNNNNNNNNNNNNNNNNNNNNNNNNNNNNNNNNNNNNNNNNNNNNNNNNNNNNNNNNNNNNNNNNNNNNNNNNNNNNNNNNNNNNNNNNNNNNNNNNNNNNNNNNNNNNNNNNNNNNNNNNNNNNNNNNNNNNNNNNNNNNNNNNNNNNNNNNNNNNNNNNNNNNNNNNNNNNNNNNNNNNNNNNNNNNNNNNNNNNNNNNNNNNNNNNNNNNNNNNNNNNNNNNNNNNNNNNNNNNNNNNNNNNNNNNNNNNNNNNNNNNNNNNNNNNNNNNNNNNNNNNNNNNNNNNNNNNNNNNNNNNNNNNNNNNNNNNNNNNNNNNNNNNNNNNNNNNNNNNNNNNNNNNNNNNNNNNNNNNNNNNNNNNNNNNNNNNNNNNNNNNNNNNNNNNNNNNNNNNNNNNNNNNNNNNNNNNNNNNNNNNNNNNNNNNNNNNNNNNNNNNNNNNNNNNNNNNNNNNNNNNNNNNNNNNNNNNNNNNNNNNNNNNNNNNNNNNNNNNNNNNNNNNNNNNNNNNNNNNNNNNNNNNNNNNNNNNNNNNNNNNNNNNNNNNNNNNNNNNNNNNNNNNNNNNNNNNNNNNNNNNNNNNNNNNNNNNNNNNNNNNNNNNNNNNNNNNNNNNNNNNNNNNNNNNNNNNNNNNNNNNNNNNNNNNNNNNNNNNNNNNNNNNNNNNNNNNNNNNNNNNNNNNNNNNNNNNNNNNNNNNNNNNNNNNNNNNNNNNNNNNNNNNNNNNNNNNNNNNNNNNNNNNNNNNNNNNNNNNNNNNNNNNNNNNNNNNNNNNNNNNNNNNNNNNNNNNNNNNNNNNNNNNNNNNNNNNNNNNNNNNNNNNNNNNNNNNNNNNNNNNNNNNNNNNNNNNNNNNNNNNNNNNNNNNNNNNNNNNNNNNNNNNNNNNNNNNNNNNNNNNNNNNNNNNNNNNNNNNNNNNNNNNNNNNNNNNNNNNNNNNNNNNNNNNNNNNNNNNNNNNNNNNNNNNNNNNNNNNNNNNNNNNNNNNNNNNNNNNNNNNNNNNNNNNNNNNNNNNNNNNNNNNNNNNNNNNNNNNNNNNNNNNNNNNNNNNNNNNNNNNNNNNNNNNNNNNNNNNNNNNNNNNNNNNNNNNNNNNNNNNNNNNNNNNNNNNNNNNNNNNNNNNNNNNNNNNNNNNNNNNNNNNNNNNNNNNNNNNNNNNNNNNNNNNNNNNNNNNNNNNNNNNNNNNNNNNNNNNNNNNNNNNNNNNNNNNNNNNNNNNNNNNNNNNNNNNNNNNNNNNNNNNNNNNNNNNNNNNNNNNNNNNNNNNNNNNNNNNNNNNNNNNNNNNNNNNNNNNNNNNNNNNNNNNNNNNNNNNNNNNNNNNNNNNNNNNNNNNNNNNNNNNNNNNNNNNNNNNNNNNNNNNNNNNNNNNNNNNNNNNNNNNNNNNNNNNNNNNNNNNNNNNNNNNNNNNNNNNNNNNNGAAUAACAUACGGGAUUAUAUGAAUCCUUGGCACUGAGGUUCAAACGAUAAGAUCUUCGUAGAAUAUGUAGGAUCCAAUAUGGGCAUCCAGGUCCCGCUAUUGGAUAUUGACCGAGGAGUCUCUCGGGUCAUGUCUACAUAGUUCUCGAACCCGCAGGGUCUGCACACUUAAGGUUCGACGUUGUUUUAUGCGUAUUUGAGUUAUAUGGUUGGUUACCGAAUGUUGUUNNNNNNNNNNNNNNNNNNNNNNNNNNNNNNNNNNNNNNNNNNNNNNNNNNNNNNNNNNNNNNNNNNNNNNNNNNNNNNNNNNNNNNNNNNNNNNNNNNNNGCCGCCAACGCUAAGCAUGGGGCAUCCGCCAGGCAAAGGUAGGGCUUCCACGAGAGUGCGUAGGAGUAGGCCGCCGACGCUGAGCAUGGGGCAUCCGCCAGGCGGAGCUGGGGCUUCCACGAGAGUGGGUAGGAGUAGACUGUCUUGUGCUCAUCCUUCUUGUGCUUCUCAUUGUAGAAGUUGACGAGGAGUUGUGAGACCUCCUUGAUGAUGAUGCGCUUGAAUCCAAGUGUGAUGGUGGCCUUGAGCCUAGCAAAGAGUCCCUCAUACUCGGCGAUGUUGUUGGAGACCUUGUCGGUGCACCUUAAACAGAGUUGCACUGCAUAGUUAAGCUUGUCACUUGUGGGCAUAGUGAGAACCACACUAGCCCUUGCGCCCUGGCGCGUGAAGGCCCCAUUGAAUGCGUGGUCUAGACUCCAAAGGAGGCCUCCUCGGGCAAGAGCGGCACCCUGGGGCGGGGCCAUCCACUCCGCCGCGAAAUCUACCAAGGUCGUGCCCCUAAUGGUCCUGGUGGUGAGGACUACAACCCGAAGGGCUACCACUCGAUGUCCCAUUCAGCAACGUGGUCAGUAGUGUUCGGGCUCCGUGGGACCGAGGAGCUCAGGCAGCGGCGCCGCGGAGGCCUCCGUAGGCGCGACUCUAGAGGCCUCCUGAGGAGGUGCCUCAGCACGCGUCAACGCGGCCUUGAGGGGCUUGAGCGACGCCUCCAUGGGGGUGGCAUCUACACGCGCGGACUCGACAUCCUUCUUCUUGGCGUAGGCUCACUCCUCUUGCUCCACCACAAGGGUCGCACUGGCCGCUUGGGGGGUGGACGCCCUGUAGGCGCGUGCGAGGGCGUGCAUUGCAUCCUUCUCAUCGCAAUGGAUGGUGAGGGUGUUGCUGCAUUCGGGCACCUUGAUAAGGCCGUAGGCACGAAGGGUUGCAGCCACGAACUUGGAGAGCGCCGGGAAGCCCAAGAUGGCAUUGUAGGGCAGGCCGGUGUGGGCCACAUCAAAGACGAUGAACUCUAUAUGCUAACUAUUAUGGGUGUUGAAGGUCAUGGGAAGGCCCACCUACCCCAGGGGGAGAGUGGAGCCCUUGGUGACGUCCGAGAAGGUCUUGGUGGGUAUUAGGCGCUUGUAGGGACUUGGAGCAUCUUGAAAGUCACUAUCGAGAGCAUGCUGAGGCAUGCGCCACCGACGACGAGCAUCCUGGUGAUGGCCACACCGCUGAUAGCGGGAGUACAUAGUACAGGGACAUUGCCCAUAGCCCUAGUGGACUUGGUAUGAUGGUUGGCAUCGAAGGCGAUGGAGGGACACGUUCACCUUGUGUGUGAAGUGCUUGACAUGGUGGCAGGAUGGUGGGGCCUAGGAGCCUCCUAGGAUGUAGGCCACCCUGCAGGGCUCUCAUACGUCUCCAACGUAUCUAUAAUUUUUAUUGUUCCAUGCUGAUAUAUUAUCAUUUUAGAAUACUUUUGGGGUAUUUAUUUACCAAUUUAUAUUAUUUUUGAGCACUAACCUAUUGACCCAAUGCCCAGUGCCAGUUGUUGUUUUCUGUAUGUUUUUCACUUUUCAGGUUCUCAAUACCAAACAAAGUCCAAUUGACCUAAAAAAAUUGGUGUUUUUUUCUCGACCAAAAGAAGACCGAGAAGCAUCGAAAGAAGGCCGGAGGCCUCACGAGGGGCCCACAAACCAACAGGGAGCGGCCUAGGGGGUCGCGCCUUGAUGUCUUGGGCCUCCCUCGUGACCCUCCAACCUUCGUUCUCUGGCUUAUUAGUUCUCCUUUACCCUAGAAACACCAAAAGAGGCCACGAAACACUUUUUACGCUGCCGCAAGUCUCUGUUCCAAAGGGAAGCCAUGUGGAGCUCCGUUCCGGCACCCAGCGGGAGGGGGAAUCGAUCAUGGAGAGCCUAUACAUCAACCUUGUUUCCCUCACCACGAUGUGUGAGUAGUUCACCAUAGACCUACGGGUCCAUGGCCAAUACCUAGAUCGCAAUCUCUCUCUUGAUCUUCAAUGCAAUGAUCAUUGCAUCUUCGCCUUGAUCCACAUGAUGUAAUUCACUUUUGUGCGGUGUGUUUGUUGGAUCCGAUGAAUUGUGGGUGUAUGUUCAGAUUAUUCAUGAUAUAUAUUUGAGUCUUCUCUGAAAUCUUAUAUGAUUCGUAUGUGCAUGAUUAUUAUAGCUUCAUAAUUCUCUCUGAUCUAUUGAAAUGGUUUGGCUAACUAGAUUGAUAUUUCUUCGGUGAGAGAGGUGCAUUGUAGUAGGUUGAACCUAGAGAAUUUCUAUAUCCCAAUGACGGAAGGGGACAUGAUGCAUCUUUUUGUUGUUGCUACUGAGGAUAAAACUAUGGGGUUUAUUCAUAUUGCUUGGGUUUACUUUGUCUACAUCAUGUCAUCUUUCUCCAUGCAUUACUUUCAUUCGUCAUGAACUUAAUACGUAGAGAGGAAAUCAUAGAAGCAAUCUUGAAGUUAAGUAAUAGUAAUAGGUGCAGGCAGGAGUCAGCCAAUUUGUUCAUGGACGUGAUACCUAUAUACGCAUGAUCAUUUCUGUGAAUAUCGCAUAACUAUCCGCUUUUCUAUCAAUUUCCCAACAGUAAUUGGUUUACCAACCAUAUGUUAUUUUCCAUGAGAGAUGCCAUUAGGGAAAACUAUGGCCCUCGGGUCUAUUCACAACAUGUUCACAAAACUUUCAAUGGCUUGCUGCCAUUAAUUUGUUUUGUUUUUAUUUUGCAAUUUACAAUUAUCUACAACUAUCUACACACCUUACUUUCUUGCAAAUAACGAGACCAGGGGGAUUGACAACCCUCUUUCUCGUGUUGGGUGCAAGUUGUUAGUUCUUUUGUGUGUAGCCGCCGAAGACGAUUGUGGUUGAUAUUCCUAUUGGUUCAAUAAACCUUGAUUUCAUCACUAAGGGAAAUACUUACCCAUAUUGUGCUGCGAUAACCCAUUCCUCUUCACAGAAAACCCAACGCAGAUCACAAGUAUCGGGAAGGAUUUCUGGCACAGUUGUCGGUGAAUAUCAUCACCAACUACCAAGUAACUCCACACAAAUUUUCAUUCACUUGUUCCUAUUUUUAUUUGCUGGUACAUUUAGUUUGUCCCAUAAAAAAUAAAAAUACGAAAAAAUUUACCUUUGCUUGCUUAGCUUGUCACUAGAUUGCCUCUUCGUUGUGUAGUUUGCUUGUCCCACUUGUUACUUUGCUUGCUUGGUCACCAUGUCGCGAGAUAAGUUCCACAAUAUCUCUUAUUACCAAAUAAUCUUGGAUACAGAAGGUUCUAUGAAAAGUUCCAUGACUUCACAAUAUGAGCAUAUUGAAUUCUUUGCUUCUGAGAUUAAGGAACACUCAACUUUGCUUGAUGUUAUUAGUGAUAGACAUGAUGAAGUCAAUAAGGAAGUGUCUAAUCUACAAUCAAAAUUUGCUAAAAUUGAAGAAUUGUUAGGAAAGAUCUGUGAUAAGCAAACCACUCUAGUAAAUAGGAGUGCCGCUAAACCAGAAUAUUUUCCUACUAAUACUCAUGAUGAAAAUCUUAAAAUGAUUGGAACUUCUCCUAUUGAAUCUUUUUUUACUUCUAUGAAUAUUAAUGGUAAAGAGACUGGAGAUGAGUCAAAUCUAGUAAAGGAGCGUCCAGUUUGCGUGGAGGGUGAUGAUUUUAAUGCUAAAACUGAAAAAGUGGGCUUGGCGAGGUCAAAACAUUAACUAAUGAUGUGCCCACCAUCUUGGAUUACAAGGACUUCGAUUAUGAUAAUUUCUCAUUAGUAUAAUGUAUUUCCUUUCUGCAAUCCAUUAUUAUCUCACCCAAUGCUUAUGAAUAAAAUAGAGCUUUUACUCAACAUAUAGUAGAAGUUGUGAUAAAAGGUUAUGAUGAGAAACUUAAGCUUGAAGUUUCUAUUCCUAGAAAGUUGCGUGAUGAGUGGGAACCUACUAUCAAAAUUAGGAUAAAUAAAUAUGAAUGCAAUGCUUUGUGUGACCUUGGUUCUAGCGUUUCAACUAUACCUAAAUCUUUAUGUGAUGUACUUGGUCUCACUAAUAUUGAAAAAUGUUCCCUAAACUUGCAUCUUGUGGAUUAUACCAUUAAUAAACCCUUAGGUAGAAUUAAUGAUGUGCUCAUAAUUGCAAAUAAAACUUAUGUGUGUGUAGAUUCCAUUGUUCUUGACAUUGAUUACAAUCCUACUUGUCCAAUUAUAUUUGGAAGACCUUUCCUUCGAACUAUAGGUGCAAUUAUUGACAUGAAAGAGGGAAACAUAAGGUUUCAAUUUCCCUUAAAGAAAGGAAUGGAACACUUCCCUAGGAAUAUAAUUUGAACACCUUAUGAAUCAAUCAUGAGAGCUACUUAUGGGUGGAGUGUCCAAGAUGACAACACUUGAAACUAUGCAAUAUGUCUAGCUAGGGGCGUAAACAAUAGCGCUUGUUGGGAGGCAACCCAAUAGCUAUAUUUAUUUUUUACCUUUUACUUUCUAUUUAUUUUUUAUAACAUGAUUAUUGCUAGUGUAGUGAUCAUGUUUUUAUGUUUUAGUUAGUGUUUGUGCCAAGUAAAGCCUUUUGGAUGAUUUGCAUGAUAAGUAAAAUUGAUACGGUGUAAAAACAGACACUUUGAUGACGAGUGCGGAAUUUCUUUGAUUUUACUGGAAUAUCUUUUUAAGCUGAAUUCUUUUACACUGUAUUUAUGAAGACAUUCCUUAGCUCGUCCUAAUUUUUAAGAAUUUUUGGAGUUACAUAAGUAUAGGUUCAUUGCAGAUUACUAUACACUAUUAUGUUUCAGUCAGAUUCUAUUUUUUGCUUGCAUAGUUUGCUUGUUCUGAUGAUGCUAUGGUUUGUAUCGGGGGGUAUAAGCCAUGGGGAAGUUAGAACACAGUACCUUAUGCUCAAAUAAAAUAAGAAUCAACUCAUAACAGUACCUGAAAGUAUUUGAUAUGUUGCUUAGACUAACGGAUCUCACAAAUUUUUGUUGAGUUUUAUGUGAUUGAAAUUUAAGUUUUAGGUAUUAUCUCGAUGGACUAAGGAUUGAGGAGAAGCAAAAUCCUAAGCUUGGGGAUUCCCAAGGCACACAAAGGUAAUAUUCUAGGAAGACUCAAGCAUGUAAGCUUGGGGAUGCCCCGGAAGGCAUCCCCUCUUUCGUCUCAAUCCAUCGGUAUGUCACUUGGAGCUACAUUUUUAUUCAUCGCAUGAUAUGAGUUUUUCUUGGAGCGUCGUUUGCUUUUGUUUGAUUUUACUUUUAGUUUUCCAUAAUCAUUGUUUGCUGGACACACCUAUUUGAUAGAUAUACCACAUCAUCAUAAUUUUUUUAGAAUACUCUAUGUGCUUCACUUAUAUCUUUUGAGCUUAGCAGUUGCUCUAGUACUUCACUUAUAUCUUGUUGAGCCUGGUGGCGUGUAGAUGUUAUAGAACUAAUAUGCUCCCAUUCUUCACUUAUAUUUGUUUGAGAGUAAAUUCAAUAGUGAUAGUAAUUUGCAUGGGUCAUAAGACUAGAUAAAAAAUAAUGGUUAUUCAAUGGGUGAUAAUUAAAACCUACAUCUAGCACAUAUAGAGAAGUCGUGGGUUAAUGAUAUUGAUGUGGUAUGAAAAAGCUGUGAGUGCAUUAUUGUUAAUUCAGAGAAGUGUCGAUAUUAAGAGAUGUUAAACUUAUGGUCCAUCUAAAAAAUUAAAAGGGUAUGGUGAUGAUGUGUGUGCAAAUCUAUUCCUUCUUGAAAUCCUAGUGUUGUUUUGAGUCGGAGUCGUGCGAUCAUUAAUUCCUACCAACCCACUCCCUCGGGGUAUGCGAGUGGUACUUUUAUUUCUGAUAAAACUAAUAGAAGUUUGCAAUAAGUAUAUGAGUUUUUAUGACUAAUGUGACACCAUGGACAUAUGCAAUCUCACCUCCUCAUAUUUGCUUGCCUCUUCGAUACCGUGCAUAGCCCAUUCUCACCUCGAAGUGGUGCAACUUUCGCCGGUGCAUCCAAACCCAGUGAAAUGACACACUCUGUAGCACAUAAACCUUUUUAUAUCCUCCUCAAUACAGCCACCAUACGUACCUAUCAUGGCAUUUCCAUGGCCAUUCCAAGAUAUAUUAAGAUGCAAAUGCCAUCGUCACUUCGCAUGACUAGUUUUUUCAUCAUCAUAUUACUUUGCAUGAUCAUAAAGAGCUGACAUAGUAUUUGUGGCAAAUCCACCAUUCAUUAUAAUAUUUGUGGCAAAUCAACCAUCAUCAUAUGUUGAAUACAUGUCACGCUAGAUCAUUGCACAUCCUGGUACACUGUCACAUGCAUUCAUAUUGGAGUCAUAUUGCUUCAUAGUUCAUCAUAUUGAGUUGUCAAUGAGUUGUAAGUAAAUAAAAGUGUGAUGAUCAUCAUUAUUAGUUUAUUGUCCCUGUGAGGAAAUAAAGAUGGGGGAGGCCUGAUACGUCUCCAUCGUAUCUACUUUUCCAAACCCUUUUGCCCUUGUUUUGGACUCUAAUUUGCAUGAUUUGAAUGGAACUAACCCGGACAGACGCUGUUUUCAGAAGAAUUGCCAUGGUGUUGGUUUUGUGCAGAAAUAAAAGUUCUUGGAAUGACCUGGAAAUUUACGAGGAUUUGUUUGUGGAAUAUAUAAAAAAUACUAGCGCAAGAAUUACCUGGAGGGACACAGCCUCGAGCCCACAAGCCCAGGAGGCGCCCCCCUGGCCGCGCUUGGCAGGCUUGUGGGGCCCUCAUGGCUCCGCCGCCUCCAACUCCAGCUCUAUAUAUUCUCUCUCGCCCGGGAAAAAAUCGGAGAGAAGAGUUCAUCGCAUUUUACGAUACGGAGCCGCCGCCACCACCUGUUCUUCCUCUAGAGGGCAGAUCUGGAGUCCGUUCUGGGCUCCGGAUAGGGGUAAACGACGCCUUCGUCCUCGCCAACCAUCCUUCAUCGCCAAUUCCAUGAUGCUCUUCAUCGUUCGUGAGUAAUCUCAUCAUAGGCUUGCUGGACGAUGAUAGGUUGGAUGAGAUCUAUCAUAUAAUCGAGUUAGUUUUGAUGGGGAUUGAUCCCUAGUAUCCACUAUGUUCUGAGAUUGAUGUUGCUACUACUUUGCUAUGCUUAAUGCUUGUCACUAGGGCCCGAGUGCCAUCAUUUCAGAUCUGAACCUAUUAUGUUUCCAUCAAUAUAUGUGUGUUCUUGAUCCUAUCUUUCAAGUUGUAGUCACCUACUAUGUGUAUGACCCGACAACCCCGGAGAUGUACUUGUGGGUUAUCAAGACUAUUUUCUGGCGUCGUUGCCGGGGAGGCCUAGCUCUAUUCUCUGAGUCACUUGGGAUUUACGUCUGUUGAUCACUAUGAGGAAUCCGAGAGAUCCAAAAACUAGAGUCUUGCCCUCAACUACGAGGACAGGUAAGGAACUGCCAUCUAGCUCUGCACUUGAUUCACCUUCAGUUAUGAGUAAGUUUGUGACACCACCACCUACGAGAAAUUCUGAUGUGUCGCAUGUGCUUGAUGAUGCUACUUCUGCUAUCCAUGAUGCUUGUGAUGAUGCUUUGCGUGAUACUACUUUGCCACUAGGUGCAUUCCUUGAUGCACAAAUUGCUAGAGUUGCUGCUGAAUGUGAUGAUACUUCUGAAACUGCUGAAAUUAUUGAAGUAGAACCUGUUGUUUCACGUGUUAGAACUAGUUCUCCUAGAUAUGAAUUGCCUGAUAUACCUGAGGGUUAGGUUAUGGAGGGAGAGGUAGCUGAGGACUUUCUUGCUUGUAAGGAUAGUUAUGAUCUUGAGAAUUUAUUGCGCAAGUGGAAAGAAAAAUCUCUGAAUGCUAGAAUGAAAUAAAAUCCUAAGUUUGCUACUUCACCCACCUUUGUAACCGAUAAGGAUUAUGAACUCUCUGUCGAUCCUCAGUUAAUCACUCUGGUGGAAUCUGAUACUUUUCAUGGUUAUGAGUCUGAAACGGUUGUAGAACUUCUUACCAAGCUGAAUUAUAUAGCCACCCUAUUCACGAGUGAGGAAAAGAUUUGCCAUUACUAUAUCCUUAAGUUGUUUCCUUUCUCGCUAAAGGAUGACGCUAAGACUUGGUUCACUUCUCUUGCUCCUGGUUGUGUGCGUAGUCCCUAGGAUAUGAUCUACUACUUCUCUAAGAAAUAUUUUCCUGCCCAUAAGAAACAAGUUGCCUUGCAGGAAAUAUAUAAUUUUGUGCAAGUUGAGGAAGAGAGUCUCCCACAAGCUUGGGGGAGGCUUGUCCAGUUACUGAAUGCUUUUCCUGAUCACCCUCUUGAGAAGAAUGAAAUACUUGAUAUCUUUUAUAAUGGACUACCCGAUGCUUCUAGGGACCACCUAGAUAGUUGUGUUGGUUGUGUUUUCAGAGAACGAAUUGUGGAACAAGCUGAAAUUCUAUUGAAUAAUAUCUUGAGCAAUGAUAAUGCUUGGACUAUUCCCGAACCACCUCCGAAGCCAACUCCGAAGAAAAUAGGUAUUCUAUUCCUCAGUCCUGAAGAUAUGCAAGAAGCCAAGAAAUCUAUGCAAGAGGAAGGUAUUAAAUGUGAAGAUGUUAAGAAUCUACCACCUAUCGAACAAAUACAUGGUCUUGAUCACCCGACACACGUGUAGAGGUAAAUUCUCUUCAUAGAUUCAAUGAGAGUGAUAUUCCUUUUGAUAAACCUGCUAGCUUAUGCUUAGAUGAAUUUGAUAACUUUGUUGCCAAACAACAAAGUUUCAAUGAUUAUGUUAGCAGACAAUUGGAACAGAAUGCUCGUAUGCUUAGUCAUUUAAGUGCUUGUGUGGAUAGAAAUGUCAAUGAUCUUAAGCUUUUGAGUAAACAUGCCUCUAUGGUCACUACUCAGGUAGAACAAGUACUUAAGGCUCAAAAUGACUUGCUCAAUGAGUUGAAUGACAAUUCUGUUAGAGUCGUCACUAGAGGUGGUAGAAUGACUCAGGAACCUUUGUAUCUUGAGGGCCAUCCUAAGAGAAUUGAACAAGAUUCUCAAGGAGUUAGCGCUGAUGCACCUAGUCAUCCUAGUAAUAGGAAGAAAAAUAAAGAUGAUAGGAACUUGCAUGCUAGCAAACCUGCUGCUGUUAUACCUGAGAAUCCAAAUGAUAUCUCUGUUUCUGAUGCCGAAACACAAUCUGGUGAUGAACAUGAGCCUAGUGAUAAUAUUGGUAGUGGUGUUCAUGAUGAUGCUCAACCUAGUAAUGAUAAGGAUGUGGAGAUUGAACCUAGUGUUGAUCUUGAUAACCCACAACCUAAGAACAAGAGAUAUGAUAAGAACGACUUCAUUGCUAGGAAGCAUGGUAAAUAAAGAGAACCAUGGGUUCAGAAACCCAUGCCCUUUCCUCCCAAACCAUCCAAGAAAAAGGAUGAUGAAGAUUUUGAGCGUUUUAUUGAAAUGAUUCGAUCUAUCUUUCUGCAAAUGCAUUUGACAGAUAUGCUCAAAAUGUCUUCUUAUGCCAAGUACAUGAAAGAUAUUGUGACAAAUAAAAGGAAGAUACCUGAGGUUGAGAUUUCCACCAUGCUUGCUAAUUACACCUUCAAGGGUGGAACUCCUAAGAAACUAGGUGAUCCCGGAGUGCCCACUAUACCUUGCUCCAUUAAAGGCAAUUAUGUUAGAACCGCUUUAUGCGAUCUUGGAGUUGGUGUUAGUGUUAUGCCUCUCUCUCUUUACCGUAGACUUGAAUUGGAUAAGUUGACAUCCACUGAAAUCUCCUUGCAAAUGGCCGACAAAUCAACUGCUUUCCCUAUCGGCAUUCGCGAGGGUGUGCCUGUUGUGGUUGAUAACGUUACUAUCUUAACGGACAUUGUUAUUCUGGAUAUUUAAAAGGAUAAUGCCAUGGCGGUCAUCCUUGGAAGACCCUUUUUAAACACUGCAAGGGCUGUUAUUGAUUGCAACAAAGGCAAUGUCAUUUUCCAUGUUAAUGGUAAUGGGCAUACGGUGCACUUUCCGAAGAAACAAUAUCGAGUACAUUGCAUCAAUGUUAUUGAAAGAACUUCAUCAAUUCUUAUUGGGAGCUUUGAAUGCCCUAUACCUACUGUCAAGAUGAAGUACGAUUUACUUGUUGGGGAUAUGCACAUCCCCGUUGAGGUAACCUAGUGAUUAUUCAAAAAUUCUCCGGUUUUAUGCGAUUCGAAAAAAGUUUGUCAAGGAGACUUUAUCAACCUCAUUGACGGAUUUCUUUUGAUGACCAUGAGAUGGAUGAAUCUAGGAGUCACAAACCUCCUGUUCCGAACUUUUAUUUUCUGUUGCUUAGAAGAAAAAUGAUAAAUUUAGCUUUAUUUUCCAGUUUUCUACUUUUUGCAUCCCUUAGAAAAGUGUCCCGAAAAUAAAAGUUAUCCAAAUGCCCUGAAAUUCAAGUAUGAUUUUUUCUGGAAUUUUUGAAAAAUUCUGAGACACAGAGCUAGUCAGGGGGAUGCACCAGUGGGGCCACAAGCCUAGGAUGCACGGCCACCCCCCAGGUCGCGCCUGGCAGGCUUGUGGGCCCCACGUGGCCCCCCUCCACUUAUUCUAGCUCCCAUCUCCUUCUCCUACCUCCAGAAAAAAUCAUUCCACAGCUCAAACCUGUGUUCUUGCUCUUCUUGCUGCGUUUUUCGAUCUCCUUGUGCAAAUCCCCAUUCACCAAACUGUUUUGGGGAAAUUGUUCCUUGGUAUGUGACUCCUCCAUUGGUCCAAUUAGGUUUUGCUCUAGUGCCUUAUUCAUUGUGUAUUUUUGCUGCCUUGGUGACCCUGUUCUUGAGCUUUGCAUGCUAAUUUUAGUUGGUCCCAAGUAGUUUUGAUGCAUGAUAUGGCCUCUAGGCACUUGAAGGAGUAGUUGCUAUGAGUUUUGUUGAGCCUUGUUCACCUUUCUCUUGAGUCACUAAAAAUUUCAGAAAAAGAAGACGUUCAGGAGAAACUAUCAUGGUGGUUCCUCAAGCAAAAGGGGUCCCCGUCUCUCGAUUCGGGAGCCCGAUCCUUAUCAGCCAAGGGACGCACCGGUACAACCAUGUGAAUGGCCUUCCGAUGAAUUCAUGAUUGAUGCAGGUUUCAAAGAUGAGUUUGAUACAUUUGUUCACAAUGUCGGGCUCGAAGAAUUCAUCUCCAACAAAUGCGAACAGUAUACUACACUCAUUGCCUCUUUUGUUCGUAGAUUCAAAUUUUCAGUUGGCCGUGACGCAUCCAUACUGUUUGAUCUGUAUGGCAAAUCGUACACCAUGGAUUUAGAGGAUUUUAAUAGAAUUCGCAAGAUACCUGAUUGGGGUAGUCUCAAUGAUCCUCCUAAGUCUUCGGUUAGAGAUUUUAUCUCUAGUAUAACUGUUGGAGAAACUAGAGAUACUACGCACGCUACCAUGGGGAGCAUUCAUUUUCCUGCCUUGCAUUACUUUGCCCUCUUCAUAGGUAGAUACAUUAACGGCAAAAUUGAGCAUUGUCACCUCUGCGCACCUGACCUUAGUAUUCUUAAGAGCGCAGUAAUGGGUGAUAGAAGUUUCAAAAUGGGAGCUAUAAUCGCGGGGAGGCUAAAUAAUAAUGCUAAUGAAGGGGAUUUCUUUGGUGGGAUCUAUGCCACUCGCAUAGCAAAUUUUCUUGGAGUACCCAUCCGCGAAGGAGAUCCCCCGCUCCAUACAACUUUCCUUGAUCGCGCCGCUAUGACACGUUAUCAGUUCCUUGAGAGGGAUAAUGAAUCCCUCCUAUACCGGGUAAUAUUUAACCGAUAGCGUGUUUUCCAUAUUACCCUUCCUGCUCAUGCCUUCUUUGACUUUCAGGUAAAACGGAGAUAUUACAUAACGAGAGGAGAGGCAGAGGAGUAUGAGAGGGAGGCAAAGGCUGCUCGCCUCCGUGAGCCAGCUAUUCAGGCGGUAGCUGCCGCGUUCCCGUACAACCCCCAAUAUGAUUUUGGAUAUCACCCAGACCAGCCGUGGGAGUAGACCAACUUAGGCCAAAAGCCUAAGCUUGGGGGAGUACGUAUUUCUCACUUACUUUAUAUUCAUGCUUACACUUUGAUAGUCGGUGUUCACACCUUGCCACUGUAUCAUCCAUGCUAGUUUAUUUCUUUUUCUCGCUUUCUUCUCAUGUGUUUGUUAGUUUGAGAAAAAAAAUUAGUUGUAAGUUUGCUUUCCAGUUUGCUUAGUGGUGUUUGAAGAGAAAACCCAAAAAGAUUUCCCGUUCUUGUUUUGCUUGUUGGGAGCUUUCCCGUGUAAAUAGUUUUCUUUUUCUUUGGGUCAAAGCAGAAGGCCAUAGUUAAAUGGUUUAGUGGCUCUCACAUGCAUAUAUGUUUAUCCGUCAAAGAGCCAUAUUACUAUGUCUUCUCCUUUGAGUUUUCUUGCAGAUUCCAGCUUAGUCCAAUGCACGAACACUCUCAUUAUGAUUCACAUCAUUCGGUCGUGCAAAUGAAAGGCAAUAAUGACGAUAUAUGAUGAAGUGACUGGGCGUGGAAAAGCUUGUAUGAACUCGAUCUAUUUUGUUUUUGUAAAUAUGACUAGCUCAUUGUUCCUAAUUCAGCUUUGUUAUGAGAGAAACAUGUUUGCAAUGACAACUUAGAGAUCAUAGUUUCUGAUGCCAUGCUUAAUUAGCUAGGAGCUUAUAAUGGUUUGUCUUGGAUGCCAUCAUGAAUUUCAAGAUGAUUAUGAUGUAGUAUGAUAGGAUGGUAUCCUCCUUUGAAUGAUUCAAGUGGCUUGACUUGGGACAUUUUUACGCAUGUAGUUGAAACAAAAUCAACAUAGCCUUGAUGAUAUUCAUGUUUAUGGUAAUUUAUGUCCUACUCAUGCUUGCACUCAAUGUUGGUUAAUUUCAAUGCAUUUUGAUGACUGUUGUCGCUCUCUAGUUGGUCGCUUCCCAGUCUUUUGCUAGCCUUCACUUGUACUAAGCAGGAAUACUGCUUGUGCAUCCACUUCCAUAAACCCAAAGUUGUUCAUAUGAGUCCACCAUACCUACCUAUAUGCGGUAUCUACCUGUCGUUCCAAGUAAAUUUGCAUGUGCCACUCUCUAAAACUUCAAGUAAUAAUCUAUUUUGUAUGCCCGAACCGCUCAUGUGGUGACAAGGGGAGAUCGGUAUCUUCCAUGCUAGGCGUGUUAUCCUCGAUACGUGUUUAUUCACUAUCACUCAUGAGAAAGGGUCGGUAAUCGGAAUGCCCAGUUCCAUGCUCAAAUCAAAAAGAUAAUUGCAAACAAAACUCCCCCUGGAUUGUUGUUGGUAUGGAUGGCACCCGAGGAUUCAGCUAGUCGUGGAGUGUGAUUGAUCGGUGGUGGGGGAGUCAAAACUUUACUUUUCUGUUUGGGAACCGCCUAAAGUAUGUGUAGCAUGGAAGAUGGUGGAAACUCUUGGUCAUCGCAUUGACAAUGAAAGCAUGCCACCCAAAAUUAUUUGUCUAUGUUUUAAAAGCUUGAGCUCUGGCACCUCUGCAAAUCAAUGCUUCCCUCUAUGAAGGGCCUAUCUAUUUAUGUUUCUAUUGAGUCAUCGUCUUCUUUCAAAAAGUACCAAUUAGAGAGCACCUCCGUCAUUUUUAUGCUUUGCUAUUAAUUGAUAUUGAGUAUGACUGUGACUGGAUCUUCUUUGCCAUGAAUUACAAUGUUCAGUCAACCCUUGGUCUUUGAAGGUGCUCUGCAUCUUAGUUUUGCGGUCUCAGAAAGAGUUAGCGAGAUACCACCUAUUCAUAUUGCUUGAUGAUUGUUUUGAUUGAAGUGUUGACGUUUGAAACUUAUUAUUAUUGCUCGCUAGUUGAUUAUGCCAUUGGUAUGAGUUUGCCAUGAGACCUAGAUGUCAUUGCUUAUGUGGUUAGCUUAUGAUCUUGCUGAAAAUCCGAAUAUGAGUUAGACAUAAUUACAACAACAAGAUCAAACAGAGUUUGUAAAAGUUUUUCUUUUGUCUCUUUCAGUUUGUCAACUGAAUUGCUUGAGGACAAGCAAGGCUUUAAGCUUGGGGGAGUUGAUACGUCUCCAUCGUAUCAACUUUUCCAAACUCCUUUGACCUUGUUUUGGACUCUAAUUUGUAAGAUUUGAAUGGAACUAACCCCGACUGACGCUGUUUUCAGCAGAAUUGCCAUGGUGUUGUUUUGCGCGGAAAUAGAAGUUCUCGGAAUGACCUAGAAAUUUACAAGGAUUUUUUGUGGAAUAUAUAAAAAAUACUAGCACAAGAAUUACCUGAGGGACGGAGCCUGGAGCCCACAAGCCCAGGAGGCGCCCCCCUGGCUGCGCCUGGCACGCUUGUGGGGCCCUCGUGGCUCCGUCGCCUCCAACUCCAGCUCUAUAUAUUCUCUCUCGCCUGGAAAAAAUCGGAGAGAAGAGUUCAUAGAGUUUUACGAUACGGAGCCGCCACCACCACCUGUUCUUCCUAUGGAGGGCAGAUCUGGAGUCUGUUUUGGGCUCCGGAGAGGGGGAAUCGACACCUUCGUCAUCGCCAAUUCCAUGAUGCUCUUCAUCGUUCGUGAGUAAUUUCAUCGUAGGCUUGGUGGAAGGUGAUGGGUUGGAUGAGAUCUAUCAUGUAAUCGAGUUAGUUUUGAUGGGGAUUGAUCCCUAGUAUCCACUAUGUUCUGAUGUUGCUACUACUUUGUUAUGCUUAAUGCUUGUCACUAGGGCCCGAGUGCCAUGAUUUCAGAUCUGAACCUAUUAUGUGUCCAUCAAUAUAUGUGUGUUCUUGAUCCUAUCUUGCAAGUUGUAGUCACCUACUAUGUGUUAUGACCCGGCAACCCCGGAGUGAUUAUAGCCAGAACCACUCUCGGAGAUGACCAUGGUAUAAGGAGUUCAUGUAUUCACUAAGUGCUAAUGCUUUGUUCCGGUUCUCUAUUAAAAGGAGACCUUAAUAUCCCUUAGUUUACAUUAGGACCCCACUGCCACGGGAGGGAUGGACAAUAGAUGUCAUGCAAGUUCUUUUCCAUAAGCACGUAUGACUAUAUACGGAAUGCAUGCCUACAUUACAUUGACGAACUGGAGCUAGUUACAUAUCUCCCCAUGGUAUAACGGUUACAUGAUGAAUGUCAUCCGGCAUAAUUAUCCAUCACCUAUCCAAUGCCUACGAGUUUUUCCUACUAGUCCUUGCUAUGCUACUUUGCCGCUACUGCUGUCACUGCUCCUACUGUUACCGUUAUUGUUGUCACUACUGCUACUGUUACCACUGCUACUGUUGCUAUCACACUACUCUGCUACUGAAAAUUUGUUGUAGAUACUAAGUCUUUCAGGUGUGGUUGAAUUGACAACUCAACUGCUAAUACUCGAGAAUAUUCUUUUGCUUCCCCUUGUGUCUAAUCAACAAAUUUGGGUUGAAUACUCUACCCUCAAAAACUAUUGCGAUCCUCUAUACUUGUGGGUUAUCAAGGCCAAAUGAGCCCACCAUAAUAANAUGAAUGAGAGAAAAAGAGAGAAGGGACUUUGCUACUAUCCUUUACCACACUUGUGCCUCAAAGUGGCAUCUUGUUCUUCAUAUAGAGAGUCUCGUGUUAUAUUAUUCAUAUGAUAGUGGGAAUUACUUUUUCAUAAAAUUGGCUUCUAUAUUCCUAUGACGGGCUUCCUCAAAAGCCUGAGGUCUUCAUGAGCAAGCAAGUUGGAUGCACAGCCCACUUAGCUUCGCUGGAGCUUUCAUACACUUAUGGCUCUAGUGCAUCGUUUGCAUGGAAAUCCAUACUCCUUGCAUCAAUAUCUAUCGAUGGGCAUCUUCGUGGCCCGUUGGUACUCCUAGUUGUUGUGAGGCUAUAUUCUCCACUUUACACCCCUUUGAAACGCACCACCUUACUGUAUUCCACAUUUAUGCUAUGUCCAAUGGUUCACGCUCAUGUAUUGCGUGAAGAAUAAAAAGUUGAUGCAUAUUGAAAAAGUAUGAUCCAAUUGCAUGACUUGUACACCGUGCUGAUUAACAUUUGUAUUAAUGUGGUUAAUAUGGAGCCAUGCCUUGCUAAUAUAAAAUAAGAUGGAUAGGGGUAAAACAUUUUUUGAGGAUCGUAUACUUUGAAAGAUUGAUAUUUUGCUGCUUAUACCUAUAAGUACUACUAUGUUAAUGUUUUUUAAUUCAUCGUUUCUCAGUGAGCAUACAUGCAUAAGGUUACAUCAUGGGUAGCAUGUGACAUCAAAAACUCUGCUUUUAUCAUUUACCUACUCGAGGACGAGCACGAAUUAAGCUUGGGGAUGCUUGAUACGUCUCCAACGUAUCUAUAAUUUUUUAUUGUUCCAUGAUGACAUAUUAUCAUUUUAGAAUACUUUUGGGGUAUAUAUUAACAAUUUAUAUUAUUUUUUAGCACUAACCUAUUGACCCAGUGCCCAGUGCCAGUUGUUGUUUUCUGCAUGUUUUUCACUUUUUCGGUUUUCAAUACCAAACGAAGUCUAAUUGAUCUGAAACUUUUUGGUGAUUUUUCUGGACCAAAAUAAGACCAAGGAGCAUCGGAAGAAGGUUCGAUGCCUCAUUAGGGGCACAUAAGCCAACAAGGUGUGACCUGGGGGCGCCCUGAUGGCUUGUACCUCCCUCGUGGCCCUCCCGACUCUGUUCUCUGGCUUAUAAAUUCUCCUUUAUCCUAGAAACACCAGAAGAGGCCAGUAACACUUUUUAUGUUGUCGCAAGUAUCUGUUUCAAUGGGAUGCCAUAUGGAGCUCCGUUUCGGCACCGUGUCGGAGAGAGGUCGAUCAUGGAGGGCCUCUACAUCAACCUUGUUGCCCUCUCCAUGAUGUGUGAGUAGUUCACCACACACCUACGGGUCCAUGGCCAGUACCUAGAUGACAUUCUCUCUUGAUCUUCAAUACAAUGGUCAUCGCAUCUUCUCUUUGAUCCACAUGAUGUAACUUACUUUUGUGUGGUGCGUUUGUUGGGAUCCAAUGAAUUGUGGGUUUAUGUUCAGAUUAUUCAUGAUAAAUAUUUGAAUCUAAUCUAAAAUAUUAUAUGAUUCUUAUGUGCAUGAUUAUAAUAGCUUCGUAAUUCUCUCCGAUCUAUUGAAAUAGUUUGGCCAACUAGAUUGAUAUUUUUUUGGUGAGAGAGGUGCGUUGUAGUAGGUUCAACCCAGCGAAUUUCUAUAUCCCAGUGACAGAAGGAGACAAGAUGCGUCUUUAUGUUGCUACUACUAAGGAUAAAAUGAUGGGGUUUAUUCACAUUGCUUGAGUUUACAUUCUCUACAUCAUGGAAUCUUUCUCCAUGCAUUACUUCGUUUGUCAUGAACUUAAUACGUAGAGAGGCAAGCAUAGAAGCAAUCUUGAAGUUUAGUAAUAGUAAUAGGUGCACGCACGAGUCGGUCUAUUUGUUUAUGGACGUAAUGCCUAUAUACACAUGAUCAUUGUCGUGAAUAUCGCAUAACUAUUCACUUUUCUGUCAAUUGCCCAACAGUAAUUUGUUUACCCAUCGUAUGCUAUUUUCCAUGAGAGAUGCCAUUAGGGAAAACUAUGGCCCUCGGGUCUAUUCACACCAUAUUUACAAAACCUUCAAUACCUUGCUGCAAUUUAUUGUUUUCUUUUUAUUUUGCAAUUUACAAUUAUCUACAACUAUGUGCACAACUUACUUGCUUGCAAAUAACGAGACCAAAGGGGAUUGACAACCCUCUUGCCCGCGUUGGGUGCAAGUUGUUUGUUCUUUUGUGUACAUCCGCUAAAGACGGUUGUGGUUGAUAUUCCUAUUGGUUCGAUAAACCUUGGUUUCGUCACUCACGAAAAUACUUACCUAUUUUGUGCUGUGAUAACCCGUUCAUCUACACGGAAAACCCAACGCGGAUCACAAGUAUUAGGCUCUUGGGAGCCCCCACUGGUGACAACACCCCUAGUUGGAGUCGUACGUCCGCCGCGCCCAACCGCAGAGUCGUCACGGGGGAAAUGAUAGAUGAUUUGGCAGGGGGACCAACACCGCCCAGUGCGGACGAACCAUGGGUUAGCCUUGAGGCACACGCCCGAACGGUGCCAUUCGGUUGCGUCACGGCUAAGAGGUGGAGAAGAAGCGGUGUGUCUGGGUCGCUCGGUGCGCCGCAUUGAAGCAAGUGAGGACCGAGGGGGGCCUCGCCACUGCAUGCGGCACAGACGAGGCUCAUGACAUGCUUAAGUCGAGCGCCGCACUGUCCCUGGUGGGGCGACAUCACAGCAGCCCCUCCGCUAAGAGCAGCGCAACGUGUGGAGCAGGAGGGUUGCGACUCACCGGCGAGGGGUGGAAGCGGAGCAGCCAAGCGCAUGCUUGUUCUCCGACGGGUAGACGAAGGAGGUCGCCUUCUCUCUAACGGGCUUGGUGGUGUCCCAAGGGCGCCGCCCAGGGGCACCACGGGUGGCGGCUCAGCGUGCAGCACGCUCCCGACAAGCGGUGGCAUCAUCCAUGUCGAUGUUGAUGUUGAGGUCAAAGGUGCAAACACAGCAAGCUGCCCCUACCCGGUGCGCCAAAUUUCAGAGUCAAGGAUGUGCAUCCCCAUACUUCUCCAAAGAACUAGGUUCGGACACUCGGGGUGCUUGGCUUGGCAACUUGCAACACGAUGGUAAACACGGCAAGAUCGACGGUAAGCUCACUCCUUCUCACCAGACACGAACCAGACACGUGAGAUACCCAGGUUCGGGCCACCGUGCAGUGUAGAACCCUACUCCUGCUUGUGUUAGAAUUCUUUGUACUCGAGAGCUAUGCUCGAGGUACAUGAGGUGUGUUGGAGAGAAUGGCUUGAUCCCCUUAGACGUAAGUGGUUGUCCCCUCUUGUAGUGCCUUGGUCCUCUUCCCCGAAAAUAUGAGCGAGUAAGGGUGUCCACGUGGCGGAAAUUCAAAGGGGGACAGGAGCUCGGACUAAUCCGGACAAAAGGUUGUCUCCCCCUGCUAAAGCAGUCUUCGUGACGUGUUUGUGGGCUCGGCGAUGACCUUCAUCCUGCCUCGCUGAUCCGUCGUGAUCCUCUUUCAUCAAAAUGGCAAGCUUUGGGAUCCUGUCUUUGGCGAGAGAGCGGUCGCAGCACUCUAAUCACCAAAGAUGAAUUCAUCCUUGUCCGCGCAUGCUCGCAUGGCCUCUAUCAACCUUGUCUAUGUGGGUGCAUCACUCACGUGUUGGGCGCGGAGCCCUGUGGCAGGUAUCGUACAUCGUCCUCGUGGAUCGACCUCAUGAGGGGAGCCUCGUGAGACAAUCUGGCACUUGGUGGCCCGGGUUACGCCUAGUCUGGUGGUGAGCAGCCUCGCAAGCAUAGCCCCGCACAAGGCGGCUUCUUUCGGAGCGACCGUGGCUAAUCCAUCUCGCCGCGGGCCGGUGGCAAAUGGGUCGUGGUACCCUGGUUCCCACUUGGCCGACGGGAACACUAAAAGUUGCCACAUUUUGCACUAGUCAUUGUAACCGAGUUUUUACUUUGGUUCCACCGAGUUGAAUAAUAAUGUUGUAACUGUUGGAUUUUUGGAGAUGUCUAUAUAUACACAUCCACCUCCCUCUCAUACGUAGAGAGAGCACUCAAAACAAGCCAACACUAGCCCCAUCCAUUUUCUGAGAAGGAACCACAUACUCGUGUGUUGAGAUCAACAUAUACGAGUCCAAUCAUAUGAAUCUUGAUUUCUAGCCUCCCCAAGUUUCUUUCCACCCAAUUAAACUCUUCUACUGAGCCAAAUUUGUGACAGAAAGAUUGAGUGUUGAGGAGACUAUCUUUUGAAGCACAAGAUCAAGGAGUUCAUCAUCCAUACCACAUCUAUUGCCUUUUGGAGAGUGGCAUCUCCUAGAUAUGUUGGGUGUUGCUUGGGAGUCUCCCACUUCACGUGGAGUUGAACCAAGAAGUUUGUAAGGCCAAGGUGACCGCCUACUUCGUGAAGAUCUACCCUCAGUGAGGCUAGUCCUUCAUAGACAUAAGCCAUGAAGGUAUUAUCACACCCUAUGUUUUGCCUUACUUUGCUAAGUUAACAUAGCUUGAAAAUUAGGACCAAUUAAAACUUUUGUUGUGUGAUGUGAUGCUUGAACUGAUUGUUGUUUGCUUGCUUCUGUUUUAAAUCACAAGAACAAUCCUCCUACUUUUUAUACUCACCUCCUUGCUCCAAAUCCUUGCCCAACGACCAUGCCAUGUGUAUAGGACCUAAAACUAUUUUUACAAAAUAUCAUUUUUACCAAAAAGCAUUUAAUUAAUUUAAGCUUUCAAAACCCCCUCAAUUGCGGUUUGUAAUACAAGUCCUCAAAUUAGGAGGUAUAUUUUGCUCAAAAUAUUUUAUUUGGAUCUUUUUAUCAAAAAUACUUCCCAAAAACAGAAAAUAAUUAUCUUUUUACUAUCUUAUUUAAAUACCUUUUUCUGAGGCCGGAAAUGAUAUUUAUAGGGGGGAAUUAUUUUUAUGCCAAAACAUUUGAGAAAAGUUAGGGAAACUUAGUGGACAUAUGUUUUCCAUAUAUAAGAGUUUUAACAAAUGGUCAUGUUCAAAAUAUUGGACAAAACCCUCCAAAACCCUUUUUGCCUAUUUCAAGCUUUUGAAAUAUUGCUAUAAGAAUCAUUAUCAAAUAAUUCUAGUAAAAUUCUACCAUGUCACACAUGAUAUAUGUUAUGAUCUUGCCAAGUUUCAUCUCAACCCAAGUUGAUUUCAUUCACCAAAAUAUCCCAAAACCCUGUGUGUCCACAACCAAAUUUGAGCAACUCUACAUUGCCAGGUUUCUCCUUUUGUGCUCAAAUUUUGUGGGCGUGAUCUCAUACUCAAAUAACGCAUCCACACCAAGUGGUGCAUCAAGGAGAAUAGAUCCACUUGUACAAAGCCCCUCAAAACCACUUCUGCUGAUUUCUAGAAUUGGGAAUAUUUGCAUUGGCAAGUUUCUCCAAAUGACUCCAAACUUUUGGGGCAUGCUCUAAUCCUCAAAUAAUGCCACCACACAAAGUGGUGCAUUAGGGGGAAUUAAUUUGCAUGGGUUUGUCUAGGGAAAACCAUUUCUCCUGAUUUCUAGGGUUUACCAUCUCUACAUUGGAAACUUUCUCCAACAAAUCUCAAAUUUGGUGUCCAACCUCAUUUUCACCUAACAUUUGAUCUUGUUAAAUCUCACGGCAAGUAGACUCCAUUUUCUUGCACAAAACAACAUCAAACACCUUCUCGUGAUUUAGUAAAAACCCACCUUUUGACCCCUUACAUGGUUCCCCUUACUCUCAAACUUUUACCACAACCCCAAGUUGAUGUCUUCUACCUCCAAUAAGAAACCCAGCCCCCCAGGUCAAUAAUUGGUGGGGGUAAAACCCCCAUUUAUCCCAUGGACAGCAAGAAUCCACUUCUCUCUCAGCUUCCCCCCUUUCCUAGCCAGUACCCAGGGUAUCCAAAGCCCUUUUGCACCUAUUUUACUCCUCCCGCAGCUAGUGUACAAGGGUGGUCAUGCCAGAGCGCGUGCAGACGCGCCCAUGCUAGACAAAAGCUCACUCUGGAGCACACUGCAGUGCACUCAAGAACUGACGCCACACUAAUGACCUCCUCGAGCCCCUCCUACUUGCAGGACCACAUCAGCAUACAUGAUUCACCAUACGGUCAUCCCCAUCCUCUCUCUCUCUCCCUCCUGCGGCCCUCCUCGCAUGCACGCCGACCGCCCAAGCACACCAAUGGACGGCCUCGCACAGGCAAGCUUCUACCGCUCACUCCUUCCUCUUUUUUCCCUCCCCUAGUCCGAGACCAAGUCCACCAAUGCCAUAGACAUGGCCUAGGGUGCCCUCGUGGCCUAUGGCCUCACCCUCGCCCUCGACCUCGCCCUGCUCCAUGUCCACGGUAAGCACGCUCCCAAGCCAUUCAAGGCCUCCCUCGAGCCCCCACUCGGCUCCCUUUUCCCCCUCUCUCCCCCAGAGCCCCAGUAUCGCCAAAUCGUCCUCCCAUGCCCUUCUCCUCCCUCAUUGACGACAUUGUCACCUAGGCCUUCUCCUAAAUUCGGGCUCCCUCGAGCUUUCCCUCUCCCCUGACCCCUCCAGUGCCCUCUCGCCACCAUCUCUAAGCCCCGCAGCGCCACCAUUUCUCCUCGGAGACGCCCUGGGCUCAAUGGCAGUGAUGACCGGAGGUCCCCUCCACGACCAAAUAGACCAUCACCGCUAUAGCCCUCCCGUGCAUGAGCACGACAGGGGAUUGAUAUGUCUCCAAUGUAUCUAUAAUUUUUUAUGGUUCCAUGCUAUUAUCUUGUCAAACUUUGGAUGUUUUGUAUGCCUUUUAUAUCUUUUUUGGGACUAACUUAUUAACUCAGUGCCAAGUGCCAGUUCCUUUUUCUUCUGUGUUUUUGACCCCUUUCACAGGAGAUUUUUAAACGGUGUCCAAACGGAAUAAAACUUCCGAAAAGUUUUUUUCCGGAACAGAAGAUACGCAGGGGACGUGAGAACCAAGGCAAAGGCCACCAGGGGAGGCCACAAGCCCACUAGGCGUGGCUAGGGGCGCGCGCCUAGUAGUCUUGUGGGCCCCGUGUGGCUUGUCUGCCCUACCUCUUCCGCCUAUAAAUUCCCGACAAAUCCUAAACUACGAGAGAGAUCCAACAAAAUACUUUUCCAUCGCCGCAAGCUUCUGUCUCCGCAAGAUCCCAUCUAGGGCACAUUUUGGUGCCCUGCCGGAGGGGGGAUUCGGAUAUGGAGGGCUUCUUCAUCAACACCAUGACCUCUCCGAUGAUGCGUGAGUAGUUCACCAUAGACCUUCGGGUCCGUAGCUAGUAGCUAGAUGACUUCUUCUCUCUCUUGGAUCUUCAAUACAAAGUUCUCCAUGAUCUUCAUGGAGAUCUAUCCGAUGUAAUCUUCUUUGCGGUGUGUUUGUCGAGAUCCGAUGAAUUGUGGAUUUAUGAUCGGAUUAUCUAUGAAUCUUAUUUGAGUUUCUUCUGAUCUCUUAUAUGCAUGAUUUCAUAUCCUUGUAAUUCUCUUCGAGUUGUGGGUUUUGUUCAGCCAACUUGAUCUAUGAUUCUUGCAAUGGGAGAAGUGCUUGGUUUUGGGUUCAUGCCGUGCGGUGACCUCACCCAGUGACAGAAGGGGUAGCGAGGCACGCAUCGUGUUGUUGCCAUCAAGGGUAAAAGGAUGGGGUUUACAUCAUUGGUUUGAGUUUAUCCCUCUACAUCAUGUCAUCUUGCUUAAAGCGUUACUCUGUUCGUCAUGAACUCGAUACACUAGAUGCAUGCUGGAUAGCAGUCGAUGUGUGGAGUAAUAGUAUUAGAUGCAGAAAGUAUCGGUCUACUUGUCUCGGACGUGAUGCCUAUAUGUAUGAUCAUUGCCUUAGAUAUCGUCAUGACUUUGGGCGGUUCUAUCAAUUGCUCGACAGUAAUUUGUUUACCCACCGUAAUAUUUGCUAUUUUGAGAGAAGCCUCUAGUGAACAAUAUGGCCCCCGGGUCUACUUCACUUCAUAUUUUCAGCCUUACACUUUUACUUCGUUGCACUUUCCACCUUCAGAUCUCACUUUGCAAUCAAUCUUGAAGGGACUGACAACCCUUUUAUAGCGUUGGGUGCAAGCUCGUUGUGUUUGCGCAGGUACUCUGAACACUUGGCUUGAUUCUCCUACUGGAUUGAUACCUUGGUUCUCAAACUGAGGGAAAUACUUACUGCUCCUGUGCUGCAUCACCCUCUCCUCUUCAAGGGAAAACCAACGCAAGUUCAAGAGGCAGCAGAAGGAUUUAUGGCACCGUUGCCGGGGAGGAUCAAGUCAAAGAAUAGUCUCCCGUCAACGUGUCAAUCUCUGGCACCGAGGAUUAUUCUAAGUGAAGCUUAUCCAAGUAACUGUCGCAAACUCAUCUCUUGCAUUUACUUUUUUUGCCUCUCGUUUUCCUCUCCCCCACUUCUGAAAAAUAAAAAUUUACAAAAAUAUUUGUCUUUUUCGUUCGCCCUUUUCUUUCGCUUGCUUUCUGUUGCUUGUGUGCUAUGUGCCUUCAAUAUGCUUGCAUCUUCGCUUGCUGAAAAUCUAUUGAUAUGGAUCCAAUUAUGUUGAACCAUUUGCUAGUGAGUUGAGUGCACUUGACUUUCUCUAUGGAGUUUUGCUUGAGAUGCAUGAAUCUGAAAAUCGUGAUGAAGAAAUUUAUGAAGUGAUUCACGAGGGCUCCUUGAAUGAAAAGCAUGAUUCAAUGAUUUCAUUAUAAAUUCUAUUAAUGACAAUCAUGCUAAAAAUAUGCAAAACCCUAAGCUUGGGGAUGCUAGUUUUGCUAUGUCCACUACUUGUUGCAAUGAUCAUGAUUGGGGUAAUGAUUUUUCUUAUGAUCUUGAAAAUUUGUUUAAGCCUCUUGAUGAAUAUGAUAUUUGCAAUAAUAUUGAAAGUGGGUUUGGAGAAGUCAUGACUUUAGUUGAUGAUAAUCCCACUAUUUUUGUAGAGCGUCAACUUUGCAUGCAUGUGGAUCAUGAAAAGAAUAUCCUAUGUGAUAUCUAUAUUGUUGAAUUUGAAUAUGAUCCCACAUGUAAUUGCUAUGAGAGAGGAAAAUAUUGUGGUAGAAACUUUCAUGUUACCAAAUCACCUCUCGUUAUGUUGAGAUUGCUAUUGUCUCUUUCUUCUUCCUUGCAUAUGGUAACUAUUGGUUGUCUUAACAAUUUGUUUUCCUAUAAAAUGCCUAUGCGUAGGAAGUAUGUUAGACUUAGAUGUGAUUUUUACAUGCUUUAUGAUGCUCUCGUUGUGCUUCAAUUCUUAUCUUUUGUGUGAGCAUCAUUGAAUUAUCAAUGCCUAGCUAAGCGCGUUAAACAAUAGCGCUUGUUGGGAGGCAACCCAAUGAAUUUAUCUUUUUCUUUCUGUUUUGUUGCGUCCACACCAUCAUAAUUCUGUUAUGAUUUUGUUUUUUNGAUAGUGUCUUUUGUGUUUCUUUUUGUGUUUGAGCCAAGCAAAACCUUUAUGACUAGUUUGGUGUUGGUUGUUUGAUCCUGCUGGAAAAAGACAGAAAUUGCUCGCUCACGAAAGUAUUUGGCAUUUUUAUUCAGAAAGAGAUUUUGAGUUGAUUCUUUUUUCUCCUGGUUGAUAUUUAUUUUUCCCAGGCUGUAGUAAUUUUUCAGAAUUUUUGAGGUAACAGAAGUAUACGAAGUAUACAGAUUGCUACAGACUGGUAUGUUUUUGACAAAUUCUGUUUUUCUUGUGUUGGUUGCUUGUUUUGAUGAAACUAUGGAUAGUAUCGGGGGGUACUAUCCAUGGAAAAGUGAGAAUACAGUAACCUAACACCAACAUAAUUAAAAAUCAAGAUUGCUACAGUACCUCAAGAGGUGGUAGUUUCUUUUCUUGUGCUAAUGAUAUCACGAGUUUCUGUUUAAGUUUUGUGUUGUGAAGUUUUCAAGUUUUGGGUGAUGUUCUCACGAACAAGGGAUAAACAGUGGAAAGAGCUCAAGCUUGGGGAUUCCCAAGGCAUCCCAAGCCAAAUUCAAAGACACCAAAAAGCCUAAGCUUGGGGAUGCCCCGGGAAGGCAUCCCCUCUUUCGUCUUCAAUCCAUCGGUAACAUUACUUGGAGCUAUAUUUUUAUUCACCACAUGAUAUGUGUUUUGCUUGGAGCGUCUUGUAUCGUAGGAGUCUUUUCUUUUUGUUGUGUCACAAUCAUCCUUGAUGCACACCUUUUGAUAGAGACAUGCACUCAUCGUGAAUUUGCUAGAAUGCUCAUUGUGCUUCACUUACAUCUUUUGAGCUAGACAAUGUUGCUCUAUGUGCUUCACUCAGAUCUUUUAGAGCACAGCAGUGUGUAACUUGGUAGUUGGCUUGUGCUAUGAAAGUAGUCCCAAAGGUUAUAGGUACCCGAAGAGGAUAAAAUAAAACUUCCAUCUUCAUGUGCAUUGAGUAGAAAGAGAAGUUUGAUUCCUCUCAAUUAGUUUUGCGACGUGGAUUUGGUAAUAUUAAGAGUUAUGUUAGUAGGGUGUUGUGAAUCUAGAAAUACUUGUGUUGAAGUUAGUGAUUCCCGUAACAUGCAUGUAUGGUGAACCGCUAUGUUAGGAAGUCGGAGCAUAAUUGAUCUAUUGAUUGUCAUCCUUUGUGUUGCAGUCAGGAUCGCGCGAUGGUUUACACCUACCAACCCUUCCCCUAGGAGUAUGCAUUUAACACUUUGUUUCGAUUACUAAUAAAAACUUUCCAACAAGUAUGUGAGUUCUUCAUGACUAAUGUGAGUCCAUGGUAUAGAUGCACUUUCACCUUCCACCAUUGCUAGCCUCUCUAGUACCACGCAAUUUUCGCCGGUGCACAAACCCACCAUAUGCCUUCCUCAAAACAGCCACCAUACCUACCUACUAUGACAUUUUCAUAGCCAUUUCGAGAUAUAUUUCCAUGCAACUAUCGCCAUUCCAUCUCAUGACUUGUGACGUCACUCUCAUAUUGCCAUUGCAUGAUCGUAAGAUAGCUAGCGAGAUUUUUGAACAUCAUACGCCAAGCUAGAUCGUUGCACAUCCCGGUACACUGCCGGAGGCAUUUCCUAUAGAGUCGUCAUCGUUCUAAGCUUUGAGCUGUGAGUAAAUAAAAGUGUGAUGAUCAGCAUUAUUAGAGAAUUGUCCCAUGUGAGGAAAUAAAAAAAGGCCAAAGUUGCCCACAUAAAAAAAUAUGGAAAGGGGCCAAAGAGCACAAACAAAAAAAAGAGAAAAAGCGAGAAGGGGCAAUGCUACUAUCUCUUUCCACACUUGUGCUUCAUAAUAGCACCAUGUUCUUCAUGAUUGAGAGCUUCUCAUUUUGUCACCACCAUAUGCUAGUGGGAAUCUUCAUUAUAUAACUUGGCUUGUAUAUUCCAAUGAUGGGCUUCCUCAAAAUUGCCCUAGGUAUUCGUGAGCAAGCAAGUUGGAUGCACACCCACUAGUUCUCCUUUUGAGCUUUCACAUACUUAUAGCUCUAGUGCAUCCUUUGUAUGGAAAUCCCUACUCAUUCACAUUGAUAUCUAUUAAUGGGCAUCUCCAUAGUCCUUUGAUACGCCGAGUCAAUGUGACCAUCUCCUCCUUUUUGUCUCACAACCUCCACCACACUCUAUUCCACCAUAGUGCUAUAUCCAUGGCUCAUGCUCAUGUAUUGCGUGAGAGUUGAAAAAGGUUUGAGAAAUUAAGAGUACGAAAACAAUUACGUGGCCAAUACCGAGGUUGUGCAUGAUUUAAAUUAGUUGUGUGGGGAUGAUAGAGCAUAGCCAGACUAUAUGAUUUUGUAGGGAUAACUUUCUUUGGCCUUGUUAUUUCGAAAGUUCAUGAUUACCUUGCUAGUUUGCUUGAAGUAUUAUUGUUUUCAUGUCAAUAGCAAACUAUUGUUUUGAAUCUUACGGAUCAGAACAUUCAUGUCACAUGAAAGAAGUUACAAAGGAUAACUAUGCUAGGUAGCAUUCCACAUCAAAAAUUCAGUCUUUACCACUUCCCUACUCGAGGACGAGCAGGAGUUAAGCUUGGGGAUGCUUGAUACGUCUCCAACGUAUCUAUAAUUUUUGAUGGUUCCAUGCUAUUAUCUUGUCAAACUUUGGAUGUUUUGUAUGCCUUUUAUAUCUUUUUUGGGACUAACUUAUUAACUCAGUGCCAAGUGCUAGUUCCUAUUUUUUCCAUGUUUUUGACCCCUUUCAGAGGAGAUUUUUAAACGGUGUCCAAAUGGAAUAAAACUUCUGAAAAGAUUUUUUCUGGAACAGAAGAUACGCAGGGGAUGUGAGAACCAAGGCAUAGGACGCCACGGGAGGCAUCAAGCCCUCUAGGCACGGCCAGGGAGGUCGCGCCUAGCAGGAUUGUGGGGCCCCUGUGGCUCGUCUGCCCUACCUCUUCCGCCAAUAAAUUUCUGAAAAAUCCAAAACUGCGAGAGAGAUCCAUGAAAAUACUUUUCCGCCGCCGCAAGCUUCUAUCUCCGCAAGAUCCCAUCUGGGGCACAUUCUGGUGCCCUGCCGGAGGGGGAUUCGGAUACGGAGGGCUUCUUCAUCAACACCAUGACCUCUCCGAUGAUGUGUGAGUAGUUCACCAUAGACCUUCGGGUCCAUAGCUAGUAGCUAGAUGGCUUCUUCUCUCUCUUGGAUCUUCAAUACAAAGUUUUUCAUGAUCUUCAUGGAGAUCUAUCCUAUGUAAUCUUCUUUGAGGCGUGUUUGUCGAGAUCUGAUGAAUUGUGGAUUUAUGAUCAGAUUAUCUAUGAAUCUUAUUUGAGUUUCUUCUGAUCUCUUAUAUGCAUGAUUUCAUAUAUUUGUAAUUCUCUUCGAGUUGUGGGUUUUGUUUGGCCAACUUGAUCUAUGAUUCUUGCAAUGGGAGAAGUGCUUGGUUUUGGGUUCAUACCAUGCGGUGACCUCACCCAGUGACAGAAGGGGUAGCGAGGCACGCAUCAUGUUGUUGCCAUCAAGGGUAAAAAUAUGNNNNNNNNNNNNNNNNNNNNNNNNNNNNNNNNNNNNNNNNNNNNNNNNNNNNNNNNNNNNNNNNNNNNNNNNNNNNNNNNNNNNNNNNNNNNNNNNNNNNCCACUGUGCUGGAAAGGGAAAGCUUCACCCAGGCUCAAAGAGACGGAUGGAUAUUUUCAAGACCCAAGGCUUACCUGCAUAGCCACAAGUCAUUAUGGGCUUUGGCUUGGUUGAACAAUGCGGCGACUCUGGACAGGCGGUGCUAGCAGAUGUAGACGAACAGUAGGAAUGGAUGGGCACCGACAGGGAUUCAGAGGGACCCGUUGAAAGACCAUGUUUUGAUCAUCCGGUCUUCAAACACCCUGAAGUGCGAGGACAUACACGGAGGAGAUCAAAUCUUGUGGGGAAUGUGUGCAAAACUCUGCAGAGUACUCAAACCUAAUCGAUUAGCCAUGUCCACGGUCAUGGACAACUUGAGCCAAAGGAACUGAAGUUAUCUGGAUUUCUCAACACCAUAAUAUAUAUAUUUGAUGAGGGUAAUUAUUGACAACUCGGGUACGAGAACUGGUUGGCGGAACCAUCUUGUUAACUACCAACCUUGUAGUAACGUUUUGCUUUCAACCCCUCUUGUUGUAGGAUAAAACUGGCUUUAUGCAAAACUUAGCUCCACCGACCAAAUAUGCAUGUAGAGAUAGUUGAUUAUGACUUUACCCCUCUCUUAUGUGACUUGCCGGCAUAUUCAAUAUGCUGACCUACACGGCUGCAACGUCUUAUGUUGCAGAUAUUUUCUUCGACGAGUAAGAGUACGAUUCAGGGUUACGGUCUACACUCAACUUGCCGUUGGUGUUUAUUGGGACUCCACUCCCUUGACUGCUUCCGCUGAAAUAAUUAAGGUAUAUAUCAGUUUUACGCUAUUUACAUGUGAUUGCACUUUGAUAUAUACAUUGAUGUACUGUGUGUGCCAGCAUACUGAUCCAGGGAUGGCACAGAAACACAGAGGCUUGACUCAUUUUGAGUCGGGUCGCUACAGAGAUGGUAUCAGAGCACAUGUUGACUGUAGGACGUGACCCUAGAAACUGGAAAUUGCUUAGGAAAGGAUCUCUCAAAAUUUUUAUUUUCAACAACACCUUUUACUUCUCAUCUCUUCUAAUUUCAUCAAAUGUUCCCCCUCACCUCAAAUGGUUAUACAAUCCCCUUACCCCUUUGACCUCAUCAAGAAUCAACAGAGUCCCACUUCAAAGUAAAGAGGAUUUCACCACGCGUUUGAAGAAUUGAAGCUACACCAACAGUAGACUCCCAAGACCCGAAGAACUCGAAGACCCUGAAGUGUUCGAAUAUUUAUAUGACCAUUAGAAGUCCAAACCCUUGUUAUAUACCCACGUUAGUUACGACGAUUUGUGAGCCGUCAUUGUCGUGUGUUUUUCCGACGGCCACAAAUAAAACCUAUUCUCAAAAAUAUUGUUUGUAUUGUGUGUAUCUCCCUCCCUCUCUUACCCGUCUCAUCCCCAAAACCUCAACCCUAACAGAUGGAGUAUGAAGCUGGACUUGUAGUCUCUGGACCAAAGACCCAGCUGGAGGCUAAAAUAUGGAUUCAGAACAUGGAGAACCACUUCGGAGCAACUUGAUCUCGAGGAAGUAUGAAGUGGAACACGCUCUUCAGUACUUUACACAAAGUGCUGCAAUCUGGUGCAAAAUGCAUCAUGCCAUACAAGGAUUUAGUGGAGCAGAAACUUGGGACGAAUUCAAGAAGGCUCUGUUAAGACCCCGUCUCAUUCAGAAGAGCUAUGAUAAUCCGAUGAAGAAGCCUUGUGCAUGCAAGAUCUGGGGAGAAAUAGGACACACCCAGGAAGAACACAAUGAUGGAUGCCCUCAUUAUGAAGAAAAUCACUUAUCAGAGGUAUGCCCAACUAGUCAGGUGACUUGUUUCUUGUGUGAAGGAACCACCCACUACCCAGCCCAGUGUCACAUUUACCCCAAGGUGCAACAAGUUGUCAAGCAGCAGGAAGAAGCAAUGAAGGAAACGCUCAAGAAGAAGAUUUUAGAAGAACUGGCCAGAAUGAAGGAGUCCGGAAAGAAGAGAAAGUACACCAGCCAGAGUCAAAUCCCUACACAUAAAGACCUGAGUCAUAUCAGAUGUUUCAAGUGUAAGGAAUUGGGCCACUACAACAAUAUGUGCCCAGGAAGGAAGCAGGAAACCCAAGGAGCAAAAACAAACACCAAGAAGCCCAGAGACUUGUCAGAACUCAUUUGCUUUCGUUGCAAGGAAGUAGGACAUUAUGCUAGUAAUUUUCCAGAGGGGAAGAAAGCUAAAAGAUUGAGUAGUUAAGUUUUGACAAUGGCAAUACGUGUAACAUGAAGUCCUCUUGUUAUAACUAGUUUAUGGAGCUAAAUUUUGUAACGAAAGUCUCUGAGAUUGUAAUAAUUUCAUCAAUCAAAGGAAUUUAUUAUGUCAUGAUUUCCUAUGUUGAAAUUGUGUGAGUUGUUUCUCUAUGAACAAAGAUAUCUGGCCAUUUUUGAGGAUAUGAGAAAAUAUGAUCUAUGCAGACAUGAGUAUAUUUCAUUUUAAGUGUGGUAGUAAUCGGUAAACCCACAGGACCCAAGGAGUAGGAAUGUACCAUGCAUACCAAGAAGCCAAACCCAUUGAAUACAGUCGAAGGAAAUGUUGGAUCAUAUCAAACUAUGGGGGUGACAACAGAAGAAUAGUGUACCUUGGAAUUGGAAAUUUGAGGAGAGAUUUAAUAUGAGGAACAAACACUUUUGUUGGUACACAGACCAAUGGAAAAGGAAAAUGAGUUCAAGGGACACAACCGGUACCAAGGAUGCAUCUAAGGAUUUUCAUGAAGGUAAUCCCAAGAGCAUGAAGGAAUAAGCUAUGAUGGAGCAGCAAACGUUUUCUUAGGAGCAUACGAAAACCUGAGAGUGGUGAAGAAUACGAUAAAAUGUUUUGUUCAGCUUGCAGAACCUACGGAUCCAUGCGAACUUCGUUCGUGUACAAGAGAAAUUCUGCAAUGCUUGUGAGGAUGCCCAAGUGUUAGAAUGCGAGAUUCGCUAAACCUUAUACAGAGAAAUGAUUUGGGUGCGGAAUGGAUUGAUCACCAUGACGACUUACUCUUAUCAUUUAUCUUGCUAUUCGGAAUGGUAAAUCUGAGAGACUUACCCAUAGAGAGAGACGACGUUCUUUGAAGCUUUUGUUUAAGCCUUAGAGUGGUAUAAGAAAAGCCCAUGUACAUGGCAAUAGUUGUCACGCGUAGGAAAUUUUACGGUGAGGAUGAAACCAAGACCCCUCUCUCUGUAGGAUAACCACAAAUGGUAGACCACCAUGAGAACCAUCGAUAUGUUAUUUAGAAUUGACCACGAGACUGCCAGUUAAGAAGACCCAGUGACGAAAGAAGCUUAUAUCAAUAGAAGAUAUGAAGACUGUGAGGAGUCAUGAUGCCAAAACCCCCAGAGGAUCGUUAAAGCAUUUUGAGGGACCAGUAUCUCUCAUUUUAAGUGUGGUAGCAUCCCACCUUGCCGGAGAUUGGAUUUGUUAGAAGACCCCCAAACCCUAACCUUUCUUUCUAGCCUCUUUGAAUCUCGAGGACGAGAUUCAUUUUAAGUGAGGUAGUUUGUAACAUCCCAAAAUUAUAAAUUUUGGAAUGUUAACAUAAUUAUUAUUAGAUUGUUUGUUGGUUGCCUGAGUGAUUGAAACUUGUGUGAAAUUUGAAACUUUUCGAAACUUUUGAACGAGAGGGAAUAAAAUGACUUUCCCCUUCUCCGGUGAAUUCAAAAUAAAUCUUUUAAAAGCAACGAGAGAAGAUGACAUGACUUCUUCAACUAUAAAGAAUUUGAACGGAGAUAUUUGCAUUGAAUUCUUUUGCAUUUCCAUUAGUUUUCUUCGUGCAACAAAAUGCCGGGAAAUACAUUUCCAGAGAGGAGGAACAUGACCCUCGAACCCACGGGCAUUUUGAAAGUUAUUUGAACCCUCAAACUUAGAGGAUCAUUUGAAAAUUAUUUGCAAAAAGAAAUAAUGCUUUUAGGGAUUUUCGGAAAAACAUUUUUNNNNNNNNNNNNNNNNNNNNNNNNNNNNNNNNNNNNNNNNNCAUCUAUAUUUUAUUUUUGUGAUAAGUUUAGUAUAUAAAAACUCUUUAUUCUGAAUUGAUUUGAUUUCCUUUUUAACAUUUUAGUUUCCUAGUUUCAAAAAUAGGAAGGAGAUCACUUUUAUUAGGAAAUACCCCCUGGCCCAUUAAACACUUUCCUAUUUUUGGCCCAACAAGAGAUCUUCUUCUUCCUCCUCUCUCUCUCACGUGACAGUAGCUUUCCAUCCAUGGAGAGGAGAAUCCCCUCCUCCGGGAUUCGCGACGCACAUACCUUCCCGGCGCCUCCCGUCGCCUCUAUAAGAAGCCCCACGUCCUCCUCGUUCCAUUCCCGUUGAAAACUCCACCUCUCCUCGCCUCUAGCUCGUGCCCCACCUCGCCGGAGUCGUCACCGGAAACUCACCGGAGAGCACCAACAGGAGCUUCCCUCUCCACCUCGCCGACCCCUCCACCUCUCCUCCCUCGCGGCACCCCCCUCCUCCACCGCCGCCACCCCUCCACCUUGCCCCCUGCUCCUCCCCACGCCAGAACCUUCCCAUCGCCCCCUGCUUCCCCAUUGCCAGGAGGCCAGCAGCCCACCUCGCCCCCCUGCAGCCCCCCUCCCUCCACCUCGCCCCCCNNNNNNNNNNNNNNNNNNNNNNNNNNNNNNNNNNNNNNNNNNNNNNNNNNNNNNNNNNNNNNNNNNNNNNNNNNNNNNNNNNNNNNNNNNNNNNNNNNNNNNNNNNNNNNNNNNNNNNNNNNNNNNNNNNNNNNNNNNNNNNNNNNNNNNNNNNNNNNNNNNNNNNNNNNNNNNNNNNNNNNNNNNNNNNNNNNNNNNNNNNNNNNNNNNNNNNNNNNNNNNNNNNNNNNNNNNNNNNNNNNNNNNNNNNNNNNNNNNNNNNNNNNNNNNNNNNNNNNNNNNNNNNNNNNNNNNNNNNNNNNNNNNNNNNNNNNNNNNNNNNNNNNNNNNNNNNNNNNNNNNNNNNNNNNNNNNNNNNNNNNNNNNNNNNNNNNNNNNNNNNNNNNNNNNNNNNNNNNNNNNNNNNNNNNNNNNNNNNNNNNNNNNNNNNNNNNNNNNNNNNNNNNNNNNNNNNNNNNNNNNNNNNNNNNNNNNNNNNNNNNNNNNNNNNNNNNNNNNNNNNNNNNNNNNNNNNNNNNNNNNNNNNNNNNNNNNNNNNNNNNNNNNNNNNNNNNNNNNNNNNNNNNNNNNNNNNNNNNNNNNNNNNNNNNNNNNNNNNNNNNNNNNNNNNNNNNNNNNNNNNNNNNNNNNNNNNNNNNNNNNNNNNNNNNNNNNNNNNNNNNNNNNNNNNNNNNNNNNNNNNNNNNNNNNNNNNNNNNNNNNNNNNNNNNNNNNNNNNNNNNNNNNNNNNNNNNNNNNNNNNNNNNNNNNNNNNNNNNNNNNNNNNNNNNNNNNNNNNNNNNNNNNNNNNNNNNNNNNNNNNNNNNNNNNNNNNNNNNNNNNNNNNNNNNNNNNNNNNNNNNNNNNNNNNNNNNNNNNNNNNNNNNNNNNNNNNNNNNNNNNNNNNNNNNNNNNNNNNNNNNNNNNNNNNNNNNNNNNNNNNNNNNNNNNNNNNNNNNNNNNNNNNNNNNNNNNNNNNNNNNNNNNNNNNNNNNNNNNNNNNNNNNNNNNNNNNNNNNNNNNNNNNNNNNNNNNNNNNNNNNNNNNNNNNNNNNNNNNNNNNNNNNNNNNNNNNNNNNNNNNNNNNNNNNNNNNNNNNNNNNNNNNNNNNNNNNNNNNNNNNNNNNNNNNNNNNNNNNNNNNNNNNNNNNNNNNNNNNNNNNNNNNNNNNNNNNNNNNNNNNNNNNNNNNNNNNNNNNNNNNNNNNNNNNNNNNNNNNNNNNNNNNNNNNNNNNNNNNNNNNNCCUCCCCUCCCUUCUUCUUUUUUUUACUUGUCUUGUUUUGUUUUAGUUUUAGCCCUUAGAUCUCUAGUAGAUGGCUUAGAUUAGAUCUUAGGUAACCCUUAGGUUUAGUUUAGAAAACCAAUUGUUUUUAUUUCACUUAUUCCUUUAACCAGAAAAUUUUGUUAAGCCUAGGCCGUUUGCUCCUAAGUUAGCAGCAAACACCUCCCGCAACCAAUAACAACAUGCCACAUGUACCCCCUAUUUGUAGAUAGUUAGCUUCAGUUUUUUCCGUCUAAAUUGCAAAAACAGAAAGUUUUUGUUUUGUUUUGGCCAUAACUUUUGAUCCACAAGUCCAAUGGAGUUGAUUAUUUUUCCAGUAGGUCACAAAUUUCCUGUAGUUUGUAAAAAAAAUAUAAUUUGUCUGUGUUUGAAUUUUUCAAAUAUAAGUUAGAGCAGAUUUAGUUUAAACCUUGUUCUGCCUAUUCCAGGAGUUUGAAAAAUGAUUUUGAGUUGAUUCUUUUUGCUACUGUUUUCUAGUGAUAAAAUCUUACUGUGGUAAAAAUUUCAGAUUUGUUUGAGUAUCUUAGCUCACUGUUUCAUGUGAAACAAUUUCUGUUUCACCUCUUUUAGGAUUUCGGCUAAUUCAUUUUCUACUUUUGUUUUAAAAUAUUUUCUUUAUUAUUUCAGAAAUAUUAUGUUUUGUUUCUGUUAGAUAAACAGUAGUUUUGCAACAAGUUCUUAUUUUAUUUUUAUUUGUUUUCAUUAAAUCAAUUCUAGCUCCGUAGUAACGUGCAAUUGUUUUCAGCAUUGUUUCAAACCCCGUUUGGGAAUACUUUCAAAAAGUUUUUUGAAAAAUACUUUAUUUUAUCUUAGUUAAACUUAUAACUUAGUUCUUUGCCAUUUUUUCUAUUAGACAAAACUAUUUAGUGGUUGACGUAGUAGAAGACUCUUUAGUUCUAUUUGAAGUUUCUUUCGGUUUCGCUCUCUCUCUUUUGUUUGAUUGCUAGAGUGAUUGCUAGUAUGUGUGCUUAUGUGGAUGAUAUGUUUGUUAUAUAGAUUUCAUUGGAGAAUGACGAGUAGUCUAUCAAGUUAUUUUCUCGAGGAAUUCUUCUUCGUCAACAUCACAGGCAAGUCACUUUGAUCAUACUAUCACCCAUGUUUUAUGCAUUAUAGUUCUACCAUCCUAUGCCCAAAUUUGCAUGCUGCCUAGGUACUUGGAAACUUUAGCAUAGUUGUAGUAUCAUGUGGUAGGAACACAACAACCCCGAUACUUGGCCCCGGGACGACAAUUUCUUAAUGCUAUGCUUGAGUAGACGGGUUAUCGGUUGAGUGUAUACCACGAGUGAUGCGAGGUUGAUAUAAUAAUCAAGACCGGACUAAGACAAGAUUUUCAAGACCUCGGACGCAAUGCAACACUAGGUGAAGGACGGUUGAUCGGCUCCCUGGAAAACCCAGUGGAUGCCCGGGAUGCUGGAGAGGCCAUGUCAUCCUGCGGAAAGCUUCACCCAGGCUCAAAGAGACGGAUGGAUAUUUUCAAGACCCAAGGCUUACCUGCACAGCCACAAGUCAUUAUGGGCUCUGGCUUGGUUGGACAACGCGACGACUCUGGACAGGCGGUGCUAGCAGAUGUAGACGAACGGUAGGAAUGGAUGGGCACCGACAGGGAUUAAGAGGGACCCGUUGAAAGACCAUGUUUUGAUCAUCCGGUCUUCAAACACCCUGAAGUACGAGGACAUACACGGAGGCUAUCAAAGCUUGUGGGGAAUGUGUGCAAAACUCUGCAGAGUACUCAAACCUAAUCGAUUAGCCGUGUCCACGGUCAUGGACAACUUGAUCCAAAGGAACUGAAGUUAUCUGGAUUUCUCAACACCAUAAUAUAUAUAUAUUUGAUGAGGGUAAUUAUUGACAACUCGGGUACGAGAACUGGUUGGCGGAACUAUCUCGUUAACUACCAACCUUGUAGUAAUGUUUUGCUUUCAACCCCUCUUAUUGUAGGAUAAAACUGGCUUUAUGCAAAACUUAGCUCCACCGACCAAAUAUGCAUGUAGAGAUAGUUGAUUAUGACUUUACCCCUCUCUUAUGUGACUUGCCGGCAUAUUCAAUAUGCUGACCUACACGGCUGCAACGUCUUAUGUUGCAGAUAUUUUCUUCGACGAGUAAGAGUACGAUUCAGGGUUACGGUCUACACUCAACUUGCCGUUGGUGUUUAUUGGGACUCCACUCCCUUGACUGCUUCCGCUGAAAUAAUUAAGGUAUAUAUCAGUUUUACGCUAUUUACAUGUGAUUGCACUUUGAUAUAUACAUUGAUGUACUGUGUGUGCCAGCAUACUGAUCCAGGGAUGGCACAGAAACACAGAGGCUUGACUCGUUUUGAGUCGGGUCGCUACAUAUCGGUAUUAAGAGGUGUUAGUUUCUUGUUUGUGUGAAUAUUAAAAUGGCAUGGCGAUGAUGUAUGAGCAUUUCUAUUCCUCGUUGAAAUCCUAGUGUUGUUUCGAGUCGGAGUCAAGCGAUGGUUAACUCCUCCCAACCCUCUCCCUUGGGUCAUGCGAGUAGUGCUUUGAUUUUUGACGAAACUAAUAUAACUUUGCAAUAAGUAUAUGAGUUCUUCAACACUAAGUGGCAAUAUCUCAACUGUAUACUUUUCUAGGCUUGUUAUAUGCACAUAGCAUAUUACUCCCCCAUAAUGUGAUAACCCAACAUUAUUAACAAGUGUAAAAUGAAAACCAACAAGACAUAAUUAAUGGACCAUUUAGAAUUUGAAUUUCACAUGAGUAACACAUACCACAUAGAGACUAGAUAAUCUUGUAGUAUCAAUACUAAGUGUUAUUCCUCAUGUACACACAUAUUUAGGAUCUGAAGUGCACAAAGCACAUCACUCCCCCAAAAUGAGAUAAUCCAUUAAUCUCUCAAAAGAGCCAACAAAGAUACAACAAUAUGCAAAAAGGCUCAACAUAAGACUCACAUGUACAUGAUGUGCAAACCAAUAUACACAUACUUGAUUACUCAAGAUAAGCAAGUUGGAAGCACAGCAUACAGAAGCACAUGCAAGGUACAAAACCACAACAUGCAAAGGGGCAAGUAACUAACAAUGUAACCAAUUUAAGCACAAGUUGCCAUAAGGAGGCACGUUGAAUAUAAGAUAGAAACUCGAUAAUCCAAAUGACUUGGCUUGAUAUAAUAUGAAUGAUGAAUAUCCCUUAAUUCUUCAUAAUUUAGCAAAGUCUCCAAUGCCCUCCAACAUCACCUAUUGAUCAAUUUUGAGCUUGUGGGUACCCAACCAAGUUGGGUCCUAAGAGGUUAAUCACAAUAGUCUUGGCUACCCAAAUGGUUCUUUUCUUGACACCACUUUGAGUACCAGCAAACUUGGCAAACACAUUGCCAACCUUAUGCUUCCCAAGAGAAUAGAUAUCAUCAAUAAUGAUUGGGUUGGAUAAGUUACCAUUCGUGCAUGAAGAAGCAAAGUGACCCUUCUCAUGACAUAAGUAGCAACAUCUACCCUUUACUUUCUUCUCAAUUGAUUUCUCAAUUUGAGGAGCAUUGGCUUGGGUGUUCUUGGGAAGAGGCCUUUCUUCAAAUUAUGGUUGAGCAUGUAAUUGAACUUGUGGCCGCUUCCCUUGUUGCUUGUGACUAAGCGGCUUUCUCUUCAAUGGGCGCGAUCUAACAUGUGCCCUUCAAUCUUGCACUUGAAGCAAACAAUCUUGGCCAAAUUCUUGACUUGUUCUUGGCCCUUCUUCUUGAAGCUUUUGGACUUAUUAUUCUUGUUCGAGUUGAAUCCAAGUUCACAUUUUUCAUUUGGGAAUUUUUUCCCAAACAAGACAUUGUUGAGUGUGGACAUCCCUUCAUGACUCUUUUCCAAGUAUUUAUUCAAAGAAGUGACUUGGGCCUUGAACUAUUUGAUUUCCUCUACAUGGUUAGUAUCAACACACAUACUAGAGGAAGUAUAAGCUUCAUUAUUAGAGCAGCAAGGCAAGGAAAGUAAUUCAUCAUAAUAUGUAGCAACAUUAUGAGUAGAUGAAUUACGAAGACUAGCACAUGGCAAUAUAGCAUUUUGACUAGAAGUAGUGUUAAUGUUCACAUGAGGCUCACUUGAUGUUACCUUGGUAGUAAUACCCUCAUGAGCUCAUUUUAGCACAUUAUGGUAUACUAGAAGAUCACCGUGAGAGCUUGUGAGCAUUAUAUGACUUUGUUCCAAUUUCCAAUAAUUGCCAAAUAGCAACUCAAGUUGAGCCCUUAGCUUGACAUUCUCCUUUAAAAUGGAUGCUUAAAAAGAAAUAGAGUUAGUAGGAGAAGCAUCAUCAUUAAUAAAAAGAGGAGAAGGCAACUUGGAAAUCUUUUUAGCAUAUGAAGCUUCAAGUUGAGCAUGAGACUCGAUGAGUUCGAUGAGCGAACUCUUAAUAGCCCUUGAGUCAUUUUCGAAGGGCUCAUAGUCCUCAAGGAGUUUAGCAUGUGCAACUUCAAGCUUAUUAUUUUUUGUUCUAAAAUCAUUAGCCACCUUGAGAGCUCUAUCAUGGGAUUCCUUUAAUCUAGAUAAUUCUAGAGCAAAGGUCUCCUCAAGAGAUUCCUUGGUGGUUUGUUCAUUUUCAAGAGCUUGGGAUAGCUCCGCUAUCUCAUUACCGUAAUCGUGCUCAUGACCUUCCAUUGUCUCAAUGGUGGUCUCAUGCUCCUCGAGAUGAGAUUCCAACUCCUAAAUAUAUUUCCUGCCCUCAAUGGCAAUAGACAUGAUUUCCUUGAAGUUGGAACGAGCAAGAUUAUUCUAAUGAAGAACUUUAAAAAUCAUAUCACCCUUAAGUUUUAAGGAUGCAAUAUUGUCACUCUCUUCAUCAUUAUCUUCAUCCUCCUUAUCAUCAACAUCAUCAUCAUGAGAUACAUUGGGAUUCAAAGUAGGAGAUACCUUUGAAUCCUUAGCCAUAAGGUAACAGUGAGAAACAAUAGAUGAUGAUGUAGGAUCCCUUGAAGCAUCAUUCAAGGCCACAUCUUGUUCCAUGGAGUGAUUGAUUUCCUCUACAUUGUUAGCACAACACCUCGAGGAAAUAGAUACAUUUUUAUCAUGCCAACAAGAUAUAGAAAGCAUAUCAUCAUGAGAUUAAGUCAAGCAGUUUUUACAUGAUAUGCAAGGACUAUCAACACAACCAUGUAAAAUGUUUAGAGUUCUCGAAGUGUUAACGCCCAAAGAUGAAGCAUCGCAAUAAUAUAGUGAUGAAGCAUCAUCAACAAUAAGCCCACUAUUAUCAUUGCAAUGAUCACCACUACUCACCAUAUAAUUACCUUGUGGCAAUCCACAUGUAGGUGAAGUAGAUGAAGUUGAGAAGACCACACGACCGGAGGUGGAGGGAGAAUAAUCAUUCCCAUAAAUCUUGGACACACCAUAUUUACCUUGAAGUUUUGUACACAACUCAUGAGCAUCCCGGAAUGGCAUGAGUUGAAAUAUAACUACAUUGCUCAAAACAUCAAAAAGCAUGUUAGAAGCUUGAGCAUUGAGAUAAGAUUUUUUCUCAUCCUCUCAAGAUAUGUUUUGAGAAUCCUUUCGAGGACAAAAACCCAUAUCUACAAACCGUUCUAAAUUUGGGUCCUUGACCCUAAAUAGAUUAAGCAUGUCAAUUACCCAAACAUCAAAAUUUGUGCAAUUGAAACUAAGAGUGUCACAGAAUCCUAAUCCCCUAGUCGACAUCCUUACUCUCUAGGUGGUAAAACCUAAUAACGAGAGACCUAGCUCAAAUACCAAUUGAAAGGACGUGGAUGUCGCCUAGAGGGGGUGCAUAGGCGCUUUAAAAUAAUUACGGUUUUAGGCUUGAACAAAUGUGGAAUAAAACUAACAUUUAAUUUGUCAAGCACAAAACCUAAAACAACCAGGCUCACCUAUGAGAACCAACAACUUAUGCUAGGCAAGAUAAACAACUAAGUGAUAGCAAGAUAUAUGACAAGAAACAAUAUGGCUAUCACAAAGUAAAGUGCAUAAGCAAAGGCCUCAGGUAAGAGAUAACCGAGGCACGUGGAGACGAUGAUGUAUCCCGAAGUUCACACCCUUGCGGAUGCUAAUCUCCGUUUGGAGCAGUGUGGAGGCACAAUGCUCCCCAAUAUGCCACUAAGGCCACCACAAUCUCCUCACGCCCUCGCACAAUGCAAGAUGUCAUGAUUCCACUAAGGGACCCUUGAGGGUGGUCACCGAACCCUUACAAACAAGGUUGGGGCAAUCUCCACAACUUAAUUGGAGGCUCCCAACAACACCACGAAGCUUAACCACAAUGGAAUAUGGCUUUGAGAUAACCUCAAAUGCUCGGGGCAAUCUCCACAACCUAAUUGGAGACCCCGACGCUUGCUCGGACCUUUGCACCACAAUGAUUGAGCUUCGAGGCACCACCAAGCUUCUAGGAUACCAAAGCACCCAAGAAGAACAAGAAUUAGGGUACCAAGCACCCAAGAGUAAUAGGAUUAUCAAACUUCACUUCCACGUAUCAUCACGGAGAACUCAAACCUAUGCACCAAAUGCAAUGGCAAGGGCACACGGAGUGCCCAAGUCCUUCUCUCCCAAAUCCCGCCACAACAACUAAUGCUAUGGUGGAAAAUGAGAGGAAGAACGAAGAAGAACACCAAGAACUCCAAGAACUAGAUCCAAGGGGUUCCCCUCACAUAGAGGAGAAAGUGAUUGGUGGAAAAGUGGAUCUAGAUCUCCUCUCUCUUUUCCCUUAAAAAGGAGCAAGAAUCAUUGGAGGGAUUGAGAGUUAGCAAGCUCUAAGAAGGUAAGCAAAGGGGGGGAACGAGCUCAAGAGUUGGGGAGCCAUUGGGGAAGAAGACCCCCAUAAAUAGGUCCCCACAAAUCUGCCCGUUAUGUGCACAAUAACACAGGGGCGAUAAAACCGGUGAUAUUGAUUUCCUCAAGAUGGACCACCUUUCCUGAUUGUGUUGGUCAGAUAAAGACUAGUUGAUUGCUCCCCCAUACUCACUAUGGGUGAGCCACUCUUUAGCACAUCUCCACAAGUCCAUUGCCACAUCAAUGGAUGGCAAGCUUCAAGCAUGAUAUAUUCGUGAUGCUCCACUUGAACUUGCACACCGCAAUCUUGAUGAGGGUCACCACUUGAUGUCAUCCUCCAUGGAUUGUAUGAGAUCUUCCUAUUGAAGCAAGCCCAUGGAAACACACCUAACCCCAUGUACAACUCUCACAAAGACCGUGGGUUAGUACACAAAGUUUAAUGGACAAUGCUUACCAUACCAUGGGAUCACUUGAUCCCUCUUGGUACACCUUGUACGCUUUGUGUGUUGAUCAACUUGAUUCACUCUUUGACUUAGUCUUGAUCAACCUUGUGUCUUUAUGACCAAUCUUUUGGAUAAAACCUUGAAUACCACCUUGGUCAUCAUAUAAACUCCUUGAAACCAACAGAUGGACUUCAAUUAGUGCCUCUGGAAAAAUCCUUUGAAUAUAACUUAAGGCAACCAAUAGUCCAUAGCGAUUGUAAUCAAUUACCAAAACCGCAUACGGAGAAAUAUGCUCUAACACCUUCCUAUAUCUUCCUCAAAACAGCCACCAUAACUACCUAUCAUGGCAUUUCCAUAUCCAUUCCAAGAUAUAUUGCCAUACAAAUUCCACUGCUACAUCAUAUGAAUAGUUCAUUCAUCAUCAUAUUGCUUUGCAGGAUCAUAUAAAGAUGACAUAGAAUUUGUGGCAAAGCCAUCAUUUAUUAUAUUGUUGAUACAUGUCACGUUAGAUCAUUGCACAUCCUGGUACACAGGCAGAGGAAUUCAUAUUGAGUCAUAGUUCUUCAUAUUGAGCUUUCAUGAGUUGUAAGUAAAUAAAAGUGUGAUGAUCACCAUUAUUAGAGCAUAGUCCGAGUGAGGAAAGGAUGAUGGACACUAUGAUUCCCCCACAAGUCGGGAAGAGACUCCAAACGAAAAAUAAAAAUGGGGGACGCCAAAUGAGCCCCCCAUUAUAUAAAUAAUAGAAAAAUAGAAAAAAUGAAUGAGAGAAAAAGAGAGAAGGGACUUUGCUACUAUCCUUUACCACACUUGUGCCUCAGAGUGGCACUUUGUUCCUCAUAUAGAGAGUCUCAUGAUAUGUCAUCUUCAUAUGCUAGUGGGAAUUAUACUUUCAUUAUUACAAACUUAGCUUGCAUAUUUCGCUGACGAGCUUCCUCAAAUGCCCAUGGUAUUAAUGAGCAAGCAAGUUGGAUGCACACCCCCACUUAGCUUCAUUUGAGAUUUCAUACACUUAUAGCUCUAGUGCAUCAUUUGCAUGGCAAUCCCUACUCCUUACAAUGACAUCUACCGAUGGGCAUUUCCAUAGCCCGUCGGUACGCCUAGUUGAUGUGAGACUAUCUUCUCCACUUUUUCCCCUUUGAUAUCUACCACCAUAUUCUAUUCCACCCUUAUGCUAUGUCCAUGGUUCACGCUCAUGUAGUGAAGAAUAAAAAGUUGAUUCACUUUGAAAAAGUAUGAUCCAAUCGCAUGACUUGGACACCUUGGUGCUUAACAUUUCUAUUAAAGUGGUGAAUAUGGAGCCAUGCAUUGCUAAUAUGGAAGACGAAUGGUGGUAAACAUUCUUUUAGGAUCAUAUACUUUGAAAGAUUUAUGAUUUUGCUGCUUAUGCUUAUAAAUAUUACUAUGUUGAUGUUUGUUAAUAAAUAUUUUCUAAAUGAGCAUACAUGCAAAAGAUCACAUAUUGUAUAGCAUGUGACAUCAAAAAUCUGUUUUUAUCAUUUACCUACUCGAGGACGAGGAAGAAUUAAGCUUGGGGAUGCUUGAUACGCCUCCAACGUAUCUAUAAUUUUUGAUUGUUUCAUGCUAUUAUAUUAUCAUUCUAGGUUACUUUUUGGGUCAUAAUUCACCAAUUUAUAUUGUUUUUGAGCACUAACCUAUUAACAGAGUGCCUAAUGCAGUUUCAUUUUCUUUGCGUUUUAUACUUUUUAGAUUUAUUGUACCAAACGAAGUUCAAUUGCCUCGAAACUUUUUUAUGAUUUUUAUGGACCAAAAGAAAACUUGGAAUAUUCGGGAGGAGACCUGAAGCCACAUGAGGGAGGCAGAAGCCAACAAGGCACUGUCAAGGGGGGUGGUCGUGCCCUAAUGGCUUGUCCCUCCCUGGUGGCCCCUCUUGAUCCGUUCUCUGGCCUAUAGAUUCACAUAUAAUCCAGAAGACCCUAAGGAGGAAUGUGAAUCACUUUUUUGGCAGCCGCAAGUCUCUGUUCCACAGUGAUCCCAUCUAGAGCUUCGUUCCAGCACCCUGCCGAAGGGGGGAUCGAUCAUGUAGGGCCUUUUCAUAAACCUUGUUGUCAUGAUGAUGACGUGAGUAGUACACCACAGACAUAUAGGUCUGUAGUUGGUAUCUAGAUGUCUAUCUCUCUCUCUCUCUUGAUCUUCAAUAACACGAUCAUCGCAUCUUGGUUUUAAUUGUCUGAUGUAAUGCUUUUGUAUGGCAUGUUUGUUGGGAUCUGAUGAAUUGUGAGUUUAUGUUCAGAUUAUUCAUGAAAACUAUUUAAGUCUUCUCUCGAAUUAUUAUGAUUCUUACUUGCUUGAUCAUCACAGCUUCGUAAUUUUCUCUGAUCUAUUGAAUUUCUUUUGCCAAGUAGUUUGGUAUUUCUUUUCUGAGAGGGGUGUGUUGUGGUGGGUUCAACCUGGCGAGUUUCUAUAUCCCAGUCAUAGAAGGGGACAAGUUGCAUAUUUGUGUUGCUGCCUCUAAGGCUAAAACAAUGGGGUUUAUUCACAUCGGUUGAGUUUACUUUGUCUACAUUAUGUCAUCACUCUCCAAGCAUUAGUCAUUUUUUUACUUAAUACUCUAGAUGCAUGUUGGAUAGCGAUUGAUGGGUGGAGUAAUAGUAGUAGGUGCAGGCAGGAGUCUUCCUAUUUGCUUAUGGACGUGAUGCAUAUGUACACAUGAUCAUUGUCAUGAAAAUCGCUUAACUAUCCAUUGUUCUAUCAAUUGUGCAACAGUAAUUUGUUUGCCCACCAUAUGUUCCUUUCAUGAGAGAUGCCACUAGAGAACACUAUGGCCCUAGGUUCUAUUCACUUAUAUUUCAGAAAACUUAUAAUUUCCUCGUUGUUUUUAUUUGUCUUUUAUUUUAUUUUGAAGUUACAAUUAUCUACACACCUCAUUUGCUUGCAAAUAACGAGAUCAAGGGGAUUGGGAACCCUCUUGCCCGCGUUGGGUGCAAGUUGUUUGCUCUUUUGUGUGCAACCAUUGAAGACGGUUGAGGAUUGAUAUUCAUAUUAGUUCGAUAAACAUUGGUUUCUUAACUUGGGGAAAUACCUAGCCAUAUUGUGCUUCAAUUACCCAUUCCUGUUCACGGAAAACCCAAUGUAGAUCACAAGUAUCAUUGCAAUACGUUCAUGAUUCGCUUAUAGUGGGUGGCUAGAGUUACAAAAGCUUACACCCAGUAAGGGGGUUGUUGCAUAUGGGAGUAAACAGGACUUGAUGUUUAAUGCUAUGGUUGGGUUUUACCUUAAUGACAUUUAGUAGUUGGGGAUGUUUGCUAGAGUUCCAAUCAUAAGUGCACAUGAUCCAAGUAGAGAAAGUGUGUUAGCGUAUGCCUCUCCCUCAUUGCAUAUGAUAAGUAUUUAUCAUGUUACAUUCAAUUGCCCAGGGAAAAUCUUUCUCUUGUACUAUAAAAAACUUUCUACUAAAGAACUAACUAAAUUAGUAUUUAUCUAAAACAACACCUAACUUUUAAUUUUGUGAUCUUUAUUACCAUGCAAAACCAUUUAUUACCCCUACUAAGUACUUCUAGUUUUAUUCUCGCAAAAUAGUUUCAUACUUGUUCUAGGUAAAGUAAGCGUUAGCGUGCGUAGAGUUGUAGCGGUGGUCUAUAGAACUUGAGAGAAUAUUAAUUCUACCUUUAGCUCCUCAUUGGGUUCGACACUCUUACUUAUUGAAAAAGGCUACAAACGAUCCCAUACACUUGUGGGUUAUCAAGAUGCUUAUCUCUAUACCUUCGAGGUUUUUGGUAACUUGUUGCCAAAGGGGGAGAAGUUGUACAAAUCAAAGAGAUUCAAAAGAGAGAGUGUGUGUGUUAUUUUUUGGUUGCUCUUCUCGUUUAAAACAUUUGGCCUAUAUUUUGGUUGUCUUAAACUUUGCGGUGUUUGAUCAUACGAUUUGUGAUUGAUGUUACUAUUUCCUAUAUCUGUGAUAUUCAUAUGAUGAUCAUUCACUCAUCUUUGGUGUUAUGUGCAUUGUAAUCCAUUCAUGUCAUUUAUGCGCACCACCAAGAUGUAUGUGACAUAAAAGAGUGACCCAUGAUCCUAAUAGAUUAUGCAUUUGCAUUCAAAUGAAAAUUUAAAGUAAUGCACAAAUUUAGGGGGUCUCUUUCUUAUCACAUACUUCUCAAAGCGACAAUGCUAAACAUUGAUUAUAUUCUAUGUCGAAGCUUUGAUCUAUAUGUUGUCAUCAAUUACCAAAAGAGGGGUGAUUAAAAGCACAACUUCUCCCUAGGUGGUUUUGGUAAUCAAUAACAUAUAUUUCAUUGGACUAAUGAUUCUACCAAGUAUAUUUUAGGAAUAGUUCAAUGAAUGGAUUGGCAAAGUAUUGUGAGGAGAUCUCCUAGAUGCUUGGAACAUCAAUUGGGAAAACCUUCAAGACUCUACAUUUUGCAUUUUGUAAGAAAUCACAUUUGAGUCCAUAGGAAAGCCAAUACUAUUAAAAGGGGAUGAGGUAUCUAUGAUGACGUGGUUGCUCAAGUGCUUAGAGUUAGCAAACGAAAACCUCAUGAAUUCUCCCACAAAAGUAUUUUGUCCAAACCCCAAAGCCUAAAUUCGGUGCCACCGAGUUUCCAAAUUCAUCCCUAGUAAGUUUUACCCUAGACAGAAUCCAGGGCCAAUCCUAACCUCUCGAUGACACCAAGUUCUAUUUUGGUCCCGCCAAAAAAUAGUGUCCAACUCCUUGGUAUCUAUCUGCUAAAAGUCAAAAUCUCUGAGUUUUACAAAUCAUUGUCACUGAGUCUAUGUAACUGCCUGGGCCAACCAAAAUAACACUCACUGAGAUUUAUAUAUCGGUCUCACCAGAACUCUCGGAGUCAAGGAUCUACGUCCCUGGACUUCUCCAAAUAACAAGGUUCAAACACUAGGGGACUUGGCUUGACAACCUGCAAUAUGAUGGUAAACAUUGCAAGAUCGACGGCGAGCUCACUCCUUCUCGCCGGACACGAACGGGAUGCACGAGCUACCCUAGUUCGGGCCACCGUGCGGUGUAAAACCCUACUGCUGCUUGUGUUGGAUUUCUGUGUAAUGGAGAGUUUUGCUCGAGGUACAUGAGGUGUGGGGGAGAGAAUGGCUUGAUCCCCUUACAUGGAAGUAGCCCGUCCCCUCUUGUAGUGCAAUGGUCCUCUUCCGCAAAAACAUGAGCGGGAAUGGGUGGCCACAGGGCAGAAAUUCGAAGAGCUCAGACUAAUCCAAAAAAUUGCGGUCUCCGCCUCCUAAAGUAGUCUUCGUGACGCGUUUGUGGGCUCGGCGAUGACCACCGUCCUGCCGCACUGAUCUGUCGCGAUCUGUUUCACCGAAAUGGCAAGCUUUGGGAUCCUGCCUUUGGGGAUGAAGUAGGCGUUGCACCCUAAUCACUAAAGAGUAAAUACUCCUUGUCUUCCCAUGCUGGCACGAACUCUAUCGUCCUUGUCUAUGCGGGUGCGUCACCCACGUGAUGGGUGCAGAGACCCGUGACUUGUACCAUAUGUCGGGCCUUGAUACGUCUCCAACAUAUCUAUAAUUUUUGAUGGUUUCAUGCCAUUAUCUUGUCAAUCUUUGGAUGUUUUGUAUGCCUUUUAUAUAUUUUUUGGGACUAACUUAUUAACUCAGUGCCAAGUGUCAGUUCUUGUUUUUUCGUAUUUUUGACCCUUUUCACAGGACUAUUUUAAACGGAGUCCAAACGGAAUAAAACUUCCGAAAAGAUUUUUUCCGAAACACAAGACGACCAGGAGACUUGAGAACCAAGGCAGAGGGCCACCAGGGACCCCACAAGCCCCCUAGCCGCGGCUAGGGGGCCCGCGCCUCCCAGGCUUGUGGGAUACCUAGGCCUCCUCUACCCUAGGUCUUUCGCCUAUAUAUUCCCUAAAAUCCCAGAAAAAAUCAGGAGAUCCACGAAAAUACUUUUCCGCCGCCGCAAGCUUCUAUCUCCGCAAGAUCCCAUCUGGGGCACGUUCUGGUGCCCUGCCGGAGAGGGGAUUCGGAUACGGAGGGCUUCUUCAUCAACACGAUGACCUCUCCGAUGAUACAUGAGUAGUUCACCAUAGACCUACGAGUCCACAGCUAAUAGCUAGAUGGAUUGUUCUCUCUCUUGGAUCUUCAAUACAAAGUUCUCCAUGAUCUUCAUGGAGAUCUAUCCGAUGUAAUCCUCUUUCGUGGUGUGUUUUCGAGAUACGAAGAAUCGUGGAUUUAUGAUCAGAUUAUCUAUGAAUCUUAUUUGAGUUUCUUCUGAUCUCUUAUAUGCAUGAUUUCAUAUCCUUGUAAUUCUCUUCGAGUUGUGGGUUUUGUUUGGCCAGCGUGAUCUAUGAUUCUUGCAAUGGGAGAAGUGCUUGGUUUUGGGUUCAUACCGUGCAGUGACCUCAUCCAGUGACAGAAGGGGUAGCGAGGCACGCAUCUGUUGUUUCCAUCAAGGGUAAAACGAUGGGGUUUUCAUCAUUGGUUUGAGUUUAUCCCUCUACAUCAUGUCAUCUUGCUUAAGGUGUUACUAUGUUCGUCAUGAACUCAAUACACUAGAUGCAUACUGGAUAGCGGUCGAUGAGUGGAGUAAUAGUAGUAGAUGCAGAUAGUAUCAGUCUACUUGUCUCGGACGUGAUGCCUAUAUGUAUGAUCAUUGCCUUAGAUAUCGUCAUGACUUUGCGCGGUUCUAUCAAUUGCUCGACAGUAAUUUGUUCAUCCACCGUAAUAUUUUCCAUUUUGAGAGAAGCCUCUAGUGAACACUAUGGCCCCGGGGUCUACUUCACACCAUAUUUCCAGCCUUGCACUUUUACUUCGUUGCACUUUCUGCCUUCAGUUCUCACUUUGCAAUCAAUCUUGAAGGGAUUGACAACCCCUUUAUAGCGUUGGGUGCAAGCUCUUCUGUGUUUGUGCAGGUACUCUGGACUUGACGCGAUUCUCCUAGUGGAUUGAUACCUUGGUUCUCAAACUGAGGGAAAUACUUACUGCUCCUGUGCUGCAUCGCCCUUUCCUCUUCAAGGGAAAACCAACGCAACCUCAAGAGACGACAGAAGAUUUCUGUCGCCGUAGCAAAAGUAUUUUUGGCGCCGUUGCCGGGGAGGAUCAAGUCAAGAACUCAUCCAAGUAAGUGUCGCAAACUCAUCUCUUGCAUUUACUUUUUUUCCUCCGUUUUCCUCUCCCCCACUUCUGAAAAACAAAAAUUUACAAAAAUAUUUUCCUUUAUCGUUUGCCUUUUUCGUUCGCCCGUUUCUCUCGCUUGCUUUCCGUUCACUUGUGUGCUUGCUUGCUUGCUGAAGUCACCAUGACUAGAAACACCAAACUUUGUGACUUCUCGAAUACUAAUAAUAAUGAUUUUAUUAGUACUCCAAUUGCUCCCGCCACUAGUGCGGAGUCAUAUGAAAUCAAUGUUGCUUUGCUGAAUCUUGUUAUGAAAGAGCAAUUCUCCAGCCUUCCUAGUGAAGAUGUCGCAUCCCAUCUUAAUACCUUCAUUGAGCUUUGCGAUAUGCAAAAUAAGAAAGAUGUGGAUAAUAAUGUGAUUAAAUUGAAGCUUUUUCCUUUCUCGUUGUGAGAUCGAGCAAAAACUUGGUUUUCCUCUUUGCCCUAAAAUAGUAUUGAUUCUUGGAAUAAGUGCAAAGAUUCUUACAUAUCCAAGUAUUUUCCGCCGGCUAAGAUUAUCUCUCUCCGUAAUGAUAUCAUGAAUUUUAAGCAACUUGAUCAUGAACAUGUUGCACAAUCUUGGGAGAGGAUGAAAUUGAUGAUUAGAAAUUGUCUCGCUCAUGGCUUGAGUCUUUGGAUGAUUAUACAAAUCUUUAACGCUCGCUUGAAUUUCUCUUCUAUAAAUAUCUUGGACUCCACCUCAGGUGGAACGUUCAUGGAAAUCACGUUAGGAGAAGCUACAAAACUCCUAGACAAUAUCAUGACGAACUACUCUCAGUGGCACACUGAAAGGUCACCUACUAGUAAGAAGGUACACGCUAUAGAAGAAAUUAACUCGUUAAGUGCUAAGAUGGAUGAGUUAAUGAAUUUGGUUGCUAGUAGAAGUGCUCCUUUAGAUCCUAAUGACAUUCGCUUGUCUUCCUUGAUUGAGAGUAGAAACGCUAGCUUGGACGUUAAUUUUGUUGGUAGGAAUAAUUUUGGCAACAACAAUGCUUUUAGAGGAAGCUAUGUUCCUAGGCCUUUUCCUAGUAACCCCUCUAGUAACUUUGGCAACUCCUACAACAAUACUCAUGGAAAUAAAAAUAGAUUACCCAUUGAUCUAGAGAGUAAUAUCAAAGAGUUUAUCAACUCACAAAAGAUUUUCAAUGCGUCCAUAGAGGAAAAACUACUCAAAAUUGACGAUUUGGCUAGGAGCGUUGAUAGAAUGUCUAGUGAUAUUGAUGCUUUGAAAGUUAGAUGUGCUCCUCCCAAGAUCAAUAUGGAUGAAACUUUGAAAGCUAUGCGUGUUUCCAUGAGUGAGAGCAAAGAAAGAACCGGCCAAAUUCGUGCUAGACAUGAAUGGCUUAAAAAGGCGUGUUCCCGUGAUGAAAAUCACGAAGAUCUUAAAGUGCUUGGUGUGACUCCCAUUGAAUCUUUGUUUUCUUGUGUCAAACCUAAUGAUGAUGGGGCUGGAUAUGAGUCCACCUUGGUUGAAAAACGUCCCAAUGAUUCGGAGUCCAUCUAUCUUGAUGGUAAAAGCAUUGAAAGUGGAGUAGAAGAUAUUAAAACUUUGAGUAGUAAUGAAAUUACAACUUUGGAUUUCAAGGAAUUCAAUUAUGAUAGUUGCUCCUUGAUUGAAUGCAUUUCCUUGAUGCAAUCCAUGCUAAACUCUCCACACGCUUAUAGCCAAAACAAGGCCUUUACCGAUCAUAUCGUCGAAGUUAUGAUAAAAUCUCUUGAAGAGAAACUUGAAUUGGAAGUUUCUAUCCCUAGAAAGCUUCAUGAUGAGUGGGAACCUACUAUCAAAAUCAAAAUCAAAAACUAUGAAUGCAAUGCUUUGUGUGAGUUGGGUGCUAGUGUUUCCGCGAUUCCAAAGUCUUUAUGUGAUGUUCUGGGUUUUAAUGAGAUUGAGGAGUGUUCUCUUAAUUUGCAUCUUGCGGAUUCUACUAUCAAGAAACCCAUGGGAAGGAUCAAUGAUGUUCUUAUUAUUGCAAAUAGGAACUAUGUACCCGUGGAUUUCAUUGUGCUUGACAUUGAUUGUAAUCCUACAUGCCCUAUCAUUCUUGGUAGACCUUUCCUAAGGACUAUCGGUGCUAUCAUCAAUAUGAAGGAAGGGAAUAUUAUAUUUCAAUUUCCUUUAAGGAAGGGCAUGGAACACUUUCCUAGAAAGAAAAUAAGAUUGCCCUAUCAAUCCAUGAUGAGGGCUACUUAUGGUUUGAGCACCAAAGACGACGAUACAUGAUUAUAUCGCUUUAUGCCCAGCUAAGGGCGUUAAACAAUAGCGCUUGUUGGGAGGCAACCCAAUGAAUUUAUAUUUUUCUUUCUGUUUUGUUGUGUCCACACCAUCAUAAUUCUGUUAUGAUAGUGUCUUUUGUGUUUCUUUUUGUGUUUGAGCCAAGCAAACCCUUUAUGACUAGUCUUGGUGAUGGUUGUUUGAUCCUGCUCGAAAAAGACAGAAACUUUUCGCUCACGAGAUUAUUUUUGAUUUUUAUUCAGAAAGAGCUUUUGAGUUGAUUCUUUUUAUGCUGGUUUAUAUGAAUUUUUCCCAGGCUGUCAUAAUUUGUCAGAAUUUUUGAGGUACCACAAGUAUACGAAGUAUACAGAUUGCUACAGAGUGGUCUAUUUUUGACAGAUUCUAUUUUUGUUGAAUUGAUUGCUUGUUUUGAUGAAACUAUGGAUAGUAUCGGGGGGUACUAGCCAUGGAAAAGUGCGAAUCCAGUAAUCUAACACCAAUAUAAAUAGAAUUCAAGUUUGCUACAGUACCUAAAGAGGUGGUAGUUUGUUUUCUUGUGCUAAUGAUAUCACGAGUUUCUGUUUAAGUUUUGUGUUGUGAAGUCUUCAAGUUUUGGGUGAUGUUCUCAUGGACAAAGGGAUAAAGAGUGGAAAGGUCUCAAGCUUGGGGAUGCCCAAGGCAUCCCAAGACAAAUUCAAGGACACCAAAAAUCCUAAGCUUGGGGAUGCCCCGGGAAGGCAUCCCCUCUUUUGUCUUCAAUCCAUCGGUAACAUUACUUGGAGCUAUAUUUUUAUUCACCACAUGAUAUGUGUUUUGCUUGGAGCGUCUUGUAUCGUAGGAGUCUUGUCUUUUUUUUGUGUCACAAUCAUCCUUGCUGCACACCUUUUGAGAGAGACAUGCACUCAUCGUGAUUUUGCUAGAAUGUUCAUUGUGCUUCACUUAUAUAUUUUGAGCUAGAUAAUUUUGCUCUGUGUGCUUCACUUAGAACUUUUAGAGCAUGGUGGUGCGUGACUUGGUAGUUGGCUUGUGCUAUGAAAGUAGUCCCAAAGGUGAUAGGUACCCAAAGUGGAUACAAAAACCUCCAUCUUCAUGUACAUUGAGAAGAAAGAUAAGUUUUGAUUCCUCUCAAUUAGUUUUGAGACGUGGAUUUGGUAAUAUUAAGAGUUAUGUUAGUAGGGUGUUAUGAAUCUAGAAAUACUUGUGUUGAAGUUAGUGAUUCCCGUAGCAUGCACGUAUGGUGAACCGCUAUGUUAAGAAGUCGAAGCAUAAUUGAUCUAUUGAUUGUCAUCCUUUGUGUUGAGGUCGGGAUCGCGCAAUGGUUAACACCUACCAACCCUUCCCCUAGGAGUAUGCGUUUAGCACUUUGUUUCGAUUACUAAUAAAAACUUUCACAACAAGUAUGUGAUCUCUUGAUGACUAAUGUGAGUACAUGGUAUAGAUGCACUUUCACCUUCCACCAUUGCUAGCCUCUCUAGUGUCGCGCAACUUACACCGGUGCACAAACCCACCAUAUGCCUUCCUCAAAAAAGCCACCAUACCUACCUACUAUGGCAUUUUCAUAGCCAUUCCAAGAUAUAUUGCCAUGCAACUCCCAUCAUUCCAUCUCAUGACUUAUGCCGUCACUCUCAUAUUGCCAUUGCAUGAUCCUAAGAUAGAUAGCGAGAUGUUUCAACAACAUACGCCAAGCUAGAUCGUUGCACAUCCCGGUACACUGCCGGAGGCAUUUCCUAUAUAGUCAUCAUCGUUCUGAGCUUUGAGUUGUGAGUAAAUAAAAGUGUGAUGAUCAUCAUUAUUAGAGCAUUUUCCCAUGUGAGGAAAUAAAAAAGGCCAAAGAGCCCAAACAAAAAGAGUCCAAAGAGCCCAAAUAAAAAAAGAGAGAAAAAGAGAGAAGGGACAAUGUUACUAUCUUUUUCCACACUUGUGCUUCAUAAUAGCACCAUGUUCUUCAUGAUUGAGAUCCUCUCGUUUCGUCACCACGAUAUGUUAGUGGGAAUCUUUAUUAUAUAACUUGGCUUGUAUAUUCCAAGGAUGGGCUUCCUCAAAUUGCCAUAGGUCUUCGUGAGCAAGCAAGCUCGAUGCACACCCACUAGUUCUCCUUUUGAGCUUUCACAUUCUUAUAGCUCUAGUCAUCCUUUGUAUGGAAAUCCCUACUCAUUCACAUUGAUAUCUAUUAAUGGGCAUCUCCAUAACCCUUUGAUACGCCGAGUCAAUGUGACCAUCUCCUCCUUUUUUCUCUCACAACCACCACAACACUCUAUUCCACCUAUAGUGCUAUAUCCAUGGCUCACGCUCAUGUAUUACAUGAUAGUUGAAAAAGGUUUGAGAAAGUAAGAGUGCGAAAACAAUUACUUGGCCAAUACCGGGGUUGUGCAUGAUUUAAAUUAGUUGUGUGGGGAUGAUGGAGCAUAGCCAGACUAUAUGAUUUUGCAGGGAUAACUUUCUUUGGCCUUGUUAUUUCGAAAGUUCAUGAUUACCUUGCUAGUUUGCUUGAAGUAUUAUUGUUUUCAUGUCAAUAGCAAACUAUUGUUUUGAAUCUAACGGAUCUGAACAUUCAUGUCACAUGAAAGAAGUUACAAAGGACAACUAUGCUAGGUAGCAUUCCACAUCAAAAAUUCAGUCUUUAUCACUUCCCUACUCGAGGACGAGCAGGAGUUAAGCUUGGGGAUGCUUGAUAAGUCUCCAACAUAUCUAUAAUUUUUGAUGGUUUCAUGUUGUUAUCUUGUCAAACUUUGGAUGUUUUGUAUGCCUUUUAUAUCUUUUUUGGGACUAACUUAUUAACUCGGCGCCAAGUGCGAGUUCCUAUUUUUCCGUGUUUUUGACCCUUUUCGAAGGAGGAUUUUAAAUGGAGUCCAAACGGAAUAAAACUUCCGAAAAUAUUUUUUUCGAAACAGAAGACGAUCGGGAGACUUGAGAACCAAGGCAGAGGGCCACCAGGAACCCCACAAGCCCCCUAGCCACGGCCAGGGAGGGCCCGCGCCUCCCAGGCUUGUGGGCUCCCUGGGUCUCCUCUGCCCUAGGUCUUUCACCUAUAUAUUCCCUAAAAUCCCAGAAAAAAUCAGGAGAUCCACGAAAAUACUUUUCCGCCGCCGCAAGCUUCUGUCUCCGCAAGAUCCCAUUUGGGGCACGUUCCGGUGCCCUGUCGAAGGGGGGAUUCGGAUAAAGAGGGCAUCUUCAUCAACACCAUGACCUCUCCGAUGAUGCGUGAGUAGUUCACCAUAGACCUACGGGUCCAUAGCUAGUAGCUAGAUGACUUCUUCUCUCUCUUGGAUCUUUAAUACAAAGUUCUCCAUGAUCUUCAUGGAGAUCUAUCCAAUGUAAUCUUAUUUUGCGGUGUGUUUGUCGAGAGCCGAUGAAUUGUGGAUUUAUGAUCAGAUUAUCUAUGAAUCUUAUUUGACUUUCUUCUGAUCUCUAAUAUGCAUGAUUUCAUAUCCUUGUAAUUCUCUUCGAGUUGUUGGUUUUGUUUGGCCAACUUGAUCUAUGAUUCUUGCAAUUGGAGAAGUGCUUGGUUUUGGGUUCAUACCGUGCGGUGAUCUCACCCAGUGUCAGAAGGGGUAGCGAGGCACGCAUCAUGUUGUUGCCAUCAAGGGUAAAAAGAUGGGGUUUUCAUCACUGGUUUGAGUUUAUCCCUCUACAUCAUGUCAUCUUGCUUAAGGCAUUACUCUGUUCGUCAUGAACUCAAUACACUAGAUGCAUGCUGGAUAGCGGUCGAUGUGUGCAGUUAUAGUAGUAGAUGCAGAAAGUAUCGGUCUACUUGUCUCGGACGUGAUGCCUAUAUGUAUGAUCAUUGCCUUAGAUAUCGUCAUGACUUUGCGCGGUUCUAUCAAUUUCUUGACAGUAAUUUGUUCACCCACCAUAAUAUUUGCUUUUUUGAGAGAAGCCUCUAGUGAACAAUGGUUUUUGACCCUUUUCAGAGGAGGAUUUUAAAUGGAGUCCAAACGGAAUAAAACUUCCAAAAAGAUUUUUUCCGAAACAGAAGAUGAUCGGGAGACUUGAGAACCAAGGAAGAGGGCCACCAGGGACCCCACAAGCCCCCUAGCCCAGGCCAGGGAGGGCCCGCGCCUCCCAGACUUGUGGGCUCCCUAGGCCUCCUCUGCCCUAGGUCUUUCACCUAUAUAUUCCCUAAAAUCCCAGAAAAAAUCAGGAGAUCCACGAAAAUACUUUUCCGCCGCCGCAAGCUUCUGUCUCCGCAAGAUCCCAUCUGGGCACGUUCUGGUGCCCUGCCGGAGGGGGGAUUCGGAUACAAAGGGCUUCUUCAUCAACACCAUGACGUCUCCGAUGAUGCGUGAGUAGUUCACCAUAGACCUACGGGUCCAUAGCUAGUAGCUAGAUGGCUUCUUCUCUCUCUUGGAUCUUCAAUACAAAGUUCUCCAUGAUCUUCAUGGAGAUCUAUCCAAUGUAAUCUCCUUUUGCGGUGUGUUUGUCAAGAUCCGAUGAAUUGUGGAUUUAUGAUCAGAUUAUCUAUGAAUCUUAUUUGAGUUUCUUCUGGUCUCUUAUAUGCAUGAUUUCAUAUCCUUGUAAUUCUCUUCGAGUUGUUGGUUUUGUUUGGCCAACUUGAUCUAUGAUUCUUGCAAUUGGAGAAGUGCUUGGUUUUGGCUUCAUACCGUGCGGUGACCUCACCUAGUGACAGAAGGGGUAGCGAGGCACGCAUCAUGUUGUUGUCAUCAAGGGUAAAAAGAUGGGGUUUUCAUCACUGGUUUGAGUUUAUCCCUCUACAUCAUGUCAUCUUGCUUAAGGUGUUACUCUGUUCGUCAUGAACUCAAUACACUAGAUGCAUGCUGGAUAGCGGUCGAUGUGUGCAGUAAUAGUAGUAGAUGCAGAAAGUAUCGGUCUACUUGUCUCGGACGUGAUGCCUAUAUGUAUGAUCAUUGCCUUAGAUAUCGUCAUGACUUUGCGCGGUUCUAUCAAUUGCUCGACAGUAAUUUGUUCACCCACCAUAAUAUUUGCUAUUUUGAGAGAAGCCUCUAGUGAACACUAUGGCCCCCGGGUCUACUUCACAUCAUAUUUUCAGCCUUACACUUUUGCUUCGUUGCACUUUGUGCCUUCAGUUCUCACUUUGAAAUCAAUCUUGAAGGGAUUGACAACCCCUUUAUAGCGUUAAGCUCUUUUGUGUUUGUGCAGGUACUCUGGACUUGACGCGAUUCUCCUACUGGAUUGAUACCUUGGUUCUCAAACUGAGGGAAAUACUUACUGCUCUUAUGUUGUAUCUCCCUUUCCUCUUCAAGGGAAAAACAAACGCAAGCUCAAGAGACGACAAAAUAUUUAUGUCACCGCAGCAGGACUCAUGGAGCGGCCUUGCGAGGGGAGCCUCGCAAGGCAGUCUCGCGCUUGGUGGCGUGUGCUAGGCGUAGCCUGGCAGUGAGGGGCCUCGCGAGGCAACCCCCCGUGAGGCGGCUUCUUCCGGAGCGGCCAUGGCCAAGCCAUCUCACUGCAAGCCGUCCCAAAUAUUGCCUCCUAAGCCGGUGGCACACGGGUCGUGGUACCGUGGUUCCCAUUGGGCCGACAGUAGCCUUGAGGCCCACGGCAUGCAUGUUCCGCCCUUUAGGGAUGAAACGGCACGAGGCCCAUUGAGUUGUCGGGUCCAGAGGCGACGUGUGGCUUUGAUGAGUCUAUGUCCAUGUAGGAAUCUUGAGUUGGCCACCGAGGAGAAGGAGAAGGCCAAGAAUAAGAAGACCAAGGUUGAAGGACCUUCCCCUCCCCUGAAGGUCAUCUCGCCCACUAUGCCGACGUACCUGACGGUGAAACCGGUGGUUGGCAGCGAGGAGGGUGAGCUUGAGCUCGAGGUGACCCCAUGGGAUGGGGUGACGCCGCCAGUGCUGGAGGCGUUCAUCCUGAUCCCGCCAUGUCAAACGAAGAGCGCGACCCCUGCUAGGGGAGACAGCGUGCAGCUAUCGAAAGGGCUCGAGAUCAUGCCCUCUCGCGUGAUGGCACCAGCGGACGAUGAGGAGGCCCGGGCGAGCCGUAUCCUAGUGCUGGGGGAGAGCAACAUCAUGCCCUGGGCGGGGCCUUAGCGGCUUCAGUAAGGAGGUGGAGUUGUGCAUGGAGUAGCCGCAGCGCCUGGCACAAGGGUGGAGCCACCUUUAGGAUGAGACAAAGCUCGAUUGCCGAUGGGGCGAGGAGGCCCUAGCGCAAUGCGAUCAGCUUGCCAAAGAUGCCUGGGCAUCCCUCGUGAAGGCCCUCAAUGACGCUAGGAGGCCAAGCGGCGGUGGGAGGGGGCCUGAUGUCCACGAGAAGACUUUCUAGGAGCAGGCUGCUUUGUGGGAGCGCCCUCUCAAAAUGUGGGAGGUGGCCGUGGAGGCCUACUAGAGUCGGCUCACGUACCACGAAUUUGAGCUCCCGAAAUGUUGAAGAGGUCCUUAGGCACCUGGAGGCAGCCACCACUCAUGAGGUGAAUGAUGAGGCCCGGGAGCAAGAGUUCGCGUCUUCCGUGUCCUUGCGGGAGGUAGAGCGGGAGAACCUGUUGGCGAAGGAGCACGAGCUGGCAGCUACCCAAGCCACUCUCGAUGAGAAGAAGGGCCUCGCUACCCAGCGGGCAGGCUCCAGGCCGAGGUCAAUGACCUCAAGAAGCAGCUGCUCGAUGUGGACGCCACCAUCAUGGAGGUGUGUCGUGACCUGUUGACCCACGCGACGACACGACUCUUCAACAACCUUCUCCGCCUCGAGGGUCCCUUCGAUUUUGGGCGGGAGGAAGCCCCCGUCCCGGUGGAGCUACGCGAAGGCCUUGAGGAGGUUGCGAGAGAGCAUGUGGUCGGCUUUCUCGGGCGGCAUGCCUUCGAGGCUGAGUUCAGUGGCGGCGCUAGCGAGCCCCUCGUGGUGAUGGCGAGAGCGACGAUAGUGGCAUCUCGCACGCUUAGACUCUCCUUGGAUCAUUGAUAUAAUGGAACAGAUGCGGCCUCAUGGGGGCGUGAAAACAUUCACAUGACGCUUUUGACUUAAGCACUUGAUGCCUUAUGCAUUUUCAUUUCCCUCCCGAAGCCUUUCUUUCCCUUUACAUUGCCCUAACACCGUGCGUCAGUGGGACCCAGCCCCCAAGGCGGGCUACACCGUCAGUGGUAUGCGUGGAGAGUGCGCUCAGCAAGGGCAGAUGGUGUAAGGAUCUUAGGGUUGGUAGGAGUCCCUGACGCGCGAUGCUCAGCCCCUCCCCCCCCCCCACCGCCACCCCUUGACAUACAGGCGACUCGUGCCAAGGAAAUCAAGAUGCCUCGAGAAGGAAACGAGAGGGAGAAAAAACCUGAGGGGUGCUUUAAACUUAGCUCCUUCGACGUGUGUGGAUAGGGGCGAGUCCUUGAUGACCCACAAGUAUAGGGUAUCAAUCAUAGUUCUUUCGAUAAGUAAGAGUGUCGAACUCUACGAGGAGUGAAAUGAAGUGACAAGCGGUAUUCAGCAAGGUAAUUUAUGCAAGCAUUAAAAUAGCGGUAACAAGUUGUUUGAUAGCAAGAUAAUUGUAACAAGUGACAAGUAGCAAUAGUAACAAAAGGUGCAGAAAGGUAUCCCAAUCCUUUUGUGGCAAAGGACAAGCCAAAACAAUUUCUUAUAAUAGGCAAGGACUUCUUGAGGGCACACGGGAAUUUCAUCUAGUCACUUUCUUCAUGUUGGGUUAAUUCGCGUUGGGUACUUUGAUAAUUUGAUAUGUGGGUGGACCGGUGCUUGGAUGAUGUUCUUACUUGAAAAAACAUCCCACUUAUGAUUAACCCUCCUGCAAGCAUCCGCAACUAUGAGAAAAGUAUUAAGAAUAAAUUCUAACCAUCGCAUUAAACAUAAGGAUCCAAAUGAGCCCCUUACGGAAUAACGCAUAAACUAGGGUUUAAGUUUCUGUCACUCUCCCAACCCACCAUCUAAUUACUACUCCACAAUGCAUUCCCUUAGGCCCAAAGAUGGUGAAGUGUUAUGUAGUCGACGUUCACAUAACACCACUAAGGGAAUCACAACAUGGCUUCUCCCAUGGCCUCAAGAACAAAAGUACCUACUCACAAGUGAUAAAAAUGCUCAUGGUCAGAGAGGUAUUAAAUAGCAUAUUGGAUCUGAACAUAUGAUCUUCCACCAAAUAAACCAUAAAGCAUCAACUACAAGAUGUAAUCAACACUACUAGUCACACCCAAGGUACCAAUCCGAGGUUCUGGUACAAGAUUGAGCACAAGAGAUGAACUAGGGUUUUGAGAAGAGAUGGUGUUGAUGAAGAUUGGCCUCCCCAAGAUGAGAGGGUUGUUGGUGAUCACGAUGGCCUCGAUUUCCUCUCCGGGAGGGAAGUUCCUCCGGCGAAUCGCGCUGCCGGAGAGCAAAAGUGCUCCUGCCCAGGUUUCGCCUCGAGACGGCGGCUCUUCGUCCCCAAAGUCAUCUCCUGGUUUUUUAGGUUAAAAGGGAAUUUAUACCACAAGAUGGUCGCUGGGGGUGGGUCAGGGGGCCCACUAGACAUCAGGUCGCACGAGGGGAACUGGCGCGCCCUGAUGCCUAGUGGCCGCCUGGUAGCCCCCUCUGGUACUUCUUUGCUCUAGUAAUUUUUCUUUAUUGCAAAAUAGAUCUCUGUAAAAUUUCAGCCCAUUUGGAGAUGUGGAGAAUAGGUAUCUCUGACGUAGCUUUUUCACAUCCAGGAUAUCAUCUGCCGGCAUUCUCCCUCUUGAUGUAAACUUUGCAUAAUAUGAGAGAAAAUGCAUUAGAAUUACUCCACCAAGUGGCAAAAUGCAUAAAAUCACUACAAAUAACUGUAACCAAACAUGAUACAAAAUGGACGUAUCAGUCCUUCGUGGGGAGCGGCUCAUGAGGCGCAGUCCCUCGCGAAGCCUUCUGCCCGUAGGACACCGCUCACGAGGCCUCCCGGGGAGGGGCUCGUGAGUCCUUUGAUAUCCUGCACUAGGGAAACUACCGAGUUUUUGCAAGUAAUGCAGCGGGGCAUGCUUGCGGGGUCGUUUGUGGGUGUUGCGCGAGGAGUCAAGAGAACCAAGGACCUUGUGAGGUGACGUACACGAGAGUAGGCCCACAAGUCAAAGCUCAGUCACUUGGAUUUUGCAGCGCUGCUAGGACUGACCUAAGAUCAUGCACCAUUCCCAACCUCCGCUCCCAUGACAGGCACGGGGAAGAUCACUAGUGCAUGCCCCUCCCGAGGCAUACUCAUAUUGAGGAUGCGACAGCCGGGGGGCCCUCGGGCAAGUUGGCUGCCAGCACCAAGCAUGGUGCAUCCGCUAGGCCAAGUUGGGGCUUCCACAAGAGUUGGUAGGAGUAGGCCUCUAGGGUUGAGCAUGGGGAAUCCGCCAGACCGAGCUGGGACUUCCGUGAGAGUGGGUAAGAGUAGGCCGUGAGCGCUGAGCAUGGGAGAUCCGCCAGCCCAAGCCGGGGCUUCCAUGAGAGUAGAUAGGAGUAGGCCGCCAGCACUGAGCAUGGGCAUCUACCAGGCUGAGCUGGGGCUUCCACGAGAGUGGGUAGGAGUAGGCCACCAACGUUGAGCAUGGGGCAUCCGCCAGACCGAGCUGGAGCUUCCAUGAGAGUGGGCAUGAGUAGGCCGCCAACACUGAGCAUGGGGCAUCCGCCAGGAUGAGCUGGGGCUUCCACAAGAGUGGGUAGGAGUAGGCUGCCAGCGUUGAACAUGGGGCUUCCGCCAGGCCAAGUUGGGGCUUCCACGAGAGUGGGUAGGAGUAGUCCGCCAGAGCUGAGCAUGGGGCAUCCGCUAGGCCGAGAUGGGGCUUCCAGGAGAAUGGGUAUGAGUAGGCCGCUACCACUGAGCAUGGGGCAUCCGCCAGGCAGAGCUAGGGCUUCCACGAUAUUAGAUAGGAGUAGGCUCGCAGCGCUGAGCAUGGGGCAUCCGCCAAACCGAGAUGUGGCCUCCACGAGAGUGUGUAGGAGUAGGCCGCCAACGCUAAGCAUGGGGCAUCCGCCAGGCAAAGGUAGGGCUUCCACGAGAGUGGGUAGGAGUAGGCCGCCGACGCUGAGCAUGGGGCAUCCGCCAGGCGGAGCUGGGGCUUCCACGAGAGUGGGUAGGAGUAGACUGUCAUGUGCUCAUCCUUCUCGUGCUUCUCAUUGUAGAAGUUGACGAGGAGUUGUGAGACCUCCUUGAUGAUGAUGCGCUUGAAUCCAAGUGUGAUGGUGGCCUUGAGCCUAGCAAAGAGUCCCUCAUACUCGGCGAUGUUGUUGGAGACCUUGUCGGUGCACCUUAAACAGAGUUGCACUGCAUAGUUAAGCUUGUCACUUGUGGGCAUAGUGAGAACCACACUAGCCCUUGCGCCCUGGCGCGUGAAGGCCCCAUUGAAUGCGUGGUCUAGACUCCAAAGGAGGCCUCCUCGGGCAAGAGCGGCACCCUGGGGCGGGGCCAUCCACUCCGCCGCGAAAUCUACCAAGGUCGUGCCCCUAAUGGUCCUGGUGGUGAGGACUACAACCCGAAGGGCUACCACUCGAUGUCCCAUUCAGCAACGUGGUCAGUAGUGUUCGGGCUCCGUGGGACCGAGGAGCUCAGGCAGCGGCGCCGCGGAGGCCUCCGUAGGCGCGACUCUAGAGGCCUCCUGAGGAGGUGCCUCAGCACGCGUCAACGCGGCCUUGAGGGGCUUGAGCGACGCCUCCAUGGGGGUGGCAUCUACACGCGCGGACUCGACAUCCUUCUUCUUGGCGUAGGCUCACUCCUCUUGCUCCACCACAAGGGUCGCACUGGCCGCUUGGGGGGUGGACGCCCUGUAGGCGCGUGCGAGGGCGUGCAUUGCAUCCUUCUCAUCGCAAUGGAUGGUGAGGGUGUUGCUGCAUUCGGGCACCUUGAUAAGGCCGUAGGCACGAAGGGUUGCAGCCACGAACUUGGAGAGCGCCGGGAAGCCCAAGAUGGCAUUGUAGGGCAGGCCGGUGUGGGCCACAUCAAAGACGAUGAACUCUAUAUGCUAACUAUUAUGGGUGUUGAAGGUCAUGGGAAGGCCCACCUACCCCAGGGGGAGAGUGGAGCCCUUGGUGACGUCCGAGAAGGUCUUGGUGGGUAUUAGGCGCUUGUAGGGACUUGGAGCAUCUUGAAAGUCACUAUCGAGAGCAUGCUGAGGCAUGCGCCACCGACGACGAGCAUCCUGGUGAUGGCCACACCGCUGAUAGCGGGAGUACAUAGUACAGGGACAUUGCCCAUAGCCCUAGUGGACUUGGUAUGAUGGUUGGCAUCGAAGGCGAUGGAGGGACACGUUCACCUUGUGUGUGAAGUGCUUGACAUGGUGGCAGGAUGGUGGGGCCUAGGAGCCUCCUAGGAUGUAGGCCACCCUGCAGGGCUCUCAUACGUCUCCAACGUAUCUAUAAUUUUUAUUGUUCCAUGCUGAUAUAUUAUCAUUUUAGAAUACUUUUGGGGUAUUUAUUUACCAAUUUAUAUUAUUUUUGAGCACUAACCUAUUGACCCAAUGCCCAGUGCCAGUUGUUGUUUUCUGUAUGUUUUUCACUUUUCAGGUUCUCAAUACCAAACAAAGUCCAAUUGACCUAAAAAAAUUGGUGUUUUUUUCUCGACCAAAAGAAGACCGAGAAGCAUCGAAAGAAGGCCGGAGGCCUCACGAGGGGCCCACAAACCAACAGGGAGCGGCCUAGGGGGUCGCGCCUUGAUGUCUUGGGCCUCCCUCGUGACCCUCCAACCUUCGUUCUCUGGCUUAUUAGUUCUCCUUUACCCUAGAAACACCAAAAGAGGCCACGAAACACUUUUUACGCUGCCGCAAGUCUCUGUUCCAAAGGGAAGCCAUGUGGAGCUCCGUUCCGGCACCCAGCGGGAGGGGGAAUCGAUCAUGGAGAGCCUAUACAUCAACCUUGUUUCCCUCACCACGAUGUGUGAGUAGUUCACCAUAGACCUACGGGUCCAUGGCCAAUACCUAGAUCGCAAUCUCUCUCUUGAUCUUCAAUGCAAUGAUCAUUGCAUCUUCGCCUUGAUCCACAUGAUGUAAUUCACUUUUGUGCGGUGUGUUUGUUGGAUCCGAUGAAUUGUGGGUGUAUGUUCAGAUUAUUCAUGAUAUAUAUUUGAGUCUUCUCUGAAAUCUUAUAUGAUUCGUAUGUGCAUGAUUAUUAUAGCUUCAUAAUUCUCUCUGAUCUAUUGAAAUGGUUUGGCUAACUAGAUUGAUAUUUCUUCGGUGAGAGAGGUGCAUUGUAGUAGGUUGAACCUAGAGAAUUUCUAUAUCCCAAUGACGGAAGGGGACAUGAUGCAUCUUUUUGUUGUUGCUACUGAGGAUAAAACUAUGGGGUUUAUUCAUAUUGCUUGGGUUUACUUUGUCUACAUCAUGUCAUCUUUCUCCAUGCAUUACUUUCAUUCGUCAUGAACUUAAUACGUAGAGAGGAAAUCAUAGAAGCAAUCUUGAAGUUAAGUAAUAGUAAUAGGUGCAGGCAGGAGUCAGCCAAUUUGUUCAUGGACGUGAUACCUAUAUACGCAUGAUCAUUUCUGUGAAUAUCGCAUAACUAUCCGCUUUUCUAUCAAUUUCCCAACAGUAAUUGGUUUACCAACCAUAUGUUAUUUUCCAUGAGAGAUGCCAUUAGGGAAAACUAUGGCCCUCGGGUCUAUUCACAACAUGUUCACAAAACUUUCAAUGGCUUGCUGCCAUUAAUCCCCCCCCCCCCCCCCUGCAAUUUACAAUUAUCUACAACUAUCUACACACCUUACUUUCUUGCAAAUAACGAGACCAGGGGGAUUGACAACCCUCUUUCUCGUGUUGGGUGCAAGUUGUUAGUUCUUUUGUGUGUAGCCGCCGAAGACGAUUGUGGUUGAUAUUCCUAUUGGUUCAAUAAACCUUGAUUUCAUCACUAAGGGAAAUACUUACCCAUAUUGUGCUGCGAUAACCCAUUCCUCUUCACAGAAAACCCAACGCAGAUCACAAGUAUCGGGAAGGAUUUCUGGCACAGUUGUCGGUGAAUAUCAUCACCAACUACCAAGUAACUCCACACAAAUUUUCAUUCACUUGUUCCUAUUUUUAUUUGCUGGUACAUUUAGUUUGUCNCAUAAAAAAUAAGAAUACAAAAAAAUUUACCUUUGCUUGCUUAGCUUGUCACUAGAUUGCCUCUUCGUUGUGUAGUUUGCUUGUCCCACUUGUUACUUUGCUUGCUUGGUCACCAUGUCGCGAGAUAAGUUCCACAAUAUCUCUUAUUACCAAAUAAUCUUGGAUACAGAAGGUUCUAUGAAAAGUUCCAUGACUUCACAAUAUGAGCAUAUUGAAUUCUUUGCUUCUGAGAUUAAGGAACACUCAACUUUGCUUGAUGUUAUUAGUGAUAGACAUGAUGAAGUCAAUAAGGAAGUGUCUAAUCUACAAUCAAAAUUUGCUAAAAUUGAAGAAUUGUUAGGAAAGAUCUGUGAUAAGCAAACCACUCUAGUAAAUAGGAGUGCCGCUAAACCAGAAUAUUUUCCUACUAAUACUCAUGAUGAAAAUCUUAAAAUGAUUGGAACUUCUCCUAUUGAAUCUUUUUUUACUUCUAUGAAUAUUAAUGGUAAAGAGACUGGAGAUGAGUCAAAUCUAGUAAAGGAGCGUCCAGUUUGCGUGGAGGGUGAUGAUUUUAAUGCUAAAACUGAAAAAGUGGGCUUGGCGAGGUCAAAACAUUAACUAAUGAUGUGCCCACCAUCUUGGAUUACAAGGACUUCGAUUAUGAUAAUUUCUCAUUAGUAUAAUGUAUUUCCUUUCUGCAAUCCAUUAUUAUCUCACCCAAUGCUUAUGAAUAAAAUAGAGCUUUUACUCAACAUAUAGUAGAAGUUGUGAUAAAAGGUUAUGAUGAGAAACUUAAGCUUGAAGUUUCUAUUCCUAGAAAGUUGCGUGAUGAGUGGGAACCUACUAUCAAAAUUAGGAUAAAUAAAUAUGAAUGCAAUGCUUUGUGUGACCUUGGUUCUAGCGUUUCAACUAUACCUAAAUCUUUAUGUGAUGUACUUGGUCUCACUAAUAUUGAAAAAUGUUCCCUAAACUUGCAUCUUGUGGAUUAUACCAUUAAUAAACCCUUAGGUAGAAUUAAUGAUGUGCUCAUAAUUGCAAAUAAAACUUAUGUGUGUGUAGAUUCCAUUGUUCUUGACAUUGAUUACAAUCCUACUUGUCCAAUUAUAUUUGGAAGACCUUUCCUUCGAACUAUAGGUGCAAUUAUUGACAUGAAAGAGGGAAACAUAAGGUUUCAAUUUCCCUUAAAGAAAGGAAUGGAACACUUCCCUAGGAAUAUAAUUUGAACACCUUAUGAAUCAAUCAUGAGAGCUACUUAUGGGUGGAGUGUCCAAGAUGACAACACUUGAAACUAUGCAAUAUGUCUAGCUAGGGGCGUAAACAAUAGCGCUUGUUGGGAGGCAACCCAAUAGCUAUAUUUAUUUUUUACCUUUUACUUUCUAUUUAUUUUUUAUAACAUGAUUAUUGCUAGUGUAGUGAUCAUGUUUUUAUGUUUUAGUUAGUGUUUGUGCCAAGUAAAGCCUUUUGGAUGAUUUGCAUGAUAAGUAAAAUUGAUACGGUGUAAAAACAGACACUUUGAUGACGAGUGCGGAAUUUCUUUGAUUUUACUGGAAUAUCUUUUUAAGCUGAAUUCUUUUACACUGUAUUUAUGAAGACAUUCCUUAGCUCGUCCUAAUUUUUAAGAAUUUUUGGAGUUACAUAAGUAUAGGUUCAUUGCAGAUUACUAUACACUAUUAUGUUUCAGUCAGAUUCUAUUUUUUGCUUGCAUAGUUUGCUUGUUCUGAUGAUGCUAUGGUUUGUAUCGGGGGGUAUAAGCCAUGGGGAAGUUAGAACACAGUACCUUAUGCUCAAAUAAAAUAAGAAUCAACUCAUAACAGUACCUGAAAGUAUUUGAUAUGUUGCUUAGACUAACGGAUCUCACAAAUUUUUGUUGAGUUUUAUGUGAUUGAAAUUUAAGUUUUAGGUAUUAUCUCGAUGGACUAAGGAUUGAGGAGAAGCAAAAUCCUAAGCUUGGGGAUUCCCAAGGCACACAAAGGUAAUAUUCUAGGAAGACUCAAGCAUGUAAGCUUGGGGAUGCCCCGGAAGGCAUCCCCUCUUUCGUCUCAAUCCAUCGGUAUGUCACUUGGAGCUACAUUUUUAUUCAUCGCAUGAUAUGAGUUUUUCUUGGAGCGUCGUUUGCUUUUGUUUGAUUUUACUUUUAGUUUUCCAUAAUCAUUGUUUGCUGGACACACCUAUUUGAUAGAUAUACCACAUCAUCAUAAUUUUUUUAGAAUACUCUAUGUGCUUCACUUAUAUCUUUUGAGCUUAGCAGUUGCUCUAGUACUUCACUUAUAUCUUGUUGAGCCUGGUGGCGUGUAGAUGUUAUAGAACUAAUAUGCUCCCAUUCUUCACUUAUAUUUGUUUGAGAGUAAAUUCAAUAGUGAUAGUAAUUUGCAUGGGUCAUAAGACUAGAUAAAAAAUAAUGGUUAUUCAAUGGGUGAUAAUUAAAACCUACAUCUAGCACAUAUAGAGAAGUCGUGGGUUAAUGAUAUUGAUGUGGUAUGAAAAAGCUGUGAGUGCAUUAUUGUUAAUUCAGAGAAGUGUCGAUAUUAAGAGAUGUUAAACUUAUGGUCCAUCUAAAAAAUUAAAAGGGUAUGGUGAUGAUGUGUGUGCAAAUCUAUUCCUUCUUGAAAUCCUAGUGUUGUUUUGAGUCGGAGUCGUGCGAUCAUUAAUUCCUACCAACCCACUCCCUCGGGGUAUGCGAGUGGUACUUUUAUUUCUGAUAAAACUAAUAGAAGUUUGCAAUAAGUAUAUGAGUUUUUAUGACUAAUGUGACACCAUGGACAUAUGCAAUCUCACCUCCUCAUAUUUGCUUGCCUCUUCGAUACCGUGCAUAGCCCAUUCUCACCUCGAAGUGGUGCAACUUUCGCCGGUGCAUCCAAACCCAGUGAAAUGACACACUCUGUAGCACAUAAACCUUUUUAUAUCCUCCUCAAUACAGCCACCAUACGUACCUAUCAUGGCAUUUCCAUGGCCAUUCCAAGAUAUAUUAAGAUGCAAAUGCCAUCGUCACUUCGCAUGACUAGUUUUUUCAUCAUCAUAUUACUUUGCAUGAUCAUAAAGAGCUGACAUAGUAUUUGUGGCAAAUCCACCAUUCAUUAUAAUAUUUGUGGCAAAUCAACCAUCAUCAUAUGUUGAAUACAUGUCACGCUAGAUCAUUGCACAUCCUGGUACACUGUCACAUGCAUUCAUAUUGGAGUCAUAUUGCUUCAUAGUUCAUCAUAUUGAGUUGUCAAUGAGUUGUAAGUAAAUAAAAGUGUGAUGAUCAUCAUUAUUAGUUUAUUGUCCCUGUGAGGAAAUAAAGAUGGGGGAGGCCUGAUACGUCUCCAUCGUAUCUACUUUUCCAAACCCUUUUGCCCUUGUUUUGGACUCUAAUUUGCAUGAUUUGAAUGGAACUAACCCGGACAGACGCUGUUUUCAGAAGAAUUGCCAUGGUGUUGGUUUUGUGCAGAAAUAAAAGUUCUUGGAAUGACCUGGAAAUUUACGAGGAUUUGUUUGUGGAAUAUAUAAAAAAUACUAGCGCAAGAAUUACCUGGAGGGACACAGCCUCGAGCCCACAAGCCCAGGAGGCGCCCCCCUGGCCGCGCUUGGCAGGCUUGUGGGGCCCUCAUGGCUCCGCCGCCUCCAACUCCAGCUCUAUAUAUUCUCUCUCGCCCGGGAAAAAAUCGGAGAGAAGAGUUCAUCGCAUUUUACGAUACGGAGCCGCCGCCACCACCUGUUCUUCCUCUAGAGGGCAGAUCUGGAGUCCGUUCUGGGCUCCGGAUAGGGGUAAACGACGCCUUCGUCCUCGCCAACCAUCCUUCAUCGCCAAUUCCAUGAUGCUCUUCAUCGUUCGUGAGUAAUCUCAUCAUAGGCUUGCUGGACGAUGAUAGGUUGGAUGAGAUCUAUCAUAUAAUCGAGUUAGUUUUGAUGGGGAUUGAUCCCUAGUAUCCACUAUGUUCUGAGAUUGAUGUUGCUACUACUUUGCUAUGCUUAAUGCUUGUCACUAGGGCCCGAGUGCCAUCAUUUCAGAUCUGAACCUAUUAUGUUUCCAUCAAUAUAUGUGUGUUCUUGAUCCUAUCUUUCAAGUUGUAGUCACCUACUAUGUGUAUGACCCGACAACCCCGGAGAUGUACUUGUGGGUUAUCAAGACUAUUUUCUGGCGUCGUUGCCGGGGAGGCCUAGCUCUAUUCUCUGAGUCACUUGGGAUUUACGUCUGUUGAUCACUAUGAGGAAUCCGAGAGAUCCAAAAACUAGAGUCUUGCCCUCAACUACGAGGACAGGUAAGGAACUGCCAUCUAGCUCUGCACUUGAUUCACCUUCAGUUAUGAGUAAGUUUGUGACACCACCACCUACGAGAAAUUCUGAUGUGUCGCAUGUGCUUGAUGAUGCUACUUCUGCUAUCCAUGAUGCUUGUGAUGAUGCUUUGCGUGAUACUACUUUGCCACUAGGUGCAUUCCUUGAUGCACAAAUUGCUAGAGUUGCUGCUGAAUGUGAUGAUACUUCUGAAACUGCUGAAAUUAUUGAAGUAGAACCUGUUGUUUCACGUGUUAGAACUAGUUCUCCUAGAUAUGAAUUGCCUGAUAUACCUGAGGGUUAGGUUAUGGAGGGAGAGGUAGCUGAGGACUUUCUUGCUUGUAAGGAUAGUUAUGAUCUUGAGAAUUUAUUGCGCAAGUGGAAAGAAAAAUCUCUGAAUGCUAGAAUGAAAUAAAAUCCUAAGUUUGCUACUUCACCCACCUUUGUAACCGAUAAGGAUUAUGAACUCUCUGUCGAUCCUCAGUUAAUCACUCUGGUGGAAUCUGAUACUUUUCAUGGUUAUGAGUCUGAAACGGUUGUAGAACUUCUUACCAAGCUGAAUUAUAUAGCCACCCUAUUCACGAGUGAGGAAAAGAUUUGCCAUUACUAUAUCCUUAAGUUGUUUCCUUUCUCGCUAAAGGAUGACGCUAAGACUUGGUUCACUUCUCUUGCUCCUGGUUGUGUGCGUAGUCCCUAGGAUAUGAUCUACUACUUCUCUAAGAAAUAUUUUCCUGCCCAUAAGAAACAAGUUGCCUUGCAGGAAAUAUAUAAUUUUGUGCAAGUUGAGGAAGAGAGUCUCCCACAAGCUUGGGGGAGGCUUGUCCAGUUACUGAAUGCUUUUCCUGAUCACCCUCUUGAGAAGAAUGAAAUACUUGAUAUCUUUUAUAAUGGACUACCCGAUGCUUCUAGGGACCACCUAGAUAGUUGUGUUGGUUGUGUUUUCAGAGAACGAAUUGUGGAACAAGCUGAAAUUCUAUUGAAUAAUAUCUUGAGCAAUGAUAAUGCUUGGACUAUUCCCGAACCACCUCCGAAGCCAACUCCGAAGAAAAUAGGUAUUCUAUUCCUCAGUCCUGAAGAUAUGCAAGAAGCCAAGAAAUCUAUGCAAGAGGAAGGUAUUAAAUGUGAAGAUGUUAAGAAUCUACCACCUAUCGAACAAAUACAUGGUCUUGAUCACCCGACACACGUGUAGAGGUAAAUUCUCUUCAUAGAUUCAAUGAGAGUGAUAUUCCUUUUGAUAAACCUGCUAGCUUAUGCUUAGAUGAAUUUGAUAACUUUGUUGCCAAACAACAAAGUUUCAAUGAUUAUGUUAGCAGACAAUUGGAACAGAAUGCUCGUAUGCUUAGUCAUUUAAGUGCUUGUGUGGAUAGAAAUGUCAAUGAUCUUAAGCUUUUGAGUAAACAUGCCUCUAUGGUCACUACUCAGGUAGAACAAGUACUUAAGGCUCAAAAUGACUUGCUCAAUGAGUUGAAUGACAAUUCUGUUAGAGUCGUCACUAGAGGUGGUAGAAUGACUCAGGAACCUUUGUAUCUUGAGGGCCAUCCUAAGAGAAUUGAACAAGAUUCUCAAGGAGUUAGCGCUGAUGCACCUAGUCAUCCUAGUAAUAGGAAGAAAAAUAAAGAUGAUAGGAACUUGCAUGCUAGCAAACCUGCUGCUGUUAUACCUGAGAAUCCAAAUGAUAUCUCUGUUUCUGAUGCCGAAACACAAUCUGGUGAUGAACAUGAGCCUAGUGAUAAUAUUGGUAGUGGUGUUCAUGAUGAUGCUCAACCUAGUAAUGAUAAGGAUGUGGAGAUUGAACCUAGUGUUGAUCUUGAUAACCCACAACCUAAGAACAAGAGAUAUGAUAAGAACGACUUCAUUGCUAGGAAGCAUGGUAAAUAAAGAGAACCAUGGGUUCAGAAACCCAUGCCCUUUCCUCCCAAACCAUCCAAGAAAAAGGAUGAUGAAGAUUUUGAGCGUUUUAUUGAAAUGAUUCGAUCUAUCUUUCUGCAAAUGCAUUUGACAGAUAUGCUCAAAAUGUCUUCUUAUGCCAAGUACAUGAAAGAUAUUGUGACAAAUAAAAGGAAGAUACCUGAGGUUGAGAUUUCCACCAUGCUUGCUAAUUACACCUUCAAGGGUGGAACUCCUAAGAAACUAGGUGAUCCCGGAGUGCCCACUAUACCUUGCUCCAUUAAAGGCAAUUAUGUUAGAACCGCUUUAUGCGAUCUUGGAGUUGGUGUUAGUGUUAUGCCUCUCUCUCUUUACCGUAGACUUGAAUUGGAUAAGUUGACAUCCACUGAAAUCUCCUUGCAAAUGGCCGACAAAUCAACUGCUUUCCCUAUCGGCAUUCGCGAGGGUGUGCCUGUUGUGGUUGAUAACGUUACUAUCUUAACGGACAUUGUUAUUCUGGAUAUUUAAAAGGAUAAUGCCAUGGCGGUCAUCCUUGGAAGACCCUUUUUAAACACUGCAAGGGCUGUUAUUGAUUGCAACAAAGGCAAUGUCAGUUUCCAUGUUAAUGGUAAUGGGCAUACGGUGCACUUUCCGAAGAAACAAUAUCGAGUACAUUGCAUCAAUGUUAUUGAAAGAACUUCAUCAAUUCUUAUUGGGAGCUUUGAAUGCCCUAUACCUACUGUCAAGAUGAAGUACGAUUUACUUGUUGGGGAUAUGCACAUCCCCGUUGAGGUAACCUAGUGAUUAUUCAAAAAUUCUCCGGUUUUAUGCGAUUCGAAAAAAGUUUGUCAAGGAGACUUUAUCAACCUCAUUGACGGAUUUCUUUUGAUGACCAUGAGAUGGAUGAAUCUAGGAGUCACAAACCUCCUGUUCCGAACUUUUAUUUUCUGUUGCUUAGAAGAAAAAUGAUAAAUUUAGCUUUAUUUUCCAGUUUUCUACUUUUUGCAUCCCUUAGAAAAGUGUCCCGAAAAUAAAAGUUAUCCAAAUGCCCUGAAAUUCAAGUAUGAUUUUUUCUGGAAUUUUUGAAAAAUUCUGAGACACAGAGCUAGUCAGGGGGAUGCACCAGUGGGGCCACAAGCCUAGGAUGCACGGCCACCCCCCAGGUCGCGCCUGGCAGGCUUGUGGGCCCCACGUGGCCCCCCUCCACUUAUUCUAGCUCCCAUCUCCUUCUCCUACCUCCAGAAAAAAUCAUUCCACAGCUCAAACCUGUGUUCUUGCUCUUCUUGCUGCGUUUUUCGAUCUCCUUGUGCAAAUCCCCAUUCACCAAACUGUUUUGGGGAAAUUGUUCCUUGGUAUGUGACUCCUCCAUUGGUCCAAUUAGGUUUUGCUCUAGUGCCUUAUUCAUUGUGUAUUUUUGCUGCCUUGGUGACCCUGUUCUUGAGCUUUGCAUGCUAAUUUUAGUUGGUCCCAAGUAGUUUUGAUGCAUGAUAUGGCCUCUAGGCACUUGAAGGAGUAGUUGCUAUGAGUUUUGUUGAGCCUUGUUCACCUUUCUCUUGAGUCACUAAAAAUUUCAGAAAAAGAAGACGUUCAGGAGAAACUAUCAUGGUGGUUCCUCAAGCAAAAGGGGUCCCCGUCUCUCGAUUCGGGAGCCCGAUCCUUAUCAGCCAAGGGACGCACCGGUACAACCAUGUGAAUGGCCUUCCGAUGAAUUCAUGAUUGAUGCAGGUUUCAAAGAUGAGUUUGAUACAUUUGUUCACAAUGUCGGGCUCGAAGAAUUCAUCUCCAACAAAUGCGAACAGUAUACUACACUCAUUGCCUCUUUUGUUCGUAGAUUCAAAUUUUCAGUUGGCCGUGACGCAUCCAUACUGUUUGAUCUGUAUGGCAAAUCGUACACCAUGGAUUUAGAGGAUUUUAAUAGAAUUCGCAAGAUACCUGAUUGGGGUAGUCUCAAUGAUCCUCCUAAGUCUUCGGUUAGAGAUUUUAUCUCUAGUAUAACUGUUGGAGAAACUAGAGAUACUACGCACGCUACCAUGGGGAGCAUUCAUUUUCCUGCCUUGCAUUACUUUGCCCUCUUCAUAGGUAGAUACAUUAACGGCAAAAUUGAGCAUUGUCACCUCUGCGCACCUGACCUUAGUAUUCUUAAGAGCGCAGUAAUGGGUGAUAGAAGUUUCAAAAUGGGAGCUAUAAUCGCGGGGAGGCUAAAUAAUAAUGCUAAUGAAGGGGAUUUCUUUGGUGGGAUCUAUGCCACUCGCAUAGCAAAUUUUCUUGGAGUACCCAUCCGCGAAGGAGAUCCCCCGCUCCAUACAACUUUCCUUGAUCGCGCCGCUAUGACACGUUAUCAGUUCCUUGAGAGGGAUAAUGAAUCCCUCCUAUACCGGGUAAUAUUUAACCGAUAGCGUGUUUUCCAUAUUACCCUUCCUGCUCAUGCCUUCUUUGACUUUCAGGUAAAACGGAGAUAUUACAUAACGAGAGGAGAGGCAGAGGAGUAUGAGAGGGAGGCAAAGGCUGCUCGCCUCCGUGAGCCAGCUAUUCAGGCGGUAGCUGCCGCGUUCCCGUACAACCCCCAAUAUGAUUUUGGAUAUCACCCAGACCAGCCGUGGGAGUAGACCAACUUAGGCCAAAAGCCUAAGCUUGGGGGAGUACGUAUUUCUCACUUACUUUAUAUUCAUGCUUACACUUUGAUAGUCGGUGUUCACACCUUGCCACUGUAUCAUCCAUGCUAGUUUAUUUCUUUUUCUCGCUUUCUUCUCAUGUGUUUGUUAGUUUGAGAAAAAAAAUUAGUUGUAAGUUUGCUUUCCAGUUUGCUUAGUGGUGUUUGAAGAGAAAACCCAAAAAGAUUUCCCGUUCUUGUUUUGCUUGUUGGGAGCUUUCCCGUGUAAAUAGUUUUCUUUUUCUUUGGGUCAAAGCAGAAGGCCAUAGUUAAAUGGUUUAGUGGCUCUCACAUGCAUAUAUGUUUAUCCGUCAAAGAGCCAUAUUACUAUGUCUUCUCCUUUGAGUUUUCUUGCAGAUUCCAGCUUAGUCCAAUGCACGAACACUCUCAUUAUGAUUCACAUCAUUCGGUCGUGCAAAUGAAAGGCAAUAAUGACGAUAUAUGAUGAAGUGACUGGGCGUGGAAAAGCUUGUAUGAACUCGAUCUAUUUUGUUUUUGUAAAUAUGACUAGCUCAUUGUUCCUAAUUCAGCUUUGUUAUGAGAGAAACAUGUUUGCAAUGACAACUUAGAGAUCAUAGUUUCUGAUGCCAUGCUUAAUUAGCUAGGAGCUUAUAAUGGUUUGUCUUGGAUGCCAUCAUGAAUUUCAAGAUGAUUAUGAUGUAGUAUGAUAGGAUGGUAUCCUCCUUUGAAUGAUUCAAGUGGCUUGACUUGGGACAUUUUUACGCAUGUAGUUGAAACAAAAUCAACAUAGCCUUGAUGAUAUUCAUGUUUAUGGUAAUUUAUGUCCUACUCAUGCUUGCACUCAAUGUUGGUUAAUUUCAAUGCAUUUUGAUGACUGUUGUCGCUCUCUAGUUGGUCGCUUCCCAGUCUUUUGCUAGCCUUCACUUGUACUAAGCAGGAAUACUGCUUGUGCAUCCACUUCCAUAAACCCAAAGUUGUUCAUAUGAGUCCACCAUACCUACCUAUAUGCGGUAUCUACCUGUCGUUCCAAGUAAAUUUGCAUGUGCCACUCUCUAAAACUUCAAGUAAUAAUCUAUUUUGUAUGCCCGAACCGCUCAUGUGGUGACAAGGGGCGAUCGGUAUCUUCCAUGCUAGGCGUGUUAUCCUCGAUACGUGUUUAUUCACUAUCACUCAUGAGAAAGGGUCGGUAAUCGGAAUGCCCAGUUCCAUGCUCAAAUCAAAAAGAUAAUUGCAAACAAAACUCCCCCUGGAUUGUUGUUGGUAUGGAUGGCACCCGAGGAUUCAGCUAGUCGUGGAGUGUGAUUGAUCGGUGGUGGGGGAGUCAAAACUUUACUUUUCUGUUUGGGAACCGCCUAAAGUAUGUGUAGCAUGGAAGAUGGUGGAAACUCUUGGUCAUCGCAUUGACAAUGAAAGCAUGCCACCCAAAAUUAUUUGUCUAUGUUUUAAAAGCUUGAGCUCUGGCACCUCUGCAAAUCAAUGCUUCCCUCUAUGAAGGGCCUAUCUAUUUAUGUUUCUAUUGAGUCAUCGUCUUCUUUCAAAAAGUACCAAUUAGAGAGCACCUCCGUCAUUUUUAUGCUUUGCUAUUAAUUGAUAUUGAGUAUGACUGUGACUGGAUCUUCUUUGCCAUGAAUUACAAUGUUCAGUCAACCCUUGGUCUUUGAAGGUGCUCUGCAUCUUAGUUUUGCGGUCUCAGAAAGAGUUAGCGAGAUACCACCUAUUCAUAUUGCUUGAUGAUUGUUUUGAUUGAAGUGUUGACGUUUGAAACUUAUUAUUAUUGCUCGCUAGUUGAUUAUGCCAUUGGUAUGAGUUUGCCAUGAGACCUAGAUGUCAUUGCUUAUGUGGUUAGCUUAUGAUCUUGCUGAAAAUCCGAAUAUGAGUUAGACAUAAUUACAACAACAAGAUCAAACAGAGUUUGUAAAAGUUUUUCUUUUGUCUCUUUCAGUUUGUCAACUGAAUUGCUUGAGGACAAGCAAGGCUUUAAGCUUGGGGGAGUUGAUACGUCUCCAUCGUAUCAACUUUUCCAAACUCCUUUGACCUUGUUUUGGACUCUAAUUUGUAAGAUUUGAAUGGAACUAACCCCGACUGACGCUGUUUUCAGCAGAAUUGCCAUGGUGUUGUUUUGCGCGGAAAUAGAAGUUCUCGGAAUGACCUAGAAAUUUACAAGGAUUUUUUGUGGAAUAUAUAAAAAAUACUAGCACAAGAAUUACCUGAGGGACGGAGCCUGGAGCCCACAAGCCCAGGAGGCGCCCCCCUGGCUGCGCCUGGCACGCUUGUGGGGCCCUCGUGGCUCCGUCGCCUCCAACUCCAGCUCUAUAUAUUCUCUCUCGCCUGGAAAAAAUCGGAGAGAAGAGUUCAUAGAGUUUUACGAUACGGAGCCGCCACCACCACCUGUUCUUCCUAUGGAGGGCAGAUCUGGAGUCUGUUUUGGGCUCCGGAGAGGGGGAAUCGACACCUUCGUCAUCGCCAAUUCCAUGAUGCUCUUCAUCGUUCGUGAGUAAUCUCAUCGUAGGCUUGGUGGAAGGUGAUGGGUUGGAUGAGAUCUAUCAUGUAAUCGAGUUAGUUUUGAUGGGGAUUGAUCCCUAGUAUCCACUAUGUUCUGAUGUUGCUACUACUUUGUUAUGCUUAAUGCUUGUCACUAGGGCCCGAGUGCCAUGAUUUCAGAUCUGAACCUAUUAUGUGUCCAUCAAUAUAUGUGUGUUCUUGAUCCUAUCUUGCAAGUUGUAGUCACCUACUAUGUGUUAUGACCCGGCAACCCCGGAGUGAUUAUAGCCAGAACCACUCUCGGAGAUGACCAUGGUAUAAGGAGUUCAUGUAUUCACUAAGUGCUAAUGCUUUGUUCCGGUUCUCUAUUAAAAGGAGACCUUAAUAUCCCUUAGUUUACAUUAGGACCCCACUGCCACGGGAGGGAUGGACAAUAGAUGUCAUGCAAGUUCUUUUCCAUAAGCACGUAUGACUAUAUACGGAAUGCAUGCCUACAUUACAUUGACGAACUGGAGCUAGUUACAUAUCUCCCCAUGGUAUAACGGUUACAUGAUGAAUGUCAUCCGGCAUAAUUAUCCAUCACCUAUCCAAUGCCUACGAGUUUUUCCUACUAGUCCUUGCUAUGCUACUUUGCCGCUACUGCUGUCACUGCUCCUACUGUUACCGUUAUUGUUGUCACUACUGCUACUGUUACCACUGCUACUGUUGCUAUCACACUACUCUGCUACUGAAAAUUUGUUGUAGAUACUAAGUCUUUCAGGUGUGGUUGAAUUGACAACUCAACUGCUAAUACUCGAGAAUAUUCUUUUGCUUCCCCUUGUGUCUAAUCAACAAAUUUGGGUUGAAUACUCUACCCUCAAAAACUAUUGCGAUCCUCUAUACUUGUGGGUUAUCAAGGCCAAAUGAGCCCACCAUAAUAAUUGUCUCUUAUACACAUCUNAAAAAGAGAUAAGGGACUUUGCUACUAUCCUUUACCACACUUGUGCCUCAAAGUGGCAUCUUGUUCUUCAUAUAGAGAGUCUCGUGUUAUAUUAUUCAUAUGAUAGUGGGAAUUACUUUUUCAUAAAAUUGGCUUCUAUAUUCCUAUGACGGGCUUCCUCAAAAGCCUGAGGUCUUCAUGAGCAAGCAAGUUGGAUGCACAGCCCACUUAGCUUCGCUGGAGCUUUCAUACACUUAUGGCUCUAGUGCAUCGUUUGCAUGGAAAUCCAUACUCCUUGCAUCAAUAUCUAUCGAUGGGCAUCUUCGUGGCCCGUUGGUACUCCUAGUUGUUGUGAGGCUAUAUUCUCCACUUUACACCCCUUUGAAACGCACCACCUUACUGUAUUCCACAUUUAUGCUAUGUCCAAUGGUUCACGCUCAUGUAUUGCGUGAAGAAUAAAAAGUUGAUGCAUAUUGAAAAAGUAUGAUCCAAUUGCAUGACUUGUACACCGUGCUGAUUAACAUUUGUAUUAAUGUGGUUAAUAUGGAGCCAUGCCUUGCUAAUAUAAAAUAAGAUGGAUAGGGGUAAAACAUUUUUUGAGGAUCGUAUACUUUGAAAGAUUGAUAUUUUGCUGCUUAUACCUAUAAGUACUACUAUGUUAAUGUUUUUUAAUUCAUCGUUUCUCAGUGAGCAUACAUGCAUAAGGUUACAUCAUGGGUAGCAUGUGACAUCAAAAACUCUGCUUUUAUCAUUUACCUACUCGAGGACGAGCACGAAUUAAGCUUGGGGAUGCUUGAUACGUCUCCAACGUAUCUAUAAUUUUUUAUUGUUCCAUGAUGACAUAUUAUCAUUUUAGAAUACUUUUGGGGUAUAUAUUAACAAUUUAUAUUAUUUUUUAGCACUAACCUAUUGACCCAGUGCCCAGUGCCAGUUGUUGUUUUCUGCAUGUUUUUCACUUUUUCGGUUUUCAAUACCAAACGAAGUCUAAUUGAUCUGAAACUUUUUGGUGAUUUUUCUGGACCAAAAUAAGACCAAGGAGCAUCGGAAGAAGGUUCGAUGCCUCAUUAGGGGCACAUAAGCCAACAAGGUGUGACCUGGGGGCGCCCUGAUGGCUUGUACCUCCCUCGUGGCCCUCCCGACUCUGUUCUCUGGCUUAUAAAUUCUCCUUUAUCCUAGAAACACCAGAAGAGGCCAGUAACACUUUUUAUGUUGUCGCAAGUAUCUGUUUCAAUGGGAUGCCAUAUGGAGCUCCGUUUCGGCACCGUGUCGGAGAGAGGUCGAUCAUGGAGGGCCUCUACAUCAACCUUGUUGCCCUCUCCAUGAUGUGUGAGUAGUUCACCACACACCUACGGGUCCAUGGCCAGUACCUAGAUGACAUUCUCUCUUGAUCUUCAAUACAAUGGUCAUCGCAUCUUCUCUUUGAUCCACAUGAUGUAACUUACUUUUGUGUGGUGCGUUUGUUGGGAUCCAAUGAAUUGUGGGUUUAUGUUCAGAUUAUUCAUGAUAAAUAUUUGAAUCUAAUCUAAAAUAUUAUAUGAUUCUUAUGUGCAUGAUUAUAAUAGCUUCGUAAUUCUCUCCGAUCUAUUGAAAUAGUUUGGCCAACUAGAUUGAUAUUUUUUUGGUGAGAGAGGUGCGUUGUAGUAGGUUCAACCCAGCGAAUUUCUAUAUCCCAGUGACAGAAGGAGACAAGAUGCGUCUUUAUGUUGCUACUACUAAGGAUAAAAUGAUGGGGUUUAUUCACAUUGCUUGAGUUUACAUUCUCUACAUCAUGGAAUCUUUCUCCAUGCAUUACUUCGUUUGUCAUGAACUUAAUACGUAGAGAGGCAAGCAUAGAAGCAAUCUUGAAGUUUAGUAAUAGUAAUAGGUGCACGCACGAGUCGGUCUAUUUGUUUAUGGACGUAAUGCCUAUAUACACAUGAUCAUUGUCGUGAAUAUCGCAUAACUAUUCACUUUUCUGUCAAUUGCCCAACAGUAAUUUGUUUACCCAUCGUAUGCUAUUUUCCAUGAGAGAUGCCAUUAGGGAAAACUAUGGCCCUCGGGUCUAUUCACACCAUAUUUACAAAACCUUCAAUACCUUGCUGCAAUUUAUUGUUUUCUUUUUAUUUUGCAAUUUACAAUUAUCUACAACUAUGUGCACAACUUACUUGCUUGCAAAUAACGAGACCAAAGGGGAUUGACAACCCUCUUGCCCGCGUUGGGUGCAAGUUGUUUGUUCUUUUGUGUACAUCCGCUAAAGACGGUUGUGGUUGAUAUUCCUAUUGGUUCGAUAAACCUUGGUUUCGUCACUCACGAAAAUACUUACCUAUUUUGUGCUGUGAUAACCCGUUCAUCUACACGGAAAACCCAACGCGGAUCACAAGUAUUAGGCUCUUGGGAGCCCCCACUGGUGACAACACCCCUAGUUGGAGUCGUACGUCCGCCGCGCCCAACCGCAGAGUCGUCACGGGGGAAAUGAUAGAUGAUUUGGCAGGGGGACCAACACCGCCCAGUGCGGACGAACCAUGGGUUAGCCUUGAGGCACACGCCCGAACGGUGCCAUUCGGUUGCGUCACGGCUAAGAGGUGGAGAAGAAGCGGUGUGUCUGGGUCGCUCGGUGCGCCGCAUUGAAGCAAGUGAGGACCGAGGGGGGCCUCGCCACUGCAUGCGGCACAGACGAGGCUCAUGACAUGCUUAAGUCGAGCGCCGCACUGUCCCUGGUGGGGCGACAUCACAGCAGCCCCUCCGCUAAGAGCAGCGCAACGUGUGGAGCAGGAGGGUUGCGACUCACCGGCGAGGGGUGGAAGCGGAGCAGCCAAGCGCAUGCUUGUUCUCCGACGGGUAGACGAAGGAGGUCGCCUUCUCUCUAACGGGCUUGGUGGUGUCCCAAGGGCGCCGCCCAGGGGCACCACGGGUGGCGGCUCAGCGUGCAGCACGCUCCCGACAAGCGGUGGCAUCAUCCAUGUCGAUGUUGAUGUUGAGGUCAAAGGUGCAAACACAGCAAGCUGCCCCUACCCGGUGCGCCAAAUUUCAGAGUCAAGGAUGUGCAUCCCCAUACUUCUCCAAAGAACUAGGUUCGGACACUCGGGGUGCUUGGCUUGGCAACUUGCAACACGAUGGUAAACACGGCAAGAUCGACGGUAAGCUCACUCCUUCUCACCAGACACGAACCAGACACGUGAGAUACCCAGGUUCGGGCCACCGUGCAGUGUAGAACCCUACUCCUGCUUGUGUUAGAAUUCUUUGUACUCGAGAGCUAUGCUCGAGGUACAUGAGGUGUGUUGGAGAGAAUGGCUUGAUCCCCUUAGACGUAAGUGGUUGUCCCCUCUUGUAGUGCCUUGGUCCUCUUCCCCGAAAAUAUGAGCGAGUAAGGGUGUCCACGUGGCGGAAAUUCAAAGGGGGACAGGAGCUCGGACUAAUCCGGACAAAAGGUUGUCUCCCCCUGCUAAAGCAGUCUUCGUGACGUGUUUGUGGGCUCGGCGAUGACCUUCAUCCUGCCUCGCUGAUCCGUCGUGAUCCUCUUUCAUCAAAAUGGCAAGCUUUGGGAUCCUGUCUUUGGCGAGAGAGCGGUCGCAGCACUCUAAUCACCAAAGAUGAAUUCAUCCUUGUCCGCGCAUGCUCGCAUGGCCUCUAUCAACCUUGUCUAUGUGGGUGCAUCACUCACGUGUUGGGCGCGGAGCCCUGUGGCAGGUAUCGUACAUCGUCCUCGUGGAUCGACCUCAUGAGGGGAGCCUCGUGAGACAAUCUGGCACUUGGUGGCCCGGGUUACGCCUAGUCUGGUGGUGAGCAGCCUCGCAAGCAUAGCCCCGCACAAGGCGGCUUCUUUCGGAGCGACCGUGGCUAAUCCAUCUCGCCGCGGGCCGGUGGCAAAUGGGUCGUGGUACCCUGGUUCCCACUUGGCCGACGGGAACACUAAAAGUUGCCACAUUUUGCACUAGUCAUUGUAACCGAGUUUUUACUUUGGUUCCACCGAGUUGAAUAAUAAUGUUGUAACUGUUGGAUUUUUGGAGAUGUCUAUAUAUACACAUCCACCUCCCUCUCAUACGUAGAGAGAGCACUCAAAACAAGCCAACACUAGCCCCAUCCAUUUUCUGAGAAGGAACCACAUACUCGUGUGUUGAGAUCAACAUAUACGAGUCCAAUCAUAUGAAUCUUGAUUUCUAGCCUCCCCAAGUUUCUUUCCACCCAAUUAAACUCUUCUACUGAGCCAAAUUUGUGACAGAAAGAUUGAGUGUUGAGGAGACUAUCUUUUGAAGCACAAGAUCAAGGAGUUCAUCAUCCAUACCACAUCUAUUGCCUUUUGGAGAGUGGCAUCUCCUAGAUAUGUUGGGUGUUGCUUGGGAGUCUCCCACUUCACGUGGAGUUGAACCAAGAAGUUUGUAAGGCCAAGGUGACCGCCUACUUCGUGAAGAUCUACCCUCAGUGAGGCUAGUCCUUCAUAGACAUAAGCCAUGAAGGUAUUAUCACACCCUAUGUUUUGCCUUACUUUGCUAAGUUAACAUAGCUUGAAAAUUAGGACCAAUUAAAACUUUUGUUGUGUGAUGUGAUGCUUGAACUGAUUGUUGUUUGCUUGCUUCUGUUUUAAAUCACAAGAACAAUCCUCCUACUUUUUAUACUCACCUCCUUGCUCCAAAUCCUUGCCCAACGACCAUGCCAUGUGUAUAGGACCUAAAACUAUUUUUACAAAAUAUCAUUUUUACCAAAAAGCAUUUAAUUAAUUUAAGCUUUCAAAACCCCCUCAAUUGCGGUUUGUAAUACAAGUCCUCAAAUUAGGAGGUAUAUUUUGCUCAAAAUAUUUUAUUUGGAUCUUUUUAUCAAAAAUACUUCCCAAAAACAGAAAAUAAUUAUCUUUUUACUAUCUUAUUUAAAUACCUUUUUCUGAGGCCGGAAAUGAUAUUUAUAGGGGGGAAUUAUUUUUAUGCCAAAACAUUUGAGAAAAGUUAGGGAAACUUAGUGGACAUAUGUUUUCCAUAUAUAAGAGUUUUAACAAAUGGUCAUGUUCAAAAUAUUGGACAAAACCCUCCAAAACCCUUUUUGCCUAUUUCAAGCUUUUGAAAUAUUGCUAUAAGAAUCAUUAUCAAAUAAUUCUAGUAAAAUUCUACCAUGUCACACAUGAUAUAUGUUAUGAUCUUGCCAAGUUUCAUCUCAACCCAAGUUGAUUUCAUUCACCAAAAUAUCCCAAAACCCUGUGUGUCCACAACCAAAUUUGAGCAACUCUACAUUGCCAGGUUUCUCCUUUUGUGCUCAAAUUUUGUGGGCGUGAUCUCAUACUCAAAUAACGCAUCCACACCAAGUGGUGCAUCAAGGAGAAUAGAUCCACUUGUACAAAGCCCCUCAAAACCACUUCUGCUGAUUUCUAGAAUUGGGAAUAUUUGCAUUGGCAAGUUUCUCCAAAUGACUCCAAACUUUUGGGGCAUGCUCUAAUCCUCAAAUAAUGCCACCACACAAAGUGGUGCAUUAGGGGGAAUUAAUUUGCAUGGGUUUGUCUAGGGAAAACCAUUUCUCCUGAUUUCUAGGGUUUACCAUCUCUACAUUGGAAACUUUCUCCAACAAAUCUCAAAUUUGGUGUCCAACCUCAUUUUCACCUAACAUUUGAUCUUGUUAAAUCUCACGGCAAGUAGACUCCAUUUUCUUGCACAAAACAACAUCAAACACCUUCUCGUGAUUUAGUAAAAACCCACCUUUUGACCCCUUACAUGGUUCCCCUUACUCUCAAACUUUUACCACAACCCCAAGUUGAUGUCUUCUACCUCCAAUAAGAAACCCAGCCCCCCAGGUCAAUAAUUGGUGGGGGUAAAACCCCCAUUUAUCCCAUGGACAGCAAGAAUCCACUUCUCUCUCAGCUUCCCCCCUUUCCUAGCCAGUACCCAGGGUAUCCAAAGCCCUUUUGCACCUAUUUUACUCCUCCCGCAGCUAGUGUACAAGGGUGGUCAUGCCAGAGCGCGUGCAGACGCGCCCAUGCUAGACAAAAGCUCACUCUGGAGCACACUGCAGUGCACUCAAGAACUGACGCCACACUAAUGACCUCCUCGAGCCCCUCCUACUUGCAGGACCACAUCAGCAUACAUGAUUCACCAUACGGUCAUCCCCAUCCUCUCUCUCUCUCCCUCCUGCGGCCCUCCUCGCAUGCACGCCGACCGCCCAAGCACACCAAUGGACGGCCUCGCACAGGCAAGCUUCUACCGCUCACUCCUUCCUCUUUUUUCCCUCCCCUAGUCCGAGACCAAGUCCACCAAUGCCAUAGACAUGGCCUAGGGUGCCCUCGUGGCCUAUGGCCUCACCCUCGCCCUCGACCUCGCCCUGCUCCAUGUCCACGGUAAGCACGCUCCCAAGCCAUUCAAGGCCUCCCUCGAGCCCCCACUCGGCUCCCUUUUCCCCCUCUCUCCCCCAGAGCCCCAGUAUCGCCAAAUCGUCCUCCCAUGCCCUUCUCCUCCCUCAUUGACGACAUUGUCACCUAGGCCUUCUCCUAAAUUCGGGCUCCCUCGAGCUUUCCCUCUCCCCUGACCCCUCCAGUGCCCUCUCGCCACCAUCUCUAAGCCCCGCAGCGCCACCAUUUCUCCUCGGAGACGCCCUGGGCUCAAUGGCAGUGAUGACCGGAGGUCCCCUCCACGACCAAAUAGACCAUCACCGCUAUAGCCCUCCCGUGCAUGAGCACGACAGGGGAUUGAUAUGUCUCCAAUGUAUCUAUAAUUUUUUAUGGUUCCAUGCUAUUAUCUUGUCAAACUUUGGAUGUUUUGUAUGCCUUUUAUAUCUUUUUUGGGACUAACUUAUUAACUCAGUGCCAAGUGCCAGUUCCUUUUUCUUCUGUGUUUUUGACCCCUUUCACAGGAGAUUUUUAAACGGUGUCCAAACGGAAUAAAACUUCCGAAAAGUUUUUUUCCGGAACAGAAGAUACGCAGGGGACGUGAGAACCAAGGCAAAGGCCACCAGGGGAGGCCACAAGCCCACUAGGCGUGGCUAGGGGCGCGCGCCUAGUAGUCUUGUGGGCCCCGUGUGGCUUGUCUGCCCUACCUCUUCCGCCUAUAAAUUCCCGACAAAUCCUAAACUACGAGAGAGAUCCAACAAAAUACUUUUCCAUCGCCGCAAGCUUCUGUCUCCGCAAGAUCCCAUCUAGGGCACAUUUUGGUGCCCUGCCGGAGGGGGGAUUCGGAUAUGGAGGGCUUCUUCAUCAACACCAUGACCUCUCCGAUGAUGCGUGAGUAGUUCACCAUAGACCUUCGGGUCCGUAGCUAGUAGCUAGAUGACUUCUUCUCUCUCUUGGAUCUUCAAUACAAAGUUCUCCAUGAUCUUCAUGGAGAUCUAUCCGAUGUAAUCUUCUUUGCGGUGUGUUUGUCGAGAUCCGAUGAAUUGUGGAUUUAUGAUCGGAUUAUCUAUGAAUCUUAUUUGAGUUUCUUCUGAUCUCUUAUAUGCAUGAUUUCAUAUCCUUGUAAUUCUCUUCGAGUUGUGGGUUUUGUUCAGCCAACUUGAUCUAUGAUUCUUGCAAUGGGAGAAGUGCUUGGUUUUGGGUUCAUGCCGUGCGGUGACCUCACCCAGUGACAGAAGGGGUAGCGAGGCACGCAUCGUGUUGUUGCCAUCAAGGGUAAAAGGAUGGGGUUUACAUCAUUGGUUUGAGUUUAUCCCUCUACAUCAUGUCAUCUUGCUUAAAGCGUUACUCUGUUCGUCAUGAACUCGAUACACUAGAUGCAUGCUGGAUAGCAGUCGAUGUGUGGAGUAAUAGUAUUAGAUGCAGAAAGUAUCGGUCUACUUGUCUCGGACGUGAUGCCUAUAUGUAUGAUCAUUGCCUUAGAUAUCGUCAUGACUUUGGGCGGUUCUAUCAAUUGCUCGACAGUAAUUUGUUUACCCACCGUAAUAUUUGCUAUUUUGAGAGAAGCCUCUAGUGAACAAUAUGGCCCCCGGGUCUACUUCACUUCAUAUUUUCAGCCUUACACUUUUACUUCGUUGCACUUUCCACCUUCAGAUCUCACUUUGCAAUCAAUCUUGAAGGGACUGACAACCCUUUUAUAGCGUUGGGUGCAAGCUCGUUGUGUUUGCGCAGGUACUCUGAACACUUGGCUUGAUUCUCCUACUGGAUUGAUACCUUGGUUCUCAAACUGAGGGAAAUACUUACUGCUCCUGUGCUGCAUCACCCUCUCCUCUUCAAGGGAAAACCAACGCAAGUUCAAGAGGCAGCAGAAGGAUUUAUGGCACCGUUGCCGGGGAGGAUCAAGUCAAAGAAUAGUCUCCCGUCAACGUGUCAAUCUCUGGCACCGAGGAUUAUUCUAAGUGAAGCUUAUCCAAGUAACUGUCGCAAACUCAUCUCUUGCAUUUACUUUUUUUGCCUCUCGUUUUCCUCUCCCCCACUUCUGAAAAAUAAAAAUUUACAAAAAUAUUUGUCUUUUUCGUUCGCCCUUUUCUUUCGCUUGCUUUCUGUUGCUUGUGUGCUAUGUGCCUUCAAUAUGCUUGCAUCUUCGCUUGCUGAAAAUCUAUUGAUAUGGAUCCAAUUAUGUUGAACCAUUUGCUAGUGAGUUGAGUGCACUUGACUUUCUCUAUGGAGUUUUGCUUGAGAUGCAUGAAUCUGAAAAUCGUGAUGAAGAAAUUUAUGAAGUGAUUCACGAGGGCUCCUUGAAUGAAAAGCAUGAUUCAAUGAUUUCAUUAUAAAUUCUAUUAAUGACAAUCAUGCUAAAAAUAUGCAAAACCCUAAGCUUGGGGAUGCUAGUUUUGCUAUGUCCACUACUUGUUGCAAUGAUCAUGAUUGGGGUAAUGAUUUUUCUUAUGAUCUUGAAAAUUUGUUUAAGCCUCUUGAUGAAUAUGAUAUUUGCAAUAAUAUUGAAAGUGGGUUUGGAGAAGUCAUGACUUUAGUUGAUGAUAAUCCCACUAUUUUUGUAGAGCGUCAACUUUGCAUGCAUGUGGAUCAUGAAAAGAAUAUCCUAUGUGAUAUCUAUAUUGUUGAAUUUGAAUAUGAUCCCACAUGUAAUUGCUAUGAGAGAGGAAAAUAUUGUGGUAGAAACUUUCAUGUUACCAAAUCACCUCUCGUUAUGUUGAGAUUGCUAUUGUCUCUUUCUUCUUCCUUGCAUAUGGUAACUAUUGGUUGUCUUAACAAUUUGUUUUCCUAUAAAAUGCCUAUGCGUAGGAAGUAUGUUAGACUUAGAUGUGAUUUUUACAUGCUUUAUGAUGCUCUCGUUGUGCUUCAAUUCUUAUCUUUUGUGUGAGCAUCAUUGAAUUAUCAAUGCCUAGCUAAGCGCGUUAAACAAUAGCGCUUGUUGGGAGGCAACCCAAUGAAUUUAUCUUUUUCUUUCUGUUUUGUUGCGUCCACACCAUCAUAAUUCUGUUAUGAUUUUGUUUUUUUGUGUUUCUUUUUGUGUUUGAGCCAAGCAAAACCUUUAUGACUAGUUUGGUGUUGGUUGUUUGAUCCUGCUGGAAAAAGACAGAAAUUGCUCGCUCACGAAAGUAUUUGGCAUUUUUAUUCAGAAAGAGAUUUUGAGUUGAUUCUUUUUUCUCCUGGUUGAUAUUUAUUUUUCCCAGGCUGUAGUAAUUUUUCAGAAUUUUUGAGGUAACAGAAGUAUACGAAGUAUACAGAUUGCUACAGACUGGUAUGUUUUUGACAAAUUCUGUUUUUCUUGUGUUGGUUGCUUGUUUUGAUGAAACUAUGGAUAGUAUCGGGGGGUACUAUCCAUGGAAAAGUGAGAAUACAGUAACCUAACACCAACAUAAUUAAAAAUCAAGAUUGCUACAGUACCUCAAGAGGUGGUAGUUUCUUUUCUUGUGCUAAUGAUAUCACGAGUUUCUGUUUAAGUUUUGUGUUGUGAAGUUUUCAAGUUUUGGGUGAUGUUCUCACGAACAAGGGAUAAACAGUGGAAAGAGCUCAAGCUUGGGGAUUCCCAAGGCAUCCCAAGCCAAAUUCAAAGACACCAAAAAGCCUAAGCUUGGGGAUGCCCCGGGAAGGCAUCCCCUCUUUCGUCUUCAAUCCAUCGGUAACAUUACUUGGAGCUAUAUUUUUAUUCACCACAUGAUAUGUGUUUUGCUUGGAGCGUCUUGUAUCGUAGGAGUCUUUUCUUUUUGUUGUGUCACAAUCAUCCUUGAUGCACACCUUUUGAUAGAGACAUGCACUCAUCGUGAAUUUGCUAGAAUGCUCAUUGUGCUUCACUUACAUCUUUUGAGCUAGACAAUGUUGCUCUAUGUGCUUCACUCAGAUCUUUUAGAGCACAGCAGUGUGUAACUUGGUAGUUGGCUUGUGCUAUGAAAGUAGUCCCAAAGGUUAUAGGUACCCGAAGAGGAUAAAAUAAAACUUCCAUCUUCAUGUGCAUUGAGUAGAAAGAGAAGUUUGAUUCCUCUCAAUUAGUUUUGCGACGUGGAUUUGGUAAUAUUAAGAGUUAUGUUAGUAGGGUGUUGUGAAUCUAGAAAUACUUGUGUUGAAGUUAGUGAUUCCCGUAACAUGCAUGUAUGGUGAACCGCUAUGUUAGGAAGUCGGAGCAUAAUUGAUCUAUUGAUUGUCAUCCUUUGUGUUGCAGUCAGGAUCGCGCGAUGGUUUACACCUACCAACCCUUCCCCUAGGAGUAUGCAUUUAACACUUUGUUUCGAUUACUAAUAAAAACUUUCCAACAAGUAUGUGAGUUCUUCAUGACUAAUGUGAGUCCAUGGUAUAGAUGCACUUUCACCUUCCACCAUUGCUAGCCUCUCUAGUACCACGCAAUUUUCGCCGGUGCACAAACCCACCAUAUGCCUUCCUCAAAACAGCCACCAUACCUACCUACUAUGACAUUUUCAUAGCCAUUUCGAGAUAUAUUUCCAUGCAACUAUCGCCAUUCCAUCUCAUGACUUGUGACGUCACUCUCAUAUUGCCAUUGCAUGAUCGUAAGAUAGCUAGCGAGAUUUUUGAACAUCAUACGCCAAGCUAGAUCGUUGCACAUCCCGGUACACUGCCGGAGGCAUUUCCUAUAGAGUCGUCAUCGUUCUAAGCUUUGAGCUGUGAGUAAAUAAAAGUGUGAUGAUCAGCAUUAUUAGAGAAUUGUCCCAUGUGAGGAAAUAAAAAAAGGCCAAAGUUGCCCACAUAAAAAAAUAUGGAAAGGGGCCAAAGAGCACAAACAAAAAAAAGAGAAAAAGCGAGANUCUUUUUGUUGUGUCACAAUCAUCCUUGAUGCACACCUUUUGAUAGAGACAUGCACUCAUCGUGAAUUUGCUAGAAUGCUCAUUGUGCUUCACUUACAUCUUUUGAGCUAGACAAUGUUGCUCUAUGUGCUUCACUCAGAUCUUUUAGAGCACAGCAGUGUGUAACUUGGUAGUUGGCUUGUGCUAUGAAAGUAGUCCCAAAGGUUAUAGGUACCCGAAGAGGAUAAAAUAAAACUUCCAUCUUCAUGUGCAUUGAGUAGAAAGAGAAGUUUGAUUCCUCUCAAUUAGUUUUGCGACGUGGAUUUGGUAAUAUUAAGAGUUAUGUUAGUAGGGUGUUGUGAAUCUAGAAAUACUUGUGUUGAAGUUAGUGAUUCCCGUAACAUGCAUGUAUGGUGAACCGCUAUGUUAGGAAGUCGGAGCAUAAUUGAUCUAUUGAUUGUCAUCCUUUGUGUUGCAGUCAGGAUCGCGCGAUGGUUUACACCUACCAACCCUUCCCCUAGGAGUAUGCAUUUAACACUUUGUUUCGAUUACUAAUAAAAACUUUCCAACAAGUAUGUGAGUUCUUCAUGACUAAUGUGAGUCCAUGGUAUAGAUGCACUUUCACCUUCCACCAUUGCUAGCCUCUCUAGUACCACGCAAUUUUCGCCGGUGCACAAACCCACCAUAUGCCUUCCUCAAAACAGCCACCAUACCUACCUACUAUGACAUUUUCAUAGCCAUUUCGAGAUAUAUUUCCAUGCAACUAUCGCCAUUCCAUCUCAUGACUUGUGACGUCACUCUCAUAUUGCCAUUGCAUGAUCGUAAGAUAGCUAGCGAGAUUUUUGAACAUCAUACGCCAAGCUAGAUCGUUGCACAUCCCGGUACACUGCCGGAGGCAUUUCCUAUAGAGUCGUCAUCGUUCUAAGCUUUGAGCUGUGAGUAAAUAAAAGUGUGAUGAUCAGCAUUAUUAGAGAAUUGUCCCAUGUGAGGAAAUAAAAAAAGGCCAAAGUUGCCCACAUAAAAAAAUAUGGAAAGGGGCCAAAGAGCACAAACAAAAAAAAGAGAAAAAGCGAGAAGGGGCAAUGCUACUAUCUCUUUCCACACUUGUGCUUCAUAAUAGCACCAUGUUCUUCAUGAUUGAGAGCUUCUCAUUUUGUCACCACCAUAUGCUAGUGGGAAUCUUCAUUAUAUAACUUGGCUUGUAUAUUCCAAUGAUGGGCUUCCUCAAAAUUGCCCUAGGUAUUCGUGAGCAAGCAAGUUGGAUGCACACCCACUAGUUCUCCUUUUGAGCUUUCACAUACUUAUAGCUCUAGUGCAUCCUUUGUAUGGAAAUCCCUACUCAUUCACAUUGAUAUCUAUUAAUGGGCAUCUCCAUAGUCCUUUGAUACGCCGAGUCAAUGUGACCAUCUCCUCCUUUUUGUCUCACAACCUCCACCACACUCUAUUCCACCAUAGUGCUAUAUCCAUGGCUCAUGCUCAUGUAUUGCGUGAGAGUUGAAAAAGGUUUGAGAAAUUAAGAGUACGAAAACAAUUACGUGGCCAAUACCGAGGUUGUGCAUGAUUUAAAUUAGUUGUGUGGGGAUGAUAGAGCAUAGCCAGACUAUAUGAUUUUGUAGGGAUAACUUUCUUUGGCCUUGUUAUUUCGAAAGUUCAUGAUUACCUUGCUAGUUUGCUUGAAGUAUUAUUGUUUUCAUGUCAAUAGCAAACUAUUGUUUUGAAUCUUACGGAUCAGAACAUUCAUGUCACAUGAAAGAAGUUACAAAGGAUAACUAUGCUAGGUAGCAUUCCACAUCAAAAAUUCAGUCUUUACCACUUCCCUACUCGAGGACGAGCAGGAGUUAAGCUUGGGGAUGCUUGAUACGUCUCCAACGUAUCUAUAAUUUUUGAUGGUUCCAUGCUAUUAUCUUGUCAAACUUUGGAUGUUUUGUAUGCCUUUUAUAUCUUUUUUGGGACUAACUUAUUAACUCAGUGCCAAGUGCUAGUUCCUAUUUUUUCCAUGUUUUUGACCCCUUUCAGAGGAGAUUUUUAAACGGUGUCCAAAUGGAAUAAAACUUCUGAAAAGAUUUUUUCUGGAACAGAAGAUACGCAGGGGAUGUGAGAACCAAGGCAUAGGACGCCACGGGAGGCAUCAAGCCCUCUAGGCGCGGCCAGGGAGGUCGCGCCUAGCAGGAUUGUGGGGCCCCUGUGGCUCGUCUGCCCUACCUCUUCCGCCAAUAAAUUUCUGAAAAAUCCAAAACUGCGAGAGAGAUCCAUGAAAAUACUUUUCCGCCGCCGCAAGCUUCUAUCUCCGCAAGAUCCCAUCUGGGGCACAUUCUGGUGCCCUGCCGGAGGGGGAUUCGGAUACGGAGGGCUUCUUCAUCAACACCAUGACCUCUCCGAUGAUGUGUGAGUAGUUCACCAUAGACCUUCGGGUCCAUAGCUAGUAGCUAGAUGGCUUCUUCUCUCUCUUGGAUCUUCAAUACAAAGUUUUUCAUGAUCUUCAUGGAGAUCUAUCCUAUGUAAUCUUCUUUGAGGCGUGUUUGUCGAGAUCUGAUGAAUUGUGGAUUUAUGAUCAGAUUAUCUAUGAAUCUUAUUUGAGUUUCUUCUGAUCUCUUAUAUGCAUGAUUUCAUAUAUUUGUAAUUCUCUUCGAGUUGUGGGUUUUGUUUGGCCAACUUGAUCUAUGAUUCUUGCAAUGGGAGAAGUGCUUGGUUUUGGGUUCAUACCAUGCGGUGACCUCACCCAGUGACAGAAGGGGUAGCGAGGCACGCAUCAUGUUGUUGCCAUCAAGGGUAAAAAUAUGGGAUUUACAUCAUUGGUUUGAGUUUAUCCCUCUAUAUCAUGUCAUCUUGCUUAAAGCGUUACUCUGUUCGUCAUGAACUCAAUACACUAGAUGCAUGCUGGAUAGCGGUCGAUGUGUGGAGUAAUAGUAGUAGAUGCAGAAAGUAUCGGUCUACUUGUCUCGGACGUUGAUGUCUACUACGCAACCUUCUCCUUGUAGACGUUGUUGGGCCUCCAAGUGCAGAGGGUUGUAGGACAGUAGCAAUUUUCCAUCAAGUGGGUGACCUAAGGUUUGUCAAUCCGCAGGAGGCGUAGGAUGAAGAUGAUCUCUCUCAAGCAACCCUGCAACCAAAUAACAAAGAGUCUCUUGUGUCCCUAACACACCCAAUACAAUGGUAAAUUGUAUAGGUGCACUAGUUCGGCGAAGAGAUUGUGAAACAAGUGCAAUAUGGAUGGUAGAUACAGUUUUUUGUAAUCUGAAAUUACAAAAACAGCAAGGUAACAAAUGGUAAAAGUGAGCACGAACGAUAUUGCAAUGCGUGGAAACGAGGCCUAGGGUUCAUACUUUCACUAGUGAAGUUCUCUCAACAAUGAUAACAUAAUUGGAUCAUAUAACUAGCCCUUAACAUGCAACAAAGAGUCACUCCAAAGUCACUAAUAGCGGGGAACGAACGAAGAGAUUAUUGUCGGGUACGAAACCACCACAAAGUUGUUCUUUCUGAUCGAUCUAUUCAAGACUCCGUAGUAAAAUAGCACGAAGCUAUUAUUUCCAUUCAAUCUUUCAUAGAGUUCGUACUAGAAUAACACCUUAAGAUACUUAUCAACCAAGACCCUAAUGUCACCUAGAUACUCCAUUAUCACCUCAAGUAUCCGUGGGUAUGAUUAUACGAUAUGCAUCACACAAUCUCAGAAUCAUCUAUUCAACCAACACAUAGAACUUCAAAGAGUGCCCCAAAGUUUCUACCAGAGAGUCAAAAUGUGUGCCAACCCCUGUGCAUAGGUUCCCAAUGUCACGAACCUGCAAGUUGAUCACCAAAACAUACAUCAAGUACUCAUAUGAAUCCACAUGUGCCAACCCAUAUGCAUAGGUUCCUAAUUGUCACAAACCCGCAAGUUGAUCACAGCAGAUAGACACAUGCAAGACAUACAUCAAAUGUUCUCAAAGACUCAAUCCGAUAAGAUAACUCCAAAGGGGAAACUCAGUUCACUACAAGAAGGAGAGGGGUAAGAACAUCAUAAGAUCCAACUAUAGUAGCAAAGCCCAUGGUACAUCGAGAUCAAGACAUCUCAAGAACACGAGAGAGAGAGGGAGAUCAAACACAUAGCUACUAGUACAUACCCUCAGCCCCGAGGGAGAACUAUUCCCUCCUCGUCAUGGAGAUCACCGGGAUGAUGAAGAUGGCUACCGGAGAUGGAUUCCCCCUCCGGGAGGGUGCCAGAAUGGGCUCCAGAGGCUUGCGGCGGCGGAACUCCCGAUCUAGCUUUCUUUUUGGGGGUUUCUGAAUUUAUAGGAAUUUAUGGCGGUGGAAUUACGUCGGUUGGGCCCACGAGGAGGUCACAAGCCUGCCCUAAGCCACCUAGGGGGUGGUGGCGGCGUCAGGGCUUGUGACUCCCUCGUGGCUCUUCUAGCCUUCUUCCAAAGCUUCGGGGGUCUCUUUUGGUCCAAAAAAAUCAUCGUAAAGUUUCAUUCCAUUUGGACUCCGUCUGAAAAUGGGCCAAAAACACGAAAAAACAGAAACUGGCACUUGGCACUUGGCACUCAGUUAAUAGGUUAGUCCCAAAAAAGAUAUAAAAUAGCAUAUUCAUGCAUAUAAAACAUCCAAAGUUGACAAGAUAAUAGCAUGGAACCAUCAAAAAUUAUAGAUACGUUGGAGACGUAUCAAGCAUCCCCAAGCUUAACUCCUGCUCGUCCUCGAGUAGGGAAGUGGUAAAGACUGAAUUUUUGAUGUGGAAUGCUACCUAGCAUAGUUAUCCUUUGUAACUUCUUUCAUGUGACAUGAAUGUUCUGAUCCGUAAGAUUCAAAACAAUAGUUUGCUAUUGACAUGAAAACAAUAAUACUUCAAGCAAACUAGCAAGGUAAUCAUGAACUUUCGAAAUAACAAGGCCAAAGAAAGUUAUCCCUACAAAAUCAUAUAGUCUGGCUAUGCUCUAUCAUCCCCACACAACUAAUUUAAAUCAUGCACAACCUCGGUAUUGGCCACGUAAUUGUUUUCGUACUCUUAAUUUCUCAAACCUUUUUCAACUCUCACGCAAUACAUGAGCAUGAGCCAUGGAUAUAGCACUAUGGUGGAAUAGAGUGUGGUGGAGGUUGUGAGACAAAAAGGAGGAGAUGGUCACAUUGACUCGGCGUAUCAAAGGACUAUGGAGAUGCCCAUUAAUAGAUAUCAAUGUGAAUGAGUAGGGAUUUCCAUACAAAGGAUGCACUAGAGCUAUAAGUAUGUGAAAGCUCAAAAGGAGAACUAGUGGGUGUGCAUCCAACUUGCUUGCUCACGAAUACCUAGGGCAAUUUUGAGGAAGCCCAUCAUUGGAAUAUACAAGCCAAGUUAUAUAAUGAAGANGGAUUUACAUCAUUGGUUUGAGUUUAUCCCUCUAUAUCAUGUCAUCUUGCUUAAAGCGUUACUCUGUUCGUCAUGAACUCAAUACACUAGAUGCAUGCUGGAUAGCGGUCGAUGUGUGGAGUAAUAGUAGUAGAUGCAGAAAGUAUCGGUCUACUUGUCUCGGACGUUGAUGUCUACUACGCAACCUUCUCCUUGUAGACGUUGUUGGGCCUCCAAGUGCAGAGGGUUGUAGGACAGUAGCAAUUUUCCAUCAAGUGGGUGACCUAAGGUUUGUCAAUCCGCAGGAGGCGUAGGAUGAAGAUGAUCUCUCUCAAGCAACCCUGCAACCAAAUAACAAAGAGUCUCUUGUGUCCCUAACACACCCAAUACAAUGGUAAAUUGUAUAGGUGCACUAGUUCGGCGAAGAGAUUGUGAAACAAGUGCAAUAUGGAUGGUAGAUACAGUUUUUUGUAAUCUGAAAUUACAAAAACAGCAAGGUAACAAAUGGUAAAAGUGAGCACGAACGAUAUUGCAAUGCGUGGAAACGAGGCCUAGGGUUCAUACUUUCACUAGUGAAGUUCUCUCAACAAUGAUAACAUAAUUGGAUCAUAUAACUAGCCCUUAACAUGCAACAAAGAGUCACUCCAAAGUCACUAAUAGCGGGGAACGAACGAAGAGAUUAUUGUCGGGUACGAAACCACCACAAAGUUGUUCUUUCUGAUCGAUCUAUUCAAGACUCCGUAGUAAAAUAGCACGAAGCUAUUAUUUCCAUUCAAUCUUUCAUAGAGUUCGUACUAGAAUAACACCUUAAGAUACUUAUCAACCAAGACCCUAAUGUCACCUAGAUACUCCAUUAUCACCUCAAGUAUCCGUGGGUAUGAUUAUACGAUAUGCAUCACACAAUCUCAGAAUCAUCUAUUCAACCAACACAUAGAACUUCAAAGAGUGCCCCAAAGUUUCUACCAGAGAGUCAAAAUGUGUGCCAACCCCUGUGCAUAGGUUCCCAAUGUCACGAACCUGCAAGUUGAUCACCAAAACAUACAUCAAGUACUCAUAUGAAUCCACAUGUGCCAACCCAUAUGCAUAGGUUCCUAAUUGUCACAAACCCGCAAGUUGAUCACAGCAGAUAGACACAUGCAAGACAUACAUCAAAUGUUCUCAAAGACUCAAUCCGAUAAGAUAACUCCAAAGGGGAAACUCAGUUCACUACAAGAAGGAGAGGGGUAAGAACAUCAUAAGAUCCAACUAUAGUAGCAAAGCCCAUGGUACAUCGAGAUCAAGACAUCUCAAGAACACGAGAGAGAGAGGGAGAUCAAACACAUAGCUACUAGUACAUACCCUCAGCCCCGAGGGAGAACUAUUCCCUCCUCGUCAUGGAGAUCACCGGGAUGAUGAAGAUGGCUACCGGAGAUGGAUUCCCCCUCCGGGAGGGUGCCAGAAUGGGCUCCAGAGGCUUGCGGCGGCGGAACUCCCGAUCUAGCUUUCUUUUUGGGGGUUUCUGAAUUUAUAGGAAUUUAUGGCGGUGGAAUUACGUCGGUUGGGCCCACGAGGAGGUCACAAGCCUGCCCUAAGCCACCUAGGGGGUGGUGGCGGCGUCAGGGCUUGUGACUCCCUCGUGGCUCUUCUAGCCUUCUUCCAAAGCUUCGGGGGUCUCUUUUGGUCCAAAAAAAUCAUCGUAAAGUUUCAUUCCAUUUGGACUCCGUCUGAAAAUGGGCCAAAAACACGAAAAAACAGAAACUGGCACUUGGCACUUGGCACUCAGUUAAUAGGUUAGUCCCAAAAAAGAUAUAAAAUAGCAUAUUCAUGCAUAUAAAACAUCCAAAGUUGACAAGAUAAUAGCAUGGAACCAUCAAAAAUUAUAGAUACGUUGGAGACGUAUCAAGCAUCCCCAAGCUUAACUCCUGCUCGUCCUCGAGUAGGGAAGUGAUAAAGAAUGAAUUUUUGAUGUUGCAUGCUACCUAGCAUAGUUGUCCUUUGUAACUUCUCUCAUGUGACAUGAAUGUUCAGAUCCGUUAGAUUCAAAUCAAUAGUUUUCUAUUGACGUGGAAACAAUAAUAAUUCAAUCAAACUAGCAACGUAAUCAUGAACUUUCAAAGUAACAAGGCCAAAAGAAAGUUAUCCCUACAAAAUCAUAUAGUCUGGCUAUGCUCUAUCAUCAUUGCACAACGAAUUUAAAUCAUGCACAACCCCGGUAUUAGCCAAGUAAUUGUUUCACACCUUUACUUUCUCAAACCUUUUCAACUCUCACGCAAUACAUGAGCGUGAGCCAUGGUUUUAGCACUAUAAGUGGUGUGGAGUGUGGUGGAGGUUGUGAGACAAAAUAAGGAGAAGAUGAUCACAUUAACUAGACAUAUCAAUGAGCUGUGGAGAUUCUGAUCAAUAUAUAUCAAUGUGAAUGAGUAGGGAUUGCCAUACAAAUGAUGCACUAGAGCUAAGAGUAUGUGAAAGCUCUUAAAGAAAACUAGUGGGUGUGCAUCCAACUUGCUUGGUCACGAAGACCUAAGGCAAUUUUGAGGAAGCCUAUCAUUGGAAUAUACAAGCCAAGUUAUAUAAUGAAAAUUUCCCACUACCUAUAUGGUGGUGAAAAAACGAGAGACUCUCAAUCAUGAAGAUCAUGUUCCUUAAUAUGCACAAGUGUGGAAAAGUGGUAGCAUUGUCCCUUCUCUCUUUUUCUCUCUUUUUUUAUAUUUUCUUUUUGGUGGGCUCUUUGGCCUCUUUUUUUCGUGGGCAUCUUUGGCCUCUUUUAUUUCCUCACAUGGGACAAUGCUCCAUCAAUGAUGAUCAUCACACUUUCAACUCAAAACUUAGAGCAAUGAUGACUCUAUCUGAAAUGCCUUCGGUAGUGUACCAUGACAAUGAUCUAGCAUGGCAUAGACAUUAAUGGAAACAUCAUACUAGCUAUCUUACGAUCAUGCAAUGGCAAUGUAGACGUGGUGUCACAUGUCAUGGUGGUAGUUUCAUGGCAAUAUAUCUCAGAAUGACUUUGAAAAAGCCAUAGUAGGUAGGUAUGGUGGCUGUUUUGAGGGAGGCUAAUGGUGGGUUUUGUGCACCGGCGAAAGUUGCACGGCACUAAGAAGAUAGUGAUGGUGGAAGGUGAAAGUGCAUCUAAACCAUGGACUCGACAUUAGUCAUGCAGAACUCAUAUACUUGUUGCAAAAGUUUUAUUAGUAAUCGAAACAAAGCAUUCAACGCAUACUCCUAGGGGAAGGGUUGGUAGGUAUAAACCAUCGCGCGAUGCCGACCGCCACACAAAGGAUGACAAUCAAAAGACUAAUCAUGCUCAGACUUCAUCACAUAGCGGUUCACCAUACGUGCAUGCUACGGGAAUCACUAACUUCAACACAAGUAUUUCUAGAUCCACAACACCUUACUAGCAUAACUUCAAUAUUACCACAACCAUAUCUCAAAACUAAUUGAGAGGAAUCAAACUUCUCUAACUAUUCAAUGCACAUGAAGGUGGAAGUUUUCGUAUCCCUUUGGGUAACUACCCCUUUUGAGACUACUUUCAAAGCAUAGAUCAACUACCAAGCCAUGCAUCGCUGUGCUCUAAAAGAUAUAAGUGAAGCACAUAGACUAAAAGUAUCUAGCUCAAAAGAUAUAAGUGAAGCACAUGUGAGGUGAAGUGUCUACCAAAAGAUAUAAGUGAAGCUCGACAAAAUCACGGUGAGUGCAUGUCUCUCUCUAGGUGUGUAGCAAGGAUGAUUGUGACACAAUAAAAAAAAUAAAAGACUCCUACGAUACAAGACGCUCCAAGCAAAAACACAUAACAUGUGGUGAAUAAAAAUAUAGCCCCAAGUAACGUUACCGAUGGAUUGAAGACGAGAGAGGGGAUGCCUUCCCGGGGCAUCCCCAAGCUUAGGCUUUUACGGCAUCCUUGAAUCAACUUGGGGUGCCUUGGGCAUCCCCAAUCUUGAGCUCUUGCCACUCUUUAUCUCUUUGUCCAUAAGAACUUCACCCAAAACUUGAAAACUUCACAACACGAAACUUAAACACAAACUCGUGAUAACAUUAGUAUGAGAAAGCAAACCACCACUUCCUUAGGUACUGUAGAAAACUUAAAUUCUACUUAUGCUGAUGUUGGGUUACUGUAUUUUAAAUCUUCCAUGGCUAAUACCCUCUGAUACUACCCAUAGUUUCAUCAAAAUAAGCAACCAACACAACAAAAACAGAAUCUGUUAAUAGCAGAUCAGUCUGUAGCAAUCUGUAUACUUCGUAUACUUCUGUUACUUCAAAAAUUCUGAAAACUUAAGACAGUCUGAAGAAUUUGCGUAGCAAUCAGAAGCAAAAAGAAUCAACUCAAAAUCUAUACAGAAAACAAAUGAAAAUUCUUUUCGUGAGCAUAAAGUUUCUGUCUUUUCCAGCAUGACCAAACGAUCACCCCCAAGACUAAUCAUAACGGUUUUUCUUGGCACAAACGCAAAAAAAAACACAAAAAACACAAUCAUAACAGACUUAUGAAAGUGUGGAAAACACAAAACAGAAAGAAAAAGUAUAGAUUCGUUGGGUUGCCUCCCAACAAGCGCUAUCGUUUAACGCCCUUAGCUAGGCAUUGAUUUCAAUGAUGCUCACAUAAAAGGUAAGGAUUGAAACACAACGAGAUCAUCAUGGAGCAAAUGGCUAGCACAUUUAAGUCUAACCCACUUCCUAUGCAUAGGGAUUUUGUGAUCAAACAAUUUAUUGGAGCAAGAAUCAACUAGCAUAGGAAGGCAAAACAAGCAUAGCUUCAAAAAUUUCAACAUAUGGAGAGGAAGCUUGAUACUAUUGCAAUAAGUAGAAGCAUAUGAUCCUCACUCAUAGUAAUUUUCAGUAGCAUCAUGAAUGAAUUCAACAAUAUAACCAGAACCUAAAGCAUUCUUUUCAUGAUCUACAAGCAUAGAAAUUUUACUACUCUCCACAUAAGGAAAUCUAUUCUUAAGAAUAGUAGUGGGAGUAUCAUAAAAGACUUGAGCACUACAAAUUGUGUCCACAAUGAAAAAGCAAGGUUUAGCAAAAGGGUUCUCGAUAGUAUGACAAGUUUUAUCAUACCUCUUCUUUAAAGCUUAAGUAUCCUCACAAUAAUCAUCAUAGAUAGGGGCAUGCUUUCAUCAAAAUAAUUUUGAUCAUUCAAAGUGGAAGAACUAAAAAGAUCAUCUUCAUCAAAUAUAGCAUCCCCAAGCUUGUGGCUUUGCAUAUCAUUAGCAUCAUGGGUAUUCAAAGAAUUCAUGCUAAGAACAUUGCAAUCAUGCUCAUCAUUCACAUAUUCUAUGCCAAGCAUUCUAUGUAAUUCUUCUUUCAGCACUUGAGCACAAUUUUCCUUCCCAUCAUGCUCACGAAAGACAUUGAAAAGAUGGAGCAUAUGAGGCAUCCUCAAUUCCAAAAAAAUUUGUAGUUUUCUAGCGAAAGAACAAGAAACAAAAUUAUUCGAUUGCAAUAUCUAAAGAUAUACCUUCAAGCGCUAACCUCCCCGGCAACGGCGCCAGAAAAGAGCUUCGUUGACGGGAGGUGAGUGUCUCUUACCUAGCCUCCCCGGCAACGGCGCCAGAAAAGAGCUUCGUUGACGGGAGGUGAGUGUCUCUUACCUAGCCUCCCCGGCAACGGCGCCAGAAAAGAGCUUGAUGUCUACUAUGCAACCUUCUCCUUGUAGACGUUGUUGGGCCUCCAAGUGCAGAGGGUUAUAGGACAGUAGAAAUUUUCCCUCAAGUGGGUGACCUAAGGUUUGCCAAUCCGCAGGAGGCGUAGGAUGAAGAUGGUCUCUCUCAAGCAACCCUGCAACCAAAUAACAAAGAGUCUCUUGUGUCCCCAACACACCAAUACAAUGGUAAAUUGUAUAGGUGCACUAGUUCGGCGAAGAGAUGGUGAAACAAGUGCGAUAUGGAUGGUAGAUAUAGGUUUUUGUAAUCUGAAAUUACAAAAACAGCAAGGUAACAAAUGGUAAAAGUGAGCAGGAACGGUAUUGCAAUGCGUGGAAACAAGGCCUAGGGUUCAUACUUUCACUAGUGAAGUUCUCUCAACAAUGAUAACAUAAUUGGAUCAUAUAACUAGCCCUGAACAUGCAACAAAGAGUCACUCCAAAGUCACUAAUAGCGGGGAAGGAAGGAAGAGAUUAUUGUCGGGUACGAAACCACCACAAAGUUGUUCUUUCUGAUCGAUCUAUUCAAGAGUCCGUAGUAAAAUAGCACGAAGCUAUUGUUUGCUUUCAAUCUUUCAUAGAGUUCGUACUAGAAUAAGACCUUAAGAUACUUAUCAACCAAGACCCUAAUGUCACCUAUAUACUCCAUUUUCACCUCAAGUAUCGGUGGGUAUGAUUCUACGAUAUGCAUCACACAAUCUCAGAAUCAUCUAUUCAACCAACACAUAGAACUUCAAAGAGUGCCCCAAAGUUUCUACCAGAAAGUCAAAACGUGUGCCCACCACUGUGCAUAGGUUCCCAACAUCACGAACCCGCAAGUGUUGGAAAUAUGCCCUAGAGGCAAUAAUAAAAUGGUUAUUAUCAUAUUUCCUUGUUCAUGAUAAUCGUCUAUUGUUCAUGCUAUAAUUGUGUUAACAGGAAACAGUAAUACAUGAGUGAAUAAAUAGAUCACAGUGUGUCCCUAGCAAGCCUCUAGUUGGCUAGCUAGUUAGUCAAUAGAUGAUCGUGGUUUCCUGGUCAUGGGCAUUAGAUGUCAUUGAUAACGGGAUCACAUCAUUGGGAGAAUGAUGUGAUGGACAAGACCCAAUCCUAAGCGUAGCACUAGAUCGUAUUGUUCGUAUGCUAAAGCUUUUCUAAUGUCAAGUGUCUUUUCCUUCGACCGUGAGAUUGUGCAACUCACGGAUACCGUAGGAGUGCUUUGGGUGUAUCAAACGUCACAACAUAAGUGGGUGACUAUAAAGGUGCACUACGGGCACCUCUGAAAGUGUCUGUUGGGUUGGUACGAAUCGAGAUCGGGAUUUGUCACUCCGCGUGACGGAGAGGUAUCUCUCGGCCCACUCGGUAGAACAGCAUCAUGAGUUCAAUGUGACUAAGGAGUUAGUCACACGAUGACAUACUACGGAACGAGUAAAGAGACUUACCGGUAACGAGAUUGAACAAGGUAUUGGCAUACCGACGAUCGAAUCUCGGGCAAGUUCUAUACCGACAGACAAAGGGAAUUGUAUGCGGGAUUGAUUGAAUCCUUGACAUCGUGGUUCAUCCGAUGAUAUCAUCGUGGCACUAGUGGGAGCCACCAUGGGUAUCCAGACCCCGCUGAUGGUUAUUGGCCGCAGAGGUGCUCGGUCAUGUCUGCCUGUCUCCCGAACCCGUAGGGUCUACACACUUAAGGUUCGAUGACGCUAGGGUUAUAGGGAGUUGUUAUACGAGGUUUUCGAAAGUUGUUCGAAGUCCCGGAUGAGAUCCCGGACGUCACGAGGAGCUACGCAAUGGUCCGGAGGUAAAGAUUGAUAUAUAGGACGGAUGGUUUCGGACACCGGAAGUGUUUCGGGCAUCACCGGUAACGUACCGGGACCACCGGGACCACCGGAGGUGGCCCUGCGGGUCCACCGAAAGGGGGCCACGACCCCGGUAGGCUAGAUGGGCCAAGUGCGGGAGGGAACUAGCCCCUAGGUGGGCUGGUGCGCUCCCCACACUUAGCCCAUGGCGCAAGAAGAGGGGAGAGGGGGGAAACCCUAGCGCAGUUGGGCCUAAGGCCAACCAGAAGGGUGCGCCACCCCUCCUCCCCCUCCUGGCCGCCGCACCUCCCCCCAUCUAGGGCUGCCGCCCCUCCCAAGAGAGGGAAACCCUCAAGGGGGCGCAGCCCCUCCCUCCCCCUAUAUAUAGUGGGCACUUUGGGCUGUUGGAGACACCAAUCUUCCUCUCCCUCGGCGCAGCCCUGCUCUUCUUUCUCCUCCUCUCUGUCGGUGCUUGGCGAAGCCCUGCCGGGAGACCUCGUCUCUCCAUCGACACCACGCCAUCGUGCUGCCGAAGAUCUUCCCCAACCUCUCCCUCCUCCUUGCUAGAUCCAGGUGUGGGAGACGUCACAGGGCUGCACGUGUGUUGAACGCGGAGGUGCCGUGGUUCGGCACUAGAUCGGAAUCACACCGUGAUCUGAAUCGUCGCGAGUACGACUCCAUCAACCGUGUUCUAGUAACGCUUCCGCUUAGAGAUCUUCAAAGGUAUGAAGAUGCACUCACCCCUCUCUCGUUGCUGGUCUCUCCAUAGGAAGAUCUGAAUAUGCGUUGGAAAUUUUUUGAAUUUAUGCUACGUUACCCAACAGUGGCAUCCGAGCCAAGUUUUCUAUGCGUAGAUUCUAUGCACGAGUAGAAAACAAAAGGUUGUGGCUGAUGAUUUGUCAAUUGCUUGCCGCUACUAGUAUUAUUCUUUUCCGGCGGUAUUGUGGGAUGAAGCGGCCCGGACCGACAUUACACGUACGCUUACGUGAGACUGGUUCCACCGACAGACAUGCACACCGUGCAUAAAGGUGGCUAGCGGGUGUCUGUCUCUCCUACUCUAGUCGGAUUGGAUUUGAUGAAAAGGGUCCUUAUGAAGGGUAAAUAGCUUUGGCAUAUUAUCGUUGUGGCUGUCACGUAGGUAAGAAAGCGUUCUUGCUAGAAACCCAAAUCAGCCACGUAAAACUUGCAACAACAAUUAGAGGACGUCUAACUUGUUUAUGCAGGGUUUGACAUGUGAUGUGAUAUGGCCAAAGUUGUGAUGUUUCAUGUAUGAUGUAUGAGAUGAUCAUGUUAUUGUAAUAGGUUUCACGACUUGCAUGUCGAUGAGUAUGACAACCGGCAGGAGCCAUAGGAGUUGUCUUAAUUUAUUGUAUGAGACGCAACGCCAUGUGCUUACUACUUUUACUUCAUUGCUAACGGUUAGCUAUAGUAGUAGUGAUAGUAGUAGUUGGCAUGACGACUUUAGGGAGACACGAUGAUGGAGAUCAUGGUGUCACGCCGGUGACAAUGAUGAUCAUGCGAUGCCUGAAGAUGGAGAUCGAAAGAGCAAAGAUGAUAAUGGCCAUAUCAUGUCACUAUAUGAUUGCAUUGUGAUGUUUAUCAUGUUUUUCAUCUUAUUGCUUAGAACGACGAUAGCAUAAUAAGAUGAUCCCUCUUAAAAUUUCGAGAACGUAUUCCCCUAAGUGUGCACCGUUGCGAAGUAUCAUUGUCUCGAAGCACCACGUGAUGAUCGGGUGUGAUAGAUUCUAACGUUCGCAUACAACGGGUGUAAGCCAGAUUUACACACGCGAAACACCUAGGUUGACUCGACGAGCUUAGCAUGUACAUAUAUGACCUCGAAUACAAGAGACCGAAAGGUCGAACAUGAGUCGUAUGGUUGAAUACGAUCAGCAUGAAGUUGCUCACCAUGGUGAAUAGUCCGUCUCACGUGAUGAUCGGACACGGGUUAGUCAACAUGGAUCAUGUAUCACUUAGAUGACUAGAGGGAUGUCGAUUUAAGUGGGAGUUCAUACUUAAUUUGAUUAAAUGAACUUAAUUGUCAUGAAGUUAGUCUAAAAGUUGUCUUUAUAAAUAUUGUGGAUGGCCAACGUCAACCUCAAUUUCAAAGCAUUCCUAGAGAAAAACAAGCUGAAAGAUGAUGGUAGCUACUAUGCAGACUGGGUUCGCAACUUGAAGCUCAUCCUUGAAGAAGCUAAAAAGGCUUAUGUCCUUGAUGCGCCGCUAGGUGAACCUCCCGCUCCCGCAGCAGCCCAGGACAUUCUAAACGUCUGACAAACACAGAGUGAUGACUACUCUCUGGUUAGGUGUGGCAUGCUAUACAGUUUAGAAACGGGGCUCCAAAGGCGUUUUGAGCAACACGGUGCAUAUGAGAUGUUCCAAGAGCUGAAGCUAGUUUUUCAAGCUCAUGCCCGUGUCGAGAGAUAUGAAGUCUCCGACAAGUUCUUUAGCUGUAAGAUGGAGGAGAACAAUUCUGUCAGUGAGCACAUACUCAAAAUGUCUAGGUUACACGGUCGUCUGACUUCACUUGGAGUCAAACUUCCGGAUGAUGCUAUAAUUGACAAAAUCCUCCAGUCUCUCCCACCAAGCUACAAAGGUUUUGUGCUGAACUACAACAUGCAAGGGAUGGAGAAGACCAUUCCCGAGUUGUACUCGAUGCUCAAGUCUGCAGAAGUAGAAAUCAAGAAAGAGCAUUAAGUGUUGAUGGUCAACAAGACCACUAGUUUCAAGAAGGGCAAGGGUAAGAAGAACUUCAAGAAAGACGGCAAAGUCGUUGCUGCGCCCGGUAAGCCAGAUGCCGGGAAGAAGAAAAAGAAUGGACCCAAGCCUGAGACUGAGUGCUUCUAUUGCAAGGGAAAGGGUCACUGGAAGCGGAACUGCCCCAAAUACUUAGCGGACAAGAAGGCCGGCAACGUUAAAGGUAUAUGUGAUAUACAUGUUAUUGAUGUGUACCUUACCAGCACUCGUAGUAGCUCCUGGGUAUUUGAUACCGGUGCUGCUGCUCACAUUUGCAACUCAAAGCAGGAACAGCGGAAUAAGCGGAGACUGGCCAAGGACGAGGUGAUGAUGCGCGUCGGGAAUGGCUCCAAGGUCGAUGUGAUCGCCGUCGGCAUGCUACCUCUACGUCUACCGCCGGGAUUAGUUUUAAACCUUAAUAAUUGUUAUUUAGUGCCAGCUUUGAGCAUGAAUAUUGUAUCAGGGUCUUGCUUAAUGCGAGAUGGCUACUCAUUUAAGUCAGAGAAUAAUGGUUGUUCUAUUUAUAUGAGUGAUAUGUUUUAUGGUCAUGCUCCGCUGGUGAAUGGUUUAUUCUUGAUGAAUCUCGAUCGUGAUGUUACACAUAUUCAUAGUGUAAGCACCAAAAGAUGUAAAGUUGAUAAUGAUAGUCCCACAUACGUUUGGCACUGCCGCCUUGGUCAUAUCGGUGUUAAGCGCAUGAAGAAACUCCAUACUGAUGGACUAUUGGAGUCUCUUGACUUUGAAUCAUUUGACACAUGCGAACCGUGCCUCAUGGGAAAGAUGACUAAGACUCCAUUCUUAGGAAUAAUGGAGAGAGCAACCGACUUAUUGGAAAUAAUACAUACUGAUGUAUGUGGUCCAAUGAACAUUGAAGCUCGCGGUGGCUAUCGUUAUGUUCUCACUCUCACCGAUGAUUUGAGUAGGUAUGGGUAUAUCUACUUGAUGAAGCACGAAUCUGAGACGUUUGAAAAGUUCAAGGAAUUUCAGAGUGAGGUUGAGAAUCAACGUGACAGAAAAAUUAAGUGUCUACGAUCUGAUCGUGGAGGGGAAUAUUUGAGUCACGAAUUUGGCACACACCUAAGGAAGUGUGGAAUCGUUUCACAACUGACGCCGCCUGGCACACCGCAAUGCAACGGAGUGUCUGAACGUCGUAAUCGCACUUUAUUAGAUAUGGUACGAUCUAUGAUGUCUCUUACCGACUUACCGCUAUCAUUUUGGGUAUACACAUUAGAAACUGCAGCAUUCACUUUAAAUAGGGCACCGUCUAAAUCCGUUGAGACGACACCGUAUGAACUAUGGUUUGGCAAGAAAUCUAAGUUGCCGUUUCUUAAAGUUUGGGGCUGCGAUGCUUAUGUGAAGAAACUUCAACCAGAAAAGCUCGAACCCAAAGCGGAGAAAUGCGUAUUCAUAGGAUACCCUAAGGAAACUAUUGGCUAUACCUUCUAUCUUAGAUCCGAAGGUAAAACCUUUGUUGCCAAGAACGGAUCCUUUCUAUAGAAAGAGUUUCUCUCGAAAGAAGUAAGUGGGAGGAAGGUAGAACUUGAUGAGGUAAUUACACCCCCUCUCGAACAGGAAAGUAGCGCAGCAUGGGAAAUUGUUCCUGUGGCACCUACACCAACUGAAGAGGAAGUUAAUGAUAAUGACCAUGAAGCUUCGGAUCAAGUUACUACUGAACCGCGAAGGUCCACAAGGGCACGCUCCGCACCAGAGUGGUACGGCAACCCUGUGAUGGAAAUCAUGUUGUUAGACAACGGUGAACCUUCGAACUAUGAAGAAGCGAUGGAGGGCCCGGAUUCCAACAAAUGGCUUGAAGCUAUGAAAUCCGAGAUNNNNNNNNNNNNNNNNNNNNNNNNNNNNNNNNNNNNNNNNNNNNNNNNNNNNNNNNNNNNNNNNNNNNNNNNNNNNNNNNNNNNNNNNNNNNNNNNNNNNGGGGGUGCGGGAGAUGACGUGGGUGUAGGCUAGGGGAAACAACGCAUCUCCUGCGAGGACGGCCAUGUCCGUUCCGUAGGCCGCGUGGGUGGACGGGCGACCUCGGCGGGUGGGCGCGGCGUCAAAGCACGGCAAGUCGUCGUGCACGAGGGACGCUCCGUGGAGCAUCUCCAGCGCGGCGGCGCUCCCUACCGCCGCCGCGCUGGAGAUGCUCCACGGAGCGUCCCUCGUGCACGACGACUUGCCGUGCUUUGACGCCGCGCCCACCCGCCGAGGUCGCCCGUCCACCCACGCGGCCUACGGAACGGACAUGGCCGUCCUCGCAGGAGAUGCGUUGUUUCCCCUAGCCUACACCCACGUCAUCUCCCGCACCCCCUCCCCCGACCCCGUGUCGCACGCCGUCCUCCUCCGCGUCCUCGCAGAACUCGCGCGCACUGUGGGAUCCACCGGCAUGGCCGCUGGCCAGUUCCUCGAUCUUGCCGGUGCCAGCGCCCUCGGUGAAGCCGAGGUCAUGCAGGUCCUGACCAAGAAGUUCGGCGAGAUGGCGGAGUGCUCGGCCGCCUGCGGGGCUAUGCUAGGCGGCGCGGGGCCCGACGAGGAGGCCGCGUUGCGGCGAUACGGCCGCGCCAUCGGCGUCCUCUACGAGCUCGUCGACGACAUGCGGAGCGCGUCGGGAAACGGCAAGAUGAGGAGCAACGCCAGCGUCCUGCGCGCGCUGGGCAUGGACCGUGCGCUGGGCAUUGUCGAGGAGCUCAAGGCGCAGGCCAAGACGGAGGCGGACAGGUUCGGCGAUAAGUAUGGCGACCGGGUGCUGCCAUUGUACAGCUUCGUGGACUACGCCGUGGAGAGGAGCUUUGAGCUCCAGGAUUCAGCCGCGAAGCCUUGAGCGUUGGCACAGGUGACAUGUAUAGUUAUGUGAAGCUGAAAUUCUGUGAUCUGAACUAUAAAUUUGUACUAUAUGUGUUUAGAACAUUAGAUGCGUGGUUGCUGUUUCUGUCCAACAUUUUGCAAGUUCCUGAAAUAACAUGGUACCAAAUGAUAAACUUACCAAUAAUUUUGAGUUCAUACUCCAUGGGAAUGAAGCUAACCCAAGUUCACACCAUGUUGGGAGCUUUCAAAUUGUUCAUACUGUUCAGUUCGUUUGUAAGAAGGUUUACCUUCUGUGCUUGUUUGUCGUUGAAUUUGUGUGAACAUGAUGGUAGUAAACAUUACAGGGAUCAGCUUUGUUACCUGACAAUGAUAAAUAUUUAUAAAUUUUGCC
This 225203-nucleotide long non-coding RNA is filed under the name Hordeum vulgare. RNAcentral's name for it is "long non-coding RNA (HVUL_LNC016412)". Lineage: Eukaryota; Viridiplantae; Streptophyta; Magnoliopsida; Poales; Poaceae. The record is from RNAcentral.